This 185338-nucleotide long non-coding RNA is filed under the name Vitis vinifera (wine grape). RNAcentral's name for it is "long non-coding RNA (VVIN_LNC004115)". Lineage: Eukaryota; Viridiplantae; Streptophyta; Magnoliopsida; Vitales; Vitaceae. The record is from RNAcentral.
AAAAAAAAAAAAAAAAAUGUUGUCUGCGAAUCAUGACUAUUACAUUCCUCCCUAUGAAUAUGAAAAUUAAAAUCACGGUUUUUUUUAAAUAAUAAUAAAAAUAAAAUGAGGUGAUUAUGAGCUGACAUUCAAAGGCCCGGGCUCAAAAGAGCCAAAUCAUGAUUAUCCAUGACAGCAUGAUGGAAAGAGCCCCACAUCACGUUAUUGACUCAUCCCUUCUCAUCAAACAUGGCAAUCGAUUCAGAUUUCCAUAAUCAUGUUGUGUUUAGUCAAAGAAAAAAAUUAUGGAAAAUAAAAAAACAAACAAUUUUUCUUUAUUUAAUUAUACUAUAAAAACUAAAAAUUUAAAUAUAAUUAAAAUUAAUUAAAAACUUAUAUAUUUUUAAAUUAUUUAAUAAUAAUUAUAAUAAUUAAAAUAAGUUUAAAAUAAUGUAUAAAAAUAAUUUAUUGAUUUUUUAUACAUAUAGAUUUUAUUUUUUCUUUUCUUUGAAUUUUCCCUUUAAUUUUUUGAUAAUCAAAAAGUGAGUCAGCAACACGUAGGGAAGAAGAAAACCUGAGCCAGCAACACGCGCGUAGGAAAAAAAAAAACUCAAGGAAUGAUGGAUGAAGCUCUCAACACCGACAAGAAAAAGAGAAAAUUCUUAUAGCUUGUGUGGCUCAAACAAAAUUUGAAUGAUUCAAGUGUGAGAAUCGGGAAUCCAAGCCCACUAUAGGAAAAUAAUCCAAAAGCCUAGACAAUCUUUAUCAUUGCAGCAGAAAAGGAUAUCAUAAAAGUCAAGCAUGCAAAGGAGCUUGAGGCUUGGUUCUGGUUCACGUGUCGAAUGGCCAUUAAAGAUGGAACGGUUCAAAGUGCGGACACAGGUUGUCGGCGAGGUUCAACAGGACUCCCAUGCCUCCAAAGAAAAUGCACCAUUGAAAACAACAACCAGGGCUAUUACUAUUAUUACGUCACUUGUAAUUUAAUCCAUUCUAUUGUGGGUUUCAAUGUUCAGCCAAGUACAAAGCCAGUCAAAAGAAAUGUUAUCCACAAUUCCAGAUUAUAGAUUAUGAUGCAUUUCAAUAUAAAAAAGUCUUCUUAAAUCCUACAGUAAUAUUUUUCUUUCCUGUCACGCAAAUCCCAAACAGCCUUUCGGACAGUUGACCUGAAAAAGCCACUGCCGUAAAGUGACCAAAUUGUGUAUAUGGCGUCCCUUCUUCUCUUUGGAUUUAUCAUAGACCCAGAUUUUGGAUGACUUGAAACUCAACUUACAACCUCAAAUUAAAAGUUUGACUCUCAAUACAAAAUGUCCUUCAAAGGUUCUCCAAAUACUUACAAAGAUUCAACUACAUAUAUUUUGUUGCAAGUAUGUAUUAAGUAAUACAACCUUAAAUGUGUGAGUAUUUCAACGUUGGAGUUUUGUAUCCAAAGGGACAAAAAUGUAAAUAACCAUGCAUAAAGAGAUAAAAUAAUUAAAUUUAAAUUUUAGAAAUAUAAAUGAGGAAGAGCACAUGCGCUCAUAUAAUAAUGCAUGUGGAAGUGGUUGAAAGUAGCAAUAAUGAACAAAAUUUGCCAAAUUUAUCAACAAAAAAUGAAAUAAAAAUCUAAAAUCUCGUAACAAUGAGGAAAUAUCACGAUAUUUCAAACUUUGCUUAUAGAUGCAUAUUACGUCCCUGAAAAAUAUGAUGAAUUACACACUAUAAACAAGCUCACGAUUGGGUAGUUUUUAGUUCAUUCUUUAUAACUUUAAUGGUAUUAAAGCCAUUAGGAUUUUUUUGGAAGUAUUUUCUUUGCACCCAAACAUGAAAAUGGCUUCUUAUUGCGACAUCAAUGAUUGUAGCUGCUUCAGUAUCAACCCAAACUUCUAUCCAUAGUUUUUUCCAACCUUUACAAGUACUGAAUCAUACUUCACCUAUUAAAUUAGACAAGAUGAAUUAUAUUUUUUGGCAUUCACUAAUGGAAAAUGUGAUUCAUGCUAAUAGAUUUGUAGACUUUGUGGAAGGGGAAGUCAUGCCUUUCUAAGAUAGAUGGAUUGGGUGUCAUUAAUCCAAAAUUAUGCGGAAGAGAUUUGAUCAUUUGAUUCUAAUUAGUUGGGUCUAUUCAUCACUCACUCCUAAGAUUAUGGCAUAAAUCAUAGGACACAACCUCACAUUGUGUUUGGAGUGCACUAGAGAAAAGUUUUCUACCUCCUUGGAGGUAUGUGUUAUGCAACUACGAUUGCAAUUUCAACCAUUGAAGAAAGAAUCUUUGUCAAUGAUGGAAUAAAUUUUAAAAAUGAAGGGUAUUAUUGAUAAUCUUCCAAUUAUUUUCAAGCCUAUAAUGGAGCAUGACCAUGUACUACAACUUGGAGGAUUAUGUCUUGACUAUAAUUCUUUGGUUGCUUCUAUCACUACAUGAGAUAAUGAAAUUAGUCUUGAUUUAAUUCACAACAUGCUUUUGAUGCAUGAAAAACAUCUACACAAAAUUUAGUUGAAGAAAAUAUUGUUGUCUUAGUCAAUCUUGUAUCUACUCAAGGAAAAUACUUCCAUAAAAGAAAUUAGAAGAGUGGACAUGUCUUUAAUACAUCCUACAGUCUAGUUUAAAUCCAAAAUUCAAAUCCUAAUACACAAUUUUCUAGUAGAAUUCAUUGUGGUAGAACUAAUUUCAAUAUCACUCAAAGUUAAGGAGGAUGAGGUUGUAGGGAACUCUGGAUUACUCCCUUACUUGGCCUUGGAUCAGUUAGGUGCAUGCAAUCUUCUUAAGGCUAUCUAGAUCCUUGCAAUGGAAGUAAAUAAGCAAAUAAACACUUUUUCAGGAUCUAGAUCUAAAGAUUAGGAUGUGCUUACAUAAAUUUAGAUAUUCCUAUAUCAAUUCUUAUUGUUGUCAAAAACUCCAAAGUCCUAGAAGAUCUCAAAGACACAACAAUCUUCCAUCUAAUGGCUCCUUCUUGAAUCCAAGACAUUGAAAUGAUGGAGAUCUUAAGGAUGGUACAAACUAGGGUUCUCGUUCUCUUUAAUGGAUAAGAAGUAAGAGUUUGAAGCCCUGAACCUUAAUGAGGUUAUAAGCUUCCCAUGGGCUUAAGUGACUUGAGCCCACCUUGGGUUUAAAUCACUUAAUUUAGCCUAAAAAGGGCCUUAAUUGAUUAAUUAGUCCAAUUAGGCUCCAAAAAAUCAAUUAGCCCAAUUUAGAAAGAUAAUUCACAAGCUCCUAUGCAACCUAACGUAUUUACCAAAACGUCUUUUGUACACAAAUGAACUAAUAAUCUAUACAACAUCAUAAAUUGUGCCACCAAGAAACAUGAGCUCGAGCCAAGGCCACUAAGAUCCAAAGGAAAAUGUCGGCUCAUUCAGAAUCCAAUUCUGAAGUUGACUCAACAUCUCACUAUAGAAAUUCAACUGCACUCUAGUAUUCUAUGUAUUAAAACGAGAUAUAAAUUCAAAUCUAUGACCUAUUAUCCAUUGCAUGCAAACGUCUUAAGAACUGGUAUCUGUAAUCUAACAAAGUAUGUGCUAUCAACCUCUCAAGAUUACAUUUUUAAUCGUUGAGUCUCAAAUCCUCCUAUUAUGUGAUCAACAAACAUAAUCUAGCUCUCUAAGAGCAUAUAUCAAAUUUCAGUAAAAAAAUUACUAUGACCAUAGUUUUCCUUAUCACAUAUCUUUAGGAUCAUCUAAGAAGAUAUACUAUUUUAAACUCAUGAGAUAUCAUGAUGCCUAUAUCGAAAAUACCUAUUGCCAUCUACCUUAAUAAAUAGUGACUAAUUAGUAGGACAUAUGUGGUCACCUUAAGGUCUCACCCAUAGGUCAAAGUCAUUGAAGAGCUCAUAACUAGCUCAAUAUUCUCUCAAGGUUAAGAGCUUAUGCGAUAUAAUAGUUUAGUGAUUCAUGAUUACCCGAUAGCCAGUGUCAUGAUUUACCAUAAGUCUUGUCCAAUUUGUAACCAUACAUACUAGCGCACUCAUCCUGAGAAAAUCAUCAGGAUGACUAAGACAAAUCAUCCCUUUAAUAAAGAGGUAGUGCACUAUACUAUCUAAUAGAUUACCCAAAUUCAUGAACCAAUUGUGAACUGGUUAUCAUUUUGCAAAGAACUCAUAACUUCAAUCUUCUAUGUAACUACUAAUGCACCCACAUCACAUACAAUGCAAAUAAUAGGGGUGCAAAUGCUCAAGUAAAAAUUAAUGCAAAUGAGGAUAAGAAAAGAAAUUAGAAUCAUAAUAAAUAAAUUUAUCAAUGAAACUUUAUUUUGUUACAUCAUAUCAUGCUUUCAAGGGCUCUAUUCUAACAAUUAUAGUCCAUUUUCCUUAGAAUGGUCUACAUCAUUUAUUUAAGAAUUUUUUAUAUAUCAUAAAAAAAAAAUCGACUCUCUAACAUUCAAAAUAACUUCAAAUAAGAUAAUUCUCUAAAUAAAAAUUUUAAGUUAUUUAUGAAAUGCACAUUGCACAAUGUUUGUAUGUUAAAUAUCUAUAUCUUAGAAAUCAAUAGACAAUCUCUAAUUUAUAAUUCAAAAUGACAUGUACAUGAAUUCCCUCAUUAUGACAACUACAUUAUCUUUUAUUUCAUAAAAAUGCAAGAAACAAAUAGAGAUUAAAGUAAUGCAAAAUAAUAAUAAUAAAUAAGAUAAAAAAAAUUACAAAAUAGAUAUAUAAUUGAUAGAAUUUCCUAUAAACACUUCAAUUCACAUCAUAAAUAAUCCUAUACUUGUUGAGAUAAAGCUCUUAAAAGCAUGACAUGAUGUAACAAUAGUUGGAUUUCAUUAAUAGUUAUAUUAUGAUUUUGGUUCUCCUUUUACUAUAUGGUUUAUACAUUUUUUUUAUGUUAAACAUUUCAAUUUGAUAUCUCUUGCAUUGUACAUGACUUAGAUGCUUUAGGAUUUGCGCAAGUAAUGGCUUUCUUGUAAGUAGAUGAUUUGGUCAUAGUUGAUUCAUGGACAUAGGCAAUCUAUUUGAGACUAUUGUGCAUUACUUCCUAAUUGGAAGGAUGACUAGUCUUGGUCAUUAGGAUAAGUUUACCAUAAUAAGUGAACUAGUGUAUAUGGUUACACAUUUGAUAAGACCUACAAUGAAUUAAGACAUUUUUUUUUUCCGAAUACUCAUGAUUCACCAAGCUACUAUAUUGCAUUGACUUUCAAACUUUAGAGGAUAUUAAACUUGUGCUAUAGUCAUUAGGAGGAUAUUAAAAUGGAUUAAAGUUUGGGAUGGUAUGUGUCUGGAGGUUGCAGAUGACGGUAAUUUUAUCAUUUUAUAUACCAAUUUUAUUUUUAAAAAAUUAGGUGGAUGUAGAAAGAAAUAAGAUGGACAUGUUUAAUAACGCUUUAAUAGAAAAUAAGGAUAGUGUUUGAUUACAUGAUAAAGAUGAAAUACAAUAAAAAAUAAUUUCUAUUCAUUAAAUAUAAAAUAUUUUUGUAUUAAAUUAACAUUCAUAAAUUGGUAGGUGGAAAGAUAAUGAUGAUCAUAAAUGAUGGUAUGACUUUUUUUUUUAAUUUAUUAAUUUUAAAAAUUAUUUGUAGGGGUCUCCCCCACGUGUCAACCCAUGUGUUGGUCCAAGUGGCAUUCCCCUCAGUACUGUUCGGAUGGUCACCAUAACACCAGAAGCUUCCCAUCUAGGCCAUACAGGCUUGCGAUUAGUAGUGAUAAACCCCCCAUGCUGGCAACGUUUUCCGGAUAGCUUUUGAUUCUCUCUUACUACAUGUAAUAAUUCUCUCUUGACAUAGGUAUAGAUGAUGGGACCUUCCCCAGUCCUCGCAUCCAUGUCAGAAGAUUAUCUUAGCAAUAGGUUGAAACGACGGGCAAACACAUCAUGACAUACUAUUUGGUGGCAGCAACUAGCCACCCUAAACUGCAAUGAUUGCCCUACCAACUACAGAAUAGUCAUCAUUACAGUAAAAGUCAAAGUGCCAACUUAGCACUAGAGUGACUCCCUCCUAAGCACUAUAAAAUGUCCUCCCAAGCAUAACCCAGGUAUGCGAGUAAGGGAUAACACCUUCACUCUUCCUUUUAAAGGUUCAAACCCACUUGUGUUUAACUUAAGCUUCGGAGGGGUGUGCCUGGACAAUCUAUCUGAACAUCCUUUGUAUAGAAAAAUAGCUUGCCCAACCUCUAGUUGCUGAGUAGGAGCUUCUAGUGGCACAACAAGGGGAGGAUUUGACCCAGUUGACCUUGUAUCAACAAUAUUGAAAUGUGAUAAAUGAAGAAAUCUUUGAAAGGUUUACCCAUUUAAUAUAAUCAAUUAAAUAGAGGGAACACAUCUUAUCCUACAUCUACAUAUGCCCUACUCGUGUACACAAAAAUGCUACUCAUUAAUUUUUUGUUCAACUUUCUUAGCUUUUGUACGUGUCAAUUCCUCGUACCAUUAAAAAAAAUUGGUAUCCUUCAUCCCCAAUAAAAAGAAAAAAAAACCUCCUGAUUAACCAUAAGAUUACAAAUUAGAAUAUCUAUCAAUUCAAUUGAUUGAAAGAAUAAUGGUCUAAAAUUUGUUAUAAAUAUAUAUACAAAUUCUUAAUUUUACUUUAAUUUUUUGUCCUUAAUUUAUAAUUUAUAAUUUUAAUUAUAAUCAUAAUUCUAUUUUUAGGCCUUAAAAACUUGCCGUGAACGAAAGGAAAAAAAGAAAGUAACGUAUGAAAAAUGAUGAAAAGAUGGUAACGGGGACCAACUUCACAAAAAGGAGGGUGGAGACUUUUUCAUAACAGGCUUUGGACUUUGAAUCAGUAGGCAGGGAAUUUAAAUUAAAAAAUAAUAAUAAUUUAAUUUUUAAAAAUAAUAUAAUUUUAAAAAUAUUUUUAAAUAAAUGAUCAGAUUAAAAUUUUAGUUUAAAAAACAAAUUAAACAUUUUUUUUAACAAAAAACUUCAGUUUAAAUUUAGUUUUUAUAUAUUAUUAAUGAUUUUUUAAAACAAUUUUAAAAAAUAUUUUUCAGAACGGUUUUUAAAAACCGUUCUCUAAUAUUUUGUAGAAUAAAAAUUAUUUAAAAAUCUAAAAUGUUUGAAACCUAUUUUUAAUAUAUUUAAAAAUAAAUUUUAUGUUUAUAUUUUUAUUUUUAAUCAUUAUUUAUGUUGCUUGUAAAAUAUAUGAAAACAAUUAAAAGAUGGUAUCUAAAAAUAUUAUGUUUUUUAUUUUUAAAAUUAUAAAAUAGAAAAUAGUUUCAUGGUUCUUAAAAGUAUUUUCUAAUUUUUUUUUUUAAAAAAAAAAUUGUUGUCUGCCAAUCAUGACUAUCUCAUUCCUCCCGAUGAAUAUGAAAAUUAAAAUCACGGUUUUUAUUUUUAUUUUUUGAAUAAUAAUAAAAAUAAAAUGUGGUGAUUAUGAGGUAACAUUCAAAGGCCCGGGCUCAAAAGAGCCAAAUCAUGAUUAUCCAUGACAGCAUGAUGGAAAGAGCCCCACAUCACGUUAUUGACUCAUCCCUUCUCAUCAGACAUGGCAAUCGAAUCAGAUUUCCAUAAUCAUGUAGUGUUUAGUCAAAGAAAAAAAUUAUGGAAAAAAAAAACAAUUUUUCUUUAUUUAAUUAUACUUUUAAAAAAUAAAAAGUUAAAUGUAAUAAAAAUGAAUCAAAAACUUGUAUUUUUUAAAAUUAUUUAAUAAUAAUUAUAAUAAUUAAAAUGAGUUUAAAAUAAUAUAUAAAAAUAAUUUGUUGAUUUUAUAUAUAUAUAUAUGUAUUUUUUAUUUUUUCUUUUCUUUGAAUUUGCCCUUUAAUUUUUUGGUAAUCAAACAUAUAUAGAAGAGAGUUGGAAUCAUAAAUAAAAUAAAAUUAAAAAAAAAAAAAAAAACCCUUAAGUGAGUCGGCAACUCGUAGGGAAAAAGAAAACCUGAGUCAGCAACACGUAGGAAAAAAAAAAUACUCAAGGAAUGAUGGAUGAAGCUCUCAACACCGACAGGAAAAAGAGAAAAUUCUUAUAGCUUGUGUGGCUCAAACAAAAUUUGAAUGAUUCAAGUGUGGGAAUCGGGAAUCCAAGCCCACUAUAGGAAAAUAAUCCAAAAGCCUAGACAAUCUUUAUCAUUGCAGCAGAAAAGGAUAUCAUAAAAGUCAAGCAUGCAAAGCAGCUCGAGGCUUGGUUCUGGUUCACGUGACGAAUGGCCAUUAAAGUGCGGACACAGGUUGUCGGCGAGGUUCGCCUCCAAAGAAAAUGCACCAUUGAAAAUAACAACCAGGGCUAUUACUAUUAUUACGUCACUUGUAAUUUAAUCCAUUCUAUUGUGGGUUUCAAUGUUCAGCCAAGUACAAAGCCAGUCAAAAGAAAUGUUAUCCACAAUUCCAGAUUAUAGAUUAUGAUGCAUUUCAAUAUAAAAAAGUCUUCUUAAAUCCUACAGUAAUAUUUUUCUUUCUUGUCACGCAAAUCCCAAACAGCCUUUCGGACAGUUGACCUGAAAAAGCCACUGCCGUAAAGUAACCAAACUGUGAAUACGUGCCCUGUAUAACCACAGUUGAUCCUCCCUUCUUCUCCUUGGAUUUAUCAUAGGGAAACUUUUGUUGGGCCGGUAAUAUCAAAACAUUAUGGGAUGGAUAUUUCAACGUUGGAGUUUUUUAACCGAAAUGACUAAAAAGUAAAUAACCAUGCAUAAAGAGAUAAAAUAAUUAAAUUUAAAUUUUAGAAAUAUAAAUGAGGAUGAGCACAUGCGCUUAUAUAAUGCAUGUGGAAGAGUGCAUGGUGUUUUCACUUUGUCCCAUAUUGAAAAUGAAUGAGGAGCAGAAAGUGGUUGAAAGCAGCAAUAAUGAACAAAAUUUGCCAAAUUUAUCAACAAAAAUGAAAUAAAAAUUAAAAUAUCAUAACAAUGAGAAAAUAUACGAUAUUUCAAACAUUGCUUAUAGGUGCAUAUUAUGUCCUUGAAAUAUCAGGAUAUUUCAAACCACCCUUAUUUUUCUCUUUUAAGAUAUGAUGAAUUACACACUAUAAACAAGCUCAUGAUUGGGUAGUUUUUUAGUCAUUCUUUAUAACUUUAAUGGUAUUAAAGGCAUUAGGAUUUUUUUGAAGUAUUUUCUUUGCACCCAAACAUGAAAAUGGCUUCUUAUUACAACAUCAAUGAUUGUAGCUGCUUCAGUAUCAACUCAAACUUCUAUCCAUAGUUUUUUCCAACCUUUACAAAUACCGAACCAUACUUCACUUAUUAAAUUAGACAAGAUGAAUUAUAUUUUUUGGCAUUCACUAAUGGAAAAUGUGAUUUAUGCUAAUAGACUUGUAGACUUUGUGGAAGGGAAGUCAUGCCUUUCUAGGAUAGAUGGAUUGGGUAUCAUUAAUCCAGAAUUAUGCGGAAGAGAUUUGAUCAUUUGAUUCUAAUUAGUUGGGUCUAUUCAUCACUCACUCCUAAGAUUAUGACAUAAAUCACAGGACACAACCUCACAUUAUGUUUGGAGAACACUAGAGAAAAGUUUUCUGUCUCCUUGAAGGUAUAUGUUAUGCAACUACGAUUGCAAUUUCAAACAUUAAAGAAAGAAUCUUUGUCAAUGAUGGAAUAAAUUUUAAAAAUGAAGAGUAUUAUUGAUAAUCUUCCAAUUAUUUUCAAGCCUAUAAUGGAGCAUGACCAUGUACUACAACUUGGAGGAUUAUGUCUUGACUAUAAUUCUUUGGUUGCUUCUAUCACUACAUGAGAUGAUGAAAUUAGUCUUGAUUUAAUUCCCAACAUGCUUUUGAUGCAUGAAAAACAUCUAGAGCAACAAAAUUUAGUUGAAGAAAAUAUUGUUGUCUUAGUCAUUCUUGUAUCUACUUAAGGAAAAUGCUUUCAUAAAAGAAAUUAGAAGAGUGGACAUGUCUUUAAUACAUCCUAAGGUCUAGUUUAGAUCCAAAAUUCAAAUCCUAAUACACAAUUUUCUAGUAGAAUUCGUUGUAGUAGAACUAAUUUCAAUAUCACUCAAAGUUAAGGAGGAUGAGGUUGUAGGGAACUCUGGAUUACUCCCUUGCUUGGCCUUAGAUCAAUUAGGUGCAUGCAAUCUUCUUAAGGCUAUCUAGAUCCUAACAAUGGAAGUAUAUAAGCAAAUAAACACAUUUUCAAGAUCUAGAUAUAGAUCUAAAGAUUAGGAUGUGCUUACAUAGAUUUGGAUAUUCCUAGAUCAAUUCUUAUUGUUGUCGAAAAACUCCAAAGUCAUAGAAGAUCUCAAAGACACAACAAUCUUCCAUCUGAUGGCUCCUUCUUGAAUCCAAGACACUUAAAUGAUGAAGAUCUUAAGGAUGGUAAAGACUAGGGUUCUCUUUCUCUUUAAUGGAUCAUAAGAAGUAAGAGUUUGAAGCCCUAACCCUUAAUGAGGUUAUAAGCUUCCCAUGAGCUUAAUUGACUUGAGCACACCUUGAGUUUGGAUCACUUAAUUUUGCCUAAAAAGGGUCUUAAUUGAUUAAUUAGUCCAAUUAGGCUCCAAAAAAUAAUUAGCCCAAUUUAGAAAGAUAAUUCACAAGCUCGUAUACAACCUUACGUAUUUACCAAAAUGUCUUUUUACUGACUUGAGCACACCUUGAGUUUGGAUCACUUAAUUUAGCCUAAAAAGAAUUGAUUAAUUAGUCCAAUUAGGCUCCAAAAAAUAAUUAGCCCAAUUUAGAAAGAUAAUUGACAAGCUCGUAUGCAACCUUACGUAUUUACCAAAACGUCUUUUUGCACACAAAUGAACUAAUAAUCUAUAUUACAUCAUAAAUUGUGCCACCAAGAAACAUGAGCUCAAGCCAAGGCCACUAAGACUCAAAGGAAAAUAUUGGCUCAUUCAUAAUCAAAUUCUAAAGUUGACUCAACAUCUCACUAUAGAGAUUGAAUUGCACUUUAGUAUUCUAUGUAUUAAAAUGAGAUAUAAACUUAAGUCUAUGACCUGUUAUCCAUUUCAUGCAAACUUCUUAUGAACUGGUAUCCGUAAUCUAAUAAGGUAUGUGCUAUCAACCUCUCAAGAUUACAUUUUUAAUCCUUGAGUCUCAAAUCCUCCUAUUAUGUGAUCAACAAACAUAAUCUAGCUCUCUAAGAGCAUAUAUCAAAUUUCAGUCAAAAAAUUACUAUGACUAUAGUUUUCCUGAUCACAUAUUCUUAGGAUCAUCUAAGGAGAUACACUGUCUUAAACUCAUGAGAUAUCAUGGUGCCUAUUUUGAAAAUACCUAUUGCCACCUACCUUAAUGAAUAGUGGCCUAAUUAGUAGGACAUAUAUGGACACCUUAAGGUCUCACCCAUAGGUUGAAGUCAUUGAAGAGCUCAUAACUAGCUUAAUAUUCUCUUAAGGUUAAGAGUUUAUGCAAUAUAGUAGCUUAGUGAAUCAUGAUUACCUGAUAGCCAGUGUCAUGAUUCACCAUAGGUCUUGUCCAAUUUAUAAUCAUACAUACUGGUGCACUCACCUUGAGAAAAUCAUCGUGAUGAUCAAGACAAGUCAUCCCUUUAAUAAAGAGGUAGUGCACAACACUAUCUAAUAGAUUAUCCAAAUUCAUGAACCAAUUGUGAACUGGUUAUCAUUUUUCAAGGAACCCAUAACUUAAAUCUUCUAUGUAACUGCUAAUGCACUCAAAUCACAUACAAUGCAAGUAAUAGGGAUGUGAAUGCUCAAGUAAAAAUUAAUGCAAAUGAGGAUAAAAAAAGGGAAUUAGAAUCAUAAUAAAUAAAUUUAUCAAUGAAACUUUAUUUUCUUACAUCAUAUCAUGCUUUCAAGGGAUCUAUUCUAAAAAUUAUAGCCCACUUUCUUUAGAAUGGUCUACAUCACUUAUUUAAGAAUUUUUUAUAUAUCAUAAAAAAAAACCCCAACUAUCUAUCAUUCAAAAUGACUUCAAAUAAGAUUAAUUAUCUAAAUAAAAAUUUUAAGUUAUUUAUGAAAUACACAUUGCACAAUGUUUGUAUGUUAAAUAUCUAUAUCUUAGAAAUCAAUAGACAAUCUCUAAUUUAUAAUUCAAAAUGACAUGUACAUGAAUUCCCUCAUUAUGACAACUACAUUACCUUUUAUUUCAUAAAAAUGCAAGAAACAAAUAGAGAUUAAAGUAAUGCAAAAGAAUAAUAAUAAUAAUAAGAUAAAAAAAAUUAUAAAAUUGAUAGAAUUUCCAAUAAACACUUCAAUUCACAUCAUAAAUAAUCCUAUACUUGUUGAGAUAAAGCUCUUAAAAGCAUGACAUGAUGUAACAAUAGUUGGAUUUCAUUAGUAGUAAUAUUACGAUUUUGGUUCUCCUUUUACUAUACGGUUUAUACAUUAUUUAUGUUAAGUAGUUUAGUUUGAUAUCUUUUGCAUUAUACAUGAGUUGAAUGUUUUAGGACUUGCAUGGAAGAUCCAAGUCAUGGGUUUCUUGCAAGUAGAUGAUUUGGUCAUAGUUUAUUCAUGGACUUAGGCUAUCAAUUUGAGACUAUUGUGCAUUACCUCAUAAUUGGAAGGAUGACUAGUCUUGGUCAUUAGGAUGAGUUUCUCAUAGUGAGUUCACUAGUGUAUAUGGUUACACAUUGGAUAAGACCUACAAUGAAUUAAAACAUUUGUUUUUGAAUACUUAUGAUUCACCAAGCUACUAUAUUGCAUUGACUUUCAAACUUCAGAGGAUAUUAAGCUUGUGCUAUAGUCAUUAGGAGGCUUUGACCUAUGGGUGAAACACUAAGAUGGUCAUAUAUUCCCUAUGGAUAGACCAUUGUUGAUGAAAGCUGGUGGUAAGAGGUAUUCUCAAUAAAAACAUCAUAAUAUCUCAUGGGAUUGUGAUAGUGUAUCUCCUUAGGUGAUCUUAAAUGUGACCAUAAAAUUUGUGGUUAUAGCAAUUUCUUAGUGGAAUUUGGCAUAUGUUAUUAUGAGCUAGAGUAUCUUAGUUGAUUAUAUAAUGAGAGGAUCUAUAACUCAAGGAUUGAAAAGGUAAUCUUGAGAGAUUAAUAACAUAUACCUUAUUAGAUUAUGGACACCAUCUUAUGGGGAGUCUACAUAUAAUGGAUAGUAGGUUAUGGACUUGAGUUGUAUCUCAUUGUAAUUUCAAAGGAUACUAGAGUGCAAUUAACUCUUUGUAGUGAAAUGUUGGGUGAUUGAAGCCAAAAUAUGUGCUCCAAUGACAUAAAUAUGAUAUGAUUUAUAUAAUAUAAAAAGUUCAAAUCAUCCAACUAUGGACCUGUAUUUUUCACAUGCACCCCCACUUGAUCGGCGAGACUUGCUUUUAUUUGUGAAAAAUUAGUUUUUGGAAAAAUGUUGGAGUCACCACUUAUUUUAUUUUAUUUUAAAGGGAAAAUAAAACAAGAAAUAAAACCCUACAAAAUGACUCCAUAGUUUUUGGAAAAACAUGUCUUUGAAAAACUUGAGUCUAGGUCCGGGGAUCAGGUUACUUAUUGGGAAGGUACCUCUAGGAGGUAGCACCCCUUUAAGCCCUACAAAGGUCUCUACUAACUACGUUGAGGGAACUGUGGCAAUCAACUGAUUAAUUGAGGGUACCUAGAUAGGCUAAGGUGAUCUCAAAACUAGCAUGUCAAACAAGAAAAACCAAUCACGCUCAUAAAGGAGAGUUAGGAUGCAUACCUAGACCGUUCCUUAAGCGCCAUCAAAAGACAUCAAAGUUAACGUAGAAAGAAAUAUAGCACACGACCUGCAUUUUAUCAAAGCAAAUUGAACAGACAUCUAGACACCCAAGGAUGGAAUAGAAUAUAGAUAUGGUUCACAACAACAUGCAUGUUCAUAAAAUUCCAAAAAAACAAGUAAUAGAGAGCGUACCUGGAUAGCAUGCAUGAUUCAUAAGAUUCCUCCAAAAAUGCUAGAGUGGUUAGGACAAGUAUAAAUUAUGUAACAUAUUCAUAGUGUCUAACAUACAGUACUAAAACUAAGCCAAGAUAACUCAAAUGACCCUAAAAAUAAAUAACAAAUUUAGGCAAAAUACAAGGAUUAUUAGCAUGCAAUUAGUAAAGAGAGCAUAAGAAAACAAUUUCUAAAAAAACGUCUUGGAGUGGAAUUUAAUCACAAAAAAAAAAUUAGAAAACAACUCCUACACAUCUAAAACGAGAUACCCAAAGCCAAACACUCAUUCGAAUAACAAAUUGCAGCAAAGACACCCGAAAAUUCCAAAAAGUCUAGAUUAAGUAAGAAAAUCUGUCAUGCAUAAACGAAUUUUUUUUUAAAUAAUAAUAAAUGAUCACAUAAAAUCAUAAAAAAAAAAAAAAAUCAUACACAUAUUUCAAAGUUUCUAUAUCACAUAAAAAAUGAAUCUGGGGUUAGAUAGUACUCAAAAAUAUUUUUAAGACACUCAAGCUAAUUAGAUGUCCAGAAUUUAGCAUGCAUGACCGAAAUUCUCUAUUGUACCAAAAUACUUAGCCUUUUUACGUAGUAACUCUGGUAAAGAAAAACUAGAGAAAGAGUCACUAUGACUAUUGUAGUAUUCCGGGUAUCGUUUUCAAGGACUGACUUAUGAAAAUUGUCAAUACUAGAAUAAAUGAAUUGUUUUUGUUUAAAUCCUUAAGUGAAAAACAAUAUGUGAAUAAUGUGAAACUAAGUAAAAGAAAUUGAAUUAAUAAGAAAAAAAUGAAUAUUGAUUUUAAAUUCAAUUGAUUCAAGUUUGGGGUUUUGCACAAUCCAACCUAGGGUAUAGAAAUUAGAGAAAACAAGGGUAUUUUAAGUAAUAUGAUCUUAGGGUUUUGGGAUCCUUGGCCACUCGCGAUCAAGUUGAGUUCUAUAACUCAAAAUUGCAUCCGAAACCUAAUUUUUUUUUAUUUCUAAAACAGAUUCCUAAAACCAUCAAAUGAAUGAAAUUGAUUAUCAAUUUAAGAUUUGGCUUUUUAACCUUUCCUACUCCUUAUAGCUUUGUUUAGGGGCAAAUAACGAUAAGUAAGACGGGGAUAACUAAUGAUCAAGAAUUACCAAGAAUCACUAGUAUCAAGUAAUAACCUAUCGUAUCAUUCCCUAAACGAACUCACAAGGAUAGGAUAAAAAAAAUGAUAAAUUGUCACCCAACCAAUAAUUAAUCUCAUUGUUAUAAUAAUUUAUCCAUUGUCCCUAUAGGUUUCCUAGCCCUUAGGUUUUCAUGCUUCAAGCCCCAAGUUGGCUCUCAGCCUCUCAUGGGGGUGAUGUUACAUUCACAAUCCAUAAUAGGGUAAAAAUCCAUAAUUUGAAUAAAAAGAAACUAAAAACAAUAUAUUCAAUAAAGAAGAAAAAGAAAACAAAACAAAGUUCUCGUCUUUUUUCACCUUCAAUGUCAAACUCUCCAAAAAAAAAUCCAAGAUCCCUAAAACCUAGAAUUGAGAGAGUUUAUAUAAUAUCCUCAAUUACCUAACAUGUGACACACUCUCAUUGGCCACUUAUUACAAAAUAAUUUCCUAAAAAUGAUUAAAAAUAAUAAAAUGGUGAUUUCUAGUCAUGUGGGGUCCAUAUAGGGCGGAUGGAGUGCUCUAGAUGCAAUUCCCGAGGUAGAUGAGGUGAAACAUCAAAGUGGCAGUGGGUGAAUUUGAAAUUAGUGUCAUUUCAAAAUGGAUUUUGAAUUCAUAAGUUGAAUUUCGAGAUCAUAAGUUGAAUUUCGAAAUCAUUUCGAAAUGACCCUCCAGCUUGGUGCAGUUGUCUGCAAAUGGCCAUAACUUCUUCAUUUCAGCUCCAAUUUGCACACCGUUUGAAGCGUUGGACUCCUGACUUCCCGAGCUUCAAAAAGAAUAUAUAGUAUGUAUAUAAUGGGCUCCAGAAAGUGCUCUAAAUUUGUCCUCAAAGUCAGAGUAUAUAAUGCCAUUAGAUUUUUGAGUUCUAAAUUUCCAUGCAGUUGAAUCUUGCUUCAUGCCUCAUUUCCCAUGCUUUCUUUCCUUCUUUCUUACUCCAUAAUGGUCAUUUCUCAUCUUCCAAACUCAUGAUAUCCUCGUCUUGCCUUUGAUUGCGUUCCAUGAGUCUUGACUCUCUUAUUUCCUCAUUUAGCCCUUUCUUGACCUUUCAAAAUCUAAAGUCAUUCAAUUUGCACCAUUUUCUUCCCUUGAACCUGAGAUAAGUCUCCAAAGUACAAAUUAAACUCAUGGCUAGGGCCUUAGCAUUGAUUUAGGUCAAUUUAGAUGAUUUGAAUGUCCUUUGGUGCACAAAUCAUAUCGCAUAUGUGCCAUUAGAGCACAUAUUUUGGCUCUAAUCAAUAGACGAUAGGCAUGACUUUGAAAAAUCACAUAUUCCUCAAUAAGGCAUAUUUUUUUUUAAUAUUUUAUGUGUCUAAUAUCAAUUUCAAAAGGCCUAGAAUUGAGGAAAAAUUUUGAAUCAAAUUUAAAAAGUCAUCUGGUAUUUUAUUUUUGCAAAAAACUCUCAGGUGUCCAGAACUGGGUGAAAUUAGAGCCCCCCUAAAGACUUGUUUAUAUCUUCUAUUCCAGAGUGACUUUCUAACUCAAACGAAACUUUAAGUUCAAGUUCGAGAAGUGAAGUCAUACAAGUUUUGGAAAAUUUUUAAAAACUUUCUAAAGUUCCUAAAACAAAUUUUCAAUCUAAAGGGUCAGUGGCUGAGUGAAAACUGGUAGCAAGGAAGAAUUUUGAAAAAUUUUCUUACUACGGGUUUCACCAAUUCCCCAAUUGAUAUACACAAAUCUAGCUUAGAAUCAUCCCAUUUAUUUGGGACCACAAACUUUGAUUCAUGUUUUGUUCAAAACUAAAAUUUUCAUUGAAAACUAGGAAGAAUGCAAACCGAAAAAAAAAAAAGGAUUGCAUAUUAUUUAAAAAAAAACGAAAUUUCGAUUCUAAGGACUCUAAAUGAAUUUUUAAAAUAGAUUUUUAUGAUGAACAUUUUGAGAAAAAUAUCUUAUUCUAAAAUAAAAGAAAUUAUUUUGAAAAAGACAACACAAUGUAUGAGACAAAAAAAUCAGGCAAAACAAAAGAAAACAAAAUCACCAAGUAGAAAUUUUGAUAACCCAAAAAAAAAUUGAAGUGGUGAGAAUGGAGGCCAAUCUUCAUUAUUUUUCGAUGGCCUCCGAAAAGUAAAUUUUACCAAAGACUACCUAAACAAUAAACUAUCCAAGCUCAAAUCAAAUAAGCUAAAUACCCACCAAGAAUUAAUGACUAAUAUUCAAGAAAUAUAUCAAUUAAGAGUAAUAAUCGAGAAUUAUCACAAGAUCAAUUAAACAUAUAAACACAUCUAGACCAAUUAAAAUGGACCAAAUCAAAUCGAGACAAACAAUAAUUUUCAAUCAUAAAAUUAAUUUUUUUAGUGAACUAAUAUUAUAGAAAAUACCCAAACUGAAUAGACGAGUGAAGUUAAAUUAGAAUAAACUAAGGAUAUGUACCUUUGAAUAUAAAAUUAAUUUUAUUAAUAACUUGAAAUUAUAAAAACACCUAAAAUAAUUAAAAUGAAUCAAUUUAAAUGAAAGCAAACUAAAAACAAAAUAUGAAUUCAGGGAAUCUACUCUUUAAAUAAACUUACAUUAUUAAAAUGAAAUCUAGGCUUAAAUAUAUAUAUAUAUAUAUAUAUAUAUAUAUAUAUAUAUAUAUAUAUAUUAACACUAAUAAAGGCAAGUCUAAAAUCAAAUAUUUAACACUUAAUAUUAAUUAUUUUAACCAAAAAAAUUUUUACAAGAGCACCUAAACCUAAAGUUAAAUAAAAACACUAACCAUAAUAUAUUUUAAAACGAGAUCUCUAACCUAUAGAAUUAAUUUUAUUUACAUAUGGAUAAAUAGACAACACAUAAAUAAAUAAUAUAAUUAAUUAAAAAAAACAUGAAUUAAUGGAAUCAAUUUUCUAAAUAAACUUAUAUUAUAAAAAUGAAAUCUAAGCUUUAAAUGAAUUAAACACUAAUUAAAGCCAAUCUAAACUUAAAUUCUUAACACACAUGAUCAAUUAUUUUAACAAACUAAAAUUUUACCUUAACCAAAAAUUAAAUUAUAAAAUUACCUAAGACUAAAUUUCUAACCUAUAAAAUUAAACUCAUAAUCAAAUGGAUAAGCUGAUGACACAGACAAAUAAAUAUGAAUGAAAUAAAAUAUGAAUGAAAUGAAAUACGAACUCAAGGAAUUAAAUAAUUUUUUUUUAAUAAACUUACAUUAGUAAAAUAAAUUUGAGCUUAACAAACAUUUUUAUCACUAAUUAAGGCAAGUUUAAAAUAUAAUACUUAACACAUAAAAAUCAAUCAUUUCAACAAACUAUAAUUUUAACUAAACCUAAAGCCAAUUCAAACCACCUUCAACAUAUUUUUUUUCUUUUUUAUUUUAAACUAAGUUUUUAACCCAUAAGUUCAAUCUCAUUAAUAAAUAAAUAAAUAAAUAAGUUACAAAGUAUUAGAUUAGUAGCAAAUAAAUAAAUAAACAACUAAUAAUUAAAUGGAUCACAACUAAACUAAAUAAAGAUCAAACUAUAUUCUUUUUUAUUUUUCAAAAGUAAAAAUUACAUGAAUUUUUAUUUUAUGAAUUUAAUAUAAUAUACCAAACUAAGCCUAAACACAAUUCUCAUUCUACCAUAUUAAAACAAAAAAUGUAUGUUGGAGCUAGUAAAUAAAGUCAAACCACACAAUAUAAUAAUAAUUCCACUAAAAAACCAAUCAAACUUUCACUGUAACAUGAAAACCCAUAUAUAUAUAAAAGUUAAAUGUUGUCAUAUUUAAAGAAAUUCACGCUGGAACUAGUAAUGUUAGUCAAACAACACAAUAUAAUAAUAAUUCCGCUAAAUAAACCAAUCAAACUUUCACUGCAACAUGAAAACCCAUAUAUAUAUAAAAGUUAAAUGCUGCCAUAUUUAAAGAAAUUCACGUUGGAACUAGUAAUGUUAGUCAAACAACACAAUAUAAUAAUAAUUCCACUAAAAAAACCAAUCAAACUUUCAUUGUUACAUGAAAACCCAUAUAUAUAAAAAAUGACUCACCUACCCAGUUUACCAAAACAAUGGUAUGUAGAUAUUUUCUCCAAUGUGCUAGGGAACAAUGGUAUUCUGGUAUGUGUUUUCAGUGAUACAUGAGUGGACGUGUGGGUCCAAAUGUCACAUCCAUUUUUUCUUCAAAAUCCUUCCGUCCUUCCCUCUUUUCUGGUGCGUGCUGAAUACACCUUAAGAAUGAUGCGGCUAGAAGCGUGUCAAUAUUGGUGCAACUGGUUGGUCUUUCCUUCCCCAAAGGUGUCACAUUCUCUUCUCAAAGAAAACCAACCAACCUCCGCUCUCAAAAACUCUUUUUUUUUAUCCCCUUUAACAACAACUUUCUGCUCUAAAAAAAAACUCCUUGCACCGAUCCAUCAAAAUGGCACUCUCUUACGUGCAAACCCUCUUCUUACUGAUCCCUUCAAAAUGACACUCUCUCACACUAUCAAAACCUCUCUCUCAUCCCAAAACGACAGUCGAGUGAUCCCCAAAAGAAACUCAGCAGCAGCCCGGUGUUUCUUCAAAAAUCCUUCAGCAGCAGUCCGGUGAUCCUCCAAAAAGAAAAAUCAUACUCUCUCACACUGUCCAAAACCUCUUUUUAUCGAUCACUUUUAAAAAAAAAAACCCACUUUCUCACGCUGUCCCACUCUUCUCUCUUGUAGAACGGAAGCCUCCUCUUUAUUUUCCUGCACAUUCAUUCCUUUUAUCACCCACCUUUCCAUAAUCGUCUUCUCCAUUACGCUCAAAAUUUUCUUUUUCAUUCUGAAUACAACCCUCCCCGUCAUCCACAUACAUGCAACACUUUCCCUUUUCUAUGCCAAACCGCUUUGGUAAGCUUCCUUCAAUCCCACAUUCAACUCCUUUCUCCAGUCGCGAUCCUAGAAGGAACAACAGCAAAGGUUUUCUUUCUCUAACCAAAAUGAGCUUUCAACCUUCCCAUAUUCAUUCUCAAUCUGUAGCAUGAUGAUUGGACCACCUUGCCAAAAGAAAAGUCUUUCCUCAUCCUUUGUGAAGUAGAAAGUAAAUGGUAAAAUAAAAUAAAAAAUAAAAAAUAAAACAAAAAAUCAUGUAGUUGAAAAUUUCAAAUUUAAGAUUAAAAUCAUGCAAUUAAAACUAAGAUAUCAAAUACAUUAAGAGAAUUAAAAUAUGAAGCUCAAGCAAUUUCCUACAAUUAAAGUAAAGUAAAUAUAUGAAUAUAUAUGAGAUACCAAUUCAUGCAAUAAAAAAAAAACUAAAAUCUCGAUUCUCAUGCAAUUUUCUAAAAAAGUGAAUAAGUAAAUGAAUAAAACUAAUAAAUGAAUAAAUAAAUAAAUAAGUAAAAUAAGAAAAUCAAGCACAUGCUAAUCAUACCUAAAUGGGCUAGAAAAAGUCAAAGUGUGCCUAAAUGAAUCCAAGUGUACCUAAGUGGACCUAGGGUGCCUAAGUGGGCCUAAGAUGGUGCCUAAGAGGGCCUAAGGCGCCUAAACGGGCCUAGGUGUAUCUAAGUGAACCUAAAGUGCCUAAAUGGGCCUAGGUGUAUCUAAGUGAACCUAAGGUGCCUAAGUGUAUCUAAGUGAACCUAACGUGCCUAAGUGGGCCUAGGGUGGUGCCUAAUGGGCCUAAGUGGGCAUAGGGUGGUGCCUAAGUGUAUCUAAGUGAACCUAAAGUGCCCUAAUGGGUCUAAGUGUAUCUAAGUGAACCUAAGGUGCCCAAGUUGGCCUAAAGCACCUAAGUGGGUUUAGGGUGGUGCCUAAGUGUAUCUAAGUGAACUUAAAGUGCCUAAGUGGGCCUAGAGUGGUGCCUUAGUGUAUCUAAGUGAACCUAAAGUGCCUAAGUGGGCCGAGGGUGGUGCCUAAUGGGCUUAAGUGUAUCUAAGUGAACCUAAGGUGCCUAAGUGUAUCUAAGUGAACCUAAAGUGCCCUAAUGGGCCUAAGUGUAUCUAAGUGAACCUAAAGUGCUCAAAUGGGCUUAGGGUGGCUAAGUGAGCCUAAAGUGUCCUAAUGGGCCUAAGUGUAUCUAAGUGAACCUAAAGUGCCCAAGUGGGCCUAGGGUGGCUAAGUGAGCCUUAGUCUGAAUUAGGGCUGCCAAGAGUCACAAUGGGGUUAAAUGAAUCCUUCAACCAAAGUCCUUAAGGUGGCUUAGAAAAGAUAGGUUAUAUGAGUAGUAAUGGGCCACCAGGGAAUUGCUAUGAAAGGCAUGUGCUAGGAGGAGAAAAUGAAGGGUCUACACCAACUUAACUCAAAUUGAUGCUAAGACCUUAGCUAUGGAUUUAACUUGUAUUUUGAGCUUAAUUCCAGGUUUAAGGGAUGAAAAGAAUACUAAGUACAAAUUUCAUUCUCAACUAAGGGAGUAGAAGAGGUUAAAUAUGCAUAAAUAAGAGACUUCAGACUUUUGAACCAUGAAGAGUUCGAGUAAGGGCAUAAUAAGCAAGUUAUAGGCAUGAAAUACUAGUAAUAGAUAUUAUGAAGUGAGAUAGAUGGUAAGCAACCAUAAUGGAGGAGGUUUGAAGCAAAUGCAAUCAAGUUCACAUGUUGGAACUCAAAAUUUGGUUGUAACAUGUACUCUAAAUUCGAGGUGAAAUUUGGAGCACUUCUUAAUGUCAUUUUUGCAAUUCUAUAUAUGGUUUCAAACCUUGGGAAGUCAGGAGACCAAUGCUUCAAAUGAUGUGUGAAUCAAACUUGAAACAAAUAAGUUAUGUGCAUUAAAAGCACACUAGUAGUGGGUGAGUUUGAAUUCGACACUUUUCCUCCACUUAUGAGUUUGAAAUUGAUUUAGAACUUACCCCAAUUUCAAAAUUAGCAAUUGCUGAUUAAGUUUUAAGCUUCAAAACAUGUUAAAACAAGUUCCAAUACCUCUAUCCGAUUCGAAAUGUAUGAUACUCAUUUAGAACUCAUAAUAUUUAAAUUCUUUUAAGUUAUUUAUGACUUUUUUUUUUGUAAUAAGUGGUCAAUGGAAGUGUUCCACAUGUUAAGUUAUUGAAUUUAUUAUAUAAACUCUUUUAGUUCUUGGUUUAAGGGGAAGGAAAAGGAGAAAGAGCGUAAAGAAGGAUAUUGUUCUCUCAUCUUGAAAGUCUUUUAUAAAGUUUUUAAGGGUUUUUUUUUUCCAUUUUUCUAUUUUAUUUUCUUGGCAACCAAAUAUGGGUUGUGAGGAGAAAUCCUCCACUAUGUUUGGCUAACUUGAUUGAUCCAGAUAUGCUAACAUGAAAGUGAAUAGUCCAAAAAAGAGUAGCAAGAAACGAUAAUGUAUGGAAUGAUUUGGUUUUGUUUUCAAGUUUUAAUUGGUAAGAAUAAAUCCUUUAUGUUAGAUCAUCCUAGAUAAAUUACAAAGGAUUCUUAUCAAGAUACUAAUGAUUCUUGGGAAGACCUUGAUUACUAGUUACUAUAAUUUAAUCCUAUUGUUAAUGAAUCUAAGGGUCAAAUCUACAAAGAUGGAUAUGAGCUUUUUAUUGGAUAAAAUUGAAAAUCAAAAUUAACCAUCAUCUCUAUUUGGUUUAAGAAUUAUAAUAAUGAGAUUAAUGACUAGUUGAGUUACAAAUUAUAAAUAUUUAGUCUUAUCCUUAUGAGUUAUAUUAGGGAAUGAUAUGGAAGGUUAUUACCUGAUGCUAAUGAUUCUUAAUAACUCUUGAUUAUUAAUUAUCUUAGUCUUCCCUAUUGUCAUUUGCCCCAAAACAAAGCUACAAAGAGUAAGAAGCGUUAAAAAGUCUAACCUUUAACCAUUAAUUAAUCUCAUUCACUUAAUAGUUUUAGGAAUUUGCUUUAAAAAGGAAAAAUCUAAGUUUCGAAUUCAAUAUUGGUCUUAAGAUUCAAUUUGGUUCCAGAUUGACUUUGAUCCCAAACGUUAGAUUUUAUAAUGCUUUUUUCUUUAAAGAUUUGACAUUGAGUUGUGAAACUCUUCAAAACAUUCUUUCUUUUGUUUAAUUUAUUUCAUUUAAUAUUUUAAGAAAUCUUUAUUCAUAUUUUAUCCCUAUUUAUUUAUUUAAGAUUUCAAUAUCUUUAGCAAAAAAUUAAUCAUUUUAAUCUAAAAACAAAUAAACACAUUAGAGCUGACCUAAAGGAUGACAACCUAGAAUACUACAAAGUUGUGGUAACUUUAUCUUUAGUUUUUCUUUACCAGAGUUAUCACAUAAUUAUGUUUUAAAAUUCUGAUUACAAUAGAGAUUUGGAUCAUAUAAAUGGUUGGAUUGGAUCAUAUAAAUGGCUUUUUUGAAGUAAGCAAAUUAAUUCAUUAGAGCUCAUUAGAUUUAAUUAAUUAAUUAGGAACUAAGAGAUUUAUAUUAAGUGACCUAACCCCAAACUAGGUCAACAGAGAAGCCUAUAUAAACCUCCUUAGGGGUAUAGAGUUUAACUUUUGCACUUUUGUCUUUUAAACUCCAAAGAGAAACCUUAACCUCCCCUUCUAGAGAGAAGACCACCUAAAUGCAAAAUAAAAAAUAAAAAAAUUCAUUGCAUCAUAAUCCCAUUCCAUUUUACUGUAUUUGAUUGUACUCAAUCGAUAGAAGUUCUUUAAUGCCUAAAUCCUUGAGAGAGAGUGAUCAAGUGCAAGCUUGCUUGGUUAGCGAGGCUUGCGAUUCAUUCUACACAACUUCAUUAGAUUGGAAUUGAUUUGGGAAUACCCAAAUUACUGGUAUCUUUAUUCUCUCUAAAUCUAUAUUAUUUAUGGUUUUUAUUGCCAUGAGUUUUCUGCUAUGAUUAGAUCUAGAGAGCCUUAAGACUAGUAGCAUAUACCCUAAGCAAUCCAAGGCUAGUAAUGGAGAAAUCCAAAUAUCUCAAGAGUAAUCUCAUCCAAAUAUAAUUCCUUAUUUAGCAUUUAAAAUAAAAGUAAUAAUCAUUUAAAAUAAUAAAUAAUUUCUUUUUAUUUUUAAGAUCAUAAUUAUUUUAUAUAGCUUUUGAUGUUAAUAUAUAAUAUAUAAAAUAACUUUGAGCAAGACAUUUUGUCAUGAAAAAUAUAAUAUAAUUGUCAAGAUAAGUUUUGCUUAGAAAAGGUAGAAAUUAUUUUUCUUUCCACUUAGUCAUUAGCCAUGAGCUAUUAAAUAACUUCAUAUAUUUUUAAGUAAUAAAAAAUGUAAAAUAAUCAUAGCUUUUGAGUUAUAGCUUUUAGCUAUAAUGAGAUGUAGAAUAUUUAAUUUAGCUUUUGGUUUAAAAUAAUAUAAUUAUAUUAUAUUGAUGUUAUAUGGAGUCAUAAUUUUCAUAUAAUUUUUAGUUAUGAGAAAAUAUCAUAAUGAUCACAUAAUAACUUUGAAUAAUUAUCAUGUAGUUUUGACCAUGAGGAAAUAUUAUAACUUUGUAGUUUUUAUGUUAUAAAAUAAUUUUGAUAGAACUUUUAAUUAUGAAAUUAAACUUCCAAAUAUUUUUUUUAUGACUAUAAAAUAUAAAGUGAUUUUUAUAUAACUUCCAUGUGACAAAAGAAGUAGAAUAUAUAAUUUAUGCAAAGCUUUAGGUAAGAUAAUAUAUAAUAUAAUUUCUCUACAACUUCUGAUUGUAGAAAAAUAUAAAUUUAUUAUUUUUCAUAUGUUAUUGGCAAAGAAUGAAUAUGGUGAAGACAAAUUCUCUAUUUUCAAUUAUAUUUAAUAGUUGAAUGAUUAAAUGCUACUUGUACAAAGGUAUAUACAUAAAAAGUAAAUAAAAUAAUAAGCAAACAAGGAAACUAAAUAAAAACAAAUAAAGAAACAAAUCAAAAUCAAAUAAUGGGUUAAUAUCAAGGAGAAGAUUAAGGGAAAGAAUCAAGUCAAUAUGUUCAAUAUCCUUCCCCAAAGAUGGCAUGUGAAGAUCAUGAAUACCUAUAUUUGAAAGUAAGCCCCGGAAAAAAUCUAUACCAAGAGAUUUCAUGAAAAUAUCAACUAAAUGUAGUUAUGACCAAAUAAACUAAGUAUAAUGUGUAGAGUUACCUUGUUGUCACAAUAUAAAUGCAUUGGUUAAGGGUAAUGAAUUCCAAAAUAUGCAAGAAAAUAAUGUAACCAAGUAAUUUCACAGCAAAUGGUAGCCAUUGCAUGAUAUUUUUCUUCUACCGAUUAGCAUGAUAUUGUUGAUUGCUUAAUUUUUAGUUUUCUUGGAUAUUGAUGAGCUACCAAGUAAAUUACAAUACCUUGUAAUGAAACGUUGAGAAUCUGGACAAUGGACCUAAUCAAAAUCAUGGUAGGCAUGUAAUUGAAUAGUGCUAGUGGAAGACAAAAGGAUUUUUGAACCUUGAUGAUUCUUUAAAUAGUGUGGGACGAAUGUAGUUGUAAGAUAAUGAGACUACAUUACUUUAUCAAGAAAUUGACUUAGAAUUUGAACACGAUAAGCAAUAUCAAGCCUUGUUACUGUGAGAUUAAGCAAUCUUCCUAUCAAACACAUAUAAUAAGAAGCAUCUAAAAAAGGUUCUCCAUUUAAUUUACUUAAUUUCAAAUUUUGCUCCAUGGGAGUUUUUAAAGGAUAGACUUAAAUAAUUUCCAUUUUAGGAUGCAUGCCACUUCAAUGCCAAGGAAGUACUUUAAAUUUCCAAGAUAUCUUAUUUUGAAAUUGCUAUGUAGAUUUUCCUCGAUCAUCUUAAUUCCUUCAAGUUCGUUCCUUACAAUGAUUAUAUCAUCAACAUAGACAAGAACGAUUGUGAAAGAGCUAUUUGAGGCUUAAGUGAAUAAGAAAUAAUUUGCCUUGGAUUGAUUUUGAUUUGCAAACAUCAAUGUUGUGGAUAGUUUGACAAACCAUUGUUGUGAAGCUUGCUUGAGGCCAUAAAGGGAUUUUUGAAGUUUGCGAACCAUGUUUUUAGUUCUUGAUUUCUUGAAACCUAGUGAAGGUUGCAUGUAUACCUCUUAAUAAAACAUUAUUGAUGUCAAAUUGGUGAAAAUGCUAAUUUUAAAUUGCAACAAUAGCAAGUAAGCAACACAUGGUUGUGAUCUUUGCAACAAGUAUGAAAGUCUCUUGAUAAUCAAUUCCUCUUGCUAAUUAUAGCCCUUGGCUACUAAGCGAGUUAUGUAAUAUUCAAUGCUACCAUAUAGAUUAUGCUUAACUUUACAGAUCCACUUGCAAGUUGUUGCCUUUUUAUUUUGAGGCAAAGGUGUAAGAGUCCAUUUUUUAUUCUCAUCCAAUGUUUAAUUUCUUUUAUCAUUGCUUUUGUCUAGCUUGCAUCAAGCAUUGCCUGUUGAAAUUUUUUUGAUUUUGGAAUAAACGAGAUUGAUGUUAUAAAGGAACAAUGAUACGAAGAAAAUUUGUUAUACAACAAAUAUUUAUUAUUCAAAUGCUGAAAGACUUACAAGAUCUGAAGAAGAUGACCUUUGACAUAAUGGAUCAUAAAUGGUCAUCCUGCAAUGAUAAUCACUAAGAUAAGAUGGAGGAUGAUACUCAUGAGUUGAUUGGCGAAUUUGUUGUUGUAGGGAGGAUGCCUAUGAAGAAGUAUUGUCUAUGGGAGGUGAUGUUGAAAAGGGUCGCAAGUGUUAUCAACCUCUAUGUCAAUGUGUUCAUUUUGUUCAACACUAGGAUAUGGUAGGACAAAUUGGUUAGAAGAUAAGCGCAUGGGUUAUGUGAAGGAAAAACACUCAUGAAAUUAGAUAUCUAUAGAAAUAAAAAAAAAUUUAGUGUCUAUAUUAUAUAACUUGUAUCCCUUUUGAGUAUAUGGGUAGCCAAGAAAAAUGCAACGUAAUGUCGUGGUGUUAAUUUUUGUUGUUGAUGUACUUAUGUUGGUAGCAUAACAUAAACAACAAAAAACCUUCAGAUUUGAAUAGGAAGGGAUUAAUCCAAAAGGCAAUCUAUGAGGUGUUUCACUUGAAAGUAGAGUGGGGUUCAAUUUAUAAGAUAGGUUAUAGUUAAGAAACACUCACCUUGAAAGUAAAUUGGAAGACUUGUUUUAAAAUGUAAGACUCAAGCAACACUAAGUGUCCAUGUUUUCUUUCUAAAACACCAUUCUAUUGUGGAGUCUUAACACAACUUGUUUUAUGUGCUUCAGGGUACCAUUCAUCUUGUUCCUGUUUCCUCCCCGGAUCACUAUGCGGAUAUCUUCACCAAAUCUCAUUUACCCCUUAGCCUUCGUACUCUUGUUGGCAAACUCCACAUGGCUGAUACAUUACCAUCUUGAGUUUGAGGAGGGAUGUUAGUAUUAUUAGCUCCACCAUUUAUUCCUUAAUUGUAUCCACCAUUUACUUAAUCGUAUCCUUAAUUGUAGCCUAAUUCCUUACCCUUAUUUCCUUAGUUCUACUAUAAAUAGGCUAGGAUGUAAACUUGCUGAACACAGUAACAUAAAACAUUCAUUCAUUCUCUCAAUUUCCUUUUCUGCAUAUUUUGGUAACACUUUUAAAUCAAUCCAUAGAUCUCUUGUUGUGUUUACAUAAAUGGUAUCUCCUACAAGUUCUUUGUUGAUGGUGUUCACGGUCCAUGAGGCAACCAUGUUAUGGAUCCAUAAAAAAUCCAAACUUGUUCUUUGCAUUGAGAGCCUUAAUCAUAGCUCUGCGCUACAUGGUUUAAUUUUCACCAUUUAAUAGUGAAGAAACCAAAAUCACACCAAGAUUAUCUGAAAGAUGCAAAAAGAAAACAUUCUUAAUAUUAUUCUUAGCAUCCUUUAUGGUGUUUGUUCCGAAAGUCAAAACAAUAGAUACUGAAAAGAAAAAGAAGGUAACUAGGAGCCAAGAUUAUUAGGCCUCAAGAGUCAUAUGUGACUCAUACCAUGUCAAAGAGUGAAUAUGAUAGAAACAAAUUCUUUAUUUUCAUUUUUUUUCAAUUUUUGAAUGAUUACAUUAGUUUAUAUAUUAUUUAUUCGAAGGUAUAUCCUUGGAAAAUAAAUAAAAGAAAUAAGAAAAUAAGAUAAUAAAGAAACAAAUUAGAAUCAAAUGAUGGGUUGAUAUCAAGCAGGGGAAAGAAUCAACUCAAUAUCUUUAAUAUGUUGUGAAAAACCACAAUAAAGAAUAAUAAUAGGGGAAAAAAAAUAAGAGAAUGAAAACAAAAACAUACAAAACAGAAUAAUAUACGUGAUUCAGUUUAAAGCCUACAUCGAUAGAUAGAAAUAAAAAAGAACUUUCAUUAUUAUUGAAGGAGAUUACAACCUAGAGCUCUUAAAUCCGGUCUACGUCUCAAUUACACCCAACAAGAGAUUCUCACCAUUUUUAUCAAAAUUUCUUCCUACAUUUUUUUUUUCUAAUUACAUAAGAAGAUUUUAUACGGAAACUUUCCUAAGUGUAUCAUAGUCUUUAAUAGUUAGGAUGAUCAAACUAGUUUAAUGUAUCAGAGUCUUUAAUAGUUGGGAUGAUCAACUAGUUUACCCUUCUCUUUAGUUUAUUUUAAGGGUUAGGUGAGAUGCACAUGCAGGACUGCUACCAUUACCAACUCCCCUUCUGACUCCUGUUGACUUGUCGGGCCUCCAAUCACCAUCACCUAGAAAAAGGAAGACAAAUUAAGAAAAUGUUGCAUGCUGAUCAAGUCUGAUGUCCUGUAAAAAUGUGCAACAUUUUUAAUUUAUAAACCAUACUUUAAGUAACAUUUUUUAAUUCAUUUCAUGAAAUUAACAAAGGUGCAUGGACCUAUAGGCAUCCACAUAAUGCGUAGCCCUUUUAUAAUACUUUCAACUCUAUUGAAUGCUGACUAUGAGCUGAUUCUUAAAACUUUUGUUCAAACCAUGUCUUAUCUUAAUUUUUUUUUUUUUUUUUAAAGAGAGUUUGAAAUUAUAGUCUUAGCUCCAUUUAAAAAUUGUAUUUUGAAACUAUGGUUAUAAUUUCUAUAGAGACUGCAUUUCCAAAAUACAGUUUCUAAUUAAUUUAAAUUAAAAAAAAGUAAUAAAAGCAUCAUUUAAGCAAUAUUAAAACACAUGGUUGGAUUGGGACGAAUUUGACCCUAAAUUCAAUCAUGUUUCUAAAAUAAAUUAUUAAAAGGAUAAUAAAACAAACAAAAAGCAACACCGAGUGGUCUCAAAGUCUUAUGCUUUCCCAACCAAUGUUGGCGGAGCAAAACAAGCUCACUGGAGAGACUAGAUUUCAUUGCAAAUGUAAGGCCCCAAGCCAUGUGCCCUUACCCAACUUCCACAUUAAAUACUGCCGGGCAUUCCUCGGAGUUAUUUUUUGUAUUGUUUUAUUUAUUUAUUUUAUUUAUAAAUAUGGGGAAAAAAAAAAGGAAAGGAUAUUGAAAUCAUACUUACUAAAGGCUUGUUUAGAAAUUGUUUUUUAAAAUAGUUAUAACAAAAAACAUAUAAAAUACAUUUAGUAAUCAAAAUCCGUAUUCUAGUUUCUAUUCUUAAAAAUAGAAAAUAUGAUAUUUUUUUAAAACAUUUUUUAGUUAUUUAUGUAAUUUUCACUUGUUUUUUAAGAGUUAUUUUAAGAAAUAAUUAUAAAAAAUAUUAAAAACAUUUUAGAUUUUCAAACCGAUUUUUAUUCUAUAAAAAUUAGAUAACAGUUCUAAAAAAACUAUUUUUCAUCAUUAUUUUUUAAAACAGUUGUCAAAUAGACCCUAAAGUUAAAAAAAAAAAAAAAAAAGUUGUAUGAUGUUUUCUAUCACAAGAAUUUGUUAGGUAAUUUGAAAUGUUGUUUUUGUAUUUUUACAUAUUUUUUAAAAAUAAUUUCCUAUAUUUUAAAAUAAUUUUUAUUAUAGUAUUUUAUUUUUAAUCGUUUUUAUAUUUGUAUAAUUGUUUUUAAAAAUCAUCUUUAGAAAACAUAUCAAAAUAAUUAAAUAUAUUUAUAAAAAACAUCAAGCUUUUAGAACAAAUCUCAAAAAAAAAAUAUUUAUUAUUAAAACAAAUAAUCAAACAUAUUUUAGACUGAAGGAAGACACAAAGCUCUUCUAUAUAGUAUACAACCUUUCAUCAGUAUUCUCUCUACCCAAGCGCUGUUACACUUUCUGCUUCCUCUCUGAUCAAGCCCAUGACUGGCCCUUACCCAAACCACCAACACUCCCAAUACCAUCCCCCUUAUGAACUCGGACGCCCAGUCCCUCAUAAUAAGGGAUCAGCUACUACCACGAACCAGAUCGCAUGGAAUCAAAAUGAUUUACUGCAGUGGAAAACCAGCUUCCAGAAGGAGAAUCAUUCCGGCGACACCGCGGAUAGCUCUCAUUCCCAUAGAGUCAGUCCUCCCCAACCCAAUGAUCCAAGGCUGCUUGUGCAGCUAGAAAAUCUUCGAACACUCUAUACAGAAAAGAGGGAGUUGUUCCAGAAGAUAUUUCCGGAGCUUGAUGACAACUUUGUGGAGUCUUUUAAGAAAAUCCGUGCAACUCUAUUGCAACUGAAAACGGAUCGUUUGAAAGUCCAGACCCUGCAAAGGAGCUUGAGCUUAGAUUCGCCUCGCACGCCUUCAACUAAAGGUGAUGAAUAUCCAUUGAAGCUGGAGAGAUUCAGAGUCAAGACUUUGGAUUUGAGUGGAGGGAUUCAACAGGAUGGCAAUGGCAAAACCAGCUCCAACUAAUGGUUCCAAUCUAGUAUAUGCUUCUGUACGAUGAUCAAUUAUUAUGUAAAUGGUGAUUUAACUCAUUUGAGAUGAUAAUUCUGCCCAAUAUUUAUCAAUCUAUGCGACUCUUUGAGCCCUGAUCGAUUGAGAUGCUUUUUUAGUUUUUAUUUUUAGUAGUAGAAGAAAUAGAAAUAAGAAUUACUAGGGCUAGAAUUCGUUUAAGAAAUCGUUCAAAACCAGGGUUUUUAUUUGAAAAUGCUAUUUAGAGUUCAUAUUGGUUGUAGGGAACUCUUUUAGUAAAAAUAAAAAAAUAAAAUAAAAUAAAAUAAAAAACCCUUUCCAAGAAAAAUCAAAUAUUUAAAAAAAAUUUUAAAAAAAAAUCAUUUAUAAGGGUUAUAAAAAUGUAUUUUAAUAGAUGAUUAUUAUAAAAAUGCUUAUAAAAAAAAUACUUUAAUUAAAAAUACUUCAAAUUAAAAUCCUCUCAAAUAUAUUCUUAAUAAAUUGAAAUAAAGAUUUUUUUCUUUUAAGUUCUCUAUCUUCUUUGCAUAUUGUUAACCAUUUCAAUAAAGAACUAACUAAUUACUUAAAAGGGAUUAAAUAAUCCCUAUAUUUGUUAAUUUAACAAUUUUCAUAUUUGUUCCAAGAAUAACUCAUUUUUUAUGUAAAUGUUAUUAAUUAUUUCAAGUAUUUACAUGUUUGUUUUAAAGAAAUUGUUAUUUUUAUAAUAAAAAAAUAAGAACAUUUUUAUUAAAAUAUGAUGAAAGAUUAGAUUUUCAAAAUUGAGUUUUCAAUUACCCUUUUGACCAAACAAUCAUUUAAUAAAAUGAAGGAUUAAUUGAUUAAAAAUGGAUGAAAAUAUUCCAAAUUUAUAAAACUAGCCUCUUUCAUUUUUGAACUUGAAGGGUAACCAAUUUUUUACAUAAAUACCCUUCAAUAUUUUCAUUAUUUAAAUAUGCACUUUAAAAAAAUGUUAUUUUUACAAAAAAAAAAAAAUGAGGGUAUUUUUAUCCAAAAUAGGCAUUUUUUUCUUUAAAAAAAAAUGUUAGAUUUAUAAUUUCACGUUUCUUUUAUCCUUUUAAUAUGUUAUCUCAAAAAUGAAUGUUUAUUUCUAAAUAAAAAUUUUUUAAAAAUAAAAAAAAAUAAAAAUAAGGCUUUAAUUUCAGGAUAAUCUUAAUUAAUGGGUUGAUGGGGAUAGCGUAAAUAUAUUAUAUAGGCAAGUUGGUGGUGGAUGUAAAACUCCACAAGUGGUAUUAAAUUAAUGCCAUUACCUUUCUGUGUAAAUAUUAGACAGAAGAUCUGGUUUCAGGCUUUGCUGUCCUCCAAUCAUUUACGAAUCUUAUUACUAAGUUAUUAUUUUUAAAAAUGAUUGAUUCUUUGACUUUCUUUAGAUUAGAUAAGAUAAAGAAUACCAAACAAGCCCUAGAGAGUGAGCGUUAAGGGAAGAAUGUGAAGUAGAAGAAGGAGCCUCUUCUUGACUUGUUAAUUAAUUUCAAUGAAGAAGAGAAAAUGGAGGGGUCCAUCACUGAAAAAAGUUUGGUUUUUCAAUUUUUAUUUCUUACAUUAAUUUUUCACUGGGUUGUGUUUGGUCGUUAGGAAAGUGGAAGAAAAGGAACAGAGGAGAACUUUCUUCCUAAUUACGCUUUUAUUUAUUUCCCCAAAUAGAUCUUUUGGUUGUCAAGGAACGGUUGGAAAAGGAUUUUAGUACUUGUUUGUAAGCAAGGAAAACGGUGGUUUGCCAAAAUUUCAAAGCAAAAGAACAACAUAUAAUGUUGACUUUGAUUUCUAAAACAUUUUUCAAAAAAAAAAAAAAGUUAAUUUGUUCUUAUAACCUGCUAUUCUUAAGCUUAGAAAAAGGAAAAAAAAAAAAGAAGAUAUGUUUGAUAAAACAAUUUUUUAUUUUCUAGAAUUAAAAAAAAAAACAUGUUUGACAACUAAAAUUUUUUUUUUUUUUUAUUUUUUGUUCUUAAAAACAGAAAAUAUGGUGUUUUCCGAUAAUAUCUUUUAAUUAUUUUUUAUAGUUUUUACUUGUUUUCUAAAGACUAUUUUAGAAAAUAAUUAUACAAGCAUGUAAAAUGAUUAAAAAUAAAGUAUUAGAUAUAAAAAUUAUUUUUGAAACAUAUUUUAAAAUAUUAAAAAACAUGUUAAAAACAUUUCAAGUUUCCAAAUGAACUUUUGUUUUAUAAAACAUAAAGAGACCAGUUUUCAAAAAUUAUUCUUAAAACUAUUUUUCAGAAUUAUUUUCGAAAGUAAUUACUAAAUAGGCCUUUUUUUUCUUUCAUUUUUCUUGACAGUCAAAGUAAGUUGAAAGUUUAAUUUGGUUGUUGACAAAUUUUGGAAUUUUUUUUUUCAUUUAUGUGCUUAUUUACUAAUGGUGAUUGAUUAGUGAUAGAUACUAUGAAUAUUUGAUUUUAUGAUAUGUAACAUUGCGUCAAAUGGAGAUUAUAAUUUUUCUUGCUUAUGUCUAUGUUAGUCUCGAUAUACUUCGUAUGUUCUUUCAAAUUUGAUGCAUUGGCUAUAAUUUUAGAAUUGUAGAGUAUCAUGUAUUCAAGUUAAUAUUAAGUUUGAGAUACUUUAUGGAUCUUGACUCUUAAUAAGUAAUGGUUGCAUUUAGUAUAAAGUGUGUCUGGCACGCAAUCUACACAUUAAUGGGUGAGUAAAUGCGUGAAGGACAGUUUGGCGCCAAUCUUGUUGAAUCUGUAUAAGAUUUGUCCGUCUGACCCACUUUGGGACGAACCACUCACUUGGCCUUAGGGUCAUUGGCCAUACAGCUGAAAAUGAUCUUCUAGACUGCUUGCACUCUUGGACGCCAGUGAGAAAGUGAAGGACUUCGAGACAGCCUUGUAGAGAGGGUCCCACAAUGCUCCCCAAGUCUUGCAGUUAGGCCUGGAUAGGAAUCGGAUGGCCAAUUGCAAGAGUUGCUACCUUUGGAGAAUUUGAAAACAUGGGGCCAAGACCCACAUGUCCUAUGCUCAUUCGUCGUGGGGUCACGUCAAUCGAGGUAUUGUGUUAGGCGAUGCACCUCUUCAAAUAUCUUGAUCUUUGCAACCAUACCUUAUAUAGGUUGGUUGCUUUUUGGGAAAUGACUCAUUUCUUUGCCAUCAUUACUGUGGUUGUCUUUGUCUUUUCCUCAUCACCAACGACGCUUUGGGUCUUCACAACCACCAUCGUUGAUGGUCUGUUCUCAGUAAGACGACUCUGCUUUCACCACAACGCAAUCUACUAAGUAUGUAGUUCUUCUUCGAUCUUUAUUUUUGUGGUUUUUUUUUUAAUUGUUGAAUGCAUUCCGACCGCUGUUUCAGUUUAUGUUGCCCAUAAACUUCUAUCGAAAUCUAUUUUUAUGUUAGUUUGAUUGUGGUUUUGGAGUUUAUUUUUGUUUCCUAUUGGCACUCUGUUAAGUAUUGUAGCGUUUUUGGGCUCAGACGAGGAUAUUGCUUGGGGUUGUGACACAGUUUUGGCAUGACUUGCUCAGCAAGUCUUAUAUUAGGUCGUUUAGGGUUAGACAUCAUUUUAAGACAUCCCCAUGCUAACUAGUUAGCUCUUCUACCACGCAGGUGUUCAUUCAGCCCAUUGUUUCGUCUACAAAUAUGGACAGAAAUGGGGUCGCAUCCACAAUCAGCAAAACUCAGCGUGGCAAGGCUAAGUCAUCUCAGUCUAGCCAUUCCUUGACAGAACAUUAGAUUUACAAGUUGUCCAAGUAGGAAUUUUGUGUCUACUUCUACAUCUUGGACUUGAUUUCCAUCUAGUUAUCAAAUGGAGAGGCUUCCUCUACAGAUGAGCUUCCUCACAAUAUGGUUUACUUCACCAAAGAACAAUUUACAACAGGACUCCAAUUGCCAAUUCCAUCCUUAGUGAAACAAUUCCUACAUUUCUCCUAGAUUCCACCCGCUUUCAUUCAUCCCAAUGUCAUCCAGAUUUUGAUGAGAUGCAACAUCUUAGACACCUUGUAUCAGUUGGACUUGUCUUUGCUAGAGGUGUUGUUCAUUUACACCAUCAAGAUAAGCCCCAAAGAGUGCUUCAAUCUAUCAGCUCACAUCCCAUCGUUGUAGUUUGUAACUAGACUACCAUACACUAGCAAGGGUUGGGCCAAAGGACACGUAUUAGUGUCUGGCCCAUAAAGUAGAUCAACUAAGGGUUCGAACAAGUUAUUUAAGCCCACACGAUCCUUGGAGAUCCCAUGUAUUUAGUGAUUUCAUGACUUGUAUACUUCUUAUCCUUAUUUUCUCGUGAAUUCCAUCAAUAGGUGUUCUAUCUAUGUAGGCAAAGAUAGACAGGGCCACUUGGUUUAGGGGGUGGAGAAAUCAUCAUUCACCCAUCUCAACAAACUGUUAGAAAUUGACUAGGCUAAACAAAAUCACAGUAUGCUACUUAUAGUGAAGAAUUUGAAGGUUGUUCUUGCUCAUCCUAAGUCGUUCAUGAUCCCUCUCCUCCCAAGGCUAGUACCGUCGACUCUUGUGUCGGGCAAGCACUUCGUGUUAAAUGACCUAUCUUUCUACGAGGUUGCUCGUCUUGCUGACACCAAAGCAUAACAAACUCGUUUAGACACUCGAGAAAAAAAAAAGUCAAGAAAAGACUUUCCACCAAGCCCCUAGUUCAACUUCCCGGGCAACUUCAAGCCUUGCCCCUAGUCGGCAAAGAAGAAUAUUGUCGUCCGUCCUCAACCGUAAAAGGGUGUAACCAAGUCGGACAAGACAUUUGAAGCAGAGAUGACCAAAUUGUGCGAGACCGUUGAGCAGGCCGUGCCACCUAUCAUUAAGGAGGCGGAAGAAGAAUAAGAAAUGAUCGCUAAUCUGCAAGCCAACUUCCAUGAGUGGCAACAAAAAAUAUUAACUGAGGCCAUCGAAGUCUGGCUUUUAGCAAAAAAAGUAAAAAAAUUGGUGGCGAAAAGGGUUCAUCCUCUAAGCUUUCUACCACACCUCUUUUGACACCUAUUUCGCCAUCUACGCCCAUUCCCAAGGCAAAUGACGUGGAGAGUAUUCCAUUUCACGGUCUAAGGGAAAUGGCCACCAUAUCAGGCGAUGACUCCACGCCCAAUGUACAACCCCCACCGACUGCUCAUGUCGAUGUGUCUAGUUGGGAAGACCUAGACUUUUUUUUGAAGCGCUUCCCCACAUUCAUUGACAUGGAGCCUCCAACAUCCCACAUGAAUGAACUCUCCCCAGUGUUGGAGAGGACCCUAAUGGAUAUGAUUGUUGACUCCUAACAGAACUUCAUGGCUUGUGUCCCACAUAGGACCGCAGAUGAGACCAUUGAAGCGAUAAAAUGCCUGAAGGACUACAUGACCAUGCAGAUGGUAGAAGUGGUACGAUACCUUCUAUAUACAAUGUCUGUAUUUUAUAUUUCAUUAUUCUUUACUUAUUUUUCUUGGCUCUUAGCGACAAAUUGUAGUCGAGGUCCGCAAUCUAAUGAGACAACACUCUCAUCUCUUUGAAUGAUUGCAAGUAGUCGAAAAAAUCAGGACAUACACGACCCAAAGCGUGGACUGGUAAAAGGAGUUGUCAACUAAGCUAGAGAUAGCCAAAGCAACUGAGCCGCUGCACGGAAAGGAACAGAAGAGGGCAUAGGCCUGCUGUGAAAAGCGGAGCUGAAGAAUAACACGGUCCAGGCCGAAAUCCGCUAGUUAAAAUUGGACAUGGUUGCCUUAGGGACCUCCAAGGCUAAAGUUGAAGAAAAAGACACUCAACUAAAGUUGGAGCUCGAGCAAACUGUGUCUCGCUUCACCAAGGAAAAGAUUGAGUUGGAUGUGGCUUACCAACAACAAGUAGAUGACAUGUUCUUCUACGACUAUCGUUGUUGUAUGGGAAAACAUAACAUCACUGAUAAUAUCCCCAGCAUUCCAUCGGAGGAAGAGGAUGAAACCAUUUUGGGAAAAAGAGCCAAACAAGAAAACGACUGGGCAAUGGGAAAUGGAUUCGCAACAACCGAUCAUGAUGAUCAAGAUACUACUUAAGAUUGCUGCUUUUCUUUUUCUUUUCUUUCUUUUGGUCAUUUAGGUCUUUCAUUGUAAAAACAUUGGUCUUCUAGCCCUUUUUGAAUGCAACAAAUUAACACAAUGUUUAAGGAAUUUGCCUUCUAGUAAUAUUUUUACUAUUGUUUGCCUUUGUAUUUGGCUUUCACCUGAUGGUUUACCUUAAGACUAAGGUAUCCACUACUUAGCACAAGUUAUUUCUCGGCCUUGAGUGGUAUCAACUAUCUUGGGUCUUUUAGCCUUUCUCUCAUAAGAGCUUAUUACUUGGAUUCUAAGGCUUGUGCUGCUUCAGUUAUGCCUUUACAUUCUUUAGACUUAUGGCUUGUGUCAUAUGGGCCAUGUCGUUUAUAAUCUAGCUUGUUAGUCGUUUAAAUAUAAAAUACAGUCCAUCAUAUGUACAACUUGUUUAUUAAUAAUACUUCUUUAAAUUUGCUACAUUCCAAGGACAGAGUAGUGGCAUUCCGUCUAAUGCCUCUAGAUGGUACGCCCAUGUUUCUUCUGCCUUGAGUACAACAUAUGGUCCUUCCCAAUUGGGUUAGAGCUUAUUAGCUCCUACUUCGGUUGUGUUCUCAAAGACUUGUCUCAAAACCAAGUCUUUUGGGUGGAACAACUGUGGGUGCACUCUCUUGUUGUACUGAGUCAUUGCUCUUUGCUGGUAAGAGGCCAUUUGAACAGCUUUGACCUCACGUUCUUCAUCUACCCAGUCUAGAUACAUUUCAAGAUUUCCUUCAUUUAUUUCCAAUUCUUGCACUAUUGUUUUGACCAUGGGUAGUCCUAUCUCGGUUGGAAUGAUGACCUCCAUGUCGAAUGCCAAAGCAAAUGGGGUGAUCCCAAUAGGUCAUCUACUGGUAAUUCUAUAAGCCCAUAAUACGCCAAACAAUUCGUCUACCCAUUUGUCUUUCACUCUUUCUAGCUAUUUCUUUAAAUAAUUUAACGUCUUAUUUGUCACCUCUGUUUGUCUAUUGCUUUGUGGAUAUCGAGGUGUUGAAUAGACAUUUUUAAUUUUCAGCUCCAAACAAAACUUUCAAAAGGCACUACUAUCGAAUUGCAGCUCAUUGUCUAUGACAAUGGCGUGAGAAAUUCCAAAUAGGCACACAAUGUUUUUUCAAACGAACUUUGUCACGUCCUUCUCUUUUAUGCUAGCAUAAGCUUCAACUUCCACCCAUUUGCUGAAAUAAUCAAUGGCUAUGAGUGUGAGCUUUUUCUGAGUCGCAUCGGUUGGUAAUGAGUCGACUAUGUCCAUUCCCAACUAAGCAAACAACCAUAGGUUAGUCAUUAGGUUGAGGCAGUCGGUUGGCAAUCAGGAGAUAGGUACAUGCGUUUGACAUUGAUCGUAUUUUCAAGCAUAAUUUUUGGGCAUAAUAGCCUUGAGAAUAGGCUUAAUGCACUAAGGUUCAUCUUCCUGGGUGGUUGUUGCAUAUACCUUUGUGCAAUUCGACCAAAACAUAUUGGGCAUCCGAAUCAGUCAAGCAUUUCAAAUAAGGCCACCUAAAUGACCGCCUGUACAAUUGAUCAGUGAUCAAAGUAAAUCGGGCAACUUGAAAGCGAAGCUUGUGUGCUUAUUUUCCGUCAUCAUGGGCUUCAUAGGUGCAGAGGUAAUUGACGAUAGGUUGCAUCCAUCCUACAUCUGUAUGGGAUAUAUCAUGGACCUGUUAUGAUGCAAUAGAAGGCGUGGGUUGGAUGUAGACUGGCAACAUUAUGGAUUCAGUGAUUGGCAAGGCGAUGACAACUUCGGCCAUCACAUCUACUUUUUCGUUCUCUUCAUGGGGAACAUGUUUGACUCACUAGUCAACCAACUUGUCUAAAAGGGCUUCCACACUAGUGAGGUAGUGGGCCAUGCAUUCGUCUGUGGCCUCGUAUUCUCGUUGAAUCUGCCCAACCACCAAUUGGGAGUCACUUUGUACUUUCACUUUUGAUGUUGCAAGUGUUAAGGCGAGAUCGAGGCCAAUUAUCAUUGCUUUGUAUUCAACCUCAUUAUUAAAUGCGAGAAAGUCAAUGUGGACAAAUUGUUUGAUCUAUUCCUCGAUAGAGGAAGAUAGCAUAAGCCAGACCCCAGCUCUUAAUGUCCUUGAGGCUCCAUCUACAUGAAGGAUCCACCAGUGGUAUGUUAUGUCAAUCUGUACCCAUUUUUGGGGCAACUCGGCUAUGAAAUCUACGAGAACUGCUCUUUCAAUGAAAAUCAAGGCUUAUAUUGUAUACCAUACUCACUUAAUUCAAUAGCCCAUUCAUCAUCCGUUCGGAUAAAUCUAGCUUAUGCAAGAUGACCCUUAAUGGUUGAUUUGUUAGAAUUGUUACUUAAUAUGCCUAGAAGUAUGGAACGGAGCUUUUUUGCAUCAAUGCAUAGUGCUAGCGUCAUCUACUUUACUUGAGAAUAACAGGUUUCGACGUCUACCAAAGCUUUAUUCACGUAGUAGACGAGUUUUUGCUCAUCGUUUAGGGAAUGUCAGAACAGGAUGACGCUAACUACAUAGUCUAACACAGUGAGAUACAUGUAUAAUUCCUCGCCUGCCUCUGAACUGCUUAAAAUGGGAGGUUCUGUGAGAUAGUGCUUGAUAGUAUCAAAGACACUUUUGCAUUCCUUAGUCCAACCAAACGUUUGAGCUCCAUGCAGAGUAGUGAAUAAAUGACGGAGCUUAUCAGUGAAGUGAGUUGUGAACUGACCCAAGGCUGCUAGACGGCCCGUGAGUCACUGCAUUCUUUUCUUAGUGGACGGAAUAAGCAUCUCAAGCACGACUUUUACUUGGUUUGGGUUUACUUCAAUUCCUCUCUGAGUCACCAAAAAAUCAAGAAACUUACCCACGCUAAUGCCAAAUGUACAUUUAAACGGGUUAAGUUUCAUAUUAUAUUUCUACAUUAAAUCGAACGCUACUUCCAAAUGUUGCACAUGUUCUACACGAGUUUUACCUUUGACAACUAUGUCAUCAAUGUACACCUCCACUAUCCCGCCCAUCAAUGGUUUGAAAAUUUUUUUCAUCAGCCUCUAAUAUAUUGCACUCGCAUUGUUUAGCCUAAAGGCAUAACGUUGUAGCAGUAUAAUCCUUGAGAUGUGGUAAAGGUCAUUUUCUUUUAAUCCUAUUGGAACAUGGGGAUUUGGUGGUAUCCGGAGAAAGCAUCUAGGAAUGAGAACAUUCCAUUUUCGAAUGUAGAAUCAACAAUCUAAUCAAUCUGAGGCAAAAGAAAGCUAUCAUUUGGGCAAGCAUCAUUUAAGUUCGUAUAAUCCACGCAUACUCGCUAGGUUCCUAUUUUCUUUGGGACCACCACGAUGUUAACUAACCAAUCUGGAUAAGCGACUUCCCGGAUAAAGCCAGCAACUAACAACUUAUCAAUUUCCGUUUGGAUUACUUUCUGGCGAUCCAAGUGAAAGCUUAGAACUUUCUACUUCAUAGGUCACGUAUUUGAGAGAAUAUUCAUUUUAUGAGUAGCCAUAGAAAGGUCGAUUCCUAGCAUGUUCAAAUGGGUCUAAGCAAAGAUAUUCACAUUUCAGCGGAGCAAGGCUUCAAAAUGGCUAAGAUCCCCCAUUGUUAUCAAAGAACUAGCGUUUGUCAUACAACAUUUUUCAUCUAAUAAGGGUAGAUGUAACAAGGAAUCAAUGGCCGACAGAGUUGUAAUUGUUAUUAGUCAUUCGCACUUGUCGAUUCGGGUUUGUCUCCAACUAGGUUUUUAUACCAACAUCUACAGUCACCAGGUAGCAUUGUUGGGUGGCCAAUUUGACUAGCGAGUAAGUCCACUUGCCCAACCUCAGUAAGGUAGCUUACCAUUUGAUGAUAUGUAGACAAGAUGACUUUCAUUUUGUGCAGCCAUACCCAUCCUAUAAUGGCAUUGUAUGGUGAUAAGUCUUCUACCACUGAGAAGUAGACAUUUAAAGUAACCGGCUCAGCCUAAACGAGUAGAACAACAUCGUCUAAGAAGACUGUUGAGGCUCCAUUGAAGUCAAUUAGGAUGUGGCGCAGAUUUUUUAAGGUAGAUGAAAAAUAUCCCAUUUGCCUAUAUGCCAACAUUUUCAGGAGAUCGGCGAAGCUUCCUAGAUCGAUCAGAAUUCUGCACACAUCAAAACCAUUGACUCCAAAUGUUAAGACUAGGGUGUUCUCGUGUGGUAGGAUCACCCGAUUGGAGUUAAUAUAAGGGAAAGCAAUGGGCUCGUAUAUCGGUCAGACAUUUUCGUAAAUGAACGUACAUUGAACAAUAUGCACUCUUUUCCUUACAGAAGUUACGUAGAUUAACCUUCAUCUCUAUCUUUUGGGGUGGUAUCUAUCAUUUACGGGUCCACCGUGUGUAUAAUUGAUAACCGCUCUAGGUACUACAGGAAACGGAGGGGCCUGUUCGAUUACCUCUACUGUAUCUCAUCUGUCAAAGGUACGGACGUCCUACUUAAGAUGUCCAACCUUAAUGAGUUCUUCUACUAGGACGUGCAGAUUCUUGCACUACUCCAUGGUAUAUCCAUGUUCCUUAUGGUAAGAGCAUUGUCGCUUCCAGUCUCGCUUGGCUGGAUAAGUUUUAAUCGGCUCUAGCCAUUUGAAUUUGGGCAGCUCUUGAAUUAACAGAAUGAGUUAUUCAUAAGAGACAAUCAGUAGGGUGAGCCUUUGAGGCUACUACUGUCAUCUGUCCUGUUUUUGUCCCCCUUGUCUGGACUAAUUGUUUGGGGACUUUGAGCUUCCAGUUUUAUUGUUCUUUGUUGGCUAGGUCAUGACCAAAAUAUGUUGGGAAGCUGCUCAAACAUCAUCUCAGAGCAUAACAUAUUUAUCUGUUUGUCUGAACAAGUCGUCCACUGAAGUGGGUGACUUUUUGUCGAGGAACUCAAAGAAUAGAGUGCUUGGGCUUAUGCUUCGUUUAAAGAUCUGGAAAUAUCAUCUAUAUUGUAGGACUCAAUCUGGAACACUGCUUAGCCAAAUUGCUUCAUGAAGUCUCUCAACAAUUCGUUUUCUUGCAUCUUAAUGUUCUACAAGGUCCUUAUAUUAUGUUUUCGGCGUGCUGAACAUAAGUAAUAGCCAACAAAUGCCUUAGAGACAUCAUGAAAAAAAUUGAUGGAGUUUUGAGGGAGUCGAUGAAACCACAAGAAGGUCGAACCAUGGAGCCUGGUCAGAAAGAAUUUACAAAGCAAUACGUUGUUUCCAAUGUCUAAAGUCAUUAACUGCCGAUAGUGUAGUAGAUGGUCGAAUGGAUCACUCGUCUCAUCGUACAUGGUGAACUUGGGCACUAAGAACCCUCUGGGAGGCUCAUAGUUGAUUAUAUGAGGGCCAAAUAACAUGGAGAACAUAUCAUCAAGCUUCUGGAUGAUAGAGUCAAGAAGGGUCUUUCCUGUGGGCUUGAGUGCUGCUAGAAACUCCAUCCAUGGUGGCUAGAAGCUUGGUGAUGCCUCCUGUUUUGGUUGACCCAACUGAGCCUUUAAGGCAUUGAAGAUGCGCGAUGGUGUCUACGUCCGUUGGUCUUAGGGCCCCAAGUGAGCUCUCAUGGUGUCAGACAAGCGGGAACCCCAUUGUUGUCCCAUUUUUGUCUUUCCUCUUAUGGAACUAGUGGUUUCAUUGGGGUAAGACUGGUCAGUUGAGGGAUAAGUCGGUUCAAGUCAGGUAGGAGAACGACUAGAAGAAAAGUCUUCCUCAUGCACAUGACAAGACGACUUAGUGUGUCGUCAGGAUGAGCAUGUCACCUGGUUGUGACUCCUUUUUGGGUUGAUCUGCUGAAUAAAGGUGUGAUGAUUUUGUAAGUGAUGCCCCUUAACCAUCUGAGCUUGAAACUCCUUAUUCUCUUGUCUCAACUAUUCAGCUUGUUGGAGCAGUGACUGCAUACAAUGCUCUUUUUCUUAUUGCUUUCUUUCCAUUCUUGCUUGUCAAGCCUAGAAUUAGUCAGCCAAAGUGGCUGACUGGGAUGUAUGUGACAUGUUGGCCAUUAUGCUACUGUGUUUUUUGUAUCAUUUUCCACAAACGGCGCCAAUGCUGUUGCAUGAUUUGAAUGGAUUGUCUCGUCUAACUCCCAAGAGCCAGAUGAAUGGCACGAUCAACAGUUUCCAUCUAAAUCGCUCAAGAUAUAAAUGGUUGCAUUAUCUGCACAAAAGACUAUCCGGAUGGUUUGUCUAGGCACGCCCCUCCAAUGCUAAAGUUACUAAGUGGCUUAAGCAAGUAAGGGAAUUUUUUAGAAGAAAAAAAAUACCAUUUGUGGAUUUUGCAUGGUUAUUUAUGAUUAUUCAAGUGUAACAUCUUUCUAGGUAUCUUAAUAGUACAUUCAUUGCGCUUGAUUAUGCAAUAUUAUGGCAUUGACUAUCGAUGCAUAACAAUUGUCUUGCCUUAAUGAGCUGUUAAUAAUAGAACAUUUUCUAGUAGCAACUGCAUUUAGUAGGGAGCAUGUCUAGCUCACAAUACGCAGAUUAAUGGGUAAGUAAAAGCGUGGAGGAUAGUCAAGCACCAAUCUUGUUGUAUUUAUAUAAGAUUUUUCCGUCUGACCCACUUUGGGACGGACCAAUCACUUGGCCUUAGGGUCGUUGGGUCAUACGGUUGAAAGUGAUCUUCCAAACAGCUUGCACUCCUAGGUGGCUGUGAGAGAGUAAAGGACUUCGAGAUGGCCUUGUAGAGAGGGUCCCACAAGUACUAUAUGGUAGGUGUGUACCUCAACAAGAGGGUGUACCCUGGGAUUGCCCAAGAGAAGGGAAUGGUCCACCCCUAGAGAGGUGCACAAAUAGCUUUGGUUUUUUCUCUUCAAGGUUAUCUAAGUCUAUAUGCAAUGUAAAUAUAUGUCUCUACUCUUUAUUAAUCAUACAAUGUGCAUUACUACUUGAGUGCACACAAGCCUUGGUGUAGACCCUCAAUUUUGUCCCUUUAGCACAUGUCUUUAAAAUUCGUUUUCAGUGCUUCAAAAUAGUUCCUUGGUGGCCCAUUACUACUCGUACAACUUACCUUUUUCUUAGUCACCUCGGAGACUUUGGUUGAGGGAUUAUCUGACCCUUUAUUGUGACCCUUGGCAGUUUUGAUUUAGACUUAAGCUUUCCAUUUCUUUUUAGGAUAGCUCUUAAGCAUGUUUAGGUCACUUAGACACCUUUCUCAGAAUAGGUCCAUUUAGACAUUUCAUUGAGGCUCAACAUUUUAUUCUUAUUAUUUCUUAUAUAUAUAAUAUUAUUAUUAUUAUGGCAUGUAUUUGAUAUUUACAUUUAUUUUGUCUAUACAUUUUUAAUUUUUAUUUUUAUUAUUUACUUAUUCAUGUAUUUAAUUGUCUUUAUAUAUUUCAUUUUAUUUAUUUUUAUUUAUUUAUUUAUUUACUUAAUGAAAAAUUGUUUGAAUUGUUAGAUUUAAAAUACGCAUAUAGCCCCUUUAUCAAAUGACAGAAUUGUACAAUCUAAUAUUUGAUUUUCUCUUUCAUUCUCUUUUAAUCAUAUUUCAUUUUAUCACCAAUUUCAUGACUUUCAUUAAUUUCUCAUCUUUUCCUUUUAUUUUAAUUUUAUUUUUAUUCUAUUUCUGCAUGAGGUAUCCGAGCCGCCAGGAGAUCAUUCACGACUUUCUUUUCCCAUGGAAGAUAAUUUACAGAAUAUGGAAAACCAAGGUGGAAUUACGACUUACCAUAAAAAAAGUGGAAGACCGAGCUGUAUAUCAUUGGAGAAUUUCUAGAGAUUAGAGGAACACUUUUCCAAAAAGAAAGAUGAGCGUCACGGCGGCAUAUUAAGCACAGAUUUGGGAAGGAAUCUCCACAUGAGCCGCACCAUCCAGACUUUUUUGAAAGGGGCUGUACCACACAUCUUCCGUGCAUCAUAUAGAAAAGGAAGAAAGAGAUUUUCCGGGAUGGAGACGCACAGUCCACCUUCCUAAAGAAAUCCUCCACGGCUGCCAUAUGUGAAAGGGAAGAUUUUUAUUUUAUUUUCGAAGAGGAAUUUUGGAGAUCCUCACGCAGAUAUAUAAAGAGGGGCUGCCAUAUAAAUAAGGGAGGAUUUUUUGGCUUGAGGAGGAGAAAGGCAAGAGGGAUUUUGCUGAAACAAGGAGAGGAUUUUUUUAGAGAUGGGACACGGAGAAGAGAUAUUAUUUUUCUGGGAACAAAGAAAGGUCUGAAGGAGGAGGAAAGUUGCAGCCACACAGUGGAGGGAACACACAUACAGGUCGUGCCAUCUACAAGGGAGUCCAGGGGAAAUCCACGUCUUGGAGAAGAGAACGAUCAGCCGCUGAACACGGGUUUCUCGUUGAGAAUAGUCCACGCAUCAAGUCUCCACUUCCACGGGCUGCAUCCAUCAUCAGUCCGCGCAUAUGCUCGUCAUCCAAACGGCUCCAUAUCAGGCGUCGGAGCGUGAUCUCACACUGCAAGUGUCAUGGCUGCACCCUGUGCCAUACCAGCCGCGCAUCUUUGGCGAUCACCUAGCCGCAACAUCAGUUUCCUUGCCGUUGGCGUGCCCUCUCUCCGGUUCCGUGCCUCAUCAUUUCUCUUCCCACUCUUCCUCCAUAGGAAGCACCUUCAAGACGCAUCUUCACCUGAAGGAGACCCUCUUACACGGCUGCCACUUUGAGAAUAACUGUCCACGCACAUUGGGUAAGUUGUUUUGCUUUCCAUAUUGGGUUUCUUUGAAAAAUAAAAAAAAGAAAUAAAAAAAAGGUCUGGUUUCAUUUUAUAUUGGGUUGAGUGCUUUAUUGGUCCAAUAGGUUUUCAUUUUUAAUAUGGCAUCAAGAAUACUACUUUUUUGGUUUAAUUGUUUUGGUUAUUAUAUUCGGUGAUGUUUUGUGGUGUACCAUUUUCAGUUUGGAUUAUUAUAUUGUGUUGAGUGGAUUGAUUUGUUUAUUAGCUUCAACACGUGUUUGCUUUAAUAUGGCAACACAAUCUCACAUUUUUUUUUUUUUUUAUUAUUCAUCACGUUAAAGAUUAGAGUUGUUUAAGGUUAGUUUUGAUGUAUUAUAUUAAAUUCAUGAAAAAUGAUUUUAGGUAGCUUUACUUGAAAAAAAAAUAAUAUAGUUUAAUCUUUAUUUGAUGUGGUUCUGAUUCAUUUAAUUAUUGAUUGUUUAUUUAUUUAUUUGUUACCAAUUUAACGCUUUGUAAUUUAUUUAAUUAUAAAUAAAAUUGAUUCUAUGGGUUAGAGAUUUAGUUUUAAAAAUAAUUUUGGUUAGUGUUUAAUUUAACUUUAGGUUUAUGUACUCUUAUAAAAUUUUAGUUCAUUAAAAUAAUUGAUCAUAUAUGUCAAGUUUUGAUUUUAGAUUUGCCCUAAUUUGUGUUUAAUUCGUUUUAAGCUUAAAUUUUAUUUUAGUAAUGUAAAUUUAUUUAGAAAGUUGUUUCCAUGAAUUCAUAUUCGUUUUUUUUUUUUUUUUUUUUUUUUUUUAUUCCAAUUUAGUUUGAUUUAAUUUGUUCUUUUAGAUUUAAAUGUGUUUGCGUGUUCCAUUGAUUUUAUGUUAUCUCUUGAUUUGCUAUUCUCAAUUUAGACAUUUCAUGAAUCUUAGUCAUUAAUUCUUGGUGGGUAUCUCAUUCGUUUAUUUGAUCUGAGUUUUAAUAAUUUAUUACUUUGAUAAGUCUAUUGUCAAAUUUAUCUUUCCGAGGCCAUUGAAAAAUCAUGAAGAUUGGCCUCUACCAUCACCAUUAUCAUUUUUGUUAAUUACUAAAAAAAGUUUUACUUUGAGGUUUCAUUUUUGUUUUGUUUGGUAUUUUAUUUCUUAUAUUUUAUUUUUUCCAAAUUAAUUCCUUUUAUUUUAAAAUAAAAUACUUUUAUAAAAAAAAUCAUUUUAAAAAUCUAUUUCAAAAAUUCAUUAGAUUCCUCAGGAUCAAAAUCUUUUUUUUAUUUUUAAAAAAUAAUAUGCAACCAUAUUUUGUUCGGUUUGCAUCCUUCUCGGUUUUCAACAAAAAUUUUAGUUUUGAACAAAGACACGAAUCAAAGCUUGUGGUCCCACAUAAAUGGGAUAAUUCUGAGCUAAAUUCGUGUAUAUCAAUUGGGGAAUUGGUGAAACCCCUAUAUAAGAAAAUCUUUUCAAAAAUUAUUUUUGUUGCCAUUUUUGUCACUUGUUGAAAUUAUGUCUAUCUUUUUUAGGAAUUGUAUACAAGAUGUGUGUGAUAAUUAAUGUUUUCAUAUACUUUGAUAAUUUUUGUUAUGCUAAUUAGAUAACAAGCAUGCUAGGGUUUCUUUAUUUUAUUAUUAUCUAAUCCCUCAUGUCUUAUGGAAGCGCAUUGUAAGUUAUCUAUGCUAUCCAGGUACGCCCCCCUAAUGACCUACUUUCUAAAUUUUGUAAACAAUCAUGUCACUGUGAAGUAUGCAUAUGUUUGAUAAUCCUUAGGUGUUUAGAUGUAUGCUUGAUUCACUAUGAUUAAAUACAUGUUGUGUGUUAUACUUCUAUAUUAACUCUGAUGUUUUAUGAUAGCGUUUGAAGAGCGGUUCAGGUACGCACCCUAACUCUCUGUUUUUGUGAUUUGAUCUUGUUUAGCAUGCAAAUCUUUUGAAAUCACCUAGCCUACUUAGGUAUCCAUAAUUAACCGAUUAAUUGUCAUAUUCCUCUUAACUUAAUUAGUAGAGACCUUUUUAGGGCUUAGAAGGGUGCUACCUCCUAGAGGUACCUUCCCAAUAAGUAACCUGAUCCCCGGACCAAGACUUGGGUUUUCAAAGACACGCUUUUCCAAAAAUUAUGGAGUCAUUUUUUUAGGGUUUUAUUUCUUGUUUUAUUUUCCCUUCAAAAAUAAAAAUAAAAUAAGUGGCGACUCCAACUUUUUUUUCAAAAAUCAAUUUUUCACAAAUAAAUAAAAAGCGAGUCUCGCCGAUCGAGUGGGGACGCACGUGAAAAAUGCGGGUCCACACUUGGGUUUUGAGGGUUUUCCCUCUUUCGGAAAUCUCCAUGUUGUCUUUCAUUGUGAAUGGACCACCCCUUAUUACAAUUUUACUAAGAACAACUAGAAAUACCAACAAAACAUAUAAAUUGCUAAGUAAACUAAUUUGACUUAAGUUUUCUCGUAAAAAUGGAAUUUUUUUAGUGUAAAUCUUGAUAAUCACAAUACAAUCAUAUGUGCUCAAGAUGGAACCCAAUCCAUCUUUUGCAUUUGUAUUCUCACAACAAGCUCAACUAUUAGGUAUUCGACACCAUUUCCAAUCUUCAAAGGAACAACUAGAUGAGGCACAUUGUUACAUCAUGAAUAAGCAUCAGGAGUUAAGACCAUUCUUAGACUAAGUUCUAGCCUUAACUUUCAAGAUGUUGCUUUAAUGUAGUAACCCAUAUCCAUUUGAUGUAGUGAACAUAUAAAGAAAUUAGAGAUGGCAAGCCUUUAUGACCAGUGUUUGAAAAUUUGGUUUUUUUCACCGAAAAAUCUAAUAUUGGUGGUGGUCGAAACAAAAUCAGCCAUCGAUAAUUGGUUAGGAGAAAAAUCGAAAAAAAAUUGUCGAAAUAUCGAUAAAAUAUUGGUUGCAAGGAGACUAUCAGCAAAAAAAUCGAGGAUGAGACAAUAUGCGCAUUGAGCAAGAGUGGUGCCAAAAAAUACCAAUUUAUUGGCAAUUUUUUAGGCGAUUUUUUACGCCUCCUCCCCUGCAUCCAAUGGUCAUAUUUGAAUUUUUGAAGAUCCAACGACCCAAAUUUCACUCGUGUUUUUGUUAAAGCAUCUAACUGUCAAAUUUGUGAUCCAAUUGUGGAAAAUCAAAUUUGACUUGAUCCAACGACUAAGAAAUGUUUUCAAUGGCUAUAUGAAGAUCUAAUGGUCGAAUUUGAACCAAAUUUCGAUCCAAUGACUAAAAUUAAAUUCCAACGGCUAAUUUGACAAAAAAAAUCUAUAAAUACUCCAUUCCAUUUCAUACAUAAAAUUUUGAUAAUUUUUUUUUAUCUCCAUCAAAAAUUUUAAAUUUGGGGAAUUUGGUGGUGACGGGUUGGAUUAACUUCAAAUGAAGGCUAAUUAAGGUAUGUUUUACUUUUCAUAAAAUUUAUUUUUAUUAUGCAUAGUUCAAUUUUAUUUGUUAUGUAUAGUUUAAUUGAUAUUGCCUAAUUUUAAAAUUUAUCAUAUUAACAUUAAAUUUCAUAUUGAAAUUAAUUUGACAUAUAUGCAUAUUUAAUUUCAAUUUUUAGUUAUUUUAAAUUUUAAUUUAAUUCAUAUGAAAAUUUAGUUAUAAUGUUUGUCUAUCUGAUAUCACAUCACAUAUAUGCAUAAGUCAAUUUUAAUUUCAAUUUUUAUUAGUAACAAUUAUUAUAAACUUCAUGAAUAAUAUUAAAUUAACUUAGAUAUUUAUCUUUAAUAAUUUUAAAUUUAAUUCACAUGAAAAUUUAGUUAUAAUGUUCAUCUAUUUGAUAUCACAUCACAUAUAUGCAUAAUUCAAUUUUAAUUUCAAUUUUUAUUAGUAAUGAUUCUUAUAAACUUCAUGAAUAAUAUUAAAUUAACUUAAAUAUUUAUCUUUAAUAAUUUUAAAUUUAAUUCAUAUGAAAAUUUAGUUAUAUUGUUUGUCUACUUGAUAUCACAUCACAUAUAUGCAUAAUUUAAUUUUAAUUUCAAUUAUUAUUAGUAAUGAUUCUUAUCAUUUUCAUGAAUAAUAUUAAAUUAACUUAAAUAUUUAUCUUUAACAAUUUUAAAUUUAAUUCAUAUGGAAAUUUAGUUAUAAUGUUUGUCUAUUUGAUAUCACAUCACAUAUAUGCAUAAUUCAAUUUUAAUUUCAAUUUUUAUCAGUAAUGAUUCUUAUCAAUUUCAUGAAUAAUAUUAAAUUAACUUGGAUGUUCAUCUUUAAUAAUUUUAAAUUUAAUUCAUAUGAAAAUUUAGUUAUAAUGUUUGUCUGUUUGAUAUCACAUCUUAUAUAUGCAUAAUUCAAUUUUAAUUUCAAUUUUUAUUGGUAAUGAUUCUUAUCUGUUUCAUGAAUAAUAUUAAAUUAACUUAGAUGUUUGUCUUUAAUAAUUUUAAAUUUAAUAUUAGUUUCAUAUGGAAAUUUAAAAUACAAGCUUCGAAAAUGGUUAGUGCAAGUGCAAGUGGAAGCGAUGUCAUGGGUCGAAAUCCUUGUUGGAAAUAUUGUAUGUACACCUAUGGAAGGAAACAAAAAUGGAACAAUAUGCAAUUAUUGUGGGUUGACAAUAAAGAAUGAUAGGAUUACUCAUUUUAAACUUUACCUAUCACAUACAGACCCUAAUUCAAAUACCAAAAAGUGGGUGCCUCCAUAAGUGAAAUAAGAAAUAAGACAACUUUUAGAGGAAAAAAAAUAAUGCAAAAACGAAUAAAACUGCCUAUAUAGAAGAGAUUCGAGAUUAAUUGUGAGACACAAUAGGAGGAAGACAUAGACAAGUAAUUGAUGAGAACGAUGAGAAGAACAUUGAUGAUGAUAAUGAUGAUGAUGUGUAUAUGUAUUCGGUUGACAUGCACCUUAAUGAGCGACAUGCUUAUAGAGCGAUAGUUCGAGCAUCAAAAGCUAGUGGAUGGAAUCGAAAACAAGAAGAACAUUUGUAAGAGGCAAAAGAAAAAACAGGUAUAUGCAAAGUGGAAGAUCAACUUAUCAAUUUGAAUUAUUAUUGUUUCUUAUCAACUUUAUCAAUAACAUUAAAUCAACAUAUAUGUUUAAUUUUAAUAAUUGCAAUAAGCGAGUCUUCACAUCCAACUAAUCCAACAAGGCACAUGCGAAGAUCGCAAAGUAUUCGACAUUUGGAUCUAUCACUGCCUAUUGCACCCUCAUUGUACAAAUCUUUAGUAGCAAGACAGAAAAAUGUUAAAAAUCUUUUAAAAUGUGGUGCCAUCAAGGAAACCAUGCUAUAAUUGAUCAGUAAGUUUUUCAUAUAUGAGAGUGUUGCGCCCAAUAAAGCAAACUCUCACCACUUCAAGAACAUGAUUGUUGGUACACAACAAGCAGGUAAUUACUAUAACUUUAAAAGUUUUAUUUAUUUUAACAAUAUCAUUAUUAUUUGUAAAGUAUAAAUGCCAAAAAUAUUCUUAUAUGCUUUAAUUAUAUAUGGAUGGUAGGUAUGGGUAUAGAACCACCAUCUCCUUAUGAAAUCAAACACAAGUACUUGGAUAUGGAGUACAAAGACAUGGAAGGUUAUGUCAAUGUUCAAAGAGAAAAGUGGAAGACUUAUGAAUGCAUGAUUAUGUGUGACGAAUGGAUUGGACCCGCAAAAUUAAGCAUAAUUAAUUUCAUGGUAUAUUCAAAAGGCAACACAAUCUUCCUUAAAUCUGUUGAUACAUCAAAUAGCAUAAAAGGACAACAAAUACAUAUAUGGUUUGUUGAAGGACGUGAAGAAGGAAGUCGACAAAGAAAAUGUGGUACAAAUAGUUACAAAUAAUGGGUCAGCAUUCGUAAAGGCAAGGAAGCUAUUAAUGAAGAAAUAUAAUUUAUAUUACCGUGUGCAACACAUUGCAUCGACUUAAUGUUCGAAGAUAUUAGUAAAAGGCCCAGUAUUACAGAUGUGAUUACAAAGGCUCAAAAGAUAACAAACUUCAUCUACAACCAUAGUUGGUUGCUUGCGUACAUGCAGAAGGUGUGUGGUGGAGACAUAGUUCGCCUUGGAGCAACAAGAUUUGCAGCCAAUUAUAUUGCCCUCAAUAAUAUUUUGAAAAAGAUGUUGGACUUGAAGAAAGUGUUUAUCAGUGAUGAAUGAGCACAACUCAAGUUAAGUCACACACUAAUCGGCCAAGAGGUUGAAAAACUUAUGUUUGACCAUGCAUACUGGGAGAGUGGCAAAGCUAGUGUCAAUCAAUGAGGUGUUAUACACGGUUCUUCAUAUUAUCAAUUCAGAAUUUGUUCCUAAAAUGUCAUUUGUGUAUGAAUUGAUUCGAGUGAUGAAAGAGAAUCUCAUUUGACUUAAUGAUAGAGAAUGAAUGUUAGAAAUAAUCGCAAAUCGUUGGGAUAGAACUCUUAAACAUCAUCUUCAUGUAGUAGGUAACUAAGUAUUAUCCAUCUUCAAAAGUUAUUGGUAUUUAAUAUAUUUCUUUCAUAACAUUCCAAUUCUACUUCACUAUUGUAGCAUUCUAUCUCAAUCCAAGGUUUCAAUAUAGAUGUGGAGUUGGUAGUGAUCCUGAUCUAGUUCAAGUUGUUCAUGAUGUUUUUGUGACAUUAGAUCCUACAAUGGAAGGUCUUAGUCAAUUUGAAAAUAAGAUAAAUUAUUAGGGUUAUAAUAUAAAUUAAAUAAUUGAAUUUCAUUUACACAAUUUUUUAUUUUCAAUUAUUUAAUAUGUAGCUUAUACUAUUCCGAGAUGCAAAAAGAGGAUUUAAUGAUCGAGCAACGAUUGCUUCGAGGUUAGAAAUGGUUUCUGGUGAGUAUUAUUUGUGAAUAAAAAAUACAUUUCAUUAGCAUAUUAUUGUAGAUUUCUAAUAUAAGUAUUGAUAUCAUUUAUUUGGUUAAGUUGAAUGGUGGUUCAUGUAUGGAAACCGCACUCCUACAUUAAGAAGGUUGGUCAUCAAGGUUUUAUCGCAAAUUACGUCAUUUUCAGCUUAUGAGAGAAAUUGGAGCACAUUUGCCCUAAUUCAUACAAAGCAAAGAAAUUGGUUUGCUUACUCAUGCUAUAACAAUUAGUUUUUUUUUAUUAUAACAUGAAACUAAAGAUCUGUGAUAUGGAAGCAGAAAAAGAUUACCUUAAUUUACCUAACAUUUCAGCUGAGAUUGGUGAUGAAGAAGAUAAUCAAUGUUUCAAUGGGUUAGGUCUCUUCAUUUAGAUGAUGAAGAUGGAAAUCCCGACCCACGAAUAGUCACACAUGUCCAAGAAAUAGGUGUUGAUGUUGAACGGGUGUUAUCCGAAGAAGUUCAUACUAAUAGUUUCAGCCAAGACAGAAGAGAUUCAUUUCUAUAAGGAAUUUCUCAGUCGACAGUCACUUCUCGACCCUCUUUCGACUUUACAAGUGUUGAACAUAGUAGUAGACCUAGUGCUGCUGGUACUUCCGCUUCUAGUUAUGAUAGUUCAAGAGGAAAAGGGACUAAUGAUGGUAAUGACCCUGGAAAUAAUGGAGGGGAUAUUAGACAACAGCAGCAAAAUGGACAACCAUUUACCUCAUUAACUUGUGAAGAUGAUUUCACACAUUGUACUCAAGAUGAAGACCAUGGCUCUAGAAGAGCUAGUCCAAGUGUUGGAGCCAUUGGAAAGCCAUGUAGAGAAAGACAACAAAGGAUGACGCCAUACAACAAGGACUCAUUUUCGGCUAGUUUUGAGUCAAUGAGUAUAGAGACUCAAUUCAAUGACUCAUUAAAUAAAGCCAACAUUUAUGCUUUUUAUGCAAUGGGUUAUGGUUAGCCUCCUCUAAAUCAUUCAAGUUCCACUGAUGAAGAAUAUGAAAGGUAUAACUAUCCUUCUUCUACACAAAUGUCAUACUACCUUCCAUAUCAAAUGCAACAACAAGGAUUUCAAACUAGCACAUGGGAAAACCUCAUAUUUCCCAUCCAUGGAAAGGUUAUGGGUAGGAGUCAAGAAAUUUAUGCAUGGAAUGUUCAUACUUACAAUCAGUACUAUCGAAACUCCAUGUCCUGGUAUGAAUAUUGUCUUCAACAAGAUGGGAUCCCUUCAUCUAAUAAUGUGAUGGAACCACAUCAGUCUUCAUUUUGGUACUAAGGACUAUUGCAAUGUCUUAUGUAUUACAUUUAUGUAUAAAUUAUUCUCAUUUAAUAAAAUCAAAUAUUCCUUAACUCAAUUCUAACUUUCUAAGUAUAAACUUCCAAAAUUCAUAUUUUCUAUCCUUAAAAUUCAAGUAUCAAACUUCCGAUAUAUCUCUACUUACCGUUAUUUUUCUCCUUGACCAUACCUAUGUCAAUUACACUUACAAACUAGCUUUAACAUGUGUAUAUUCUUGCUUAUUUUAUCUUCUUUUUUUUUUUUUUUUGGAGUUUAUCCAAUCAUUCCCAUGAAUUUUGAAUCAUUUUUGCCCCAUUGAUAUUUGUGUCAAAAAAUCCACCAAUAUUUCUCCAAUAUUUUUUAUACAUCCAUAAAAUCCAAGUAUCAAUAUAUCUGUGUUUACCAAUAUUUCAAACCUUGCUUAUGACUUAGAAAAAUGCAAAAAACCAAGAAUUUCAUAAGUGGCUUGCAAACCAUGUAAGUUUCAUUUGUGUAAUUUUCUUCUACAAUAUGGUUCUAAAGAAUUAAUGCAAUUUAAUUAAGGUUUAAUAUUAAACUAUAAAUAAUGAUGUAUUUCAAUAUCAUAGAGAAAAAAUUUAUAUGUUAAGUAAUCACCAAAAGCAAAUAAUGAACUAUACUUAUUUACUUGUGAAUCAGAUAAUUGAGUCCACACAUAGGGUUCACUUCCACUCAAAAGAUCAUGACAAUCACCAAAGAUAGUGACAUGUGUUUCUAGGGAGUAUCAUGAGGAGGAGGUUGAUUUCUAUGGUGCUUUGUAAUCACAAAAGAUUGUGAUAAUCAAUGUAUCGGUAAAAAUAAUGAGAUAUGUGUUUUGGUGGAGCAUGAUGAUGAGAACGUUGAUUUCUAUGUUGUUUUAUCAAAUGUGAUUAUUUUGAACUAUUUUAUGGACCCAAAUUGUUCACAUGCAUCCUCAUUCGACAACAAUACUCAUUUUUUAUUGUGAAAAAACUUAUUUUUUGAAAAGUUAGAGUUGCCACUUAUUUUUGUUUAUUUUUAAAAUGAAAACAAAAUAAGAAAUAAAACUCUAAUAUGACUCUUUUUUAAAGAAAAAGCAUGCCUACAAAUGUCAAGUCCAAAUCCAAAACUCAUGUUACUUAUUAAGAAAGUAUCAUAAGGUGACACCUCUCUAAGCACUAAAAAAGGUAUCUACUAAGCACGUGAAGAGAAUUAUAAUAAUUAAUUAAUUAAUUAAUUAUAGGUACUAAGAAAAAGAAUGACACAAAUCAAUUUAUAGUAAGAUAUAACAAAUAUUAAAUUAGAAGAAUAAAAAUUAAUUAACAAGGGAAUUAAACAAAUCGGUUUGUUAAAUUCAUUAAAAAGGGAUUUAAUUAUUUUAAAGAUUAAAACACUUUUUAAAGAAAUUUCAAAAGGAUUAAAAAAAAUCAUUCAUUUAUUUUCAACAAGUGAUUUGAUUUACUUAUUAUUAUUCAAUUUUAUUUUCAANNNNNNNNNNNNNNNNNNNNNNNNNNNNNNNNNNNNNNNNNNNNNNNNNNNNNNNNNNNNNNNNNNNNNNNNNNNNNNNNNNNNNNNNNNNNNNNNNNNNACUUAUUAUUAUUCAAUUUUAUUUUCAAGAAAAUUAUUUUUACUCAUUAUUAUUAAAAAAAUUUAUUGAAUGCAAUUUUUUAUAUAUAUAUUUUGAUUUUAUUUUAUUUACAAGAAAGAUGUUUUUAAUUUACUUUUGCUAGAAAAAGAAUGCUUUUCUACGAGUUUAUUUACCAAAGUACUUCAAUGUAAUUUUUAUUUAAGAAAAGUAAUUUUUACAAAUCAUUUAAAAAAUAUUUUUUAUAACUUUAUCUAUAAAAAAAAAAUUUCAAUUUUUUUUGCAAGCAAAUUGAUUUUUAUUACUUUUAUAGAAAACAAGACUUUUACAAUUUUAUUUACAAAAUUAUUAAAAAAAAAAAAAUUGAAUCUAGACAUAUCCUAUCCAUAGAUAUUUCCAAGACUACCCUCUAAUCGAAGGUGGGCUCUCUCACUUUCUUUUUUUCCCCUUGGUUUUUUUUCUCUCUCACUUGAACACCCAAUGAAAUUGGGCAUCCCAACCUUUUUUCUUUCUUUUUUCUGUUCUCCUUUUUCCGUCCCCAACCCCCAUUCCCACUUUCUCACCAAAUUAAAUCAAGUUUUAUAUUACAAUUAAACGAAUUAAGUUUUAUUUUUUUAAUACUUUGAUUUUAACUAAUUUUGUGAAAUAAUUCUCAUCUUUUUUUCCCUAAUUUUGAAAGCUUACUUAAUUAAAAAACAAGUUUUAUUUUUUUAAAGUAUAAUUCAUUUAUUCAUUAUUUUAUAUUUUAUUUUAAAUUUUUUAUAGAAUAUUAAACCUAAAUUUUUUUUUAAAAAAAAAAAAACAUACACACACAAUCCACAUGUGUUGAAAUUAAAUUUUUUGUUUCGUUCAAAAUAAAAAUAGAAAAAAUAUUAUUAAAAAAAUAUUAACUUACCUUUAAUUUCAUUCAAAAAAAUUAGUAAUGAUCAUUCUUUAAGCAUAUUUAAUUUUAAAAACUAUAUUUGAAGGUAUAUAAAAUUAAAAUUUUAAAAGUGUUUGCAUUAAAUUUUUAAAUAUAAAUUCACAAUUCUCAUUAUAAUACAUUGAUAUUAAAAAAAAUUAAUGUUUUUUAUUAAAUGUAUAAAAAAGUAUAUUUUGUUUAAUUGAAAAUUUAAACCAUUAAAAUUGUUUUUAUUUUAAUAAAUAAUGUUUUCAAAAAGUACAUUAUUUACAAUUUUUUGGCAUAUUAUUUAAUAAUCACCGUAAAAGUCAUCAUAAUGACAAUAAAAAACUUAACAAACUAGUACAUCCUACUAUUAACUAUGAUACUUUUAUCUUUACUUUUAGGUAAAAAUAAUAUCAUUAUCCAUGUUUGAUGUAAACGCUGAAGUGAUGAGUAAUAAAGACAUUAGUACAUAAUUUUAUUUAUUGUGGUAAUUUUAGUUAUUAGCAUUGUUACGUAAAAACUAUGUUACUAUUUUCAAUGGUAAGUUUAAUAUAGAGAUUGAAAUGGUGAUUGGGUCCAAUCAAGUGUACCACAUCUUAACUUAUCUCCUAGUUAGAAGGUAUUCUUGGAAACAUGUACAAAAUUUCUAUUUUAGUGUAUGAAAUGAAAGUUAUUUUCUCCAAAAUGUAUUCCCAAUGACUUUUUGGGUUUUGAAUUUAUUCAUAUUUUAUGGACAUGACAUGUUUACAUAAUUUCCUCUUUUUGUUUUUAAAGGUUUUGAAUUAUUUUUUUUUUUAAAUGUUUAUCUAAUUUUAUUAUUAAAAAAACGAUUUUCAUAAUUUUAUUGAAAAAAAAAAAAAGCAUUUCAAUUUGAUUUUUUAUUUUUUAUUUAAAAAAUGAACUUUAAAAUUUUGUUUAAGAAAUAAUUUUUCAUUUUUCACAACUUUAUCUAGAAGGAAAGAACUUUACUUAGAUUUUAUAACAAAUUAUUUUCACAAAUUUUAGGUAAAAAAAAAAUAUCUCAAUUCAAUUUUAUUUGAGAAAAAAGUCAUUCACAAUUUUAUUUAUCUAUAAAUUUAUUUUGAAAGAUGAUUUUUUUUUUUUUAUUUUAAAUAAGGAAUUUUUCUUACUUUUCUUAUAAAAAAAAAAUUUACUUUUUCAAAGAAAAAAAAAAAGAAGAUUUUUUACAAGCUUAUCUAGAAAGAGAGUUUUGUUUAUCUUUUAUUAAAAUUAUUAAAGGAGUGUUUUUUUAUUAUUAUUAUCAACAAAAAAACAAGAUUGCAAUUUUGUCAAAAUAUGAUUUCCAUUUUACAAAAAAAAAUGUUGAUUCAUUAUUUUUAAUAUAUAUAUAUAUAUAUAUAUAUAUUUAAAAAAUCACUUUUUAAGGAAGAGAUUUUCAAAUUUGUAAAGAUAAAAUAACUUUAGUUUACUUGAUAAGAAUUACUUUAAUUUUAUAAAAAAAAUUAUUUAUUAGGAAAACCAUUUCAAAUUUAUUAUUAAAAAAAUAAUUUCAUAUUUUAAGCAGAUUGGUUCCAAAUUUAUUAUAAAUAAAUAGAAAAUAAUAAUAAUUUCAAAUAAAAAAAUUUCAACAUAUUAAAAACAAACUAGAUCUUAGUUUUAUUUUAUCUACUCAAAAAAAGGUUUUAUAUUUUAGGAAAAUGACUAUGAAUUUAUUAAAAAAUAAUAAUAAUUUAUUAAAAAGAAAGAAAAGUCAACAGGUUUAUUAUUAAAAAAAGAAUUUAGUUUAUAAAAAUUAUGAAUUUCUAUUUAUUAUUUUUUUGGUACAUUAUUAUAAAUUAUUAAAAAUUUUAUUUAAAAAAAGAGUUUCAAAUUUAUUAUUAAUAUAAGAACGGUUCAUUAAAAAUAUUUUACAAACAAAAAGAUUUUUAUUUUUUUUUAACAGAUUUGCACAACAACACAAAAAUAAAAAAUAAAUAAAUAAGAAAAGUAAUUUAUGCAUGGUAAUAACAAAAAAUUCAUACUUACCAAAGAAACCAAAAAACUAAACAAAAACGAUAUUUAUAGGGAUAUUUAUCAAAACAAAUCAAAUAUGCACAACUCAAAAAACUAAUAUUUAUAUUAAUGGCAAACAAAAUAAAACCAAUAGAUACAAAUAAAUAAAUAUGAGAACAUGGAUUCAAUCUGCUCUUCCCAUAAUCAAAAUCCAGCCCUCCAUGUGUGCUCAUCUUGGGCCUCAUUUUGCAUCUCCACAACCAACUCUUGGUCAACAAUCAAGUCCAACAAAAAUGAGAGAUUAAAAUGCAACCUAAGGUCCAACAACAAAAUGAUAUCAACAUGCCAUUGAUAGCCCAAAUAACAAGUUAUGCGAGGCCCAAAAUAACAAUGAAAUAUCAAGCCCAAAUGCAAUCAGUGUCAAUCAGUCCAAUUUAAUAAUUCAAAUAAGUUAAAUUCAAUUAGGAAGAUAAACCCAAAGGAAUUGCAUGACCCAUCAAAUAAAGCAAAUGAAGCCCAAAACCAAAUAGACCAAGCAAAAACCCAAACAACAUGGCCCAAAUGAAGCCUAAAUCAAUAAGCUCAAAUCAGCCCAACCCCACAAAUGAUUACUAUUCAAAUCAAAGAAAAAAAUUACCACAUUUUUUAAACCCUAGCACGAAGAAAUGGAAUGGCAUUGAGUGGUAGUGCGCAAUGGAUUGAUGGUGGCGAUGUGGGUUUAGUGGCAAUGGGUAUGAGGGCAAUGGAAAGGAUAGAGAGAGAAGGAUAGAGGGCAAGGGAGAGUAAGGUGGCAUGACGAAGUGGUUGAUCGAUAAUGUGCAUUACCAAUCGUGGGUAAAUCAAGGGUGAAAAUAUCGGUAAUCACGGAUAUAUCGAUACUUCGAUUUUACGGAUAUAUCAGAGAUAUAUCGGUGGAUAUUUUGGAAAAAAAUAUCGAUAGGAUUAAAAUUGUUUAAAACUCAUGAAAAUGUAAGAAAAACCUCAUAAUAAUAUAAUUAGAAGUAUAAUAGACAUUUUAUAGUUAUUUUAUUGAAAAAAUUGAUAUAUGUAUAACAUGAUUUAUCAUAUUUAAUAAUAAUAUCGUAUGCAUCGAUAAAAAUAUGAAUUUUAUAAGUGUACAUUUAUUAUUAAAUUACAUCUAAUUAAUAUUAUGAUAUUUGAUUAUAAUAUAUCUAAUUUUAAAAUAUAUAUUAAUAUUAAAAUUAUGAUCCAUUUAAUUCAAUUGUAUUAAACAAUAUAAAAUAAAUUAUGAUAUAUAUAUGUGUGUAUAUAUAUAUAUAUAUAUAUAUAUAUAUAUAUAUAUAUAAUUUUUUAAUAUUUAAUUAAUUAUUAAUGAUAUUAAAAACAUUAUAAAGAAAAUUAUAUAAUUUUUAUAUUUUUGGUAAUCAAUUAAAAGAAAAUUUUGUAUUUAAUUAUAAAAUAAUUAUAAUUAAUUUGCUCUUUAAAAUAUUCUUUUAAUAUUUUCUUUAUAUAAUGAGUUUUAGUAUAUAUAAGUUUAGUGCACAAUAUAUAACAAAGGCAAGUUUGCCCGAAUGGCAAGUAGAGUGUGGGUUCAAAUCCCCUCAGAAGCAAAAGGAGAAGGCACUGUAGCACAUUGACUUCACUAUAGUGCGUUUGACUUCCAUUGACCCGUGUUGACCAUGCGAUAUAUCGGUAAAAAUCGACGAUUUAUCGCCCAAAUCUCCUAUAUAUCGCGAGAUAUCGCCGAUUUCUCGGGAUUUAUCCCGAAAUAUCAUCGAACCGAUAUUUCUCCAUGAAAUAUCGUGUCGAAACCCUCUGAUACACGAUAUAUCGCCGACAUAUCGCGAUAUUUUCCUCCUUGGGGUAGAUUAGGUGGUGGCAUAGAAGUGAGUAGAGAGAGAAGAUGAGUUUUGUGUGUGUAAGAGGGAAAAUGAGAAAAAAAAACAAAAAACAAAAAACAAAAAAAGAGGUGGGAGUGUUGUUCUUUUUACAACUAUGAACAUGAAAAGAGAAAAGAGAGGAAAAAAAUAAUACAAAAAAAAAAAAUUUUGAACAAAUUUUGAGAUUUACAACUAUGUUUUAGGAUAUAAGGUUAUUCUUUUGAAAUAGACAUGGUUCGAUGCAAACCAAAAAAAGGAAAUAAAAGAUAAUCAUAAUUUUACUAACAUCUAAUUUAGUUAUAGUUGGUAUAACAAUAAUCUUUUGUACAACAAAUGUUCUAUCUAAAUGACUACACGAAUGAUUAUAAGUGGAAAGUAGUUCAAAAAGUGAAUCAUAGAUACAUUUAAAAUGUUUGAUAGAAAAAUUAAUUUUGAUUUUACAACUUGGAGACUUUGUUGUUUUUACUCAAAGAAUUUUUUAAAGUAUCUUUUUUUCUGUGUCUCAUACUAAAUUGAACCUCUUCUUAUUCAAAAUUUUUCCUUUUUUUAUUUGAUUUUAAGCAUCUCACUCAAAAUUAGAACAUCAAACCAAACUCGGAACAACCAUUUCUAUAAGAAAUAGCUUUAGAGAAAAUUUUAUACUACCUCCACGAUGCUUAUCAAUGGAGUAUUUCUAAACAUUAGAUUUUUUUUAAAUCAACUCAUUUGAUUUUGGAAAGGAAAACCAAUUAAUGGCACAAUCGGUUUCCCUCACCUCUUUAUAUCCUACUCUCUUUGGUGUGGAUCCAUGUUCCCUCGUCAAACUUUAAUUUUAGAAAAAGGUUAUAUUCACUAGUGAUUCUUUAAAAAUAAUUCAUUAAGAAAAAUUGCCUUCUAAAAAAGUUAUAAAUCUUAAGUUAAAUUUAUAAAAAUAAAAUAAAAAUAAUUGUAAUUAUCCAAAUUUGUAUUAUAUAUAUUAGAAUUUAAAGAAAAGUAAUUUCAUAAAAUCGAAAUAAAAUUAAAAAUAAUAAAAUUUAUAAAAUUUAUUUAAUAUUCAUAUUUAUUAUUAUUUUUCUUAUAUAUAUUAAUAUAUUUUCAUUUUUUCAAUAAAUUAAAUAAUUUUUUAUUUUCUAUAAUUUUUUAAAAUAAAUUUAUUAGGUUUAUACUAAUUCAAUCUGAGGUAAAACACUUGAGAGGGGGGUGAAUUGGGCAUGGAUCAAUUUUUAUACUUAAAUGAAUAAAAAAGACAAAUAUAAAUAAUUAUGAACAAUAACAAUCAAUUAAAUGAAAAAUAAAAAUAAAAAUAAAUAGAAAGAGUGGAAGCGAAAAUGUACAUUCUAACUUAUAGUGAUUUAGCCUAAUCCCAAUUAGGGAUGACAGUUUUGCAUGCUAUUUGGGUAACCUACCCCCUCCCUAUUGGGACGAGUAUGAGAAGAUGAUGAUUGAGGAUGAGGCAGGUUUAGGAAAAUAUUCCAAACCCAAAUGGAGUUCAAGAAGGGGAUGGGUGCUUGUUAUUAAAACAACAACAAUAAUAAGAAGAACUAUUUCCAUUCCUAUGAUAUAGAGUCAAAAUAUAACCAAAAUGUGAGUUCUUAUUAUUUUAUAAUUCUUUUUUUCUUGUUUUUUGCUUUACUAUUUACAUUAUAAAUAGUUACUUUUUUCACAUUUGUCCUAGAUUAGCAACUUAUAUUCCUUAACAUAUUUGUCAUAAGGUUCACCUCCCACUAAUGAACAAUGAAGGAUAAAUAUCAUUAUUUUAAUGUCAAGAUUUAUUAUUUUUUUCUACGUGUCCCCAAAAAUUUAAAGUAGAUGAAAAUUUUGCUAAUUUGUGGUCUACCAUACAAUCUGUUAUAUAAAUAAGCAAAUGCUCAUUUCCAUUAUGUAUAGUAAUAGUAUGGCCGAUCAUUGUGGGUAUAACAAUAGAUGUUCGGGACCAAGUUACUAUUAUUUCUUUUUCCCACAUUGUGUUAAGCAUAACAAUUUUUCUUAAUAAAUUCUUUGCUAUAAAAGGGCCUUUUUUUUCUCCUCUCAUCGCUCUCCCCCAUCUCUUUAUAUUGCCCAUUUCUACUUCAAACUUUAGAAAUCCAUCUCCAAAGAUGAAUCUAAGAAGAGCAAUAAAAUCAAGCAUUAUUUGUGGAUAAAGCCUUUUUUCUUUUGCAAAUAGAAAUGGAAUCACAACGAUGAUCGACUCCAUGGCAAUAGCGAUAACUUUGAUAUUCAUCAAGAGCCAAUAGUGAUAACUUUGAUAUUCAUCAAGAGCCAAAGCCUUCAAAGCAUCCAUUUCAAGUCCUCUCCUCUUCUAAAGGGUUAGGUUUUGAUUUGGUUUUUAAUCUAAGUCAUAUUUGAGGGUCUUGGCUAGUUGGAUUGUGUAGAGAUAUUCAAUUUUGAUGGAAAUUUUGGAUCUUCUUUUCUUUCUAAUUUGAGUUUUGGUUUGAUUAAUUAUUAUUCCAAGUGUGGAUUUGUCUCAAGUCUCAAGUCUCAAAUCCUUUCAUUUUCUUUUUCCUAUAUGAAUUGAAUUUUUGGAUUUGAAAGUUGAAACUUCUCACCUUUGUGCACAUUCAAUUUUUCUUUUUUCCAACAUUUUCUUUCAAAGACCAUUGUGGUCUCUCAAAAUUUUCGUGGUCUUUUUUUUUUUUCAAAAAAGUAUAUCAAUGGCAUAAAGAUUGUGAAUUUGUUCAUCGGGGAUUUUGUGAAUUGAUGUAAUAUUAUUGGUUUUGAAAAAAUCAUUCUUCCCAUCCAAACAAAAAUAUGCAUUUAGAUUGAGACGAUGUGAGAACAAGCUUAUAUAUAUAUAUAUAUAUAUAUAUAUAUGUAUGUAUAUAUAUUGUAAACGGGGAUGGGUAUUCAUCAACAUGCCUCUUAAGUUUGGAACAAGAAUGGGAAAGGAUUAUAUAAAUGGAAUGGGGAAUGGAAUAGGGGUGCCCCAUUCCAAACCCACCCCAUUGUCAUCCCUAAUUCCAUUCUAUAUCCACUCUUCUCUAACUUCACUAAGCUUAAGGUUCACCCUCUUCAAGGCUCAAACUAAGUCUUAAUCUUGUGUUUAAAGUAUUUUCUUACACUUUCCUCUAGAGACACCUCACUCUUGAAAUCAAACCCUCGGGCGAUACCCCACACUAAAAAAAUUCUCAAAUGAUACUUCACACUUAACAAACCCAGAUGAUACCCCACACUUAGUUAAUUUCCUCUUAAGGUUUACAAAGAGACAUAAAAUUCCCAAUAAUAAAUUUUUUGGCUCAAAGAUUGCAAUUCAAACUAGGAUCAAGGAUGCACUAAAUGAAAUGCAAGUUUAGGCUAAGUUGCACUCAAUAUUUUCAUAAGACUUAAUAAAUGAUUGAAUAAUAUAUAUCUAUAUAGGAGCAACUCCUUCAAUAAAUGAAGAUAUGAGUCUUUAUAUAGGAGUUGAGAAAUUGAACUAUUUGUUAAAUAUAGUAUGAAAUUGGCAUGGGUUUUUCAUCAAACUCAAAUAUCUAUAUUGCAUUAUAUUACAUUAUGUUAUUACAUUAUAUUGUAUUAUUUUAUAUUUAUUUUAAAAGAAAUAUAAAAAGAUAUUGCAAUUUCCUUAUGAGAGAAAGAUUGUACAGAUAAUGUGAGAAAAUAUAUGAAAAAUGUAAUAAGGGGUACAGAGAACGUGAGAGGGGAUACAAAAAAUGUGAAAAAUGAUAUGAAAAAUAUGAGAAAUGGUACAAAAAAAAUAAUAAGAUAGAAUAUGACGAAUGUGAAAAGAGGUACUAAGAAUGUGAGGAAAAGUAUAAAAAAAAUAUUAGAAAUGAUAUAAAUAAUAUAAGAGAUGAUUCAAAGACUAUGUGAAAGAGUAUAAACAAUGUGAGAUAUUAAAAGUACAAGCUACAAAGAAUUUGAGAGAAUGUAUAAAGAAUGUGAGAGGAUACAAAAAAAUGUGAUUGAGGAUAUGAAGAAUGUUAGAGAGGAUAUGAAAAAUAUGAGAAGAGACAUGAAGAAUAUGAGAAAUUGUAUGAAGAAUGUGAAAAACUAUAUGAAUAAUAUGAGAAAAUGUAUGAAAAAUAUGAAAAAUGAUACGAGGAGUUGUAUCCUUUGUCACAUUUAUAGUUUCUACUCUGAUAUUUGUUUAUGUGUUUUCAUACAUUCUUCUUACAUUUUCUCACAUCCUUCAUACAAUUCAUAUAUUCUUCAUAUGUACCUCUACUCUUACACUCUUCAUGCGUUUCCUAUUCUUUAUACCCUUUUCAACAUUCCUUAUACAUCUUCUUACAUUUUUCAUAAUUUUUAUAUAACUUCUCAUAUUCUUUGUACUUCUUACAUUCUUCUUACAUUCUUGGUCUUAUGUAUUAUAUUAUUUGUACAUUUUCUCACAUUGUACUAUCUCUCAUAUUCUACAUAUUUUUUUCCACAUUGUUUGUACUCUUUUGUACAUCCUUUGUAUCUUUUCUCACACUUUUCAUCCUAUCUCUCAUUGCUCAUACCUUUUUCUCAUAUUUUUUGGUACCGUCUCUUACAUUAUCCUUUCUACAAAUAACCAUAUGGAGAUGAAUUCUUUAGUUAAUAUGCAGUUAAUGUUAGUUAGAUAAUAAGUGAAAACUAACCAAAGGUCAAGAAAUUGAAAUAUCUUAAUUGAAGAGAAUAAAUUACAAUAAGUGAAAAAUUAAUAUUGAAUUAUAAAAAAAUUUAAUUCCUAAUAAAAUUAAUAUAAAGUAUUAAACAUAUUUUUUAUGAUAGAUAUGUACUACAUCCUUUAUUAUUUUAUAUAAAUAAAAUAUUAAAAAAUUUAAUCAAAGUAAAAGUUAGAACAACAGGCUCUUUGCAUAUAUCACCAACAACUAUUUCCCUACAAAAAUACUAUCAAAAGGAAACCAUCGUGAGCACUCCCCACAAUCUAGAAUGAAUGGAUCAAUAAACUCCCCACAAUCUAGAAUGAAUGGAUCAAUAAACUUGAAUUUGUAAAUUACCUAUCAUUAAUUUUUUUACCACGUGGAUGUUUAGUAAAACUUAAUCCUUAUUAUUUAAGAAUUUAAUUUGAAUUUAAAUUAAAUUAUUAUUAAGUUAUUAGCUAAAAACUUAUUACUUAAUUUUUACUUUAAAUAUUAUGGUUGUUUAAUAAAAUUAACUUAAAAUUUAUUAUUAUUCAUCAAAUUGAUAUAUUUAUCCUCAUAUUUAUUGUCAUUAAUUUUAAGCAAUAAUUUUAUUUAUAAAACGUCUAUAUUUAAAAACAUAUAUAUAUAUAUAUAUAUAUAUAUAAAAGAUAACCAUAAAAUAUUUAUUAUAAAAAUUGAGUUAUAAAUGUAAAAUCAUAAUUUUAAAAUAUACUCUUAUGGGGUAAUGAGGCAAAAAGGAUUUGACAUUAUUCAUAAAUAAACUAUUUGGACUCGAUACUUAAAAUUAAAAUAAUUUUAAGCUAUAAUAUUAAAUUAUUUUUUUAAGCAUAAUUAAUCUAUUUAAUUAUUUAAAUUAAGUUAUUAAGUGGUAUUAAGUCAUUAAGUUAAUUCAUCAUACCUGUACAUAUAAGCAUUUUAUAACCUUGCUUUUCAUAAGCAAACUCCAAACAGGUUGCUUUUCUUGACACUUGAUAAUUCUUCUAGCUUUAUUAUUCUUUUAUUUCUGAUCUCUUUCAUUUCCUAUGGCGCCCAAUAUCAUAUGGACCAUUCUCCAUGUCCUACUGUAUUGUUUGUUUUCCAUGGAAACCUCUUUUUCAUCCAUUUAUACUCUCCCACAAUUUUUCAGUUUCGAAAGGCAGACAGGGCUACUCAGAGUCUGUGGGUAACAAUUCUAUGGGCUCUAGCACGACUUUUGGUUGAUAAAAUGUGUGGGAUGGAAUGAAGCCCAGCUUCCCAUGCGAGUUGCCUACUUCUCUUCUUGGUUUACUGGUACCAUGAAACCAGGUUUGAAAAAUCGGUUCUUUUGGCCGAAAUAUCGAUGAAAAAUCAGUUAUCGGCGGUGGUCGAAACGAUUUUGGCCACCGGUCGAGAGAAAAAUCGGCCAAAUGUCGGAGAAUCACGGGGAAAUUUCGGUUUUGGAGCAAAAUUUUGACGAAAAAUGGGGCAUGGGGCGAUGCGUGCGGUGAAGGGCGGUCUAAAAAAAAAACCGAAAAAUCGGCAAUUUUUUUUGGAUUUAUCGCCGAUUUUUUCAAAAAAACCAAUGAAAGUUUUUUUUUUUAAAUAAUAUAUAUUUAUCCUUUUUAUUUUUUAAUUACUUAUUUUUAAUUUAUGUUUUAUUUUAAAUUUAUGUUACCAUUUUAUUUUUAACUACUUCUCAUAUUUAUCUCAUUAAUCCUAUUUUAAAAAAUUACUAUCACUUCUCUCUUAAUUUUUUUAUUUAUCCUUUUAAUUUCAAAUAUUUUUAUUUUAAAAUAUUAAAAAUAUAAUUUUACUCAAAAAUUGCUACAAUAUAAAAAAAAAUUAAUGAAGUCCUAAUAUUUUAAAAAUUAAAAUUAAUUUGAUAAGAUAAAUUAUUAAUAAUUUUAAUUAUUUAAAUAAAUUAAUAUUAAUAGAAAAAGUUAUCACCACAUAUUUGUAAUAAAAUUUUAAAAAUUAAAUCUAAAACAAAAUAUUUUAUAUAAAUCAAUUUAUUUUUUAUUUAAAAUGUAAUAAAACAUGUUUUAAUAUAAAAGUAUUUUUAAAAAUUUUAAAUAAAUGAAUAUAAAUAUAUUAAAGGAAUUUAAGCUAAUUUUUUUUAUAAAAAUUUGAUAAAUAUUAUCUUUAAUCAUAUUUAUAUUAAUUACACUUACAAAAAUAACUUUAAUAUGUGUAUUUUUAUUUAUUUUAUCUUUUUUUUUUUUUAAGUUUUCUAAACAUUUUCAUGAAUUUUAAACUAUUUAUAUUUUAUCGAUAUUUUUGUCAAAAUAUUCACUGAUAUUUUUCCGAUAUAUCCAUAAAAUUCAAAUACCGACAUAUCCAUUAUGGAUAUUUCAAACCUUGCAUGAAACUGGGACUGCUUAAUCUAGUUUGAACCAUUGAAGCGAUUUUGAGAUCAUCAAAAAACCAAACCAUCCAAUGUAAAGACGAUAUUUAGUGUUGGUUAUCUAUAAGGUCGGGAUCAUCAAAGCACCACACCAAACCAUUAAAUGUAAAGACGGUUUUUAGUUCUAGUUAUCCAAUUAUAGAAGUAACCCUAUUGGCUUUUGCUUUUGCGUCUCUUAAAAAAUUACAAUCAUGGUAAAAUCUUGAUUUAUUUAAUCAUCAAAGACUUCCAAUCACAUGAUAAUUUUUCUAUGAAGCUCGUUAAAUAUACUUUCUAUUUUUUUGUUUUUAAAGAUAAGAAAUAAUAGUAAAACACUAAGUUAUAAUGAAGUGAUAAUAAAUAUAGAAGUUUCUAAAUCAUCAAAACACCAAACCAUCCAAUGUUUAGUGUUGGUUAUCUAUAAGGUCAUGAUUAACAAGACAUCAAACCAUUCAAUGUAAAGACGAUUUUUCAAUUCUAAUUAUCUAAUUACAAAAUCAAUCCCAUUUGCAUCUCUCUAAAAUUAUAAUCAUGGUAAAAUCUUGAUUUAUUUAAUCAUCAAAGACUUGCACACGAUAAUUUUUGUAAGACACUUGUUAAAUAUCCAUUCUAUUUUUUGUUUUUAAAUAUAAGAAAUAAUAGCAACUACUAUAUAAAAUACCAUUACUUUUAUACAAAAAUACAAAAAGGAGAAAAAAGAAAAAGAGAGAGAGAGGGUGGACUUCCUUAUAUUCUUAAAAUUACCGUCAAAUUUUUAAAAUUAUGAAGUAAAAAAAAUUCUUUAAUAUUUAUUUAUUUUAAAUAGUUUUGAAAAUCAUUAUUCUAUAGGAGUUCUUAUUAUUUACUAUUUUUAAAUAUAAAAAACAAUAAAUAUGUCCCAACACCACUCAAAGUUAAAAAAAAGACACCUAUAAUUAGAAAUCAAAAUAUGUUACCUACUUUAUACCUACAUAUUAUUAAUAAUUUCAAUUUUUUUAUUACAUAUAGUUUUAAUUAAAAAAAAUAGUUGUAUUUUGUAUCUAAGAGUAUGAUCAUAUAUAUUAACAUAAAAUAUAUAUAAAAAUUAUAUUAGGUCAAGUUUCAAUUGAAUUUGGAUAAACAAAACCUUGAUUAAUCUUAAAUAAAAUUAAGGUUUAUUGAUCCAAUCUUUUUUUCUUUUUUUUUUUUUUUUUGUGUUUCCUUUUUGGUGUUUUUUCAAAUUUAAUAUGAGAUACUUAGGCUUAACUCAAACUGCAGGAUUGCAUAAAAUCUAAUCCAGGCACUCUUUACCCUCAGAAUAAACCAACAUAUAUGAUUUCAUAUGUUCAGUGGGGAGAGAGAGAGAGAGAGAGAGAGAGAGAUGUGAAUUCCUUUAAAAGUGUUAUCUCUGUUGUACUUUGAUUUAUCGGCUAAUUGGAUUAACAUCGCUGCUGAAAGCAACAUGUAUCGUAUUUAAUAUGCGAUUUCCAAGUGGUGCCGCCACUCCCAUUAUCUGUGACAAUGUUACCCACCAUUUAUUAUCUAUGAGAUGUAGACGUAGGAUUUGGAGAUGAAUCCCUUUUAAGUUUUAUCACAAGGGGAUUCAUUUAAAAAUACAUUCCAUAAAGAUUGACAUGUUGUUCAAAAUUAAUGAAAUAAAAUUACUCAAAAAUACAUUCCAUAAAGAUUGACACGUAAACUUUGUUUUUUUUUCUUUUUUCAUUUCUUUUAUUUUUUUCACACUUAAUUGUUUUUCAUAUUCUUCUAAUUAUAUUUUAAAACAAAAUAGUUUCUUUAAAUAAUAAAUUAUAAAAUGAUUUUUUUCACCAAAAGUAUAUUAUGUAAAAUGAUUUUAUUAUAUUCAAUGUUUUAAUGUGAAACUCAAAACUCAAUUUUUUUUAAAUAAAAUUAUUAUUAAAAUUUUAAAAUAAACAAUAUUUAAUUGGAAUGGUUUUUUUUAAAAAUAUAUUUUUUAUUGUGUUCAAUAUGAUUUCUUUUGUAACCCAAACAAAAAUAUUGCAUAUAACUAAAGAUUGAUUAAGAAUAUGAGCAAUGUAAUAAUUAUUUGUGUAUGCGAAAUGAAGACUCAUAAAACAAAGUAUGUAAUCAAGAGCCUAAAAAAGGUCAAAACAUGGUGGGACUUAAAUUAAUAAUUUAUGUGGCUACUAUAAUGUUUUCUUACAAAAAAUUAGUAAUUUAGUAAAUAUUAUAAACAAAUAAAAGAAUUAGAAUUUUAUAAUUAUUAUAAACAAAAUUUAUUUCAUGAAGAAUUUUCUAACUAUUAUAAACGAAAAGAAAUUUAGUAACUAUUAUAAACAAUAAAAAAAUUCAAUUUUUAUAAUUAUUAUAAGAAAAAAAUUUAGCCCAACCACCGUCGUCGGUGGUCGCCGACUUCCAUCCCUGCUCCAAACCCUAAUCGUUGUCGUCGCUGUUACCUCCUAGGAUGUUGGAGCCCUAUCCAGGUCGCCCUUUUUUUUUUUUUUUUGAUAAAUAUAUAUAUAUAUCUCUUUAUAUAAAAAAAAUGAAAGUUAUAAAUUUUACCUGAAAAUAUUGAAUUUCGUCAUUUAUUAUAUUUCGUAUGUGAUUCGUAGUCUUAAUCAACUAGAAUUUAGAUUUAAUAUGUUGAGAGGAGGUUAGAGAUAGUUCUUUAUUAAAAAGGGUAUAUGUGAAAAACAAAAUAUGAUAAAAAAAGUGUUACGUUUAACAAAAGGGAUGUUGCGAAUAGUAGCCCCCAAAAAGAUUUCACCCCUAAACUAUUCAUUACAAAGCUUUCAUUCUUUUGUAAGUUUUUAUUUUUUUUUUUCCUAUAUUUACAAAAUAUUUUCUUUUCAUAAUUGAGAGAGAAGUUGUUAGCAAGAAAAAAAAACUUUGGUAACCUCAUAUAAGGGGUUUUACCAUGUAAGUUUUUUUGCCUCAUUAUUAUAAUUGGGCAAAAAUACUUGAUAAAACACCCUCACGAGAUAAAUUACAUAAAAUUACAACCUCUUUCUCAAUUAGAAGGAGAAAAAUAUUAAGAUGGAGGCCCUUUAAAUAGCCUAUAAAAAUUGUCUCCAUUACUCUCUUAACUAAUGUGUGAUGAUUUAAACCUUAGCAUUGUUUGAAAAUUAUUUUCAAAACAAUUAUAAAAAAAAUUAAAUUGUUUUAUAAUGUUUUAUAAAAUAAAAUUCUAUUUAAUUUUUUUUAACAUGUUUUCUAUAUUUUAAAUAUAAUUUUUAUUAUAAUGCUUUAUUUUCAAUUAUUAUUUAUAUUUAUGAAAUUAUUUUUUAAAAUAACUUCUAAAAAAAAGCAAAAAUAUAAAUAUGUUUAAAAAAAAAUACCCUAUUUAUGUUUUUUUUUUUAAAAAAAAAACUAUUUUUGUGUUUUGAUUACUAAAUAUGUUUUUUCUAUUUUCCUUAAAAAAAAUAGGAAAAUUUGUAUACAUACAUGAAGACAUUCUCAACCUUUUAUUUUAUUUUAUUUUUGAAAUCUGUAAGUAAAGCAAUUGGAUUUCAAGGAUACAAAAGCAUGGAGCUAAAAUAACUCAUUCCGAAUGUUUUUUAAAAUAUUAUUAUGAGUUCCUUUUUUAUUUUUUAUUUUUAUUUUUAUCUAAGUAACUACCUAAAAGAAUGGAUAAAUAAUUCAAUCUUGGUGUAUUCUAAUUUAAAAAUUUAUUUGAAUUUUCUUAGGAUGUAUUUGACGGUCAUUCUACAAAAUGUUUUUAACUUUUUUAAUACUUGAAAUUUUUUAUUUUUCAAGUAUUAGAAAGGUUAAUAACACUUAUUAGAAUCAUUAUCAAAUGCACUCAUAGUCAUCAAUUAGGACAUACAUUAUUAAAUAUACAUGAAAAAAUAACCUUUCAUUUAGACCUCUGGUAAUAAAUUUUUAAAUAGAAUAAAAUUAAUGGAAAUUUUUAGUCAAAUUAAAAAAAAAAAAUCAUAUUUUGAUGAAGUGUUGAUCUUAGUAAACACAGCAGGUAGAAAAUAUACUUUUUAAGGGCACUAGCAGCUUUAGUUAUUUGGUGGUGUCCAUUUCAUCACUUCAUUGUCUCCACUUUUCACUUCAUGCCAAAUCAUGUGAAGGCAAGUUUAAUCCAAGAACCAAAGACAUGGGCAUAGUUGUUAAUUAAUUAAUGGGAGCCACUUGCCCAUUGGAAAUAGUCAUUAAAUUUAUGGUGAUGGACUCCUCAAUGUAAUGGAAAAUGUAGUUGACUUGAUUAGGAGAUAGAGAUGAAAUUAUUUAAUUAUAUGAUGAUAUACUUCUAAUGAGUGUGACAAGCAUUUCAAUAUUUCAUUACAACAAGAUAUCUAGGAGUUGGAGAAUAAUAUAAUGGGUCAGGUUCUUGUUAACCAGCCCUACUGAGAUUGUUAUUGAUGGUGACAUGGUUAGGGAAAGGGAGAGCGAGAAAAUAAUGUUCUUAUACUUCUUAUUGUUGUCUAGUUUAUAUUAAUAAUCACUUGUGCUUAUGAGAUAAGGAUGUAUUAUUAUAUUUAUACUAUUUUAAUUUCAUUUUUUUUAUCAUAAUUUUAUUAUUUCAUUUUAUUUUUUUAAUUGUUGUGAAUGUUGUGAGUGGGUGAGUUUUAUAAGAGAAUAUGGACUUACAGUAUAAUGUAACGACGUUAUCCACUCUCUUUCUUUCAUAUUAAAAAAAUUGAGGAGUUAUACAUUAGAGAAACAACGCUGAGUUAAAUGAAAAGAAUAAUUAUAUCGUGAUAAUACUUUUAUUUUUUAUUUUUUUAUUUUAGUAAGUAAUGAUUAAAUGUUUGGUUCGUGAAAUCAAAUUUUUACAACAAUUGGAUUCUAAAGAUCGUUGUAUUUUCGGAGAAGAAUACUAAUCAACUCUGGACAGAAGAAGACUUGAUUUUUCUUAAGAGAGCACUUCAAUGCUCCUCGAUCAAGCUUUUUCUAAUCUUUAUAUUUUUCUAAUUAAUAUAAUCUUUGAUUUAUUGUUGAUAUUGGAAUUUAUGUAUAUCUAAAUAACUUUCUCUUUACUACAUCUUAAAUUGAUAUUGUCAUCUUAAGUGAACUAGUAUUUUCUUAAGGGUCCUAAUAGUCUCUAUUCGAACUCACAUUCCUAGGUGACACAUUGUUUAAAGGAAGGGCGUUUUGGUAAACAUGUAACAUUACACAAGAACUUAUGAAUGAUUUUUUAUGAUAGUACUAAUUAAUUAAUUGCAGUCUAAUGAGACUAAUUAAUAAAUUAAGACUCAAUGAACUAGAUUAAGUGACUCAAACUCAAAAUAUGUUCAAGUUACUUAAUCACAUAAGAAAGUUUAUGUAAACCCUUUCUAAGGGUUUAGAACACUAAUCAUUGUAUCUUUAAGAGAAGAACAAUGGUCAAUUCUAUAUAGAAGAGAAUAUAUUUUUUCUUAGGAUAGUGCACCUACGACCUCAAUUGAACUUUUUCUAAUGAAUUUAAUUUUGAUAUUUAAUUAUUAUUGAAUUUUAUUGGAAUAACAAUAAUUAAACAAAUUUUUUUGGAUAAUUUUUUAUAUUUACCUAGUUUUGAAUUUAGGGCAUAUAGAUAAAAAAAAAUCUGCUUAAAAUAUAUAAUAUUAAUAUUUUUAAAAUUUUAAAUUAUGAAGCAAUGAAAUAAUAACAUAUACUAUGUUAUUUCAUUUAUCUAUUUAUUUUAUUUUGUUUGAUAAAUAUUAGGAGAGAUUGCUAAUUUCAACAUACCAUCAAUUGACAAAGAUUUUUUUUUUCAUUUUUAAGGGAAAAAUAAUUUGCAAUAAUUAAGUAUGAUAUCUUGAAAAAUGUGCAAAGUUUCUAAUUCAUUUUAGUGUGAAGUUUAUUAAUAAAAAUACAAAGUGGCAAAUUGCAUGGCAUGUUAAAUAGGAGGGUAGGCAUUGAAAAAAUUAAUAAAUGUGGAUGAGGGUGCAUGUGGUGAGACUAUGUGCUCCCUAGGGAAAGUUGAUGGUUUAUUUCCAUAUAUUAUUAUGGCCAAUGUUGAAGUGCAUCUCAUGUGCUAACCAUAAGUUUACCAUUAAUUUUGUACUCAUAUCGAGUGUUCAUUAAAUCUCAUUUAAAUUUUUUAUUGUCGUCCUCGAUUUUUGAGCUAGGUUUACAAAAAAAUACAAGAUUAAAAUAAAAAUUAAAGGUAUGUUCAAGUGUUUUUCUAGCAAAUCUCUCUUAUGGCUAAGUUAACUUGGAGGAUUCAAUGGAGUAAAUUUAAGGGAAAGAAUUUUCUUACCUCCAAUUUUUGUCCUUUUAUUGUUAUAUGAAAUACAUUUUGUAAUAUCUUUUUGACCAUUAUAACCUCUUUUAAUUAGGUAACGUUGACUUGUUGAUGCUGCAUAACGAUCGACUUGCACAUAAUGGACAUUCAUUUAAGACGACUUACUAUCCGAAUAGACUUUGGUCAAACGAAACCAUUUGAAUUGACAUUACUUGAGAUGAGAUGUCUACUAAAUAUCUUACUGUUCAAGUGCCCACAAUUACAUUAUUGAAAAAAAUAAUAAAUAAAAUUAGAAUAAUUAUAUAAUGAUAAUUAUGUAAAAAAUUAUUUUUUAUUCCCUAAAUUGAAUGUAACUUCAAAGUAGUAAUAAUGACAAUAAUGUAAGCAAGAAAAUUUAGAAAAUAAAAUAAAAUGAUUAUGAAGAAUACCUAAAAAUUUAAAAGUGAAAGACACGGUACACAAAACCAAUAAACCAAAAUUAUUUGAUAUAUUCAUUAAAAGUAUUUUUUAAGUAGGGAAAAUGUAAAUCAUUGCAUAUUCUUUUACAAAAACUUCACUCUUUUCUAGGUAGCAUAUUAUAGGUGUUGAUAUUAGUGAUGCUAGGGAGAAUUUUUUUUUAAGACUUUAAAAGCAACGGUUGAAAGUGAAAAGCAACUUUCAAUAUUGUCUGGACAUAACUUUUAGUCAUAGAUUCUACACUUUAAUAAUGUGAUUUAUUGGUAAUUUUUUGUUAUCAAGCAUAAUGAAAGAAAUGAAAAUUUUUAUUUAAUUAAAAUUAUAUAAAAAUAUUAAAAUUAAUCUUAUAUGUAAUAAAAAAUAAUUUCAAAAAUCAAAAUAAAAUCUUCAAAUAAUCCACUAAUUACGAUCGAGUUUCACCCUUGUAAUCUUAUAUGCACAAAAUGCAUCAACACUCUACGAUUAAUAUGAUUUUUUUUAAUUAAUAGAUAAUUGAGUAUUAAUUUACUUCAUGGAUACAGAUAUCACAUUGAUCGUCGAAUUAUGUUAAAAUUUUCAUAUUUAUUGUAUGUGUACAUAAUUUAGUUAACACCCGAGAAAACAAUUUAAUCAUAUUAAAAGGUAAUUUGAUUACAUUUUAGAGCUAAUUUAGUCUAAGCACUUUUGUGAUUAUUAAAUCCAAUAACAAAUAUUUCAUUUUUAUUUAAUGCAAUAACUCGGCAAAUGGAAGCAUCACGCCUCCUCCACAAUAGUCUACACCCUCCACGAAAACCUAAAAUCGUAUUAAAUUAAAUAAACCCCUCUCUCUUAUCUAAUCCAGAACCACAAUCAACCCUGAAUAGGGAUGACGUGUAACAUUUGAUGGGACGGAACUUAUAGUUUGUGCAUAAAAAUUAUAAUUUAAUGAGUUGAUUAGCUUAUUAAUUCACAAAACAGACAUUAAGUUACAACUCAUCUCAAGAGUCAUGACUAAUCCUUUCACAGCCGAAAUUCCCAGAGCCAUAUACGUCACCCAGUACAUCAAAUUUCAAAAUUAAAAUUAAUGUAACAUAGCCAAGUGUCACGCCACCUAUUAGGAUUCCUAAAAAUAAAAAUUAAUUAGCAAGUUUUAAAAUAUAGGUGGGAGAGCCCUUUCCAACUUGCAUAUAAUUUGUUAAGUAGCGUUGAGCUUUUUACUUCAUUGAUUUCAAAUUUAAAAAAUAAAGCACCCUUAUAAAUUUAUUUUGUUUAUAAAAUUUAUGUUUUAGGGAGAUUUUAAAUAAAAAAAAAAUUUAGAUAUGAGUAUUUAAUAAUUUUUUAAAAACUAUAUUUUAUUUUUAAAAAUUUAAAAUUUAUAUAUAAAAAACAUUGGGGUGCUAACUGAUAACAUGUAGCUUAGUACUGGUAACAUAUAGCUUAGUGUAUUUAUAUUAAAUCUUAAGGUGUCUCAAUAAAAUUAAUCCUAAUAAUAAAAAAAGGGAAUUGAAAUGAAUUAUAAUAUUAUAUAAAACAAGAAUUGGUCCUCCCCCUUAUACAAUAGGGUCGAGACACUAAUCAUGUCAAAGUCUCCUAUCAAACAAAUUAUUGAAGUUGGUUCUAAGUCGAUUAGUGAUCCAAAAAAGGUUGUUGAACAUAGUAUCAAAGGGACACAACCUAUCAAAUGUGUUCUAAAGUCCAUGGAUAAAGAAGUUAAAGAGAUGACUUAAUUGCAGUCGAAUCAACGGAGAUUAGAGGAACAAUCCUCAUAGUCACUAAAGGUAACUAGAGCUGGUUUUUUUUUUUUUUUUUUGUUAUAAUCCCAAUAUGAUUUGAGUUUUGAUUUUUAUCAAAAUGAUUUUUUUAUCAUUAUUUUUAUAACAAGACAAAUCUAAAUAAAGUAAUAAAUGAAAAAUAAAACAAAAUUUUCAUUGCUAAGGGAAUGCUUCAAAACAUGGUACAAUAUUUUAAAUCUAGGAUAAUUAAAUUAUCAUGUUCUAUCUAUACCAUUGCAUAAAGAGAAUGGUUUUUUAUUUCACUUUGUUGAGGACAAAAAUAUGAGUUUUAGCCAAAUAGAAGAUUAAUGAAUAAAAAACGACAAACUGAAAUUUAAAAGUACAUAUUUAAAAGCAAGAUCCAAAAUGUCUAGAAAUAGAUAUCUUUUACAAAAAAUAUCUCCUAAAGGCCCACCCAAGUAAUGAUUCUCCGCUCCCAAUCUACCCUAAAAUCAUUACAAUGAUUCAUUACAAAAUCAACCAUAAUUCGCAUUUCAUGAACAAUGAACGUGAUGGCACAUGAUUUUGUUUCAUGAGGGUACGUUUGUUUCAUUUGAAGGAAAGUUAAAAAAUUUUCAUUUAUUUAACUCUCCUAUAUAAAUAUUAAAUAAUUUAAAAAUAUAUAAUUUUUUUUAAAUAAUUUUAAUUAUAUUUGAUUUUUUUUAUAUUUUUCAUAAUAAAACCAAAAUAAGAAAAUAAUUUUCUCUAACUUUUUUUUUCUUUCUCUAAUUUUUUGGGAAUCAAAUAUAGCUUUAAUAUUAUCAAGAAAAAAAAAAUAUAAAAAAAUAUAAAAUAAAGAAAAGAAAUAACUAAAAAAGAUUUUAUUACAGUACCAAUCAACCAAAUUACGAUAUUUAUGCAUUUUAGAUCCUAUUGUUUUGUAUAAAAAUUUAUUCAAUUAUUUUGUAUCUUGAUUUUAUUUAUUUGUAUUUGGUUUUACUUUAUUAAUACGAGAGUAUAUAUAUAUAUAUAUAUAUAUAUAUAUAUAUAUAUAUAUAUAUAUAUAUAUACACACACUGGGGUUCUUACUCUACCAUUUUGCAAGUAAAAAGAGGUAGUAGUGGACUAUAAAAAAGGGGAUUGGAAAAUGAUGUAUAGGUGGUUGGUGAAAAAAUGGUAUCCAACAAAUGGGUGUCUUGAAUUCCACUUUAUAGGGUGAGGAUGAGAUACCAUCCCUUCCAUCUCCCCUCCACCAUCCACUUUUACUCCACCAAACCCUGGGGUUGGAGCUCAAUAUACCUAUAUACCCACUUUCACAACAAAAAUUAAAUUAAUAAAAAAUUAAAAAAUAUAUUAUUAUAUUCUAAAAGCUUUGACUUGACUAAUAUUAUUUUCUCUGGGAUUUUAAGGAUCAAAUUAAAUUUAACUUGAAUAAAUUAUUUUUUAAUUCAAAUUAAAUUUGAGAAUGGGUAAAAGUGGCAUUUUCGCUAUCAUAGUAUCCGAUGCUACCAACCGUCUUAUGGAAACAAUCGGAAGAUAAGCGGUUCAACUAACUUUUCAUGUUGAGUUUCUACGCACUCAAAUAUUAAUAAAGAAGAUCUACCUGUAUAAAUUUUAUAAAAUACUUGAUUUUAUGGAAAAUGAUAUUAUAUUUAUUUUUAAAAAUUAAUUCUCUUAUUUAAAUUAUUUAAACACAAAUAAAAAGUGAAUAAUAUUUUAAUUAAUUAUACUUUCCAAAUAAAAUCUUGUGAGGUUUGGAGAAUCUGACAUCAAAUCUGAUCAUAAUUAAAAGAAAGAAAAACGAGAUCCAUCAAAUUACGUUUCAGAAAAAAAAAAAAAAAAAAAAAGGAAAAAAAGUAAACCGAGUCAGCAGUGGCCAGUGAGCACCACAUUAAUCAGAGUGGAGAUUCCAAUUGUUUUUCUAAACCUGGCUAUCCCAAUUUGUAAUUUUAUUUAUUUUUAUUUUAUAUAUAUAUUUUUUCUGGAGCCACUGCUGCAAGCAAGAUUUGAGUGCCAAGAGUGUGAAGAGGAAAAAGAAGAGGUGGUUGAUGUCUUCCUUGGAAAAAGAAUUCUAAGAAAAAGACAGCGGUGGUGGCCGGUGGGGGCGAUGAGCGGUUGGAAGGUUUUUGUGUGAGAGAGUGUGUGUGUGUGUUUGAGGAUGAGCAAUGGGAGUGAAGAAUUGAGGUUGCGGUGUGGUGGUGGAGCAGGGAUUGGACUGGUUGGGAGACCAUUUGCUAGGGUUUUUUCGGAGUGGAAUCUGGAGGAGAUGGUGAGAGUUUGAAUUCAAGGUUGGAGUUUCAUAAUUCUGAGGGAAAUCAGUGGGCGAAUAUGAUAUCCGGCGGGGUUAAUUUGGUGAUGACAGUGAUUGGAUUCGCGGUGAGUACGAUGUUCAUCGUUUUCGUCUGCACGCGCCUCGUUUGCGCCCGAAUCCAGUUGAACGCGUCGCGGAGAUCGUUUCCUGUUGCUUCCAGAUCUGAUCUUAGUAUUGUGAGCAUUUUUUCUUAUCUCUUUUUGUCCUCAGUGGUUCCCUGUUUGGUUACUGCAAAAGCAUGGGACUGCAGAAUGGAAAACAUAGUUUUGAAUCUUUUGUUUCCAAAUAAUUGACACCAUCUCUACCGAGCUUAUUUUUUCUUCCAAGUUUUCUUAGCGGCCAAACAGAGGAUAAUGUUUCAUUUUUUCCCCUCUGUAAUUAAAACAGAGGAUAAUGUUACAAUUGUGCCGCUAGCGCUCUUUUACCUUCUCAUCCCUUCUUUUCUUCUCUUGCUAUUAAUGUGUUUUGGCAUUUGUUUGACUAAAAUUUAAUGGUUAUGAUAUCAUUUUAGCAUUAGGAAGGGGUUUGCAUUUUUUAUCUUGUAUAUGGCCUUUCAGGUUUUUCUAUUUGAAUUACACUCGGUUUUCUCUUAAAAUAGGAAUAUCAUAAAUUAUUUAUUUAUUCCUUUGAUCUUCUGAUAUGCCCUUCUUGUGUCUCUCUGUUUUGUACUUCUAACUACCAUCACUUUGAUCUAGAUAAAUUGAUCAUAGUUUUUCUUUUUUCUUUUUUGAACCCCUUUUAGUACCUUAUACCGUUCUUUGCUGGUUUGGACUGGUAGGUAUUGAUCUAUUGCUUCUGGGUUUGGGGUUUACUUUUAUGGGCCUCGCCGGUCCUUUUGUUUGCUCUCAUGUAUUUGAAAUGCAAUAACUAGGAAGACAGUUUUAAAUACCACACAUAAGUUACCUGGCAUGCCAGUUUGGUGCAGCUCUUUAUUGUGUUUGCUAGUAGUUUUCCUAAUAAGAAAGAAAAACAAGUGAAGGAACAUGCUUUAGUAAGAGGAAAACCUUCUACUUCUUAAUGGAUAUUUGGGUAUUGGAUGUAAAUUUUUUUAGAGUAUAUGAUGCUCUAAUUUGAUGCACACCUUCUCACCUUUAGAAGAUUUGAUUUAUGUUCUCUGGAGCACUCAAUUGUUGUUCACUUUUUAUGGUACAGUUGGAGCGAGGUUUGCAUGGCCUUGAGCCUGCUGUUGUAGCCAACUUUCCAACAAAGAAGUUUGCUGAUGAGUUUUUCUCCCCUGCAGAGGAUGCUCAGUAAGUCCUUUUCCUUGUGCUAUUCUUAGUAUGCUAGCUGUUUUGCAUUGUCACUCGUCUGGACUAGACUUGUGGGGUGAGAUUCUACACAUCCUCCUUUGUAGUGAUAUUUUGAUAUAAACCAUUAAGAUAUCUGCUUCCUAUGAUAGAGAGAAGAUAAAAAAUCAAAUCAUUUGAUUUCUAUAGGAAGUUAUCCCAUUAGAAUUUUCUGUCUGUGUGGCAUUGAAGUUUGGUCUUACAUUGGAACACACACUAGUCAUUUGGAGUCAAUCAUUUGAACUGAUGGAACUGAUCAUCAGAUGCAAAACUGAGGAGACAGUAGGAGUUUUCUUUUGUGUAAACCUCUGCUAUCUCUAUUAUUUGUUGCUGUCCCAAGGGGGAAGAAUAUGAGAGGGGGACAUGGAAAAAAAAUGGAAAUUGAGCGGUACAAUUUUUUCAUUUGUUCUAAUGCAAUUUUGUCACUGCAAUAUGUUUUAUGUUAAGUUUCUGUGUGGUUGCUAAAAAUUAUAAGAUCCAAAAUUUCCCUAAACCAGUUAGAAAGAGUCAACCCAUUUCAGAAGUCUUUUCAGACUACAGAUUUUAUCUGCAUAGUUUUUGGGUAAUGCUUAUGCCCUUUUAGUGCCUUUGGAUCAACCCUUUCCGGGUAAUGUUCGCUGGAUUGUGAAACUUCAGGGCUUUCCUGAUUACUUCCUUCUGUGUUCAUCUUUGUGAUGGCUGAUUCUGGGGCCACCUGAGUUUGAGCAUAAAAAAUCUGUUUCUACUUGAAACUGUCAUAUGAUGUAUCUGGGGCUUAACAUUUGCAAAAGAAAUUAUCAAUUUUGUGAAAGUAGUAAGAUAAAUGCAUAUUUGGAGACUGACAAAAUCUUAAGGCUUCUCUUUGAGAGCUUGUCAUCAGAAUAUUAUUUCUAUGCAGAGCUUCCAUGACUGAGAGUUGGAGGGAUUGAUGUUCUUCCAAAGGCUUUUCCACGAGGUUUUCUAGGGAUAUGGAUGUUAUUUUGGUUUGGAAAAAGAAAUUAGGAUUGGAAAUUCGUGGUCAGAUCAUAUUAUUAGGUUUUUCAUGAACACAAGGGAGGGUUCUCAUGUGGUAGGCUGCUCUUGUGUUUACAAAAAAAAAGGUGGCUUUCUUAUUUUGAUUGGUGGAUAGGGAUUGAUGGAUAGGAUUGAUGCUUGAGGGUAGACAAUUUGAUCAAAUGGGAAUUGGUCUGCUCUAAAUAGAGGCAUUAAGUGAAACAGUGAAUGCAAAUCGUGGAAUUGCAAAGUGACUUUACAUUGUUAGACCUUAUUGUUCUUGCUUUUCAAUGUCCAAUGCAUUCUCCCUUGGUUGGUCUUCUGCAUUUUGUAGGCAAGGAACAAAAUCUUGAUAGUGAUGGCCAUCUGAGAAAGAUAUCAACAAUUCUUUAAUACUGGUUUCAUCUUGGAAUAAAUGACAGAAAUUAAUACCAAAAAAUGAAAUUAAAAAUAAAAUCUUCAGGAAUUGCUGAUAGAUAUGAUAAAAACAUAACACACACACAAACACAAGAUGUUUUGGUUCAGGAGAUACAAGCAUGGUAUACGAUAUGGAAAUCUUAUUUUGAUCCACUAUUAUCUUGGAUAAGAGAACAAGAUAAAUUAUCAUUGCCACAUCUAUAUCCCUUGGUUGUGGGAUAUGAAAAACAUAUUAUAUAAGGAAGAUGGGAUUUUCAUAUCCCACAAACGAAAACAUAGAGAUUUGUGACAGAACUUUUUGAUGUACUUAAGGUCUUGUUUGGAAUCCUGAUAUCAAUAUAUUAGUUUUGCUUCCACAAGGAGUCCAUCUUUAUUGAAUCUUUUCAUUAUCUAAUUGCUUUACCUGCUUUACCAAAGUGUGAGGAGCCAAUUUUGUACACUUCAUUCUUGAAACUAUUCUGUCCUCUGAAAUAUGCAAGAAGCCCAUCUUGUUUAGUCAUCCGAUUCUUUAAGUUACACCACUCUCUCAAUUUGACAGUAAGGAGUUCAUCUCUUCUCUCUAAUUAACAUCACCACAGCUUCUUGAUAAAGACUUUGACUAGCUUCCUAAUCAAAAUCCACAUGGAUGAAUGUCUCCUUUCUCAUUGUCAUCAUAUUAUUUAGAUGUUUAGUUCAAGUGUAAUCAUCAAAUGCUGAGAUUUCACUCUCUUGACCACUGAAGGAAACUAUCAAAUUCAAACCUUACUCGAACCAUUAACCAGACACUAGAAUCAGCUAUUAAACUCUUUGCAUGUCCAGAUAUAUAUAUAUAUAUAUAUAUAUAUAUAUAUAUAUAUAUAUAUAUAUAUAAUAUCCUGUAAAUAUGUAUAUCUAUCAGACUGAAUAAUCUAUAAACCAAACUUGGCCAUUGAAGUUUGUAUCAUAAGGUUUACAAGUUCAUGGAUGAAAACCCAAAAUUGCAGAAAGAAAUAUUUACUUACAAGGAAACUAAAAGGGAUUUUGUAAAUAUGAAAAGAGUGUCAGACAACAAGACUGUAGAAAGUUGCAGAUAAAAAGGGCUGCCACAAGGUGCUAAAGAAGGCUGCAUUUGGAAGCCAACAAUGCUGUUGUACUGAGAUCUUUGAGUUCAUGGCAAUAUUUCUGAGACCAGCAAUGUCAGGGGAAAGAAAAAGGUGAUGAAAAGGAAUACCAAGAUCUUGGUAGUUCUCUAUUAGAAAAGGCAUGCUUGAGACUGAGUUUUCUUACCACUUACCAAGAUAUGAGAUCUCUCCAUUCCGAAUGAGAUUUUGGUCCAUGGUUAUAUGGUUGACAGUGUUUUGGGUUGCGACCUCUUUAAAGGAAAAAGUUUAGAAGCUGUUAGGUUUUUAUGGUACACUUCUUGGGUUUUACCCAGCAUGUACAUGAGUUUUGCGACUUCUUCCCUGAUUUCUUUGUACGCAUUCUUUUUUAUCCUAAAGAGAAAAAGGAAUGGUUUACUAUUUUGCUGCAUAUGUGAUAAGUUUGCUGAAAUAUUUGUCUUCAAUGCAGGCAAGCAAGCUAUUUGACACUGUAUUUAGAUAGUCUGAUGUUUUCUGUAACUAGGUAGGUCAGAAUUAGCCACUUUGUGAUGAUGUAGAUUGGUGCAUGGAGUUAGAAUUUCUUCUUAGUAAAGUUCUUGUCCUUCUCUGUUCAAAGUUUCAAGUCAUUCUGAUUCCUCUCUUUAGUCUUAUUCAUUACCACAAUUGGACCAUGAGGGGAGGAGAUGCAUGGAUAUACCUCAUCCAUGCAUAUAUUGCCUACAUUACCUCAAUAAUGUAGGACAAUCUUGAGGUGAUUACCUACAACCAAACAAAAUGGGAUAGGAUUUCGUUUAGAAUUCAAGGAGAGGAACCUUGAUUAAAGAUUGUGGCAGCAAGGAAAGAUAAAAUAAAAAGCAGAAAAAAGAAGAAAAUAAAUGGAGAAAAGAAAAAGGGAAAUCUUUGGUGGAAGGAAAAUGUAGGAACACCAAUUUGGAGCUUUUAGAAUUUUCUGAAUAAAGUACAAAAGGUCUUCAGAAAGAGUUGAAAACACGAAGGUGAAUAGAUUACUUAACACAUUUCAUGGACCACAAUAUAAAAGAAAUAUGAAUAUUACAACUUUCUUUUUUUGUUUUUUGCAAACUGUGCUAGGUUUACACUUUUUUGUCUUUCUCUUUAUACUCACUUGAAACACCUUUUACCCAAAGCGUAAAAGGAAUGGUCAAUGAUGAUUUUGUUUAUAUUUGAAAUCAAAUACUAUCUUAGAAGUAUUAUCAUUACUUUAGGUUGUAUUGAGUAUUUUGUUUCAUUCAUUAAACUAUUUUUUAUCAUGAUUGGAUAUAUUUUGUAUUAGAGACUAAUUUACUUUAGUAGAUUAAAGUGUUUACACAACAAAUCAAUUUCUUUGUUGAUUAUAGCAUAUUAGAACCUUUACAACAAUAUUUUAAAAUAAAAAAUAAAGCUAAGAAAACGCAAUUACCUAACUGUAAUUUCAUUCUUUUCCCUAUUUUUCACCUUAGUAAAAAUUUAAUACCAAACAUGAUUUUACAGUUUCAUUUUAUAAAAACUGUGUUUUUUUCUUUCAACCAAAUGGAUUUUCAAAAAGGAAAAAAUGAGAAAUGAAAAUUGUUUUCAAAAAACAAAAUAGAAAACGAAAACUAAAAACCAUUUUGCUAACCAAAUGCAACUUGAGAGUCCCAGUAUCAGAAAUUGUAAUGUAUGAAAAAAAAAAUUGAUAAUAUUUGUCAUCAUUUGGUUCUCAACAAUUUGACUAUUUAUAGACAUUAGAAAACCCAAGAAGACCUAACAAACUAUACAAAAAGAAACCUAAUCUAUAUAUUAACUUAUUAGAACUCCUAAUUCUUUCCUAAAACUAUAAACCUUCCACUUAAAAAAAAAAAACGGAAAAUUGAAAUUUUUAGAAAAUACUUUUUUAGAAAAUGGAAGCUUCUACAAAAUAAACACUUUUAAAAACUUGCCUUAUCCUAUUGGCUUAAAGUUCUAUUAAGAAAAAAGAAACCUUUUAAUAAAAUAGAAACUUUAGAAAAGCAAAACUUUCAGAAAAUAGAAGGUUUAAAAAUAUAGAAACUUCUUUGCCUCAAAUUCUAAAUGAGACUUAAAUGACCAACUAUUUACUAAUUAUGACUAUAAAGAUCCUUAAUAAGCAGAAUUUUCCUUUGAGUGCUUUUUCCUUUUCUGAGUAAAUCUUGAAGAACCUGAUCUGUGAAUGCUUGGACUUGGUUAUAUCAAUCAAUCUUCACUAUAUAUCCUAAUGCUAAGUGUCGAAACUUCCUUGACUUUUCUUUUUAAUUAAACAAACUCCCUCAACUUUUCUAAGCCUUUUUUCAAUUAUUUUGAGGCAUGCAUUCAAUUGUGUAUGCUCCUUUUCUACUCUAAUACAUUGAGUCUUACUUAUCAAAAAAAAUAAAAAAAUAUUUCUAGAACAUUUCUUGAAGGCAAAUGGAUCUCAUAUGUAGCAUGCUCUUAGGCUUUGAAGUUUGCUUAGGUGAGGUCCAAAAUUCUCAUCAUUGAAUUGUCUUGAAGAUCAGUUUCUCUUUGUUUUAUAUUUGGUUUGUUUAAUCUAAAAUUGAGGCUCUCUCUCCUCCUCUAUAUCCUCUUCUUCCACCCCUCCCCUCCCCCCCACCCCCCCUCUCUCUCUCAUAUCUUAUGUCACUCCCUCUCUCCCUUUCUCUCUCUCUCUCUCUCUCUCUCUCUAUUUAUAGUUUAUAUUUCUGAACUUUUUAUUUUCUAAAAAAUUCUUCUUCUCUCAAGUUUCUAUUUGAAAACUUGUUAGAAACUACUAGAAAAUCUUCAUUUUUAAUUCUAAAAGGAAAGUUUCUAUUUUCUUUUGAAUUAUAUUUUUUUGAAGACUCGAGAGUUUUAGAAAAGAAAUAAGAGUAUCAUAUUAUUUCGAUGACUUGAGAGUUUUACAAAAGAAAUAAGGGUAUCAUUUUAUUUUGAAGACUUGAGAGGUUUACAAAAGAAAUAAGAGUACUAAAAAGUUUCAUAGAAGUUAGAUUUCUUUUUUCAUAAUUUUAUUCAAGUUUUAUAGUUUUCUAAAGCCCAUAAAUAAGGCUAAUUAAUAUAAAAUGAAAUUAAUUAUCGAUGAUUAAUGAUAUUAAUUUUUUUCAUACCUUGCAAUUUUCAAUGGUGAGACUCUUAUAUGGUCUUAUUGAGACUUCUAAGGUUUUUUUUAUAUUGCUUCUCUAUGUUUUCUUUUCUUAUCUUUUGUUUAUUUUAUUUCUGCUGCUAUAAUUUUAUUUUUGUUUCUUUUGUUAAAUCUUAAAAGAUUGGAAUCCUAGCCCAUCUUAUUUGAUUAUAUAAAACCAUUCUAUGGUUGAUUCUACAUCACUCUCUCCCUUUCCUCUCCCCUUCUCCCUUUCUCUCUCUCUCUCAAGCAUGCACACACAAAUAGGGGACCUCUGGGUAUGGCUAUAUCAAUAUAUAUGAAACAAUCGUUGAAGGUUUUAAUAUGUUUUUGGAACCAAAUUCUUGAGUCAAUAUGAAUUGAUACACCAUUUUGUGAUACAUGCAAACAAAUACCAUUAUAGUUUGUGGAUUGCACCUAGAUAUCACUGCCUGUAAAGUGGUAUUUUUCACUUGCGGCUUCUUGUAGCAGUGGUUUGGAUGUGGGAUUUUGCUCAUUCAUUGUUGUCAUUAUUUAUGCUUCAUGAUUUUCCUGCUAAUGGUACUGGAAAAUAUCAUAAAUGGUAGGUGCACAGUUUGCCUAGUAGAAUACCAAGCUGAAGAUAUAUUGCGUAUUCUCCCUUACUGCGGCCACUUCUUCCAUGUUACAUGCAUAGACAUAUGGCUGCAGCAGCAUUCCACAUGUCCUGUGUGUCGAAUUUCAUUGUGGGAGUUUCCUGAGAGAAAAUGCUUGAUGCAACCCAUGUUCAGUUCAGCUGUUCGAUCACAUUUUGGCAUGGAAUCCCGCAACACACAUUCAUACAACUGUUUGUCAACUGGCCGUGGGUUUUCAUCGAGAUCUCACGACAACCACAGGAUGGACCCCAUUCAAGAGGAUCAGUUUGGGCCAGGAGGUGACGGAGCUGAAGCUCAGGAGAGCACCCUCCCCUUGACCGAUGCUAAUCAGCCUGCAAAGGACUCUGAAAAUAAGCACAUAGAAAGCCCAUCAAAUCCAUGAAAUCCUUCGUUUCUUGGAAUCCUGGCUGCAUUCAUCGUGCUUUCCGAUAGAAUCAAAUUGGAAUUGAAAUUUAUUAAAACCAUCUCCUUGGAAUGCUCUUUUUUUUUUUUAAUUUAUUUUUGUGACUCACUGUAUAUAUACGCAAAAAGUUAUUCCCAGUUUUCCCCUUAGACAGUAGCUUAUUGGUGGGCAUUUUUGUUAGUUCAGUUGUAAAAUUGAAUUCCUUAAAGCUUGCUGGAGUCUCCUUAGAGGCAUGUCCCAUGCAGCAUUUCCACAUCCGUUCGGGUCCAUCCCAGAGCGAGUAUUCAUUGUGAGUUAUUAUCUAAUAAUAUGCAAAUGUACGCCUCCGGAUUCCUUACUAUUAUUUUGACUUUGUGCCCACUACUCGGUGACCAGUCCUUUUCUCAUUCCUGUCAAUGUCCAGGAAAGGAUUAGUAGUACAAGAAAAAGAAAAAGUGGGAAGGACUGAGUCAUGGAGGAAUAGCAUACAUGCAUUUAUACAGUUGGAGUAAAAAUCAGAGUGAAAAAGAGUUAUCCCUGAGGGAUGGUUUGAUUUGUACUCUUCUCCCCCGUCACCAAGGGAUGCAUUGCUACAAAUGCUUUUCUUAUGAAAUACGCAGUCAUUUCCCAGAUAGUACUUUUUACUAAAAAUAAAAAUUUAUUAAUCCUCACAGCCAUUGAAGGAGUUGUUUCCAUUUCUAUAUCGAGUCAUUGUGUGUGGACCUGUUUGGUUCGCCAUAAAUAAAACUGCAGAGAGGGUGAGGGACGAGGGAUGUCUUGCAUGUGAGGUAUUUUGAUGGACUCCCUGUGGGCCUUCAAGACAUUGGCAGUUCAAUGGACUUCAUCAAUUCAUUACAGCAACUCCACCCGCCCAACAACUUUUCUUUAUUAUACCAUGUCCUCCCCGUCACUCCCUCUCUUCUUUAUUUUCAAAUCUGUCAGAGCAUGUUGUGUUGGAGCCACAUGUUUGGGAAAUGAUAAUACUUUUUACUAAAAAUAAAAAUUUAUUACAUUCUCAUUUUCAACCUAAUAAUAAGUCUAUUUAUAAUAAACUAAUUACUAGGAUUUUCCUAUUAAACCAAAAGUCCUAAUCAAUAUAGAAAACCUAAAUAAAUAACAAUUUCUAAUAUUUUUCAAAAUUUUAAAAUUCUUCUAAUUUGACUUUAAGUCAUAUUAUAAUUUUAACAUCUUCCCUUAAUUUGAGUUGUAAAGUCAAUCAUACCAAGCAUCAUCUUAAACUUCUCAAACACAUUUGUCUUUAGUGGCUUUAUAAAUAUAUUUGUAACUUGAUCUUCUGAUUUACAAAACUCAAGUUCGAUCUCUUGAUUUUUCAUGAGUUCCUAAUAUAAUGAAAUUUGAUGUUUAUGUGUUUGCUUCUACCGUAAAACAUCAUAUUCUUUGUCAAUGUAAUAGUAGACUUAUUAUUACAUAAAAUCUUUGUAAGACCCUUUUGUUUAUAUUUCAAUUCACCAAGCAUCCUACGAAACCAAAUUGCUUGAUAUGCUACGGAAGUAACUGUCAUGUAUUCAACUUCUAUAGUUAAUAAUGCUAUAACUUGUUGCUUCUUUGAUGACUAUUAGAAUGCUCAUGUUCCAAGAUAAAAAACAUAUCUAGCAGUACUUUUUCUAAUCUCUACAUCACUUCCUUAGUUACUAUUUGUGUAGCCCAUUAAACUGAAAUUGUUUGAGUAGGAGUAGAAAAUUCCAUGAUCACAAGUACCACUUACAUACCUCAAAAUUCGUUUUGUUGCUUGCAAGUGUGAUUGAUACAGUUUUUCCAUAAAUCGACUAAUAAUUCUCACUCCUUAAACAAUAUAUGGUCUAAUAGAAGUUAAAUAACGAAGACUUCCUACUAUGCCCUUGAAAUAUGUGGGAUUUGCUAAUUUUCUAGUGUUUUUUUUUUUUUCAUCUUUAGUCGCUCUAUAAUAGGAGUAUGGAUUGUUGAUGAUGAUUCCAUCUUGAAUCACUUUAGAAUGUUUGUCAUGUACUUUUUUGUGAGAUAAAGAUACCAUCAUCUAUUUGUUGGACUUUAAUUCCAAGAAAAUAGGACAUUAAUCCCAAAUCUAUCAUUUCGAAUUGUUGUUUCAUUGCCUCAUUGAAAUCUUUAAACAUCUAUUGGCAAUUUCCUAUAAAAAUUAAAUCAUCUACAUAGACACAUACAACAAUUAUAUCACCAUUAAGAAUUUUAUUUGAUAUAAAGUGUAUGCUUAAAAGAACUCUUUUGAAAUUCAUGCCAUAAUAGAUGAGUAUCAAUCUACGUGUACCAAGCACGUGGUGCCUACUUUAACCUAUACAAUGCCUUUUUGAGUUUGUGAACUUGUUUCUGUUACCCUUCCUUAAUAUACCCUGGUGGUUGUUCAACAAAAACUUCUUAUUCAAGUACACCAUUAAGAAAAGUUGACUUCACAUCCAUUUGGUGAAUUGUCCACCUUUUUUUGAGCUUUAAGUGCAAUUAUCAUGUGAAUGGUAUCUAAUUUAGCAACUGGUGUAAAAACUUCAAAAUAAUCAAUAUCUGGCUUUUUUUUAUAGCCUUUUACAACCAAUAUUGCCUUGAAAUCGAUCAACAUUACCAUCAGGUUUAUAUUUUGUCUUAUAAGCCCAUUUAACACCUAUAGGCUUCUUUCUAACUGGAAGAGUAGUUAACUCCCAUGUAUUGUUCUUCUCUAUGGAUUGAAUUUCUUCAUUCAUUCCUUGAAUCCACUUCUCAUCGCUUGCUUCUUCAUAUAAAUAGGAUCACAAUCUACAAAUAGACAAAAGUUAACUAAACCUUCAUCGAUGAGUUUGAUAUCUUUCAUGACUUCAUAAUCCCUUAGAUGUGUAGGCAUAAUGCGAGAAUGUUUUGGGCAACCUUGUGAUUCAAUUUUUUGCCUUAUUUUUGUUUACAUUGGAGAACUUCUAAUAGGAGAAUGCAUAUUUGAAAUAGAUUUAUCUGUAAUAGAAUCCUUCAGAUUCUCGUUGUCUUCCACAAAGUUUUCUUCAAGGACAACUCUUUUUUCUUCAUUUUGUGUUUGAGUCCAUUUCCACCUCUUGUUCUCUAGGAAUUGAACAUCUCUAUUCACAAUCAACUUCCCUAUUUCUAGAUCAUAUAGUUUGUAACCUUUAGUUACAUCACUAUAACAAAUGAAAAUACACUUCUCAUUUUUAUCAUCAUUUUUUUUCUGUGCUCCUUUGGUAUAUGGGAAUAUGUAAUACAUCCAAAAAUUUGCAAAAAAGAAACUUCUAGUUUAUGACCACUCUGAGCUUUCUCAGGUGUUCUUCCAAAGACUAUUUUAGCGAGACAUUUAUUCAAUAAGAACACUACACGAGUAACAACUUUUGCCAAAAAAGUUUUUGGAAGAGACUUUGCCUUCAACAUGCUUCUUGUCAUUUCAACAAUGGUUUUGUUAUUCCUUUUAGCUAUACCAUUUUGUUAAUGUGUAUAACUAGCUGUCAAUUUUUGUUGAAUACCCUGACUUUUGCAAUAAUUAUACAACUCAUUGGAGGUGAACUCUCUAUUAGAAACCUCAGACCCCUCCAUUCUCAUGCCUUAGAUCUCAUAGGGUGCAUAAAAAUUUAUCCUAGACUCUUUAAAUCUAUUGCAACAGAAAACUAGGUAUUUAAAAACCAAUAUUGAUACUACAAAAAUCAUAGAUCUAGGAAAUAAAGCCACAUACCUUUGAUCCAGAUGUUCCCAAAUUGAUUUCAAUCGAUGUAAAUAACUCCAAAGUCCUAAUGAAUCUCGUAAACACCAUGAUCUUCUGCUUGAUGACUCUUCAUUGUGUCUAAGCAUUGGGAUAGUUGAGAUCUCGAGGGUGGAGGCUAGGGUUUUUUUUUAGACUAUAGGGAGAAAAUGGCAAGACAUGGAAACCCUAACCCUUAAGGGGGUAUUUAUAUGUUUCCUACUAAGUUUAAGUAACUUAAACCCACCAUGGUCUUGGGUCACUUAAUCAAGCCCAAAAAGGUUGCUAAUUGAUUAAUUAACCAUACAAGGUCCUAAUUAAUCAAUUAGCCUAGUCUAGAGAUACCACUCACUUAUUCUCAUGCAACCUUGUGUAAUUACCAAAACGCCUUUAUGCACAAAAGUAAACUAAAAACCCAUCAACCCUCAUAAAUCGUGCCACCAAGGAAUGAGUUCAGAGCGGGGACUAUUAAGACCCAUAAGAGUACUGGCUCCUUGAGAAUCAAAUUCUAAAACUGACUCAACAUCCCACUAUAGAGAGUCAAUUACACUCCAGUACCCUAUGUACAUUACAACGAUACACCAAGUGCUUGAGUUCGUGACCUAUUAUCCAUUGCAUGCAGACUCUUCAUGAACCGAUACCCAUAAUCUAAUAAGGUAGUUUUAUCACUUAUCAAGAUUACCUAUUAAAUCCUUGAGUUAUAGAUCUCACUUAUUAUGUUAUUAACUAACAUACUUUAUCUCUAAGGAGCAUAUAUCAAAUUACGCUAAUGGAAUUAUUGUGACCAUAAAUUUCAUGAUCACAUGUCUUUUGGAUCGACAUACUAUCGUAAUUCCAUGAGAUAUCAUGGUGUUUCCAUUGAGAAUGCCUGUUGCCACUAACCUCCAUCAAUAGUGACCCAAUCCAUAGGGAUAUAUGACCACUUUAGGGUCUCAUUUAUAGGUCAAAGUCUUGUGUUGAUUUUGAUAUAGACUCAAUAUCCUCUCAAGGUUGAGAGUCCAUGCAGUAUAAUAGUUUGGUGAAUCAUGACAAUUGAUAGCCUUGCGUCAUGAUUCACCAUAGGUUUUGUCUAGUGUGUAUUACAUACACUAGUGUACUCACUAUGGGAAACCCAUCCCAAUAGCCAAGAUAAGUCAUUCCUCCAAUUAGGAAGUUGUGCACUACAAUCUCUACUAGAUUAUCCAAAUCCAUGAAUUGACUAUGGACAACUUAUUUACUUACAAGGAACCUAUGACUUGUAUCUUCUAUGUAACUCUUAAUGCACCCAAGUCAUAUACAAUGUAAGAGAUAUGAGCUAAAUGCUCAAAUCAAUGUCAAUACACCAAAAUGAUAGCAAUGAGAUAAUUAAGUCUAAUUUUGUUACAUCAUGUCUUGCUUUUAGGGGCUCAUCCCAAUACUCUCCUCUUAUAUCAUAUCUUAAUAUCUUAAUAUUACAACCACUUUGUCUUUCAAUAGGAACUUUGAAUUCUUUAAACUUGUUAAAAGCCUUAGAUUUUUCUUUUAACAAAUAAAUCCAAUUUUUUUUUUUGUAAAACCAUCUAUAAAGGUCUGAAUAUAUUUGUUGUGACUAAGAGAUCUUUUACCACCGAGAUCACAUAUAUAUGUAUGCACCGACUCCAAAGGUUAUUUACCUCUUUUGAAUCUUCCAAUUGGAAAAGAAUUCUUAUGUUGUUUCCUAAUGAGAUAUCUUUAACAUGCAUGAUCUAGAAUAUCAAUCAUAAGUAAUCCUAUUACCAUAUUUUUUUUGCACUAACAACUUCAACCCAUGAAAAUUGAAAUGACCCAAUCGAAGAAGUAAAAGCCAAUUGCUAUUUCCACUAUUGCCUUCAAACUGAAUAAAGUUUCUGCUUGAAGAAACAUAAGAAACAUCUUAUUCUUUGUCAUCUGCAUAUUGAUUACUACUCAAAAAGUACUAUUUCAUAGCUUGUAAUUAACUCUUUUAAACACUUUUGAGUAGUAGUUAUCACCUUUUAACCCAAUUAACAUAUUAAGGACCAUUGCAAUCAAUUCUAAUCAAAUUGUGUUAAGUUUUGGUGUUUUGAUAGCUUUUUGAUCACCAAAGCAAUCCGAGAUUGAGGAGAGUUCUUUGGAAUCCUUAAGCAAAUCCAGAAUACAAGGAGUAUGGGAUCCUGCACAUUCCACCCGGGAAGGAAUUCCAUCCGGUUGCCGCCACUUUACACCCGGCUGACGCCGCCAUUCCAUCCGGCUGCCGCCACUUUCCACCUGGAUGUAUCACAUCCGAAAAUCUGCUACCACCAUUCCACCUAGAUGUUUCACAUCCGGAAUUCUGGCCGGGUGACGCUCCACAUUCUCCGGAUGUUUCACAUCCGGCAGACAUAUCUGGAUGGGAGAAUAGAGCGUUUCAACUUCCACGAUCAGGCAUAUCCGGAUCCGCCGACAGCGCUCGCCCGGAGAGUUUCGCAGCCAAUUUUGCACAGUGCCGCGGUGUUCUCCUGAAGCUUCCCAAUAUGUGCCACUGACAUUUUGAGAUAUUUUGGGAUAUUUUGAGAUAUUUUUGCUUUAGAUAUUUGUUGUCUAAAUCCCCAAAAUCUCCUUGUAACCCACCAAUUAUAGGAUUCCUUAGUUAUUAAGUUUGGAAAAAGGAUGAAUAACCUUGUAGAUAUUAUUAUUGUAAUUUUCAUAUAAAUAUAUCUCGGGAGCCUGUUCUCGAGGGGAACGCAACUUUUGUAUAGUUUUCAAAGGAAGAAAAAUACAGAGCUUUGCUCUGCUUUUACCUUCUCAUUUUGAUUGUAUUUUUCUUACUAACCAAACAACCUUUGAAGAUGUUUUCCCAGAGGAUGAGAGGCUAAACCUUUGGUUUCUUAGAGUGAAGGAAGCUGGGUGAAAAGUCUAGAUGCAAAAGUGGAAAACUCUCGUGCUUUAAAUACAGGUAGUUGGAGUUCAUAAAUGACUUUUAAAUUUAAAGUUUUGCUUUAAAUCCCUUAUAAUCACUUUGAAUGGCCAAUACAUGAUAAGCUUUUAGGUCUCUGUGGAUACUUAUUGCUAGAUCCACAUAAGACCAUUAGUUAUCAUGUACGAGCCAUUGGAAAGUGGCUCAAGGUAAAGACCCAUAGUGUCUAAAGCCAUUAAUAGAACUUGACUAUCAUUUCUAUUGACUUUUUAUGGAUUAAAUCUUCAUUGUUAAACCUAUACCGGUUCGGGAAACAACCAUCCUUUAUGUUGUUGUCCCCAAUACGAGGAGAAAAAUCCGGAAUUUCCCACUUUGCAUUCUGAACUUGAUCCUAGCAACCUUUAGCUCCGGGAGACUUUCUUUCUUCCAUUUUUACCUAGUUCUAUGUUAGUUUAGUUUCAAACACCACUUUCAAAACAAAUUUUAUUUUCUUUUAAACUUUAAGUUUUUGACAAAGGAAAUCAUUAGAUUCAAUUUCUAAUCUUGAGUCUAUCACUGGUAGAGUGAAAACCCAUCCCAGAGUUCGACCCUAGAGCUGCUAUACUAUAGUAGCUUUGCUACGCUAGUAUGAGGUCAUAGGAUUUAGAAAUAUUUUUGAUUAAAAUACCCGGCUGGGCACGAAUCACAUAUUUUCAAUCAUUUUCUUAUUUUUAUAACUAAGGGUACAACCUCCAUUAGAGAUAUUAAUGAUAUGCCAUUUUUCUUUUAAUUGUCUUAUGCUUAACAAAUUCUAAAAAAGAUCCGGAACAAAAAAUACAUUUUCUAUAUUAACAUUAGUGUCAUCUUUAGAACAUAUUUUAACAUUACCUUUGUCUAUGAUUGAAACUUUGGAUUUGUUUCCAAAAUUAACUUCAUCUCAGACUGAUUCAUUUAAUUGUGAAAACAAUUCCUUUUUAUCGCACAUGUGAUUGCUACAUCUUGCAUCAAGAUGCCAAAAAUCUUGGCAGUUUACAUUUGAUGUUGCUACAUAGCAAGCUAAUACCAAAUUUUGCUGUACCUUGGUGGUGUUUGCCUACUCAUCUUGUUCAUUAUGCAAUUUUGUUCGACAUUUUGUCUUAUAAUGUCCAUGUUUUAUACAUUUGAAACAUUGCAUAUGUGACUUGUCUUUAGAUCUAGAAGUGUUGCCUCUUCCUUUAGAAGAAUUUGUGUCACCAUCUCCAUUUUUUUUUGUUAAAGUUGUUGUGUCCUCCUUUACUUCUACCACAACCAAAGCCUUUGCCACAAGGCUUGCUCCAAAUUUGUAAAGUUGAUUCUUUAAUUCAUUCGUUGUUUGUGCAAACACAAUGGACUCAUUUUGCUUCCACUGUGAGAGUGAAAAUUUCGUUUCUUUUUUCAAUUGUUGCAAUAGCAUAGUCAAAACUUCCACUUAAAGAUCUUAUCAUUUUCUCUACUAUUCAUUGAUCAUUAAGUUUCUCACCAUUAACCUGCAUUUGGUUAACAAUGGUUUGUACAUAAUCAAAGUAACAUGAGAUGGAUUCAAAGUCAUUCAUGCGAAGAGACUCAAAUUCACCUCUUAAUGUUUGCAACUUCAUUUGCUUAACACGUUCAUCACCUUUGUAUAAUUUUUGUAGAGUAACAUAUACCUCUUUUGCCGUUUCUAACUGAGAGAUUUUCUUAAAUAUUGCAUGGAGUGAUUUUUUAUUUUUUAUUUCGAGAAUCUUUCAAUGAUUCUUUCUACUAUUUUGAUAGUACCUUAAAUUCUUUUGAAUUGAUCAUUUUGUUGUAACCACUAUUCAUUAGAUCCCAUAAAUCUUGAGAUCUAAAUAAGACACGCAUCUGAAUGCACCAAUUAUUAAAAUUCUUACCUGUGAAUUUGGGAGUUGAUGAUGAAUUAAGUUAUUGUUUAUAGCCAUAAUUUCACCAACAAAAUUGCAAAUUUCUUGUGAUUUUGCACAUUCCUUAUUAUUCUAGCUCUUAUAUGACAUUUCACUUUCCUUGAUCUUUUGGCUUUGAUACCAAUUGUUGGAGCCCACACGAUUAGGAAUUGAUAAUACUUUUGCUAAAAAUAAAAAUUUAUUCCAUUCUUAUUUUCAACAUAAUAACAAGUCUAUUUAUAAUAAACUAAUUAUAUUUGUACUAGGACUCCAAUUCCUAUUAAACCAAAAGUCUUAAUUAACAUAGGAAAGCUAAAUAAAAUAACAAUUUCUAAUAUUUCUCAAAUGACUAAAAUUUUUCAAAUUUGACAUUAAGUCGGAUUAUAAUUUCAACAUGUUGGCUAAGGGAAUACUUCUCAUUGUGAUAACAAUUUUUUAAAACAAUGGAUUAAUAUUUUCUAAAAUAAAAAUCUAUUUGAAAUCUUGAAAUAUUCUUAACUUUUUUUUUUAUAUAUUUUUAAAUAUUUCUUACAAAUAACUUUUAUGGUUAGAGUUUUAUUUUCAAUUAUUUUUCACAUUUUUACAAUUAUUUUUUAAAAUAAUCAUUAGAAAACAAAUGCUAAUAAUAAAAACAAUUAUAAUAUGUUAUCAUAAAAUAUCCUAUUUUCAAAAUAAAUUAUCAAAAAACUAUUUUCUAUCAAAAUUUAUGAAGCAUAAUUAUCCUUGGCUUUCAUAUGAAUCAAUAUAUAUAUAUAUAUAUAUAUAUAUAUUGAUUCAUAUGAAAGCCAAGGAUCAUUAGGUGAAUAUAAUUUUAUUAAUACCAAUUUUUUCUUAAUUUUUCAUCAAAAUUAAACAUGUAAAUGGAUACAUAUUUCUUCUAUUUUUUUUUCUUUUCUCAUGGAUAUUUUUGAAAUCCCAUCAAAGGCAAAAUGCUUUUAAAUUAUCAAAUUUCUAUUAUAAUUUAUUUGUGAAAUGUUUCUUACAUGCUUUUCUAGGUGCUUAAUAAUUAGUGGUUGCAACAUAAAAAUAUUUUCAUAAUGAUAUAAAGUUCUAAUGGAAACAAACGACCCCAUAUAUCCUAAAAAUAUGCAACAUAUAUUAAUAUUAUAGCACAACAAAAUAUUCCCACCAUGCGGUUGAAAUUGUUGUGACAACAACAAUUUUAAUGCAAAACAAUAUUGGUUCAAGAACACUGAUAAAAUAAUCUACAUAAACAUAAACAAAGUUUUAGCAUGGUUCAGUCAAUUAUAUUUGCAUUUACGAAUAAAAGAAAAUUAUUAUAUUAUAUUAUAGAAAAUAUUAUAUAAGAUAGAAAUAGAUACAAUUCUACAAACCCCUUACUUCAUUAGGUAUCUCCCAUUUUUCCUAACAUCUCUAUCCACUUUUACAAUUGUUACAAAUCUAUCUCCAUCUAAAAUAUUUUAUAUAAUAUUCUUUACAAAAAAAGAAAUAUAUACUAAUUUAUAAUAUUCCUUACAAAGAAGAAAUAUAUACUAAUUAGAAAUUUGUGAUACUUUCCAACAAAAACAUGUAAGAGACCACCUCAACAUUAUUUUCCCUAGAAUUUACUUUAUGGUUUAGUAAUGUACCUUUUAUGUUUAGUUGGAAUUGCAAUUUAAUUGAAUAUAAAAGGACUUAAAAAAAUUUAAGCCCAGUAAAUUACACUUCCCCUUAAAUUUUUUUUAUAAUUAUAUUUUUCAAAAGUUCCCAAAAAUAAUAUAACCUUCUUUGUUAGAGUUUUUAUCCUAAGACAUAAAAUAAAAAUUAUGAAAAGCAAAAAUUUUGUUUUAUACAUUAAACUUAUUUAUAGUGGGAAAAAAUUCAAUCAAAUAAAGCUCUUUUAAGCCUCCAACAAUGCAUUAGGAUUAACUUUUUAAAAAUUAUAAGUUAUUUUUUAAACUAUAUGUGAGUUUUCAUAUUUAUUUAACUAUUUUUUUUUAUCAAAAAAAUUAUGAUUUAAAAAAUUUUUAAUAUAAAAAAAAUAUUACUUAAAAUUCUGUUUUAACUUAUAAAAAAUUUAAUAAUAUUAAUAUUAUGUUUUUUAAACCUAUAGCUUUUAAGUAGUUUUUUUUUUAAAAAAAUUUUUUUUACUUCCAACUAGAAUUAAAAUUUUAAAAACUUUCCGAAAGAAUGUCAUAUUAUACAAUUUUUGCACACAUGAACAAAUUUAAUGUUAUCUAAUUCAAUUUUCUCAUUUAAAAAUGCAAUCAUGAGAUGACCUUUCCUAAAGGAAUUUAAAUUAAGUGAAAAAAACAUAAAAACAAAAAAAGUCAUGUUCCCAUGAUUGAACCUAUAAAAUUGAGGAAGAUAAAUGCAUCCCAUAAAUAACACUCAUUGUAGUAAACAACCAUGGUUGUGGGGCCAUACCUUAUGAUGUUGUGCUCCUCAAAUAAAUAAAUUAAAAGAAAACAUAAAAUUAAUUUUCAUGACCACAAGCACCAAAGUAAAGAAGGCAUCCAUUGAAAGUUUAGGAAAAACAAUUAUAUUUGCAUCCACAAUAAAUAUACAUUCUUGUUCUUCUUGUUCAUCAUCAUCCUCUAUUUCUUCUCUUCUAAUAUUUCUAUAAUGCUAAUAAUUUUUUCAAGAAAGUUAUGUUUAAAUAAGCUAAUAAUAAUCUCUAAUAAUAUUAAAAGUGCAUAUGUAUACUUAUUACAAUAUAUUUAUUUAUUUUUCAUUUUUUGAGCUAGAAAAAAAAGUGUUCAGAGUUGCAACGUUGAAUGAAUUACAACUAUUCAACAUUGUAUUUCUAGACAUUCUUAGAAUGACAUAAAGAAGAUAUGAGAGGAUUUUGUGGACAAAAAAUUACAAUUACUUUUACUUGUAAAAGAAGUAAAGUAUAGAGAGAUUCAAUGAAGAAUAAUAUCGAAUAUAAGAGUAAAAAGAAAGGGAAAAAAAGAUUAGGAAGGAUAAAGAAAUAUGAAUGUCAUAUACUCUUAAAGGUAUGAAGUUGCCAACAAAUGAUAAUUGGAUAUUGGUUGUUAAAUAUGGAAGACAUAAUCAUGUUGGAGCACAAUAUCUCAAAGGAUAUUUUUUUCGUGAUUAUUUAAGUCAAGAAGAAAUGAGUAUCUUAGUUAAUAUGUCAAAAAGUAACAUCAAGCCAAAAGAGAUUGAAUAGUUUGAAGCAAAGAAGUAACCUUAAUUGUAACACAUUGAGGACAAGAUACAAUGUAUAGUAUAAACACAUAAAGUAAGGGAAUAUGGUGAGAGGCCACAAAUGCAACAAUUGAUGCACAAAUUAAUGGAGUUGAAUUACAUUAAAUGACAUAGAAGGGAUGAACAAAAUGAUUGUAUUAGAGACUUGAUGUUCAUCCACCCAAGAUCCAUUGAUUAAUUUAUUGUUAGCAUUUUCACUAGUGUUAAUCAUGGAUUGCACUUACCAGCCGUAUAGUUAUAAGAUGCCUUUACUCAAAAUAGUUGGUGUAACAUCAACAUAUAGGACAUUUUCUAUUACAUUUUCAUAUCUUAAGGGUGAAAAAAAAAAUAGGCAUUACACAUGAGCCUUACAAAAUUUGAAAAGUUUGAUUCAUAAAAACUUCAUUCCAAGAGUACUUGUAAUUAAUGGAGAAUUUGCUCUUAUGAAUGAGUUACAUAAUGUGUUCUCAACCUCUUCACAUCUUCUAAGUGGCUUAUAUUGAAAAAUAUUUUCACAAAUUGUAAGAAAUGCUUUGAGUAAAAAACAAGGCGGGAGGCUUUUAUUUUCAUGUGGAAUGUUUGAUGUUUGCCAUUUAGAAAAGGCAUGUGAGUACCAUCUUACUACCUUUGACAGGCAAAACCAAAGGUACACAACAACAACUAAAUAUUGCAAAGUUCAAUAGUUAAUUUCACCUAAAGAGAAGUUUGUAGCAGUUUGGAUAGAUAAACUCAUGCAUUUUGAUAAUACAAUAAAACAUAGGUAUAAUUAUUUUUUACUUUUUUUUUUUCGAAUAAUGUGUUUUAAUAUGUAAUAUAUAUUAAGUUCAAAUUUUCUUCAAUAUUAAUCAUGGUAGAAAGUUCACAUGUCUAGUCGAAGAGACAAUUAGGCACACCUCAGAUGAUUUUGAGGGCUUUUGAUUCAAAGUCCAUGCCAUGUUAGAGUUAUAACACAUGAAAAUAAAGACAUCAUUUGAGAUGAGUGUAAUUAGUGUCCAAUACAACAUGAAAAGUCAUUUGUUUAGUGAAUUAAGGGGUAGGAUUUCCAAAUUUGCACCAAGUGUUUUGGCUGAUGAAGGAAAAUGAUUUGAAAAUGUUGGAGUGAAUGUAUUUGCAUGUGGAUGUGCAUAUAGAUAGACUCAUGGACUGUGCAUAUGAGAUCUCUUUAUAUAAAAUUAAAGCUUGACCAAUCCUUUUAGCAUCAUUAGAUCUUCAUUUGAGGAAACUCAAUUUAGUUCCUAUUAAGAAUUGAAAGACAAAGGAAAUGGGUUAUGAAACUAAUAUGGGACACUUCCAUAAAUAGUUCUUAAGCAAUAAUCCAAUUGAUAGGAAAAAAUUGCUAUAGGAGGUGAUGGAAUUAGCUACUCCAAAAAUCACAUCUAUAACAUCCCUACCCACACUAGAAGAAGAUGAGAUAAAAAAGAAGGUCAUCAUCUUCUAAGAAGAAUGAUUCAUUAACUCGUAGGGAUCCAUCUUUAUUGGAGUAUGUCUCACAAAAUGGGAUGAGAAAAUGAUUAUUGUUACUACAUCAUCAUAAUAAAAGAGAAGGUUAAAGGAGAUAAUAAGAUGAUCAUGUAGGACUAGCUACAUUUGCAGGCUAUUUGCAACCUUAUAUCAUGCAUGUAAAAGAUAUGGGAACAUAUCAUAGUUGUAGAUAUUGAGCUAGAGCUUCUACUUUAGGAAUGAGUGAUGAUGGUUGGCCACAUGAUAAGCAAGACAUGUUUUGAGAGUUUCCACUUAUCAUAUAGAGUUUGAUGAGUCGUUUUAGGGAUAACUUGCAAGUUGAUGAGCUCCUUCAUGCCUUAAAUUUCUUUUACAACCUUGUUGUGGUUAACAGAUGGAUGACCAUGACCAAUAUGAGGCACACUAUAGCUUCCAAAUACAAUGUUGUACUUGUCCAUAUAUCGAUGCAGUAGUGUCUUACCUUUUUUUUUUUUUUUUCAAUCGAUGCCAUAUCUAUACUUAUGCGAAAGAUUAUAUCAAUUAGUUUUAUUAAUGAAAAUCAUGUUGUGGAGGUAAUUUCAUGAAUACUAAUAUAUUUUAUUUACAAUACCCUAUGCUUACUUAAUGAAAUAAUUUUCCAUAUUCUAAAAUUUUUUCUAGGUUUUAAUGCAACCUAAAACCCUAAUGAAACCUAUUACUAGUAGUUUGCAUAUGAGUUGAUAUCAUUGUGCUAAGGGUUCCACAACUCCAUAUGUACCUUCCAUUAUGAUGCUUUGCUGUUGAAUUUCUAACAAUAUUAUCACAUAAGAUAUUAUAGAUUUAGGUGAUAAUUAUGAUGUAUUGUAUUAUUAAUAUGGUAUAAUGAUUUAGAUGUUUAUGUCAAUUUCAUUAUAGAUGGUAAUGCUUAUAAUACAACACCUCUAGGAAUUUGCAAUAGAUCAAUAUGUAUAAAAGGUAUCCAACACUAUACCUAUGAUAGGAUAGCCACUAACCUCGAUCUAAUUUUCUACAUAGACAAGUACGAGACCUGUCUAUGUCACUACAUAUAAUCAGGUGCACACUCUGAUGGAUAUGUCACACGAAUAGCAUUCAUUGUAGCUUGUGCACUAAAACAUUAGAUAUAGGUCCUAUAAUGAAUACAUUGUUGGAUAAACCACUAGAUCUAAUAAUAAUGAAAGCAAAAUUAUGCACUAAAACAUUAGAUAUAGGUCCUAUAAAAACCAUAUCUUUGGAUUUGGAUGUUCUUAUAUUCCACUCUAGAUGAUACAGAGAUCUAAAAAACCUUGUGAUCUUCUACCCAAUCACUCCUUUAAUUCUUGACACUUGUAUAGAGUGGCUACACACCUUAAGAGGGAACAAGAUGGAAUUUGGGGUUUUUGAAAGACAUUUGAUUUAAAAAUUAAAGUCUAACCCUAAAACUUAAGAGGUUCAUAUAAACUCUCCUAUGGGCUUAAGUGACUUAGACUAACUUAGGUUUGGGUCACUUAAUCUAACCUAAUAGGUUCUAAUUAAUCAAUUACCUUAAUAAUCUCUAACUAAUAAACUAGUCUAAUCCAAAAAACUUAAAAUAAAUAAAAGUUGUUGUGCAACCUUGCACUUUAGCACAAUGCUAUUAUGCACACAUGAUUAAAUCUUUUAUUUUUCUCAAGCCUUUGUAUCAAUAAAGAAUAUGAGCUCGAGAGGGGGCCAUUGGGACCCAUAGGAAAAUAUUGAACCCCUUAUAAUCCAAUUCUAAAGUUGAUUCAACACUUUACUGAAGAAAUUCAAUUGCACUUUAGUAGCCUAUGAAAUUACAUUAAGAUUAAAAUUGAUUAAAUUGGAUUUAAUCAAUUUCUCAAGUGCAUGACCUACUAUCAACCACAUGCAGGCUCUCCAUGAACUUGUGUAUAUAAUCUAACGAGGUAAAAGUUAUUGACCUCUCAAGAGAUAAUAUUAUAAUAGCCUCAGAUGGAUUGCCUAAGUCUAUAAAUUGUUUGUGAACAAUUCAUAAACUUGCAAAGAACCCAUGAUUUCGAUUAUUUAUAUAACUCUUAAUGCACUUAAGUCAUGUACAAGUGAUGUAAGCUUAAAUGCUAAGAUAAAAUAUUAAUGCAAACAUGGAAAAAAAGUGGAGUUAUAUGGUUUAAAUAUAUAAUAUUUUAAUCAAAUCUCAUUUUAUUACAUCAUGUUAUGAUUUUAAAGUAUCUAUCCCUUAUGGGAGCCCUGGAUUUUAUAGGUACAUGCAAUCUACCCUUGGCCUUUAGAUCUUAUGCAACGAAAGUGAAAAAUAGUAAUUUUAAUAAUCAAGGAUCUAGAUUAAAAGCUUUAGAAAAUAAUACCUUUGAUUUGGAUAUUCUUAAAUCAAAUCCUAUCAGAGAAGAUCAAAUCUGAAAGUAUUGAAGGUCUCGUACACCCAAAAUUUUCCUCCCAAUGGCUCUAACUUGAUCUUGACCCUCAAUUGGUGGGGAGGUAUGAGAUGAUGGAGGUUAUGACUUUUUUCUUCUUUGGAGGUAGAAAACAACUCUAUGGAAACCCUAAUACAUAAAGGAGUAUUUAUAAGGUUCCUUAAUUGGGCUUAAGCCAAGGGCUUAGGUCACUUAAUCUAUCCUAAAAUGGGUCCUAAUUAAUUAAUUAACCACACAAGGUCAUUUAAUUAAUCAAUUAACCCAAUCUAGAGACCUUGUUCAUUAUCCCUUAUGCAACUUUAUGUAAUUAUCAAAAUGCCCUUAUGCAUAAAAGUGAAGCCAAUUUAUCUUUUACAAACCAUGCCAUCAAGGUAUAUGAGCUCGAGCAAGGACCAUUGAGACCCAUUGGAAUACUGAUAAUUGUGGAUAUUUACCUUGCUUUAGUUUUAUAAUUGAUGAUAAAAAUUGGUUAUGACACUCAUGUUUUAGAUAUUUAAAUUUUAAAAGUCUAAAAUUUCUUUGAUACUAAGAAGAUGACUUUGUUAAUUCUCCAAAUGAGGUUUGUGAAACAUGUGUUUUGGGAAAUAAGUAUAAAUACCAUUUUCCUGUAGGAAAAUUAUGGAGAGCAAGGAAGCCUCUUGAAUUGAUUCAUUCAAAUCAAUGUUUAAUGGAGGCUCCAUCAAAGAAAGAUCACAUAUACUUUAUAAUCUUUAUUGAUGAUUUUAGUUAAAAGGUUUGGGUUUAUUUUUUAAAACAAAAGGGAGAUACAUAAAAAAAUUUCAAAAUUUUUAAAGCUUAUGUGGAAAACAAAGUGGACAUGCCAUUAAAAUUUUGAGAACAAAUAAGGGUACUAAAUAUGUUGAUUAUGAUGUUUUAUUGAAAAAAAAAAGUGGUAUUGAGCAUCAAUUGACUGCACGGUACACUCCAUAAUAAAAUGAAUUUGCAAAGAGAAAAAAAUAGAACAAUUAUGCAUAUGGUGAGGUCCAUAUUGCACUUAAGACAAUUGGCUAAAAUGUUUUAGGUCAAAGUAGUUUCUUGUGCAUUUUAUUUAUUGCAUAGGUACCCUACUAAAAGUGUUUAUGGAAAGACCCACAAGAAGCUUGACAUCAUAGGAAGCCUAAUAUCAAUCAUCUAAUUAAGGGUGUUUGGUUGCAUAUCAUAUGCUCAUGUGUUUGAUGCAUUGCGAAAAAAAAAAUUGAUGAUAAAGGUGAAAAGUGUUUAUUGGUUAUAUUCAAGUGGCAAAAGGUUAUAAAUUAUAUAAUCUACAAACCAAGAAAGUUAUUGUUAGUCGUGAUUUGAGUUUUGAUGAACAAGCAGUAUGAGAAUGGUCUUUUAAUGAAAAAUGACCAUCAAGUAUUUACAUUCAUCUUGAAGAGCAAGGUGAAGAUCAAAGUACGCAGCCUACUAGUGCACAAAUUAUGACUCCAUGUUCAAUAGCAUCACCAAGGCAUCUACAACGUCUCUAUGUUUUACUUGCACACUUACAACAUUCUAUAGUUGAUGAUGAUAGUAAUCCAACAAAUGAAGAAUUGAUUAUUUUUUCUUUAUUUACAUAUUGUGAUCUAUUAAGUUAUAAGGAAGUUGCUCAAGAUGGUUAUUGGCUUAAAGCUAUGGACAAAGAAAUUCAUACAAUUGAGAAAAAUAAUACAUAAGAUCUUACUAAUCUCCCUAAUUCUAAUAAGCCAAUUGUUGUCAAAUGAGUGUACAAACCAAGCACAAGACAAAUGGAGAAGUCAACCCCUUCAAGGCAAGAUUGGUGGCAAAAUGUUACAAGCAAAAACCAAGUAUUGAUUAUUUUAAAGUAUUUGCACUUGUUGCUAGAUUGAUACUGUUCGUAUGAUUAUCUCUCUUGCUACAUAAAACAAUUGAAAAAAAUUUCAAAUGGAUAAAUUAGCUUUCUUGAAUGACAACUAAGAGAAGAGGCUCAUGUCAAAUACCUCAAGGAUAUAUUAUAAAAGGGUUAGAAGAAAAGGUUUAUUAGCUAAAAAAUGCCCUAUAAAGCACGCACCAAGAGCAUUAUACACAUGUAUUAAUACCUAUUUCAUAAAGAAUAAAUUUUAAAUAUGUCUUUAUAAACACACUUUAUAUAUCAAAUUUAAUUUGUAAGGUGACAUUCUUAUCGUGUGUUUAUAUAUAAAUGAAUCAUUCGUAAUAAUUUGAAGAUGAUUGAAGAAUUCAAAGAAAUAAUGAUUAAUCAAUUUGAGAUGAUAGAUAUGGGAUUGAUGUCCUAUUUUUCAGGAUUGAAGUAAUUCAAGUAUAAAGGUAUCUUUAUUUUUUAGAAGAAGCAUGUAAGUGAUAUUCUUGAAAAAUUGAAGAUGGAAUCAUGCAAUCUUAUUCUAACUCCAGUUGAAGAAAUACUGAAAUAAGGAAAAGAUAACUAAGGUAAGUUAGUUGAUCUAACAAACUUUAAAAGAAUGAUUGGGAGUUUGUAAUAUUUGACUUCUAUAAAACAUGAUAUUGUAUUUAGAAUUGAACCUGUAAGUAGAUUCAUUGAGUCUCCACACCAAUCUAACUUGCAAGCAACAAAUUGUAUCUUACGAUACAUUAAAGGUACACAAAGUGAUAGUAUUUUUUAUGCAUAUGAUAACAUGAUUGAGCUUGUUGGAUACACAUAUAGUUAGUGAGUGGGUGAUGUAGAAAAGCAAAAAAAAAAAAAAAAAAAUUACUUUCAACUAUGCAUUUAAUCUUGGUUUGGAAGUUUUUUUCCUGGUCAUCAAAGAAACAACAUAUAGUUGUUUUGUCAACAACAUAAGUUGUGUCUAUUGCAGCUACUAGUGGUACAUGCUACUCAAGCGAUAUGGUUUCAUAAAAUGCCUUUUGGCUUAAAGCAUACUCAAGAAGUUCCCACAAUUUUUAUUUUUAUUUUUUAUUUUUUUUGUGAUAAUAAAUUAGCAAUAGCAUUGAUCAAGAAUCCAAUUUUUUCAUGGAAGAAUUAAACACAUUGACAUAUAAUUUCAUUAUAUUUGUGAUUUGGUGAAAGACAAAGAAAUUAUACUUGAGUUCUGUUCUUCAAAAAUCCAAGUUGCAAACAUUUUUAUAAAGUCAAUCAAGGGGAAAACAUUGCCCAAGUUGAAGAAGAUGACGAGUAUGAUGAAAUUUAAACAUUAUUGUUUUUUUUUCUUUUUUGAGAAAUUAUUUUAUGCUAGAAAGAUUAUUUUUGGUUGCUCACAGCUACUCAUGACACAAUGCCAUAUUCAAGAAAUUAUAUAUAUAUAUAUAUAUAUUAAUUUUCAUUUCUUAAAAAACUCUUUUAAAAAUUUGUUGUAAUAAAUAAAGGAAAGCCAGCGUGGCAUAGAAAACCUUUGCCUUUGCAAUCAAAAUUAUAUAUAUAUUUUCAUUCUUCCAUGUUUCUCUUAAAUCUUUCAGAGACGGAUAGAAAACAGUAAAAAUAAUUUGAUAAAUAUAAAAUAAAACUAUUAUGUUAACCAUGUUAUAAGAAGAUGAUGGUAAAGCUACCAUAUUUUGAUGUACUUAAAAGGAAAGAAAUAGAUAAAAUAAGGCUUCCUUUACACUUCUUGUAUUUUUUUUUUCAAUAACUUUUAUAUAAAUAUAUUUUUUUUUAUUUUUAUGAAAGUAUAAAUUUAUAUUAUGUGUUUAAAAAUUACUUUAAAAUUUUUUUAAAUGUCUGAAACAAUAAAUUUAUAUCAAUUUUAAAAAAUUAUCAUAUUUUCAAUGUAACCUUUUUAAGAGUUAAUUCAUAUGUAAGUUACUAUUAAUUUUUGUUUUUGAAAAAUAAAAAAAUAAUAUGUGAAUCAUAAAGAAACUAUGGACCUGUUUGGAAAUUGUUUUUUGAAACAAUUUUCUAUUCUUUAGAACAAAAAAAAAUAGAAAAAUACAUUUGAUAAUUAAAAAACUUUUUUUUAUUUUUUAUUCUUAAGAAUAGAAAAUAAGGUGUUUUCAAAGUAUAUCUUUUAGUUGUUUUCCAUUGUUUUCACUUAUUUUAAAAAAAAAAACAUUAUACAAACAUGCAGAAUGAUUAAAAAUAAAGUACUAGAUAUAAAAAUUAUUUUUAAAAUAUAUUUUAAAAUAUUAAAAACAUUUUAGGUUCCCAAAACAAAUUUUAGUUUUACAAAACAUUAGAAAAACUAUUUUUUAAAAUCAUUAAUUACCAAACAUGCCCUAAAUAUCCGUUUCGAUACAUCUCUUAUUUCUUUUUAAAUAGAAUCAUAAACAUUUAAAAGUAUAAUAUAUUGUACAAAAAAUUUGAAAAUUUGAGAUACCAAAAAGAUUUUUGUUACCUCAAAAUUUUUAAGUAGUUUUUAAAAGCAUUUUUUUUAACAUAAGUUUUUAAAAGUUUUUAUAUCUUAUAUAAAAUUUAUUAUUAGUUUCUAAUUUUAAAAAAUAAAAAACAAAAAAACAUAUCUAAACGAAACUAAAUUAAGGGUUUUUCAUUUAUAAAUUUUGAAAAGGUUAGGUGAAUUGAAGCUUAUGAGGAGUUUAGACAAACGCUCUCAUUAAUUGUUGAUAGAGGUGUUUGGUGAUUUUAAAGUUAAACCACCUAAUAUUUGUGAUUGAGAGGUUACUCCAAGGCAAUUGAAUCUUACAAAUUCCCAACCAUUAGAUUUAAGUCAUUGGCCCACAUUACCCACAUUACUGACUCCACCUCCCAGGAUUCAUAUAUGCAUUAAAUGAAGAGAGAAUUAUGUUUUGGGGGUAGAUGACCCCCGAAUUAACAAAAGGUCUAUGUAACUCUUUAAAUUGAGCUCAAGACCCAAUGAAAGUAUGAAAAUUGAGUUGAAGGAUAUCAUCCUUCAGUAUUUCCAAAAAUGUCAUUUGUUGAUUUUGAGAAAAAAAUUAAUAUUUUUGAAAAAUACUUUUAUUUAAUUUAAUAUUUUUGAUUUAAUUUAAUAUUUUUAAAAAAUACUUUUAUGUAAUUUAAUAUUUUUUAAAAUACUUUUAUUUAAUUUAAUAUUUUUUAAAAUACUUUUAUUUAAUUUAAUAUUUUUUAAAAAUAAAUUUAUUUAAUUUAAUAUUUUUUUAAAAUAAAAUUAUUUAAUUUAAUAUUUAAAAAAAUUAUUUAAUUUAAUAUUUUUUUAAAUACUUUAAUUUAAUUUAAUAUUUUUGAAAAAAAAAUUUAAUUUAAUAUUUUUGAAAAAAAAAUUAUUUAAUUUAAUAUUUUUGAAAACUACUUUUAUUUAAUUUAGUAUUUUUGAAAAAAAAAAUUAUUGAAAAACAAUUAUUUAACUUAAUUUUAUAAAAUAUUUUAUAUGUGUUUUUAAAGGGUCUUGUAGACCUCCUCAACAGCAGCAGGUUUCUUUUUUUUAGAUUAUUAUUUUAUUCCCCUUUCUUUUGCUUUGUUUUUUUCGCUCUCUUCUUCAGAACCCGAGAAUGAGCUGGGGGUGGUAGCCAAAACAGGGCGGCCAUAGGACGAGAUGGGCAGGUUUUUUUACGGCGAGAGGGGACGGGGGUACGAAGAUGGCUGGGAGGGGAAGCUAAGAAAAAAAAAAGAGGAAAAAGAGAGGAGAUAUCUCGUGAGAGGGGGGAAGCUGAGGAGAAACACGGGCCUGCAGGCUGGGAAGAGAGCCGGGGUGGGAAUUUCGGGUCCGAAGCUUGAGGAGAAGAGGUUUGAAGAAGUGACAAGAGAGAGAUUUGCGAGAUGGUAGAAAUGGGCGUCUCAAGCUGAGUUGAGGAGGAGUUUGAAGCUUAGGUCCAGGUAAGAUUUCUGCAUGUUUUAUAUACCUCAUUUUAGUUUGCUUUAUUCUAUUUCUUGUUAAUUUCGGUUCCUGCUUGGUGUUUAUUAUAUGGAUGGCGAGGCAUAUGAUGCGUUAGAGAGUGUGUGUAUUGGAUUGAGAUCAAUUAAAGGGGUGGAAAAGAUGUCUAAUUAUAUGAUUAGUAGUGGGUUUGGUCCGGAUGAGUAUUUGGGGAACAAGUUCUUGUUGAUGCAAGUAAAAUACGGGAUGAGGAUUGAUGCACAUGGACUGUUUGAUGAAAUGCCAAUAAAGAACAUUUUAUGUUUUUUUUAACACCCCUGCACAUGAUUCUCCCAUUCAUAUUAUAUUUGCUUCAAAUCCUGGAAGCGACCCCCACUAGCGACGUUGAGCCGAAGCUCCUUGCCGGCGACGACGAGGAGAAUGACAGGUUGCAAGCUUGCAUGGGGAGGUGCCUACAGCUGCUAUUGGUCUUGGAGGUUUGGGCCCCCAUGAUAGUGGAUUUGGGCCUGAGGUGAAGCCCCAAACCCAAAUAUGAUGGUGAAAAGGCUUGAGUCCUUUUGCUAACGGAUGUGGGCUUGGGAUGAAGCCCAAAUCCGAGCUUGAUGAUGGAAGGCCCCCAUGAUUUGUCCAUCCACUUUAGGACCGGCCCAUACUUAUUUCAAGCUGGCCCAUCUGGUUGUUUCCACCUUAUAUAUUUCACCUUCUCUAAAUCACUCAUUUCUCAAUAAACUCUUUAAUUUCUAAUUUCCAAGCCCAACUUACAAAAAUUCAAUCUCCAAAUGACACUUCAAAAUUCAGAUUUUUAAUGUUUAAUUCCGAUUUCCGAAUUCUCAUAUUCCCAUUAAUUUAUUUGAUCAUUAGUAUUUCAUUUAUUUAUUUCAAAGCUCCAUUCUAAAUCAAAUUCUUCUAAAACUUCUGAUUACCGAAUUAAAUUCAAAAAAUUCCAAUAUUCGCAUUAAUUUAUUAUUGUUAUUUUAUUUAUUUAUUCUAAAAUUCCAUUUUAAACAAUUCAUUAAAAUUUCCGACUUUCGAAUUAAAUUUCUAUUUCUGAAAAUUCCAAUAUUCACAUUAAUUUAUUUAAUUAUUAUUAUUUUAUUUAUUUAUUCUAAAAUUCUAUUUUAAACAAUUCAUUUAAAAUUUUCAACUUCCAAUUUUAAUUUCUAAUUCUGAAAAUUCCAAUAUUCACAUUAAUUUAUUUAAUUAUUAUUAAUUUAUUUAUUUAUUCUAAAAUUCCAUUUUAAACAAUUCAUUAAAAUUUCCACUUCCGAUUUUAAUUUCUAAUUCUGAAAAUUCCAAUAUUCACAUUAAUUUAUUUAAUUAUUAUUAUUUUAUUUAUUUAUUCUAAAAUUCUAUUUUAAACAAUUCAUUUAAAAUUNNNNNNNNNNNNNNNNNNNNNNNNNNNNNNNNNNNNNNNNNNNNNNNNNNNNNNNNNNNNNNNNNNNNNNNNNNNNNNNNNNNNNNNNNNNNNNNNNNNNNNNNCCAUUUUUAAACAAUUCAUUAAAAUUUCCACUUCCACUAAUUCCAAAAUUCCAACAUUCACAUUAACCUAUUUAAUUAUUAUUAUUUUAUUUAUUUAUUCUAAAAUUUCAUUUUAAACAAUUCAUUAAAAUUUCCGACUCUCGAUUUAAUUUCUAAUUCCAAAAUUCAUAUUAAUCUAUUUAAUUAUUAUUAUUUUAGUUAUUUAUUUUGAAAUUCCAUUUUAAACAAUUCUUCAAAAUUCCAAUUUCUGAACUUAAUUUCUGAUCUCCAAAAUUCUAAUUUCUUUCAAAUUUAAUAUCCAAAAUUCUAAUUCUUAAAUUUAAUUUUUCAAGACUCCAAUCUUCAAAUAAUUUUCGAGGCUCUAAUUUCCAAAUAAAUUUCAAAAAUCCAGUUUUCUCUCGAAUAGCUUUAAUUCCACUCCGAUUUUUAAAUAAUGUUCUAUUUCUUUUGAUUUUUACACAAGCAAGAAUGAUGAAUCUUCAUCAAUUGCCAUGUCAACUUCAUUCUAUUAGUAGAGACCCGACUUUAGGGACUUAGAGGGGUGCUACGGUCUUCACCGUACCUUCCCGAUAAGUAACCUGACCUCCGAACCCGAUCCGGUUUUUCGUAGAUCACCUUUUCCAAAUAAGGAGUCACACUUAGGGUUUUUCUUUCUUAUUUGUUUACCCUUUAAAAAUAAAACAAAAAUAAGUGGCGACUCCAAAUCAUUUUUCUUAAUCAAAUAAAAAUCAAAUUUUCAAAUAAAAAUCGAGGUCGCCAUCGAGUGGGAAACGCAUGAGCAGAAAUGCGGGGUCCACAAAAUGGCGACUCCGCUGGGGAUCUUUUAGAGGGUCAAGCUUGAACUUAAAGUGAAGCAAACGUGGCGUUUGGUGAGUCGAUCAGUGGGUACUCAUCUCUUGAUUGCACAUCGAGAGUUCCCGAGCUUUCACUUGGGACGUUGACAUGUUGAUCAUGUUGGUUGAUUAUUUUGGUUGGGGAUUCUAAUAUAGCUAGUUUCUUAAUGCUUCAUUGAUAUAUUUGUAUGAGAUAUUUGACAUGCUGAUUAUGAGAUUGAUUAUCUUGAUUGAGGAUUUUGAUUUUUUUUUUUGUGCUUCAUUGCCAUGUUUGUUGAGUACAUUGACAUGCUGAUUAUAUUGAUUGAUCAUCUUGCCUUGCUUAGCAUAGUCAUUCUGAUUUUGCCAUGUUUGUUCUGAUUACCUCACAUGUAUAGACUCACCAUUGUAUAUCAUUUGAUUUGACAUGAUUGAUUCUCUCAGUUAUAUAUUAUCUUAUCAUAGAGCAUGCUAUCAUUUGUCACAUAUUCUUCUUGAUUGGCUUGUGUGUAGAUUUGGAUGAUAUAUACCUGUUUUGCAUGACUGUCUGUUGCAUGACUCUUCUCAUCCUGAUGCGACUGCAUGAGUCGUGUGUCUAUGUGGAACACAAACUUAUCCUUUUAUUUCCAAGUCCCUAGUCUCGGUCGACAUAGUUUUCCUUGCUCUCAUAUUUGAUACGAGACUUGUUGCCUUGUNNNNNNNNNNNNNNNNNNNNNNNNNNNNNNNNNNNNNNNNNNNNNNNNNNNNNNNNNNNNNNNNNNNNNNNNNNNNNNNNNNNNNNNNNNNNNNNNNNNNCUCUCAUAUUUGAUACGAGACUUGUUGCCUUGUUUGCUCUUCGACCGAGCUAGUGAUUAGGAAUAGGGUCUAGCGACGGGCUAUAUCUAUGUUUGGGAGCAUUCUGGAGGUGGUCAACAUAUUGAUGUUGAUUGGAGUCUGAACUUUGAAGACUUGUAUAGCCCAGAGCUAGAUUUCAGGAUAUUUGUAUGGUCAGUGUGUUUUCUUUUAGUUUCUUAGGGUUUUCAGAUGCACCCACACCACCCACUGUGGACUUUAGUCGAUUACUGAGUGCUGAGAGUUGUGAGAGCUUUCACCAUAGGAAACCCCCUGGGAUGUCGAGGUAGUGCAUGUGUGGAGGUGAUGACCACCUUGCAUGGAAGCGCCCCGUCUCUUCGGAGACGUGCAGAGGGUUGCGUACCGCCGGAGGGUAUGAUCGCUUCUGCUAGGGAUCCUUUAAAGUCCACCCAUACCCAUUUAGAGCCACCUUGACUUUGUAGGUUGAGCCGUAGAUCCUUCGAUUAGGACUCCCUUCCUACACGUGGGUGCAUCUGAGGGCCUUCAGAGCCUCUUUAGUUACAGUUCGGAUCCAGUAUUCCCUCUUUUUAGUCUCCAGUUGAGAGUGCUCGAAGAUCGGUAUGGGUUUGAGUAUCGGUUGGAUCACUUUUCGUCUGAUCGCCUUAGUUUGUGUUUUUCACUUGACGAGUUUAACAUGUUUUCUCGUUAGGGUUUUCGUUCUCAUUUCUUGGCUCGACACACCCCUUCACUUUGAUUAUCACUCACUCGAUACUUUGGGAUAUGUUCAUUGAUCAUCUUUUUACACUGCACACCUAUCACGGGCUCAGUACCUCAUUCUUUGUUUGAUCCUUGGUUCGAUUUUCGACCGAUGUGAUGACAGGACCAGUCACUGUUUUUGUUUUUGUUUGUUUAGUCUUGUUUUACUUUUGACUUUUAGAGACUAUAACUCGAUUCUUGAGUAUUGUCUUUGUUAUCCUUCUUUUGCAUGAUAUACUCAUCGGUUAUCCCAUUGGAUGUCUUUUUCUUUAUGGACAUAUGCUUGUGUUUUGUGAUAUGAUGUGUUGUUCUUUUUACUUGAGGCAUCUCUUCACUUACACAUUGUGAUCUUGAGGCUUGACCUAUCAUGGAGGAUAUUGAGCCUAUUAGCCUAGAAUCAGAGAUUUGACUCAGGAAGUUCGAGACUGUGACGCAUCUUCUUAUGAUCAGAGUAGUGCCUUGCUCACUUCCCGCAAUUUGACUCUGUUUUGACCUACAUCCAUCCAUUGUGAGCUUUGCACAGCACUACCCUUGAGACCAUUAUAUGACCUUCUCAUCCUCUAUUUUUUCUAGCUUUACACAUUCCCCCUCUAGUCCGACCAGGUAGAGAACGAGGAGUUUGACCCUAGGGUUGAUCUCACAUGACGAGGGUUAGCUUAUGAUCUUUGGGUGGUUUACGAUAUGAGGAUUGGUCGAUUGCUUGAUGAGACUGUCACUUAUUUUUUCGUGAGUACAAAGGUUGAUGUUGUAUGAUGAGAGUUGGCUUAUGAUGGGCAGUCGUGCCUGAUGAGAUCACCAUUCACUUUGCUUUGAGAGGAUCAUCUUUGAGAUUAUUAUGGAGCAUUCGGAGUAUGGUUGAUACAUGAUCCUAGAGGGAAGUUCAGACCCAACUGGAGCGGACCUUAUUUCAUCAGGGAGUUGACCCCAGAGGGCGCUGCAUGGUUGAUGGAUUUAGAUGGAAACCGAUUCUCAGAGCCAACCAACAUGGAUCAGCUAAAGAGGUACUAUGUUGGAGACCAUGGUCGCAGGAUGGGUGGCCAUCAUUUCGGUUAGCCAUAUGCCUUGUUAUUCCCUUUUUUGAUAUAUAGUCUGUUGCUAGCCCAUUGAGCCUCGCAUGCGAAUUAUAGCCUUUCUUUCUUAUCGCCUUGCUCACAUUUUCACACCGGGAUAGGGGCCCUUUAAUGUAUGCAUGCAUUGUUUGGUAGUUUCAUGAGCCUUGGACCUAGGGGCAUGUUUUUCUCAUUAUCUUUUCCUAUCACUGCACCUCUGCAUUUUCAUCUCAUCUUAUUGGUUAUGUUAUUUAUCUCUUCUUCCUUAUCCUAUCUACUAUUUGUUUGUUUCAUAUUUCUCUUCACCCUGGGUGGUGAUCCUCCUCAGUUCAUCACAUGGAGGAUAGUCACAUCAUUUCCACCAUCUAUCUCGCGGACACUGGUUUAGAGAUCCUUAGUUUGAGAAGGUCAUCUUGUUAGAGAGAGUUUGUUUGUUACCUUAGUACUUGGGGGUAUGUCCAUUUGUCAUUGAUAUCAUCUUUGGGGUUCAUUUGUUCACGUUCAGGGUACGUGUAUUUGCAUAUAUGUAAAAAAAAAAAAAAAAAAAAAAAAAAAAAAAAAAAAAAAAAAAAGAGAAAGAAAAAAAAAAGAAAAAGAUCAUUAUUAUUAUUAGCACAUGUGUGUAUGUGCAUAGUGUUCUCGAUCAUUGAGUAUGUAUAUUGAUGUCUGGGGGUCAUUUUUAUCGAGUAUGUUCGUUAUUGGGAGUUCGUAUGUGAGCUCUCUGAAAUCCCNNNNNNNNNNNNNNNNNNNNNNNNNNNNNNNNNNNNNNNNNNNNNNNNNNNNNNNNNNNNNNNNNNNNNNNNNNNNNNNNNNNNNNNNNNNNNNNNNNNNAGGACUCUGAGUCAUUGUCCUUUCCAUCAUUACAUUCAUUAUUGAUGUGACUUCACUUCAUGUUUGAUCUUAGUCGAUCACCAUCUUUCUUCAUAUAUUCAUUGUUCCGGUGUCAUUUUUAUCGUCACUUGUGUUUCACCUCAUUCACUUCACGUCUUAUUCUCUCCUUACAGCAACCCAUCUCGGGUUCGAUACUCACUUCGCAUCAUCGUUACACAUAUCACCAUCAGUUCAUUUUGUUUCAUUUGUCUCCUUACCGACAUCAUAUUCACGUUAGGCAUCCUCAGGUCCAUGGCUCAUGGGAUUCACUAUACAUGUUGCAUUUCAUAUAUGAGGGCAUGUUUUUCUGAUCAUUGGGUAUUUGGGCCUAGUUUCCUUUCAUUUCUGUUACCUUAUCACCUCAGCCUACGUUACGUCCUGUGUCUUAAGACCACCUUGAGGCCGUGGGAUCAGAUGUCGUCUUUGACAGCCUCUACUUGGAUAGGUGAUUGAGAUCUGAUUGACAUUUAGAUAUCGUCAUGCUUCUUCUUCUGGGAGUCACCUCUUUGAUGUGUAGGACUGAUUCAAUUGUGUUCGGAUUACCGGGAUCGUGAGUUUGAUGAUGAUUGACUUGGUGUCACCUGAUUUUUUUUGACCUGUCGUACCUCUGGUGCCACACUGCGGCAUAUCCCAUUUCAUUUGGAGGUUUAUGGAUCCUCACAGAUUUGCACGUUCAUUAUCACUUACUGGAUGCUCAUUGAGACGUGGACAUGAUCAUUACCUUACGGAGCCCCUGAGAUCCAUCCAGCUAGUUCCGCACUUCUCGACGCUUGGAUGCCAUCAUGCCUCUCCAUCUGGGAGGACAUCUUGGAUAUGUGUGCAUGAUUCAGUUAUGGAUUCGGAUGACCAGUGUUACAUGUGCGACGAUAGAUGAUUUCAUGACAUUUGUCAUUUGGACCCGUCGCGCACUUGAUGUCAUACUGAGGCAUAUUUCCCGUUUCAGAUGUGAUUUAUGGAUCUUCACUUAUGUUGCAUGAUCGAUGAUAGAUGAUUUCGUGUCGCCCGAUUUCUGACCUGUCGCGCACUUGAUGUCAUACUGGGGCAUAUUUCCUUUUCGAUUGAGAUUUACGAAUCCUCAUGGAGUUGCACGCUCAUCCCCACUUAUGAGGUACACAUUGACAUGAUGUUUCCACCAUGAAGCCUCUCGGGAGUUACCCAGUUAGGCCUGCACUUCGCGACGCUUCGAUGUCAUCAUGCUUUCCUUCCGAGAGACGCCCCUUUGAUCUAUGGGUCUGAUUCAGUUGUACACGUGGAUGACUUGGAUCGCGCAUUCGAUGAUGGGUGAUCUGAGCUCAUUUGGUUCUUUUGACCCAUCAUGCAUUGUGUUUGAUAGCUCUUAUGUGAGCGGUACUUGGGAUUGAUUCGAGAGCAUUCUGAUUGUGAUGGACCGGGAGUUAUGGUAUGACCUUACACUGGGGCAUAGCCAUCUCAGAGAGUUUUAUUAUCGGAUGACCAUUAUGUCGAGGCAUACUCUUCUCAGUCGAUGACGGAUUUUUGAGCCAUGUCCUUUCCUGGGAGGAUAUCAGAUGUCCUUUUUCACAUUGGAGCAUGAGACAUGAUUGGCGCGUUUCAUCUGGUGUAUUUUACACAGGGGCAUACCCCUUUCGGUCCAUGAUGGUUUUUAGGCAUAGUUGUUCCUUGGAGGCGAUUAGAUUCAUUUUACAUUGGAGUAUGAGAUAUGAUUGGGUGAUAUGUUUGAUGUGAUCACAAGAGCAUAGCCUUCUCAUCAUUGUUGACAUAUUUUUUAGAUGAUUGGAUCAGGACACAGACACUUAUGAGAGCAUGCAGCGGAGUUUAGUCAUUUCAGGGUUUGCCCUAUAUUGGGGCAUAACCCUUUCAUUGGCGGUUGAUCUUAGAGAUAUCAGUUCACAUUGGGACAUGCUCUUUAUUUGGGGGAGGUUAGAUAUUCUCUUCACAUUACCACGAUGGCUUUGAUGAGCAGAUGUUCAUUUUGAUCAGAUGAUGUAUGAUUGGUUGUACUCCUCUCAUUGAUGUUUGAUUCAGAGAUGCUUACACCGGGGCAUAGCCCACUCAUCGAUGAUGAUUUUGUGAGAUGACAGUUUAGGCCAGACACAUACUUCCCAGGGUUUAUCUUGCACUGAGAACUUAUCCAUUUUGAGAUGAUGCAUUCAUACUGGGGGCGUACCUACCUUGCUGAUUUUGACAUUGAGACUCCACUUCCUGUUUAUGAUCGCUGCUCUCGAUGGAUUAUAGUCAUUGGCACCCUGGGUUCAAUCUUCUUAACGUACUUGGUCCGACUUGGGUACCCACUUUCCUUUGUUACACACCCAUCCAUCCUACAUUGAACACCGUUAUACUUGCACCCAUCUUAUCAGAGCCUUACAUCUUUUGAGCCUACAUAUUUCAUCAUCUUACCUGACUUUAUCCCUUUCUCUUGAUCAGAGGAAGGUGUAGACUAGUCUUGAGCUUUCUGGUUGAGUUUUCACAUGCCUUUGGACAUUAGGUUCAACAUCUCUUAUGAUGGUAGGACCUAUCAGAUUUGUUGAUGCNNNNNNNNNNNNNNNNNNNNNNNNNNNNNNNNNNNNNNNNNNNNNNNNNNNNNNNNNNNNNNNNNNNNNNNNNNNNNNNNNNNNNNNNNNNNNNNNNNNNNNNNNNNNNNNNNNNNNNNNNNNNNNNNNNNNNNNNNNNNNNNNNNNNNNNNNNNNNNNNNNNNNNNNNNNNNNNNNNNNNNNNNNNNNNNNNNNNNNNNNNNNNNNNNNNNNNNNNNNNNNNNNNNNNNNNNNNNNNNNNNNNNNNNNNNNNNNNNNNNNNNNNNNNNNNNNNNNNNNNNNNNNNNNNNNNNNNNNNNNNNNNNNNNNNNNNNNNNNNNNNNNNNNNNNNNNNNNNNNNNNNNNNNNNNNNNNNNNNNNNNNNNNNNNNNNNNNNNNNNNNNNNNNNNNNNNNNNNNNNNNNNNNNNNNNNNNNNNNNNNNNNNNNNNNNNNNNNNNNNNNNNNNNNNNNNNNNNNNNNNNNNNNNNNNNNNNNNNNNNNNNNNNNNNNNNNNNNNNNNNNNNNNNNNNNNNNNNNNNNNNNNNNNNNNNNNNNNNNNNNNNNNNNNNNNNNNNNNNNNNNNNNNNNNNNNNNNNNNNNNNNNNNNNNNNNNNNNNNNNNNNNNNNNNNNNNNNNNNNNNNNNNNNNNNNNNNNNNNNNNNNNNNNNNNNNNNNNNNNNNNNNNNNNNNNNNNNNNNNNNNNNNNNNNNNNNNNNNNNNNNNNNNNNNNNNNNNNNNNNNNNNNNNNNNNNNNNNNNNNNNNNNNNNNNNNNNNNNNNNNNNNNNNNNNNNNNNNNNNNNNNNNNNNNNNNNNNNNNNNNNNNNNNNNNNNNNNNNNNNNNNNNNNNNNNNNNNNNNNNNNNNNNNNNNNNNNNNNNNNNNNNNNNNNNNNNNNNNNNNNNNNNNNNNNNNNNNNNNNNNNNNNNNNNNNNNNNNNNNNNNNNNNNNNNNNNNNNNNNNNNNNNNNNNNNNNNNNNNNNNNNNNNNNNNNNNNNNNNNNNNNNNNNNNNNNNNNNNNNNNNNNNNNNNNNNNNNNNNNNNNNNNNNNNNNNNNNNNNNNNNNNNNNNNNNNNNNNNNNNNNNNNNNNNNNNNNNNNNNNNNNNNNNNNNNNNNNNNNNNNNNNNNNNNNNNNNNNNNNNNNNNNNNNNNNNNNNNNNNNNNNNNNNNNNNNNNNNNNNNNNNNNNNNNNNNNNNNNGUACUGGGGCAUACCGCCUUUAGCGCUUUUCAACUGGAGCAUACCCCCUCUCUCUUUGGGUUUACCGUGUCUCGUGUUGAUUUCAUGGUUGUCAGACCCAUUUUGUCGAUCUUUACGAGUUAUCACCUAGGGCAUUCCCCUUACCGUCAGUUUGUUUAGGGCAUCCCCCUAUUGUCGUCUCGUUUGGGGCAUCCCCCACUGUCAUUUACGUUUGGGGCAUCCCCCCACUGUCAUUUACGUUUGGGGCAUCCCCCACUGUCAUUUCGUUUGGGGCAUCCCCCCACUGUCAUUUACAUUUGGGGCAUCCCCCCACUGUCAUUUCGUUUGGGGCAUCCCCCCACUGUCAUUUACGUUUGGGGCAUCCUCCCACUGUCAUUUCGUUUGGGGCAUCCCCCCACUGUCAUUUCGUUUGGGGCAUCCCCCCAUUAUCAUUUUGUUUGGGGCAUCCCCCCACUGUCAUUUCAUUUGGGGCAUCCCCCCACUGUCAUUUACGUUUGGGGCAUUCCCCCACUGUCAUCUCGUUUGGGGCAUCCCCCCACUUUCAUCUUGGUUAGGGGGUAUUUCCAUUUUGUUUAGGGCAUCCCCCUUUAUUUUAGUUUUAUCACCACCAUGGAUUUUCAUCCUUGGGCUUUCAGUUAUUUCACCACCAUAGAUCGGACAUCUAUGGACUUUGAUCAGUUUGUCACCACCAUGGAUUUUCAUCCUUGGGCUUUCAGUUAUUUCACCACCAUAGAUCGGACAUCUAUGGGCUUUGAUAAGUUUUUCACCAUCAUAGAUUUUCAUCUAUGAGCAUUUAUUUCAGUUAUAUCACCACCAUAGAUCGGGCAUCUAUGGGAUCUAUGGGCAUUUCAGUUUUCACCACCAUGGAUUUCCAUCCUUGAACUUUCGAGAUUAUCACCACCAUGGAUUUUUAUCUGUGGGCAUUUGGGAGUUUCACUACCAUAGAUUGGCAUCUAUGGACUUUUUUUAUUGUAUCAUCGUCAUAGAUUUUUAUCUGUGGGCUUUCGAGAUUAUCACCACCUUAGAUCGGACAUCUAUGGGCAUUUUUAUUGAAUCACCACCGUGGGUCUCCACCUAUGGUCCUUCUAGUUUAGUGUUUAGAAUUAGCUUUAUGGUUUGGCUUCCAGAACUAUUAUUUUCUAGUUUAGUGUUUAGAGUUAGCUUUUCGGUUUGGCUUCCAAAGCUAUUAUUUUCUAGUUUAGUGUUUAGAAUUAGUUUAUUGGUUUGGCUUCCAAAGCUAUUAUUUUCUCAAUUUGACGUUCAGAGUCAUCAUCAUCACUUCUCAGCUUCGGCGUUCAGAGCCAUCAUCACUUUUUAGUUUCGGCGUUCAGAGCCAUCACCGUGUUUUCAGAUCGACAUUCAGAGUCGCAUCCUCGGUUUCGGCGUUCAGAUUCGUUAUCACUUCUCGGCUUGACGUUCAGAGUCAUCAUCAUCACUUCUCAGUUUCGGCGUUUAGAGCCAUCAUCACUUUUUAGUUUCGGCGUUCAGAGCCAUCACCGUGUUUUCAGUUCGGCGUUCGGCGUUCAGAGCCAUCAUCGGUUUUCAGAUCGACAUUCAGAGCCAUUCUCAUCACAUUUUCAGUCUCGGCGUUCAGAGCCAUCGUCACUCCUCAGUUUGACGUUUAGAGUCGUAUUCCUAGUUUCGGCGUUCAGAGCCAUCAUUAUCGUUUCUCAGUUUCAGCGUUCAGAGCCAUUAUUACUCCUCAGUUUGACCUUCAGAGUCGCAUUCCUGGUUUUGGCGUUUAGAGCCAUCACCGCAUCUUCGUUCGGCGUUCCGAGCCAUCACUUCUCAGUUUGGCGUUCAGAGCCAUCUUCGUUCUCAGUUUUGGCGUUCAGAGCCAUCACUAUUUUCAGUCUGGCGUUCAGAGUCGUCAUCACUUCUCAGUUUGGCGUUCAGAGUCAUCAUCGUUCUCAGUUUUGGCGUUCAGAGCCAUCACCGCAUCUUCGUUCGGCGUUCCGAGCCAUCACUUCUCAGUUUGGCAUUCAAAGCCAUCAUCGUUCUCAGUUUUGGUGUUCAGAGCCAUCAUCGCUUUUCAGUUUUGGCGUUCAGAGCCAUCACUAUUUUCAGUUUGGCGUUCAGAGCCUUCAUCACUUCUCAUUUUUGGCGUUCAAAGCCAUCAUCGCUUCUCAGUUUUGGCAUUCAUAGCCAUCAUCGCUUUUCAGUUUUGGCUUUCAGGAGCCUUCAUAGCUUUUCGGUUUCGGCGUUCAGAGCCAUCAUCAUCACUUCUCAGUUCUGCGUUCAGAGCCUUUCUCAUCGCUUCUUAGUUUCGACAUUCAAAAAUCAUCACCGUUCACAUUCAGGCGUUCAAAGCUAUCAUCCACAUUCAGAGUCACAGCUCCUAGUAUUCAUGUUCGCUAGCAUUACGCAUCCUGUCUUCACGAUUUUUACAUUCGUCCUCAUUUUCCUUACCUCGUUACCCUAUGCUCAUCGCUCAUUCAUCAUGCUCUUCUAGACCUCUCUUCCCUCUACUUUAGGGCAUCCUCUUACCUUUAUUUUGUUAGGGCUUCCCCAUACUUUUAGUUUGUUCAGGGCAUUCCCCUUUCUCGUCACUUUGUUUAGGGCAUCCCCUUACUGUCGCUUCGUUUAGGGCAUCCCCCUACUGUCGCUUUUGUUUAGGGCAUCCCCCUACCUUUAGUUCGUUUAAGGCAUCCCCCUACUUUCAGUUUGUUUAGGGCACCCCCCUUUCCUGUCGCCUUGUUUGGGGCAUCCCUCUUGUUUACUUUGUUUAAGGCAUCCGCCCACCGUAGGUCUUCACCUAUGGGCCUCCUAGUUUAGCUUUUAUAGUUAGCCUUUUGGUUUGGCUUCCAGAGCUAUUAUUUUCUAGUUUAGCGUUUAGAGUUAGCUUUUUGGUUUGGCUCCCAAAGCCGUUGUUUUUCUCAGUUUAGCGUUUAGAGUCAGUCCCAUCAUUCAGAGUUACAGCUCCUAGCAUUCAUAUUCACUGGCAUUGCACAUCUUACCUUCAAGGUUUUGCGUUCGUCCGCGGUUUUCCUCACUUCGUUACGCGGUGCUUAUCGCAUAUUCAUCUCGUACUCUAGGGUGAUUUGACCGUUACUCAUCUUUGAUAUGGUUUUUCGAGUCAUUUUUGGAGACGUCUUAGAGGGAGCCUAGGUCCUUAAUGUAGCUUUAGAGGCGCUUUGGGACAUCUUUUUCUCUGUUAGGGUUAGAGCCUUUGUGUUCAUCUGUUGGCUUGAGUGAGUUCUUAUUUUACUAGUGUCACUAUGGGGGUCUCCUUGGUUCUUCGGUAGAGUUCACUUCAUUCCACUCACUAUUCACAAUUUCUUUUCACUCUAGUGUUCAUAUUCCUUGCACUCGUGAACUCUAUCAAAGAGGGGCAUAUUUGUAGACCCCCUCAGUAGCAGCAGGUUUCUUUUUUUUAGAUUAUUAUUUUAUUCCCCUUUCUUUUGCUUUGUUUUUUUCGCUCUCUUCUUCAGAACCCGAGAAUGAGCUGGGGGUGGCAGCCAAAACAGGGCGGCCAUAGGACGAGAUGGGCAGGUUUUUUUACGGCGAGAGGGGACGGGGGUACGAAGAUGGUUGGGAGGGGAAGUUAAGAAAAAAAAAAAGAGGAAAAAGAGAGGAGAUAUCUCGUGAAAGGGGGGAAGCUGAGGAGAAACACGGGCCUGCAGGCUGGGAAGAGAGCCGGGGUGGGAAUUUCGGGUCCGAAGCUUGAGGAGAAGAGGUUUGAAGAAGUGACAAGAGAGAGAUUUGCGAGAGGGUAGAAAUGGGCGUCUCAAGCUGAGUUGAGGAGGAGUUUGAAGCUUCGGUCCAGGUAAGAUUUCUGCAUGUUUUAUAUACCUCAUUUUAGUUUGCUUUUUUCUAUUUCUUGUUAAUUUCGGUUCCUGCUUGGUGUUUAUUAUAUGGAUGGCGAGGCAUAUGAUGCGUUAGAGAGUGUGUGUAUUGGAUUGAGAUCAAUUAAAAGGGUGGAAAAGAUGUCUAAUUAUAUGAUUAGUAGUGGGUUUGGUCCGGAUGAGUAUUUGGGGAACAAGUUCUUGUUGAUGCAAGUAAAAUACGGGAUGAGGAUUGAUGCACAUGGAUUGUUUGAUGAAAUGCCAAUAAAGAACAUUUUAUGUUUUUUUUAACACCCCUGCACAUGAUUCUCCCAUUCAUAUUAUAUUUGCUUCAAAUCCCGGAAGCGACCCCCACUAGCGACGUUGAGCCGAAGCUCCUUGCCGGCGGCGACGAAGAGAAUGACAGGUUGCAAGCUUGCAUGGGGAGGUGCCUACAGCUGCUAUUGGUCUUGGAGGUUUGGGCCCCCAUGAUAGUGGAUUUGGGCCUGAGGUGAAGCCCCAAACCCAAAUAUGAUGGUGAAAAGGCUUGAGUCCUUUUGCUAACGGAUGUGGGCUUGGGAUGAAGCCCAAAUCCGAGCUUGAUGAUGGAAGGCCCCCAUGAUUUGUCCAUCCACUUUAAGACCGACCCAUACUUAUUUCAAGCUGGCCCAUCUGGUUGUUUCCACCUUAUAUAUUUCACCUUCUCUAAAUCACUCAUUUCUCAAUAAACUCUUUAAUUUCUAAUUUCCAAGCCCAACUUACAAAAAUUCAAUCUCCAAAUGACACUUCAAAAUUCAGAUUUUUAAUGUUUAAUUCCGAUUUCCGAAUUCUCAUAUUCCCAUUAAUUUAUUUGAUCAUUAGUAUUUCAUUUAUUUAUUUCAAAGCUCCAUUCUAAAUCAAAUUCUUCUAAAACUUCUGAUUACCGAAUUAAAUUCAAAAAAUUCCAAUAUUCGCAUUAAUUUAUUAUUGUUAUUUUAUUUAUUUAUUCUAAAAUUCCAUUUUAAACAAUUCAUUAAAAUUUCCGACUUUCGAAUUAAAUUUCUAUUUCUGAAAAUUCCAAUAUUCACAUUAAUUUAUUUAAUUAUUAUUAUUUUAUUUAUUUAUUCUAAAAUUCUAUUUUAAACAAUUCAUUUAAAAUUUUCAACUUCCAAUUUUAAUUUCUAAUUCUGAAAAUUCCAAUAUUCACAUUAAUUUAUUUAAUUAUUAUUAAUUUAUUUAUUUAUUCUAAAAUUCCAUUUUAAACAAUUCAUUAAAAUUUCCACUUCCGAUUUUAAUUUCUAAUUCUGAAAAUUCCAAUAUUCACAUUAAUUUAUUUAAUUAUUAUUAUUUUAUUUAUUUAUUCUAAAAUUCUAUUUUAAACAAUUCAUUUAAAAUUUUCAACUUCCAAUUUUAAUUUCUAAUUCUGAAAAUUCCAAUAUUCACAUUAAUUUAUUUAAUUAUUAUUAUUUUAUUUAUUUAUUCUAAAAUUCCAUUUUAAACAAUUCAUUAAAAUUUCCACUUCCGAUUUUAAUUUCUAAUUCCAAAAAUUCCAAUAUUCACAUUAAUCUAUUUAAUUAUUUUAUUCUAUUUAUUUAUUCUAAAAUUCCGUUUUAAACGGUUCAUUUAAAACUUUCGAUUUUCGAAUUAAAUUUCUAUUUCUGAAAAUUCUAAUAUUCACAUUAAUUUAUUUAAUUAUUAUUAUUUUAUUUAUUUAUUCUAAAAUUCCAUUUUUAAACAAUUCAUUAAAAUUUCCACUUCCACUAAUUCCAAAAUUCCAACAUUCACAUUAACCUAUUUAAUUAUUAUUAUUUUAUUUAUUUAUUCUAAAAUUUCAUUUUAAACAAUUCAUUAAAAUUUCCGACUCUCGAUUUAAUUUCUAAUUCCAAAAUUCAUAUUAAUCUAUUUAAUUAUUAUUAUUUUAGUUAUUUAUUUUGAAAUUCCAUUUUAAACAAUUCUUCAAAAUUCCAAUUUCUGAACUUAAUUUCUGAUCUCCAAAAUUCUAAUUUCUUUCAAAUUUAAUAUCCAAAAUUCUAAUUCUUAAAUUUAAUUUUUCAAGACUCCAAUCUUCAAAUAAUUUUCGAGGCUCUAAUUUCCAAAUAAAUUUCAAAAAUCCAGUUUUCUCUCGAAUAGCUUUAAUUCCACUCCGAUUUUUAAAUAAUGUUCUAUUUCUUUUGAUUUUUACACAAGCAAGAAUGAUGAAUCUUCAUAAUUCCGAAAUAAUGGGAUUCGUGAGAUUAAUUCGUGCAAUAUAAAUCGGGCUUUGGUGGGGCCCCACAUAUUUGAUUUUAUGACUGACUGAUUGAUUAAUUGAUUUAUUUACCAUGCUUGUUUGAUUUAUUUUGUUCCUUGAUAUGCACGUAAUUAUAUCUAUUCAUUGUUCACUAACCUUGUUUUAUGAUAGCGCAUGGUGGCUCACUGCCCAGGUACAUAUCUAUUCCCAUUCUGGUAUUUCUAUAUGCGUGCUUUGAUUCUCAUAUGUGCAUGAUAGUUCCGGGUAUUCAUUGAUUUCUUCAUCAAUUGCCAUGUCAACUUCAUUCUAUUAGUAGAGACCCGACUUUAGGGACUUAGAGGGGUGCUACGGUCUUCACCGUACCUUCCCGAUAAGUAACCUGACCUCCGAACCCGAUCCGGUUUUUCGUAGAUCACCUUUUCCAAAUAAGGAGUCAAACUUAGGGUUUUUCUUUCUUAUUUUGUUUACCCUUUAAAAAUAAAACAAAAAUAAGUGGCGACUCCAAAUCAUUUUUCUUAAUCAAAUAAAAAUCAAUUUUUCAAAUAAAAAUCGAGCUCGCCAUCGAGUGGGAAACGCAUGAACCGAAAUGCGGGGUCCACAGGUAUAUUUAUCCGUUACUAUUUCAUAUCCUUCAACUCAAUUUGAAGAGUUAUAGGGACCUUUUGUUAAUUUGGGGUCCAUCUACUCCAAAAGAUAAUUCUCUCUCAAAUGAAAAACCUACUUAAUAGCCCAACCCCAACCCUAGAGAGAUUUAAAACAAUCUCAUCCUUAGAUUAUGAAUAUAUAUCAACUUGAUUCUUUCACAGACAUGAAAUAAUAUUAUUUUUUUCCUUAGAAAAACAUUAUCAAUUUUUUUAUCCUCACUCCUAAUUAUUAUUUUUACAAAAUGCCCCCUUAUAUGUUUCAUUAAAUGGAAAUAACGAGAAGAAAUUAAUAAUAAGAAAUGAAUGGAAAAUUAGAGAAAAAUCAAGAAAAUCAUUUUUUUUUUAAAAGAAAAAGUUAUUAUAAAAAUACAUAGAAAGUGUUGAUGUCAUAUUAUCAGGUUCAGAGUUGUUUAUGUCACAAUGCCACUCUUCACAUGCUAUUGUUAGGUUUAUGGUUGUAGUGGCUUAUACAUGACCCAUCAAUUGACUUCGAUUUUGUUUCUUUAUUAUACCUAUAUCCUUGAAGAAAAAGUCUUAAUAGUGUGUUCCCUAUUCACUUUUCGGACGACAUGACAUGAAAUAUUAUAAUUUAUGUCAAACAACAAACAAACAAACAAGGUUAUAUUUAAAGUAUUUAAAGAGUGCAGGCUAUUUUUUUUCAAAUUCAGAAUUAACUUCAACUUCCCCACUUAACCAAAAUUUCCUGAAUAUAAAUAAAAAUUAUAAACUUGGAUAAAAAUAAAGUGAGGGUAGGAGAGGCCCCCUAAAAUUAAAGGCAGUGUCUGUGUGAGUGGUGGGCCUUGACAGCUGUGGACAUAAACAUCCUGUGAAUUUCUUGGCUGUUUUAUUGAUUAAAGAUGACCCAACUGGGGCUUGUUGGAUCACACAUUCAUUGUUUCCCAUCCUCAAUUUUUAUCACUCACCUCAUAUUCCAAAACAAAUCACAAAUCAAAAGUCAAUUCUCUUAAUGGGAUUGCCGGAUUGGACUCUCUUGUGUAAUGGUUUUCUUUUCAACCACCCAGUACUCAUUUCCAUUAUUAGCUCUUACCAAUUUUCGGGUCAUUUUUCUUCUGCUUACCCCUUCCAAAUAUUUCCAACUCAAAGUCAUGAAGAAGUCAGGACCCCUUUCUAGUUUGUCCUUGAACUUUGUCUCAGAGACAAAAAAAGAAAAUAACAAUAACAAUGUCUCUCAUAUAUUCUGAAACCUGAAAACCACCACGCAUUGAAACCCUAGUUUCACGAGGACUAUGAAGAAGAAAUAAACCAAAAAAAUAAGCAAGUGAACAUAGAUAGAUAAUACAUAUAUAUAUAUAAAGCCAUAUUAUUGCUAAUCCGCAUGCAUCAAUUUCAUACCCUAGGCUUAAUCUUGGCCCUUAGAGGGUUCUUCAUCACCACUGUGAAUUCCAACUUUUCACUAAAAUCAAUCUUACUGUUUUCAGGGUAUGCGCUCCACUCGAAGUCCUGCACCAUCCUUGCCAGCAUUAGGUUCACAUGCACGGUGGCCAUGCUCAAACCAGGGCAUAUCCUUCGCCCUACUCCGAAUGGCAUCAUUUUUACGCCGGUCACUCCGGUUAUAUCGGCGUCUUCACCGCCCAAGAAAAAGCGGUCGGGGUCGAACUUUUCGGGAUUCUUCCAUAGCUUGGGGUCCUCGGAGAUGGGUGGCAAGAAGAACUCGACAUUUGCGUCUGUGGGUAUGUCGUAGCCUGCCAACUUCGCUGGCUCUGUGACUGCAUGAGUUAGGGAAAAGUAGGUGGGAGGGUGUUUACGUAGUAGUUCUUUUGAAACUGCGUUUAGGUAAGGCAUCUUCUCCAUGUCUUUCUCUUGAACCUUACGAUCACCCACUGUUGUUUUGAUCUCUUCGUAUAGUUUUGACUGAAUCUCGGGGUUCUCGAUCAUUCGGGCAAUUGCCCACUCGACCGCCGUCCCUGUUGUGUCGGUGCCGCCAUUGAGGAACUCGGAGCAGAGUGUGACGAGCUCGGGGUUGGUUGGAGAUGAUUUACGCCCCUCGAUUUUGAGAUCGAAGAUCGUGUCGAGGUAGGAAAAUGAAGCCGCGGUUUUAUCUGAUCCUGGGUUUUCAAGCGCCGCACGCCGCCUCUCGAUGAAGGGGACAACAGUUUUGAUCUGCCUCUUCCGCACUUCCGUGGCGGCUUUCCUCUGCUUUGAGAAGAAUGGGCUUAGAAGUGGGAGAUAGUCAUCAAGUCUUGGAUCAAGAGUGAUUAGAACAGUUUUCAUCAGAUCAUCCAUCACCUCAAUGGUCUCCUCAUCCAUUUCGACUCCAAAACACAUAGACAAAAGGAUGCAAAAAACAGCAAAUCGAGCAUUCUUCAGAACCCAAACAGCUCCAUCAUUAGCCUCAGCCUCGCUCCGUAGCCUGUCAAUGAGCUUAUCCAUGGACACAUCUCUCAAAUUGCUGAACUCCCUAAUCUUGCUUGCACUGAGCAUGUUUUGCACCAUGUUCCUCCGCAGCGACCGCCAGACAGGGCCGUAGACGGCAGCGUUCACCGUGAACUUGUUGCAGCUGAACACGGUGCGCGUAGGGUUUUCUCGAGGCCUGCUAGCGAAAGACUGGCCCUUUUCGAUGAGAGCUUCGUGCGCCAAUUCUGCACUGCUUAUUAUGAUCAUGGUUCUAUUCCCCAUCUUCAAAGUGAAAAUUGGGCCAUAUUUUGGCCUAAGCUCUCUCACAUACUGAAAAAAUUGCUUCCCAGAGCGAGCAAAUUGGAAGAGGUUUCCAACAAUAGGCCAACCAGGGGGUCCCGGAGGAAGGUUUAGCUUCUUUGACUUGGUUUUACGUGACAGCAAGACGAUCAGACCUGAUAUGAGGAAGGCUAAAGCAGUGAAGAAGAUGUGGUAGUAAGGAGAAUAAGUCGAAGAAGCAGCAGCAAAAGCAGGAGCCAUGGAGAUGGUGUUGAGACAGAGAAAGAGAGAAGGCAGGAGGAGAAGAGGAGAUGAAGUAAUGGAGGAAGGUUGGAGAGGGGUAUAAAAUGGAGAGGGCGUGAAAUUGCAGGUGGGGUUCAAUUAAGGCUCUUCAAGUCUUCUACCAACGCACAACUGGUUGUGUUAAAUGCUAAAGAGAGAGAGAGAGAGAGAGAGAGAGAGAGAGAGAUGGGGUUUUGAGAAAUAUGGAAAACCAGUGACACUGACGCCCCUCAUGCAAGCAAUGUCUUUAUGGCCACAAAUUUCUUAUUGUCUCUCAAAUUUGAACUAAAAAAUUAGACUAAAUUAAGAGUUUUGGUAAGGUUGAAGAAAUUUAUGGUGGCCCUCUGAAUCUGGUGUGCCAAGCCUUUGAUUGGGAUUCAUUGAAUAAAAACGGUUCAUAAAUGAACUCUACCCUUGAGUCGGAGGCCACUACUGGAUGGAGCAUUUCACAGUAAGAAAAAAAAAACAGAAAAUAAAUGGAGUUGGGGUUGGAAAAUGGUGAGUUACAGUCUUUUAGUACUUGCAUCUACUGCUGAAACUUGACCUCAAAAGGAUUAAUUGAUUCAUGAGAGUAGGAGGUGUAGACUACAGAGUCUGUCAUGGUUCACAGUUCAAAGAGAUUGAAAUAUCGAGGAAGAGAAUGAAAAGAGAGUCAGUGAUGAGUUAGUUGAGUAGGAUCAGAGCCACCUGUACAAUAAUACCAUGUAGACCAGCACUGCGACGGGACUGAGAUUCAUCUCAUCUGUCACUAGUCAGUCAUGGUACAUUAGCUUAUUUUGAUUUAAACUGCUUUACGUGUUCCAGGUUCGUACACCAUUUUGCCUUAUUUGGAGCCCAUGGUUUGCUUUAAAGAAUUGAUUUUCUCUUUAAUUCUCCUCUUAAUAUGCCUUAAAGAGUGCCAAAAAAAUAAAAAAAAUUCACUAACCUUUUCUCUCAAAAAACGGUUUCUCAAAACAGUUUUUAAAAACAUUCUCUCAUGUUUUUUUUUGUUAACACAAAAAAUUGUCCCAAACCGAAAAUAUUCUUAAUAUAUUUUGUAUGUUUUCAUAUAUUUCUUAAAGGUAAUUAUUUUUGUUAAAGUUUGGUUAUUUGAAUUCUAUUUGAUCAAACUUGAAAAGCCCGUGGUACGAUACAUAUGAUGAAAUUAUAAUUAUGAGAUUUUUUUGGAGUUUUAUAAUAGUAAUAGAGAAAUUAAGAGAGUGUUUGAUACUAAUUCUAUGAAGUAUUUUUAAUCUUUUUAAUAUAUAAAUUUUUUUAUCUUUUAAGUAUUAAAAAAAAGUAGAAAGAUAUUCUAAAAUCAUUAUCAAACAUACUUUAAGUGUGGGAUAAUGUAAUUUUAGAAUUAUGAUGAUUAUGCUUUUUUGUAAUUGCUCCCAAUCUUAUGAUACUUUUUUGAUAUAAUGAAUUUUUUUUAUUUUGUUUAUGAUUUUUCUUGUUUAGAGUUUUUCACAUAAAUUUAUAUAUUUUUAUUCUAUUUUUAACUACCUAUUCUCAUUAUUGUGGAACAUUUUUUAUUUUUAAAAAUAAAAAAUAUAUAUAUUUUUAAAAGAAGCUCGCAAAGAGGAUUGUCAAAUUCAGUGAAAAUUGAAUUCCAAGUGGGGAGAAGGCAUCCAUCCAGCACAGUAAGAGUCCAAUAAAUGGCACCCAUGACAAAGGGCAUAGGGUCGGAAGGAUUGUGAUUGAAGAUGGGGAUUAUUUUCUUCUUUUAAAAAUAAACUGACUGACAAGAAACUCAACAGUUGCAAGUACUUCUACUACUUCUUUCCUGAAAUAUAAAAAUAGGUUUGUUUGUCUGCAUAGUUUUUUAAUUUACUGUUGAAAACAAAUUUUAAAAUUAUUUUCUGACUGAAUCAAUUUCAGAAGACUUGUCACGAUGAUUCAAAGAUUGCAAGGACUUCUACCAUUGAAACAUCCGAAAACAAUAUGAUGGUCCUUUCUCUUUUGCCUUCGAAAAUAGUUAAAGAUAUGUUAUUUUAAAAAAAAAUAAAAUUAUGUUUAUUUUCAUUGACAAAAUUAAUAGACCCAAAAUAUUAGAAUUAUUAGUAUAUACUUAUACUUGGGCAUAAGUUUUGUCCAACGAAAUGUUGAAAAAGAAUCCUCCAUGCUCACAUUAAAAUCCCAAAGAAAAUACCUCAUGAUAAGAAGAAAAUUGUUAGUUAGAUUACUUAUAAUUUUUUUUAAAAAUAAUUUUAAGAAAAAUCUUGAGGGUAAUAGAAAGGAGGGGAAAUCAUGCAACCAUCCAUUAUCUAAAAAAAAAAAAUUGCUUUUUAAUAUAGACUUCAUCGAUCACCUACAAAACUAAGCUUUAUAGCACAUACUUCAUAGUAUAUAAAGGAAAAGCUAAUCAUAUUUAAUAGAAGAGGUUGAAAGAAUUUUCCAUUUAAACAAACAUCCAAGAUAAUAUUCUCAAUUCUUGAUUCAUAAUAAGAUGGUAUAUAAUAUUAAUUAAUUUGUGAGCUUCCACAAAGAUAUUAUGUUUGUUAGUGUGUGUAUUACAUUGCCUAUGAUUAACAAUUUGAAUACAUAUAUAUCCUGAGAUCUAGUCAUUAGUGGGAUCCAUUCCUGCUAAGGUUCUAUGUAUUGCUCAUCUUGGGUUUGUUUGUGAGCUCUUGUCUAGAGUGAAGUAUAGAUUAAUUAAUACAAUUUUUUCAUAUUUUGUUUUGAAAAUAUAUUAUUUUUAAAAUUAAAUAAAGAUAUUUUUCAGUGUUUUUUUAAAGUAACGUUAUAAAGAAUAUUUUGAACAAUUUUAGAUUGUAAAUAAAUACAUUAUAGCUUUAUAGAAUGUAAGCUGAAAAUAAUAAUUUUUAUAUUUAAAUUCUCAAAUAGAAUUUUAUUCUUAAAGAUAAUUGAAAAUUGUUUUUAAAAAAUGUCUUUCAAUAUGUUUUACACACAAUUUUUUCUUCAAGAAAAAUCAUGCUCAGUGGAAUUGGAUUUUUAUUGAUUUGUAGAAUGAUAUUGGAAUAAUCUUUAAAUUUUUCAUAUUUAAAUUCUUAACAAAAUUUUAUUUCUCAAGAAAAUUGAGAAUUGUUUUUAAAUAGUGUUUUUAGAUAAUUGGUCAAGUUGGAUUUUUAUUAAUUUGAAAAAUGAUAUAGCUAGAAUUUUUAUUUUGUUCUCCAAUUCUUCAUUUCCUAGUUGUUAAUCAAGGACCAAAAAAUGUUUGAUUUAGAAUAGCUUAAACCUAAUUUAGACCUUGACUUAAUUUAAUUUUGAGUCUUGACUUAACAUAGAUUCCGACUUAAUUUGGAUAUUGAUCGAAUUCGAACCUAUGUUUAACUUAGGUUUUGGUGUAACUAGGACCUUGGCCAAACUUGAGUUUUGGCUUGACUUAAACAACAUCAAGGACUUUGAGUAGUUUGAUCUCAAAUUGUAGAAGCCUUUUGUAGAUUUUCAUUUUAAAAGUUGAAACUUAAGACUUUGAAGAUCUUAACAAUUCAAAGAUACUUUAAAAAAAAUUGAAGACUUAUAUCUCAUUUUAAUUUUGAAAUAGUGUUGAAUCUCCCAUAAAGAGUUUCCUCUAACUCUUAUCUUCUAAAUUGUCUUUAAAUUACCUUGUCAAUGCUUUGCAGUUGGUUUAAGUUACAUGGAUUAGAAAAAAUCAUAUUUAGAUCAUUUUUUAUUUUUUAUAAAUAUUAUUUCUUAAUUAAAAUAAAUAUAUAAGGAGAUUUGAAGGACUAUAUUGGAUAGUUUCAACAUUUUAAAAUAUUAUUCUUUAAAUUAAAAAUAAUAUCUAAGCUAAAUUGAAAGACUAUAUUUGAUAACAUUCAAUUUAUUUCUUAGUAAAACUUGAUAAUUAUUUUUUCGAUUAUCAAUUUACUAUUUCUAUUAAUUCUAAUAACUUUUCUUUUCUUUCGGUUUUUCUUUUUUUUUUUGGAGAUUCAUGCUAACUUUUUCAUGGAUUGAAAAUUUAUUUCAUGUGAUCACUUAUAAUUAACCACAAUAUAAAUCAAUUAUGAACAUUUGAUUUUUCUUGUGAAUUAUAAUUAACUUAAUUUGAGUAUAUAAUAAAAAGUUGUUCAUAAACACAAGUGUACACACAAAUUUUCGCGAAUUGUCUACAAUCUCUGUGAUAAUAUUCUUUACAAAAGAAUAUAUCCCUCUGGUUCUUUCACUUUGAUCACAAUUUGGAAGACGACAAUGAUGUUUUCUUGAUUUCGAAGAUCAGUUAAGGGUCAUAAGUGACUUAUUCUCGAAUGAACUUGUUGAAUGACAAAGCUCGCGUGUGUAGAACUUUUAUCGUUUCUUGAAAGGGAGAUUUUUGUGAAACCCUUUUUUUUAUGAAGCAUCUUUUCCCCUAUAGAGUAGUUUUUUGCCAAUCUAAAGAAGUCCAUACGUCGAAGGAAAUCACCCAUUUUUAUAGGUGAAAAUAGGAAAUCAAAAUUUGGAAUUCCCUAAGAUGUAGUUGCUUGAUUUUAACAACUUGUCUUCUCCAUUAAGGAAAUUUGUCAACAAGAGAAUAUAUAUAUAUAUAUAUAUAUAUAUAUAUAUUUUGACUUCAAGAGGAAUAUUUGUUUCUUUAAAAAAAAAAAAUUGUCAAUUAGAGAAUAUUUAUUUAUUUAUUUUUUAUUUUCUUUUGACAAUAAUUUGGAAGAUUUGAUUUUAUUUGGAAGACUAAAUUUUGUAGUCUUCCAAAUUGGUCCACAUGCCACCUUUUUAACAUAUGCCAAGUGUCAAAUAUGUGUAAGACCAAUCAUGUGUAGAUCCCAUAUUUUGUUGAAUCGAGGAGUCACAUUUUUUUUAAGAUCAAUUUAAUGAUAAUUUAUUUCACUAAAAAUUUUUAUGUCUACAAAUGCUCCCACUUCAAGACAUAUCACGUACAUGCCUUGCAAUGUAUAUGGUGGGUCUUGAAGUUACUCUUCAAAAUUUUUCUUUUCAAAGAAAUAUUUUUAAUAGGAAGUUUCCUAUUUAAAAUAUCUCUUUCCCACUUUUCUGAAAUAUUAUUUUAUUUCAUUUCUUUCUUUCCAUUUGGCAUCAAAGGAAGGUUUUGUGUUAAUAGGAAAGUUUCUAUUUUGACUAUCCACUUUCACUUCCCAUCCUUUCCAAUUUACCCCCUUUAUAUAUAUAUAUAUAUAAAGGGGGUAAAAAUUUGAGAAAUCCAAAUCGAACUCUCUUGAAGAAUUUUCUCAAUCUUUGGACAGUCUUCAACCCAAUUUGAAAAAUCUGACUUGAAUUCUUUCACGAGAAGUCUUUCACCUUAAGCCAAUUUCCAAACCCGUAAGUUGUAUUUUAUUUUAUUUUUAUUUUUAUUUAUUUUUACCUUUAAGGACUUCUAUCGUGGGAACGUGGAGAUUUAACAAUAGUAGUGUGGACUAGUAUCAUGUGAUGGAGUAGCAUGUUUUGGGAGUGAACGAAGACAAUAUCAUGUUGUGGGUUAUGCAGAAGCAACCAACAUAUACAUAUAUGUAUACGUACAUAUGAAUGGCUAACAGUGGGAACAAACAAAGAAAGCAAUUGAAAUAUAUAUAAAUAAAUAUAUAUAUAUAUAUAUAUAUAUAUAUAUAUAUAUAUAUAUAUAUAUAUAUAUAUAUAUAUAUAUAUAUAUAUUGGAAUCUUCCUAGAAAUUGGUUGACACGUGAUCUCCUUAUUCGUUUUUCUUUUCUUUUCCUUACUUUUUUUUCUUUUUUUUUUCUUUUUUUUUUAGGAAGGAAAAGUUCCACGAUCCCAAAGACGUGUCAAUCUCCAUCGCUUUGCAAAGAUGAAUUUGGCUUUAGAUAUUUUAUAUAUAUAUAUAUAUAUAUUUUAAUUACCUUAACACUUGAGGAAGAAUUUUUUUGGUAAACUUAAAUAUCCAUAAGAAUUUAUGAAUAUUUAAAACUUGAUCCUCAUGUAAUCAAGUUGUAGUCCUUAUGUGAAGCAGUGUUGUAUUUUGACAUUUAUAUGCUAAAGUCUUCACCCAUGCAGAUUGCCUUGACUUAAAUGUAUAGUGGUGUUCAAGUUUUAAUAUUUAAUUAAAACUAUAACAAUAUUUGACACAUGCAAACAAGUUAUGGCCCUAACAUCAUGCAAUGUUAUACUUUCGGCACUUAAUGCGGCUUAGGUGCUAAGGUUUUUACUCAUGCAGAUUGACUCGACUUGAAUGCAUAAUGGUAUUCAAGUUUUAAUAUUUAAUUAAAACCAAAAUAAUAUUUGACACCUAUGCAGACAAGUUGUCUUUAUGCUACGUGUGUUGUACUUUCAAUACUUAGUACGAGAUAAGUGUUAAGGUCUUCACUCAUGCGAAUUGGAGUAACUUGGAUGUAUAAUGGUGUUUAACUUCUAAAAAAAUUAGACCCACAUUUUAUUUUAUUUAUUUUAUUAUUAUUAUUUUUUUGCAGGAUAAUAUUCUUCAAGUAUUUCAAGGAAAAGACUGUGACCAUUCUCAAGGAUGAUAGUGAAGAUUUUUAGGAGAGAACUACCCUGUCAGUGCAUAAGUCACUUACUGACCUUCAAUCCUUGUUGGUGCUAGUGACAAAGGAUCCAUUACACAUUUCUUCUUGGUCUCGAGUAGCAUCUUGCAAGCUUACUGAUUCGUGCCCACUUGGUGUGUCAGCUGAUUCAUGUCCAGCUGGUGCUUCUUGAUUGAGGGAGUAAUCAACAAAAUUUAUAACCUAUUACACCAUGAACUAGGGUAGCAAAGACAAAGCUACUAUAGCAUAGUGGCUCUAGGAUCGUUCACUGGGAUGAGAUUUCACUCCAUAAUUGAUAUUAAUUCAAAGAUGAAUUGGUGCCUUUUCAUUUCAAGGUUAGCUUUAAAAGAAAACAUAAAGAUGUUUGAAAAAGGAUUGGUUUUAAGCUAACCAAAAAUAAUAACUGAUUUUACUUACAAAGAAAAGUGUUUCUUGGAGUUAAGAUCACUGGGUUCAGAUUCCUCAUAUAAAAAGGAGAGUUCCAGUCACUUGUUUAUUUUCCUCGCAUUGAGGAUUUAACCUAUAGUUAUUUCCCGAACCGGUGUGGUACAGAUGCUUCCCAUUAAUGGGUUCAAACACUAAAUCCCUCUCACUGAUGCAACUUGCAAUGACUCAUACCUCUCACCUAACACUUGCCAUUCAAGGUGAUCUUUAACCUUGGAUUACCCGUCAAAAGCUCGCAAGAGAUAACUAAUGGAUGUCUCCUUUAAGUCCAAAAGCUUACCAAGUGUUGGCUAUUCUAGAAAAUCCUACCUUCAAACCACCUCCCAAAGGCUCGCAAGAGAUAAACUAGUGCAUCUCAAUGGAUGGAGAUCACUUGCCUUACCAAGUGUUGGCCCAGGUGAUUUAAAGGCGUUUUAAGUUAACUAAAAAGAUAAAAACCAUUAACGAGUCACACUUUCUCUUCAUUAAAAACUAAAACAACAAAACUUCCAAUUUAUGUAUGUGGAAACUUACCCGGCUUUCUUUACUCCAAGAGACAAAGAGCCUAGCCUCUCAUCCUCUGAGAAAAAAUCCUCAGAGUUUGAUUGGCUAGAAAGAAAAAGAAUAAGAAAACAAAAAUAUAUAUGAAAAACAGAGCAAGUGCUCUGUAUUUUACUUCCUUGCAAAACUGUACAAAGGAUGCGUCUCUGAGAACAAGCUCCCAGAUUUUUCAUACCUCUAAGAACAAGCUCCCAGAGAUUACAUACAUUUUCUAAAGAAGAUUACAAACUAUCUAUAAGGGGUUAUUCACCCUUUGUUUUUACUUAAAGACUAAGGAAUCCUAUGAUAGGUGGGUUACAAGGAGACUUUGGGGAUUUAGACAUCAAAUAUCUAAAGCAAAAUAUCUCAAAAUGUCGGUCGCACAUAUCGGGAAUUUAGACAUUAAAUAUCUAAAGCAAAAUAUCUCAAAAUGUCAGUCGCACAUAUCGGGAAGCUUCAGGAGAACACAGCGGCACUGUACAAAAUGGCUGUGAAACUCUCCGGGUAAGGGCUAUCAGAUGAUCCGGAUAUGUCCAUCCGGGGAAGUUGAAACGCCCUCCUUUCCCAUCCGGCGUCAGGCGCCGGAUGUGAAACAUCCGGAGAAGGUGGCACGUCACCCGGACAUAAUUCCGGAUGUGGGAUAUCCGAAGAAGAUGGAACGUCGCAAGGGUGACCGUUCACGUGUGCAUGGUGUAGGGACCCAUCCGGAGCAACUCCAUCCGGAUUCCCCAAGAGGAUACGCAGCGCGCUCCCUUAUCCGGACUCCCUCAGGGAGAAGCACGUGGCACUCGUGAUCAUCACACCCAGAUGAUAGCAUAUCUUAUCUGGAUAUGUUGUCCGGAUCAUUGACUUAAGUGCACAAGCCUUGCUACGUCAUUCCGACAGCCUGCCACAGCCCAUGUUUCGCCGCCCUCUGAUGAUGUGUCCGAAUGCCCAUACUCCUUGCAUUCCGGAUUUGCUUAUGGCAAAGGACUUCAAAGCUUCGGCUCUUCAUGUUUCUGAGCUUUCCUUUGCUUUGCCAUGGAUUCCAAAGAAUUCUCCUCAAUCUCGAAUUUGAUUUGGUGAUCAAAAAGCUAUCAAAACACCAAAACUUAACACAAUUUGAUUAGAAUUGAUUGCAAGGGUCCUUAAUAUGUUAAUUGGGUUAAAAGGUGAUAACUACUACUCAAAAGUGUUUAAAAGAGUUAAUUACAAGCUAUGAAAUAGCACUUUUUGAGUAGUAAUCACUUACAAACAUUAAUAAUUCAAAAUUCAACAAAGUAAAACUUGUUUCUAAUGUUAUACUAUUGAAUUCUUCUCACCUAACCACUACUGAAACUCAAAGUGAAUUUGGAUUGUUGGGAUCUCAUGUUCAUGAUGGAGAAGUCGAAUGAGGAACCUCCUUUAAGGUGCUUGGGGAAUCUUUUUUUAUUGAAGGAUAUUGGGAAUGGGUAGAAGAUAUGUUUGGUUAACAGAGAAAACUUCUUAAAGAAAACAAACUUUACGAAGAUAUAUUUGCUUCUUUGUUUAGCUAUGAUCAUCAUACUUCUAUUAUCAGAGUUUUUUUGCAAACAUUGAUGUCCUUCAACUAAUACCUUGCAUAAUUCUAUUGGAGAGGUUUUCAUCUCCCUUUGGGACUUAUAUCGCAUUGUUGGGCUACAUAUCAUUGGAUAUUUUUAUGAUGAAAUGGUAUUGACUACAGAAAGGCUAUCAAAGUCCUCACUCUCACCAAGUUGUCAAAACUUGUUCCUUGCAUAUCAUCAAAUUUGCUUUGAGAUGAAGAGGAAGUUUUUAGUUAAGAUAGCCUCUUGGGUGUUGUUUUGGUUCAAAGACUCUAUGAAGUAUGCAAAAUCCCUAAAGAAUAGUACAAGGAACAAGACACAGAGACUUAAGGAGACUCAUAAUCCUUUUGGGAAUGUUGAUCCUCUUGAAUCUUAUAAUUAGUCAGAGAUGAAGGUGUUUGACGACCUUGGUAUGGCUAAGGUAAAUAUUGAGGAAACCUAUUUUACGAUACGACUUUCCUUGUAUGUUGGUUAUGCAAGUUUGUUCUUCUUAGGGAGGGUGUGAAUUUGAUUCGUCAUGGAGUCUUCAAGGAAGCUAGUAGAAUGGCUCAAGGUGAGACAUUAACCUUGUUAUUCCGGUGUUAGCAAGCAUUUACAAUGGCUUGAAUGAAAUUGUUUGUUCCUCAAAGCCUAGGACUAAUGCAUCUAUUUUCCUUAUUCACUAUUUAUAUGGAUAGUUAGGCGAAAAUUUUGAUACCCAUUUCUUCUUUUCUUCUUGGAAUCAUUCUCCACGGAUGACUUGUUAUGUCAAUGAGUUUUUUGCUAAGUCUUUUGAAGAUUCACAAGCGUGGGCUUUGAUAAUAUCUUGCAAAGGUGUAAAGUUGAACCACUUGGUAUUGCAGUACAAAGAGCACAUGUAUUGGAUUGAUAAUGAGUCUAUUACUACUACCCAAACUUCUUAUCUCUUAAGUCUUCGCUUUACCUAUUUAUCUUUACGAAAAGGUAACCAUUGAGUAAUUCAACUGUAUUAUCCUCGCCGAUUUUGUAGACAAUUUGGGCAUCCUCAAGAUGUUCCUAGGGGUUUACUAGAGGUUUUUCGCACUAGAACUUUAGAGGUGGUGUAUAAACAUUGGAAGUCAUGCACUAGGCUUGGCACCCACUCCAAAAUUACUAUGCCAAAUUAUCAUAGUCUUGACGAGUUCUCAAUCACCAAGGCUUAUGCAGAUUGGUGGAUUGGAAUGUGUAAUCUUGAGAAGAACAUGCUUACUAUUACUUGUAUAGAGCCCCCUCAUGUUCUUCUCUACAAAUACCCUCAAAAUCUUUGGAGAGUAGAACAUGCAAGAUCAACCCAAGUGUUUCUACUAAGAGCAAUGUUGGGGACAACAUUGAGGGAAACUUUGAUAAUUUACCUAAUGACUUAAGAGUUUCUUCUAAGCACUCAAUGGGUGGUCAUCAAACUAAUGUUUUCACACACUUGGAACAUGAAGGAAUUAUCUUUUAUGGUGGUAAUGCUCACUAUCACCAAACUUUUAAGCAAAUCAACAAUGCAGAGGUUCUUCAUGUAUCUAGUGACGGCUCCAAGGAUAUAAGUGAAUGUCAUUUCAAACAUCGAAAGACUAGACCCUCCCUUAUGUACUAUGAUGAGACUAACUCUCAUGCAGAUGUUUUCUUUGCUGAUGCUCCAUCUUCUACUCAACCAAUGGAACUUAGUGGUGAAAAAGGUUUUUUGUUUUUGUUUUUUUUUUUUAACACGUCGAUGUUAACAAAAAAAAAAAAAAAUCGCCUUAGGAUGAAGAUGACAAUCAGCUUAUCGGUGAGGAUAAUGAUUCUUUUCUUAAAGGCCAGUUUGAAAAUGUUGAUAGCACUAAGGUUCUAUGUAUUGCACAUCUUGGGUUUGUUUGUGAGCUCUUGUCUAGAGUGAAGUAUAGAUUAAUUAAUACAAUUUUUUCAUAUUUUGUUUUGAAAAUAUAUUAUUUUUAAAUUAAAUAAAGAUAUUUUUGAGUGUUUUUUUAAGUAAUGUUUUGAACAAUUUUAGAUUGUACAUGAAUACAUUAUAGCUUUAUAAAGUGUAAACUGAAAAUAAUAAUUUUUAUAUUUAAAUUCUCAAAUAGAAUUUUAUUCUUAAAGAUAACUAAAAAUUGUUUUUAAAAAAUGUCUUUCAAUAUGUUUUACAUACAAUUUUUUCUUCAAGAAAAAUCAGGCUCAGUGGAAUUGGACUUUUAUUGAUUUGUAGAAUGAUAUUGGAAUAAUCUUUAUAUUUUUCAUAUUUAAAUUCUUAACAAAAUUUUAUUCCUCAAGAAAAUUGAGAAUUAUUUUUAAAUAGUGUUUUUAGAUAAUUGGUCAAGUUGGAUUUUUAUUAAUUUGAAAAAUGAUAUAGCUAGAAUUUUUAUUUUGUUCUCCAAUUAUUCCUUUCCUAGUUGUUAAUCAAGGACCUAAAAAAGUUUGAUUUAGAAUAGCUUAAACCUAAUUUAGACCUUGACUUAAUUUAAUUUUGAGUCUUGACUUAACAUAGAUUCCGACUUAAUUUGGAUAUUGAUCUUAUUUGAAUCUUGGUUCAACUUAGGUUUUGGUGUAACUAGGACCUUGGCCAAACUUGAGUUUUGGCUUGACUUAAACAACUUUGAUCUCAAAUUGUAGAAGCCUUCUUCAGAUUUUCAUUUUAAAAGUUGAAACCUAAGACUUUGAAGAUCUUAACAAUUCAAAGAUACUUUAAAAAAAAUUGAAGACUUAUAUCUCAUUUUAAAAUUUGAAAUCGUGUUGAAUCUCCCAUAAAGAGUUUCCUCUAACUCUUAUCUUCUAAAUUGUCUUUAAAUUACCUUGUCAAUGCUUUGCAGUUGGUUUAAGUUACAUGGAUUAGAAAAAUCAUAUUUAGAUCAUUUUUUGAUUUUUUAUAAAUAUUAUUUAUUAAUUAAAAUAUAUAUAUAUAUAUAUAUAUAUAUAUAUAUAAGGAGAUUUGAAGGAUUAUAUUGGAUAGUUUUAACAUUUUAAAAUAUUAUUCUUUAAAUUAAAAAUAUUAUCUAAGCCUAGGACUAAUGCAUCUAUUUUCCCUAUUCACUAUUUAUAUGGAUGGUUAGGAGAAAAUUUUGAUACCAAUUUCCUCUCUCCUUCCUAGAAUCAUUCUCCACGGAUGACUUAUUAUGUCGAUGAGUUUUCUGCUAAGUCUUUUGAAGAUUCACAAGUGCGGGCUUUGAUAAUGUCUUGCAAAGGUGUAAAGUUGACCACUUGGUAUUACAGUACAAAGAGCGCAUGUAUUGGAUUGAUAAUGAGUCUAUUACUACUACCUAAGCCUUUUAUCUCUUAAGUCUUUGCUUUACCUAUUUAUCUUUACGACAAGGUAACCAUCGAGUAAUCCAACCAUAUUAUCCUCAUUGAUUUUGUAGACAAUUUGGGUAUCCUCAAGAUGUUCUCGGGGGUUUACCAGAGGUUUUUGCACUAGAACUUUAGAGGCGGUGUAUAAACAUUGGAAGUCAUGCUCUAGGCUUGGCACCCACUCCAAAAUUACUAUGCCAAAUUAUCAUAGUCUUGAAGAGUUCUCAAUCACCAAGGCUUAUGCAAAUUGGUGGAUUGGAGUGUGUAAUCUUAAGAAGAACAUGCUUAGUAUUGCUUGUAUAGAGCCCCCUCAUGAUUCUUCUCUACAAAUACCCUCAAAAUCUUUGGAGAGUAGAACAUGCAAGAUCAACCCAAGUGUUUCUACUAAGAGCAAUGUUGGGGACAACAUUGAGGGAAACUUUGAUAAUUUACCUAAUGACUCAAGAGUUUCUUCUAAGCGCUCAAUGGAUGGUCAUCAAACUAAUGUUUUCACACACUUAGAACAUGAAGGUACUAUCUAUUAUGGUGGUAAUGAUCACUAUCACCAAACUUUUAAGCAAAUCAACAAUGCAUAGGUUCUUCAUGUAUCUAAUGAUGGCUCCAAGGAUAUAAGUGAAUGUCAUUUCAAACAUCGAAAGACUAGACCCUCCCUUAUGUACUAUGAUGAGACUAACUCUCAUGCAGACGUUUUCUUUGCUGAUGCUCCAUCUUCUACUCAACCAAUGGAACUUAGUGGUGAAAAGGUUUUUUGUGUUUGUUUUUUUUUUUAAAACAUCGAUGUUAACAAAAAAAAAAAUCGCCUUAGGAUGAAGAUGACAAUCGACUUAUUGGUGAUGGCGAUGAUACUUUUCUUAAAGGCCAGUUUGAAAAUGUUGAUAGGACUAAGGGGUUGACGUCCUUCAACUAAACUAUCCAAUGAGAAGAUCAUUUUAUCAUUCCAACACCCUUACCCCAUUUUCAUUUGGGUGAUGAAGGUAUUACUAACAUUUCAAGUAAUGUUUUGAUUGAAUCUUGAUGUUAAGAGGCCACCAUUGAAAAUACCAUAUAUGAUGAAUUGACACUUUUAACUAUUGCAGGUUUAAUUGCUAAACAACAAUCCCCAUACUCUGAUACACCUCCUAUGGCCCCUUCUGAUUUUAUUCACAUAUUUGAUAUGGAAUAAAUUGUCUUUGAUGCACAAUGUUAAGCAACACGCAUGAUAAGAGAGAGCAUUAAGAAAAUGAUUCUAAAAAAUUCCAUUGAUCAUUUCUCAUUACUGAAAGGAAAAAUUGAUGAGCUUUUUAGGGCUAUUAUGAAGACCGACGUAGACUCUUCACCAUUAAAGUCUUAGAUUCAGAAGUACAUGAAAAGUAUAGAUCACUUUGUUGCAGUGCAAUGUGCCAACUCUACUAAGAUAUCAUUUGAAGUAAAAAACGAGCGUUUGAUUAUUAUUGCAUCUCAGAUUGCUAAUGCUUUAAACUCUGAAACUGUGGAGGCAAGGCAUUGUGAAUUAUUAAAGACUGACUUAGUUACUCUUGAUGCUAAGCAAGACGCGCUUAAGAAGGAGUUGGAACAACUAGGUAUACAAAGAGAGUGCCUUUAUAACUCAAUUUUGGAGACUGAUGAGAAUUUAGUCAAUAAGUAGAAUGAUAUUUCUCGUUUGAGGCAAGAACACGUUGCUAUCGCCCAAAACCCUUGUGCUUACUGAUGUCGAUGUCAAGACCUUAGAGACACUUUAAGAAACCUUAAAAACUCAACGUGAUGAGCUCGAAUGCUUGGUGUGGGUGUGAUUGUUGUGCCUUUAGUUCCACCAUCCAUUUUCUUCUUUCAUUUUUAUUGAAAUGUAAUAAGUUUAGCAUUUGCUAUCCAAACUUAUUUAUAAAAUGAGGUUUUUUUUUGUUUUUUUUUUUUGUUUAAGUGAUUCAACUUAGGUAGUUUCCCCAAGUUGCCUACGUAACCUUCAAAGAGAAGAGAUCAAGUCAAAUGUAGUUCAUUUUAUUAUUAUUAUUAUUAUUAUUACGCUUUAACUUUUGAUAAGACUAAAAGAGAGUUUUAAUCUUGCGAGCAUCUGUCUUAACUUUUGCCUAAGUCACCUUUUCAGGUUUUCAACUUAGCGGACCUUUUUUUUUUUUUUUUAUUGUGUCGUAUGUAGUUUAAGUUCAUGUAGAGUAGGAAUAACACUUGUCUUGAGUUUGAUCGAAGGGUGAUAAAUUCAUGUCCUUGGAAAAAAAUUUAAUUGAGGGUCAAAGAGGACUUAUUCUCAACCAAACUUGUGAAAACCUUUCUUAAGCAUUUCAGAGAACAAAAUAAGGUCAUUUUGAAUUCAUGUUGAUUUUUUUCAACCUUAAACGUGGAUGAAUGGCAGUUUCGUAUUGUGUUUGAUAUUCUUCCAUAGGCUUGUUGAAGAAUGUGUUGAGCUUGGACUUGAUUUUAAUUUAAGAGUGAUAAACACGUGUUAUUGGAGCAAAGUUUAAUUGAGGGUCAAUGAUGACUUGAUUUCAAGUAAACUUAUCAAUAAUUUCAUUAACUGUUUUGAGAAACCUAACCUUGUUUUCUUUAGCUUUGAAGGUGGAUGAAUGACCCUUUUGUUUGUAUUUGGUAUUCUUCCACGAGCUUGUUGAAGAAUGUUUGGAAUUUGAUCUUAACUUUUAAAGCUCCAUUUUUGGAUUUAGCUUCUAGGUUGCAUAUUUCUUUUGAGAGCGCUUCAUGCUGAAAGAUAAUAACACUUGUAUUUAGAGAAGUUAGAGAUUUUAGUUUAGAAUCUCCGAAUUUGACUUUUUUUAAUACAAAGAGUUUGUUCCUUAGUUUAAGAAGUUUGGCAAUAUAUAUAUAUAUAUAUAUAUAUAUAUAUAUAUAUAUAUAUAUUUGCAUAAGUUUGAUUUGUUUUUUUUUUGUUACUACAAUUUAAGCUCUUUUAGGAUAGAAGAAUAUGCAGUUCAAGCUCAUGCUUUAAGAAGCAUCAGCGGAGUGCUGAGGUUUGAAAAUAAUUAUAAUAAAAUUUGAUGUCACACUCUCUUCAUUGUCACUGGUGAAAAUGAUGGUUGCACAACAAGUCACACAAUUGUGGCCUUUGUCCCUAAAUUGUUUUGCCCCUUUUAUUUUUAUGGCAUAGGGUGAUGAAUUCUUAAGUGCUUGAAUCAAUGCAAUUCAUGUUUCCUUAGGAAGUUGUAACAUUUCAUGGAUAUUGAAGAGUGAGGGUAAGCAUUAUAGGUUUGCUACUACCUCAUCAUCUUUCUUGGUUUUGCUCAACUAUUCACCAAUAGCAUUUUCUUCAUCUUUCUUAGGUCAUCUUCUUUUGAAGUCUCAAGAUAAGAGAUCAUAUGAGUUGAUGUCACUAUCCCUCUAUUAAAAACUCUGGAAUGAAGUAUUCUCCUAAAGUGAUAGAGGUGAUGAGCUUUUGUACCAAAAUGUCAUCAACCUGUAUAAUCAUUUGUUUUUUUCGAGUUUGUUUUCUUCUUUCUUCUUCAAAUGUCGAUAGAUAUUUUGCUUAUGUUGCUCUUUCAUAGGAAGAUUUGGGUAUGAAUGAGAUUUUUUAUUCUUGUGAGGUUUCUUUUAUGUUACCAAUGUCCAACUAUCUUCACUAUAUGACAUUGAUUCAUUAUCAAAGCAAAGGUAAAGAAGGCUAUCUUGACAUGAAACUUGUGCUUGCUUUGGUUUCAAUGACUCACAUUGAAUAGUAUUGGUGCAUGCCCCCAGUUUUGUAGGUGGAACAUGUAACAAAACAGGAUUGAAUGACCCAAAUGUGACCAUAGUAUGAUUUGACUUUACCACUUCAUCCAAAUCCAAAUAAAUUUUUCCUUGUUUUGCAAGUUUCAUUAUGAGAUCUUUUAAGAUGAAACAUUUAUUCAUCGAGUGACUGACGAUUCAAUGGUAAUGAUAGUAGUUUGGAUCAUUAAUACGACCCAUUUCUUUUACACGCUUACACUUAAUUAGCUCAAUAACAUUUUUUCUAGAGCAGAUCUUCCAACAUGUUAGGCACAUCAAAGUUAGGAAAAAGAUACUUCUUCUCCUCCAGUUCCUUUAAGGUGAAUCGACGCCUCUCAUUUUCCUGGGUUAGUUCGGUCUUUUUUACUUUUUAUUUUUAUUUUUUAUCUCUUGCUAAGAUUUUGAUAAGACCUGUAUUUACCAUCAUUGACUCCUGGAUGGGUUUUAUUGAGGUUUUAUCACUUGUUUUCCCAUCGUGUCUCUCUAUUUGUCAGUCAACGAUAAGGUCAUUCUUAGCACCAUGGUUGGCUAAGUUGAGCUAACUCUUCAAAGGUGCGAGAUCGUACCUCUUGAAGGAUAUACAAAAGACCCCAAUGCAUUCCUUGUAUGCACAUCUCCACAGCUAACACCUCGAAUAAUCUAUCUUUACAGUCCAAGUUUAAGGAACACCAAUGAUUGAUGUAGUCUACGACUGGCUCAUCUUUCCAUUGUUUAGUAUUAGUAAACUCUAUCAUGCGUACAAUUCGUUGGGUGCUACAGAAAUGGUUGAAGAAUUUGCGCUCCAUUUAGUCCCAACUAUUGAUACACUCAAGUGCAAGAUCUUGGUACCAAUCGAAAGCAUUCCCUCGGAGAGAAAAAACGAAUUGUUUGACUAACAAGUCACUAUAUGUGCCUGUAUUAUUACAAGUUUCAACGAAAUGGGCAACAUGUUGUUUUGGAUUUUUCUUCCCGUCAAAUGAUUGAAACUUUGGAGGUUGAUAACCCACAUACAUACGUAGGUGAUUAAUCCUCUUAGUGUAAGGUUUAGAGUACAUGAGGGUAUUCUAUGAGGGUCCACCAUACUGUGCUCUAAUGGUGUUAGUUAUCAUGUCUUGAAGUUGCUGGACAGAUAAUGACACCACUGAUUACUACUCAAAAAGUGCUAUUUGAUAGCUUAUAAUUAAUCCUUUUAAACACUUUUGAGUAGUAGUUUUGGCCUUUUAACUCAAUUGGCAUGUUAAGGACCCUUGAAAGCAAUUUUAAUCACUUUGUAUAAGUUUUGGUGUUUUUGUUAGUAAUUUGAUCACCAAAGCAAUUCAAGAUUGAGGAGAAUUAUGAGGAAUCUUGGGCAAAUCUUGGAAGUCAUUUGCCAAGAGUAAAUCCGGAAUGCAAGGAGAAAAAGUAAAGAGAAUCUGCCAUGAAGCAUAUUCUUGAUGACAGUCGUAGCAGCCACUUUUGGAGCACUUUCUGGAGUCCAAUUGAUGCAUGUUAUAUACCAUUUCAAAGCUCAGGAAUUCAAAAAUCCAAUGCUUCAAACGGUGCGCAAUUCGGAGUUGAAACGAAGAAGUUGCAGCCAUUGCAAGCCAAUCACUCCAAGCUGAAGGAAGCAUUUUACAAAGUGUUGCGAAAUCACCCUUUUGUUGCGAAAUGAUUUCGCAGCCUUUUUGUACAGUAGGGUGUAUUUCCUUCUGAAGUUGCCCAAUAUAUGCCGCAAGCUGGAAGCUGAGAACAUCAAGGUGGAAGCCAACUUCACAGCCCUGCGAGAAUAGCUUUUUGCUGCGAAGUGAUUUCGCAGCCCUUCUUGAGUGUCUGCGAAAUCUCGCAGACACCAUUUUCUCUUACGAAAUGGUUCCUGGAGCAUCCCGAUAUUUGCUACCGACAUUGGGAGAUAUUUUGCAUCGGAUUUUUGUUGUCUAAAUCCCAAAAUACUCCUUGUAAGCCACCAAUUACAAGAUUCCUUAGCUUUUAAGUUAGUAAAAAGAGAAAAUAUCCAUGUAAUAAUUAGUUUUAUAUUAUGUUCAUAUAAAGACCUCUUGGGAGCCUGGUAUCAGAGGAGAUCCUUUUGUAAAGUUUUGGGAAAGCAAGUAAAGUUCAGGCCCUUUGUUUUGCCUUACCUUCUCACUUUGUAUUUUUUUUUUCUUACUAAGUUAUGAACUCUCUGAGGAGUUUUCCCCAGAGAAUGAGUAACUAAACCUCUAAUUCCUUGGAGUUAAGGUUGUCGGGGAAGGUUCCAAGUGUAAGAAUGCAAAGCUUUGUGGUUUUAGCAAGUAAUGAAGAGGAAGUGAAAUCCUUUAGUGAUUUCUAUGUUUUUAGUUAACUUAAAACACCUUAGAGUCACCUGGGCCAACACUUGGUAAGGCAAGUGAUUUCCAACCAUGGAGAUGCACUAGUUUACCCCUUACGAGCCUCUGGGAGGUGACUUUAAGGUAGGAUUUUCUGGAAUUGCCAACACUUGGUAAGCUUUUGGACUCCAAGGAGACAUCCAUUAGUUAUCUCUUGCGAGCUUGAGAAGGGAAGUCCAAGGUUAAAGAUCACCUUGAAUGGUUAAGGCUUAGUGAGAGGCUUAAACCAUUGCAAGUUGCAUCAGUGAGAGAAUUAAAGUUGAAAUCUAAUUAAAGGAUGUAUCUGUACAACGCCGGUUAGAGAAUUGACUAUAUGUUGAAUCUCUAACACGAGGAAAUGAACCAUCUGACCGGAGCUAUGUCUUUUGCAUGAGGAACCACCCCAGUGAACCUGACUCUCCAAGGAAUGCUUUUCUUCCUAAGUAAUUCCCAUUGCUUGUUUUGUUGGUUAAUUCAAAUCUAAAUCUUUACCAAUCAAAGUUUGUGUUUUAUUUCUUAAGCUAACCUUGAAAUGAAAUAAGACCAAUUCACUUUGAAUUGGUAUCAUUGAUAGCUUGCUAAUCCUUCCCAGUGAACGAUCCUAGAGCCGUUAUAUUAUAGUAGCUUUUUCUUUGCUACCCUAGUAUAUGGUGUUAUAGGUUAUAAAUUUUGUUGAUUACUCCCUCAAUCAAGGAGCACUAGCUGGACAUGAAUAAGCUGAGACACCAAUUGGGCAUGAAUCAAAUGGCGCCAUUGCCGAGGAUCGAACCCGGGUCACCCGCGUGAUAGGCGGGAAUACUCACCACUAUACUACAACAACGAGGUAGAUUUCGUUGUUUGUCUUUCGACUUGCACUGUCCUAGAUGCAUGUGGUGCAUCAUCAAGAGGAGAUGCAACAUUCAGAAGAUGGUUGAGUCAUUGACUUGACUCACCCAUAUUUUGUACUUGUGCCUCAACCUUGUUUAUGAGGAUGACUAUCUGCAUAUCCUUCUUCUCGAUUGUCUUGGUGAGUUUAGCGACGACAUAAGCCAUCUCUGUCGAUUGUUCCUUUACAAAUGUAAUGCCAAUUUCCAUUACUGACAUAAUCAUUAAGAAGUGAAAAGUAAAAGAGUCGAAACAAUUGGAGUAGUUUUCCUCAUUUGACAUUCCAGUUGGCAAUUCGAAGUGUGAGCCAGUGUUGGAUUUGGUAUCGGUAAUAGAGCAAGAUGACUUAUCCCUAAAGUCCUGUAGUGUUGAAGGAAGUUUUCCUUUGCUACGAGGACUAUGGUUUUUUACCUCCAGAGAAGCUAAAGUGAUGCAUGAUUGGUGCUCAUUAUGUGUCCUUAUCGGUUUUAACAAACAAGUAGACUCACUUAUUUGUUUUGUUGAAAGUGAAGAUGUUGAUUUCGCUUUGCUACGAGUCAUGAGGCCUAUAGCGGUGUUGUGUGUCAAUUACGCAAUGACGAUCUAGUCAUUGCCUUUGUUGACAUCUACAACUUGAGUUCUUUUGGAUGUCAUCGACGUAGUGGUGAUCAAUUUUUUAAUGAAAGAGAUGAGAGACAAAGAGGUCCCACCGGGCAUGUCAGAAAUUUGUACACACAAAUUUCGCGAAUAGUCCUACGAUGUAAGCAAAACUAUAGGAAAAAAUAAUGUGAAACAAAAUAUUUUAUUAAAAUUAAAAAUAUUGUGGGCUGCAAUCUUUGUGGUAAUAUUUUUUUACAAAAGAAUAUAUUUCUCUUAUUCUUUCACUUUGAUCACAAUUUGGAAGACAACGAUGAUGUUGUCAUGAUUUCGAAGAUCAGUCGAGGGCCAUAAGUGACUUAUUCUCAAAUGAACUCAUUGAAUGACAAAGAUUGGGUGUAUAGAACUUUUAUUGUUUCUUGGACUUGUAGGGAGAUUUUUGUGAAACCGUUUUUUUUGUGAAGCCGAUAUUCCCUUGUAGAGUAGUUUUUUGCCAAUCCGAAGAAGUCCCCCCCCGUUGGAGGAAGUCACCCACAUUUAUAGGUGAAAAUAGGAAAUCAAAUUUUGGAAUUCCCUAAGAUGUAGAUACUUGAUUUUAGCAACUUAUCUUCUCCAUUAAGGAAAUUUGUCUAUUAAAGUAUUUAUUUAUUUAUUUUCUUUUGACAAUAAUUUGGAAGAUUUGAUUUUAUUUGGAAGACUAAAUUUUGUAGUCUUCCAAAUUUGGCCACGUGUCACCUUUUUAACAUAUGCCACGUGUUAAAUGUGCGUAGGACCAAUCAUGUGUCGAUCCCAAAUUUUGUCGAAUCGAGGAGUCACAUUUUUUUAAAGGCCAAUUUAAUGAUAAUUUAUUUCACUAAAAAUUUUGAUGUCUACAACAGGUUAAAUAUAUAGAGUAAACAAUUUGAUGGGAGUAGAUUACUAUUCCCUUGUACCAAUAAGAUUAAAGAAAUAAUGGAAUUCUUAACUAAAGAGUUAACUUUGCAAAAGAGUUGUGUAGCUUGUACUUUUCUUAGGGUCAUGAGACCAAAUUUUAUCUAAAAUGUGGCAAAUUUGAUGGGAGUAGAUUAUGAACAUUUAACUCCUUGUUUGCUAAAUGAACUUUUCUUAAUCUCCAUAUAUUUUAAAUCUUUAAUUUGAUAAAGAGAGAGAUAAGAGGUAAAGAUGGUCCCAUUGGGCAUGCUAAAAAAUUGUGCAUACAAAUUUUCCUUGAAGAUGAAUUAUUUGUGAUUAAAUUAGAAUUUUAUUGAUUUGAAGAAUAAUGUAAUUGUAACUUUUAUUUUUCAUUUAAUUCUUCUUUUCUAGUUCUUAAUCAAGGACUUAAAAGAAGUUUGGUCUUAAAUGACUUGAGUUUAAUUUGAACCUUUUUGAUUUAGUCUUGGAUCUUGAGUCAUGGCGUAACUUCGACCUUACUAUGACUUGAGCUUUGAUUUGAUUUGGAUCUUGAUUUGAUUUAAAUAACAUUGAUUGAUGGCUUGAGUAGCUUAAUUUUAUAUCAAAUAGGUUUUUGGUUUCUUUUUUCCUUUUAUAUAUUUUAAUCUUAAAAAGUUGAAACUUAAGGUUCUAAAGAUCUUAUCAAUUAGAAGAUACUUUAGAAGAAAUUGAAAAUUGGUUAGUCUCAUUUUAAGAUUGAAGAAAGAUUGAAUCUUCUUUAAAGAGUUAUCCUUAGGGAUCAUAAUGGAAUAGCCCGAAUCAUCCCCAUCUCAACCCAUUCAAUUUAUUUACAAAGGAUAAGAUUGGUGUAAGAAAUUCUCAUGCUUGCUCUAUCUUGCCUCGUUUAAUUUUGUUCAAUUUUUUUCUAUAAAAGUUUUAAAUUCUAUACAAAAUAAAUACAAUUUAUAAAUAAAUAAAUAUUCACAAUUUAUUUUUAUAAAAAAUAUUUAUAUACAUUUAAAAAAUUAAAAAACCAAUUAAAAUAAUUUUUUGUUGAAUAUAACAUAUAAUUAGGAUAGAUGAGUUGGGACAAAACAAAGUCAUUUCUGAACUAACCUGAACUUGUUUAUAUUUAUCCAAAACCCAUCCCAUUAGGAGUAGGUAUAAAAAAAAAACUUGUUUUCUUAUCAUCCCUAACUCGUCUAUUUUCUUCUAAUCUUUUGAAUUAUCUCAUAUUAUUUUAAAAAAAAAAACGUGUCUUAAAAGCUUUGGAAUUAACAUGUCUUAUAAGAAUUGGAAGCAUCAUAUUUGUUGGGUUUCCCCUUAUGUGAGGGAAUCGGCCCCAUAUGCUUGGGGACCAAGUUAGUUGCAUUGGAAAAAAACAAUGAAUCAAGAAAAAAAAACUGAGAGAAGAGAAAAGAAAUAGAAAAAAAAAAACGCAUCUCACUGUCUAGAUUUCAUCAACGAGUUGAUCCUAUUUCAUAUGUGGUCCGAUCGAGUUGAAAUUUGGAGGAAAGGUUUGAAACUCAAGUAACUACAAUCUGAAAGAUGGAUAUCGGAUUUUAAGCUCGGGAACUGAUGUUACUACCCAUAAACUGUAACAGCGUUUUUUAUAUACUUUCUUUAAUUUUCUUUGUUUUUGCCAAGAGAGAUUGUAUAAUCCAAGACUAUAUGUGUUCUUGAUGUAUUUGGCAACCUCUAGAGAUUAUUCUAGAAAAAAAAAAAGUGUAACCCAUUAUUGUUGAUAGUGGAAGUUUGAACUAGACUAGGUCCUGUGGUUUUUUCCUUUGCAUUAAGGGUUUUUCACGUAAAAAUUCUGGUGUCUGAUUUAUUUUCUGUUGCAUGACUUUAUUUAUUUAUUAUUGCUAGUUGAUAUUACCUAUUUAGUUUUGCACAAAGAAAAUGUAGAAAAAUUAUGGCGUUUGUUGGAAUAUUGUGAAUUCACCCUAACAAGUGGUAUUAGAGCCAGAUUGAUUAUCAGUGGGAUCUCUUGUGUAAAUUAAAUGAAGGAGGCUGACAGUAGAAUGAUUAAACUCAUAGUUUCCAAUUAUUCAAUUUGGAAUACUAGGAUGGAGAUAUUCUAUGUUGCAAAGAGUUGUUUGAGCCCAUUGAAUGCAGAGGUUACAAGCCAAUUACUAUGAUUGAGGAUGAGUGAAAUAAAUUAAAUAGGAAAACCAUUAGACAUAUUAGGCAGUGGAUUGAUCAGAGUGUCUUCCAUUAUGUAGCCAAGAAAGUUGAUGCAUAUAGCCUUUGGCAUAAAUUAGAGUCUUUAUGAAAGAAAGACUACACAGAACAAAACCUUUAUGAUAAGAAGGCUUGUGAAUUUAAAGUACAAUGAUGGUAGUAGUGUUGCAAAGUAUCUUAGUAAUUUUCAAGGACAAUUGAAUGAAUUGUCUACCAUGAAGCUUGAGCUAGAUGAUGAGGUACAGACUUUACUAUUAUUGAGUUCCUUACCAGACAAUUGGGAAACUUUAGUGGCAUCCUUGAGUAAUUCAGCCCCAAAUGGUGUGACAACUGUCAAUAUGGUAAAAGACAGCAUGUUUAAUGAAGAGACAAGAAGAAAAGAGUUAAGUAUUUCCUUUAAUACAAAAACACUUGUUAUAGAGAAGUGGGAGAGAAGUAAAAAUAGAAAACCUUCCAGUGAUUAUAACCAUGACAAGUCAAGAGGAAAGUCAAAGUCCAGAAAAGAGAUAAAGCGUUUUUAUUGUGGCAAACCAAGGCACAUUGAGAGAGUGUAGAAAAUUCAGAAGAGAACAGUUUAAAGGAAAAGGUGAAGAACAAGAAAAAGGACAAAGACAUUGCAACAAUUGCAUUUGAUGGUGAUACAAUCAUUGUUUGUGAUGAUGCAUGUGUAAACCUUGCAUGCUAGGAUUCUACUAGGGUGGUUGAUACAGCAACGUCGUUUCAUAUCACUACACAUAAAGAUUUCUUCUCUUCCUACACCAGUGGCAGUUUUGGUUAGGUUAAGAUGAGAAAUGAAGCAAAAUGUGAAAUUGUUGGCAUAGGAGAUGUAAAGCUAGAAACUAGCAUUGGGUGCAAAUUGGUUCUGAAAGAUGUCAGACAUAUUCUUGAAAUGCGCUUUAGUUUGAUCUCUGUUGGGAAGCUUGAUGAUGAGGGCUACCAUAGUCACCUUGGAGAGGGUAAGUGGAAGCUUACUAAGGGUUCUCUUGUUUUAGCUAGGGGAAAGAAAAACAAUACUCUCUACAAAACAGAAGUGAGACUAGUUAAGGGAGAGGUGAACAUUGUUACGAAUGAAGCCUCUACUGAGCUAUGACAUAAGCGGCUUAGUCACAUAAGUGAAAAAGGACUUCAAGUUCUUGCUUGAAAGAAGCUUCUACCAAUUAAAGGUACGUCACUAUUACCUUGUACACAUUUUAUGUCUGAAAAGCAAAAUAGAGAUGUAUUUCGUAGAUUUCCUUCACGUAGAAAACCAGAUAUUCUUGAUUUAGUUCACACUGAUGUUUGUACUAUGCAAAGUAAUACUCUUGGUGGUAUACUUUAUUAUGUGACUUUUAUUGAUGAUCAUUCAAGAAAGGUGUGGGCAUAUGCUUUGAAAUCCAAAGACCAAGUACUUGAUGUAUUCAAAUAUUUUCAUGUGAAGGUUGAGAGGAAAAUUGACAAGUAGUUAGAAUAUGUCAAAGUAGACAAUGGUGGUGAAUAUAGGGGGUCAUUUAAGCAAUACUACAGAAGUCAUGGCAUCAGGCUUGAGAAGACGAUUCCUAAGACCUCGUAGCAAAAUGGUGUAGUUGAGAGAAUGAAUAGAACCAUAUGUGAUAGAAUCGGGUGUAUGCUCUCUCAUGCAAAAUUGCCUAAGUCUUUUUGAGGUGAGGCCAUGAGAACAAUCGUUGAUUUGAUUAAUCUGUCUCCAUCAUAUCCUUUAGAGGGUGAUAUUCUAGAGAGGGUUUGGACAGGAAAAUGUGUUUCCUUUGAGCACUUGAGAGUGUUUGGUUCUAGGAUAUUUGUUCAUGUUCCUAGAGAUGAGUAAUCCAAGCUUGACAGCAAGACUAAACAGUGUAUCUUCUGAUUCGUGCCCAGUCGGGUAUUUUAAUAAAAAAUAUUUAUAAAUCCUAUGAUCUUAUACUAGCGUAGCAAAGCUACUAUAGUAUAGCAGCUCUAGGGUCGAACUCUGGGAUGGGUUUUCACUCUACCAGUGAUAGACUCAAGAUUAGAAAUUGAAUCUGAUGAUUUCCUUUGUCAAAAACUUAAAGUUUAAAAGAAAAUGAAAUUUGUUUUGAAAGUGGUGUUUGAAACUAAACUAACAUAGAACUAGGUAAAAAUGGAAGAAAGAAAGUCUCCCGGAGCUAAAGGUUGCUAGGAUCAAGUUCAGAAUGCAAAGUGGGAAAUUCCGGAUUUUUCUCCUCGUAUUGGGGACAACAACAUAAAGGAUGGUUGUUUCCCGAACUGAUAUAGGUUUAACAAUGAAGAUUUAAUCCAUAAAAAGUCAAUAGAAAUGGUAGUCAAGUUCCAUUAAUGGCUUUAGACACUAUGGGUCUUCACCUUAAGCCACUUUCCAAUGGCUCGUACAUGAUAACUAAUGGUCUUAAGUGGAUCUAGCAAUAAGUAUCUACAGAGAUCUAAAAGCUUAUCAUGUAUUGGUCAUUCAAAGUGAUUCUAAGGGAUUUAAAGCAAAACUUUAUAUUUAAAAGCCAUUUAUGAACUCCAACUACCUGUAUUUAAAGCACGAGAGUUUUCCACUUUUGCAUCUGGACUUUUCACCUAACUUCCUUCACUCCAAGAAACCAAAGGUUUAGCCUCUCAUCCUCUGGGAAAACAUCCUCAGAGGUUGUUUGGCUUCCAAGAAAAAUACAAUCAAAAUGAGAAGGUAAAAGCAGAGCAGAACUCUGUAUUUUUCUUCCUUUGAAAACUAUACAAAAGUUGCGUCCCCUCGAGAACAAGCUCCUGAGAGAUAUUUAUAUGAAAAUUACAAUAAUAAUAUCUACAAGGUUAUUCAUCCUUUUUCCUAACUUAAUAACUAAGGAAUCCUAUAAUUGAUGGGUUACAAGGAGAGUUUGGGGAUUUAGACAUCAAAUAUCUAAAGCAAAAUAUCUAAAGAUAAAUAUCUAAAGAAAAAUAUCUAAAGAUGUCUGUCGCACAUAUCGGGAAGCUUCAGGAGAACACUGCGGCACUGUGCAAAAUUGCUGCGAAAUCCUCCGGGUGAGCGCUAUCGGCGGAUCCGGAUAUGUCUGAUCGUGGAAGUUGAAACGCUCUCCUCUCCUAUCAGGCGUCAUAAUUCCGGAUGCAAUACAUCCGGGUGGAAUGGUGGCAGCAGAUUUCCAGAUGUAAUACAUCCGGGUGGAAGCGGCGACAGCCGGAUGUAAAGUGGCGGCAGCCGGAUGUAAAGUGGAGGCAUAGCCGAGUGGAAAGUGGCCGCAGUCGGGUGGAAUUCCUACCCGGGUGGAAUGUGCAGGAUCCCAUACUCCUUGUAUUCUGGAUUUGCUUAAGGAUUCCAAAGAACUCUUCUCAAUCUCGGAUUGCUUUGGUGAUCAAAAAGCUAUCAAAACACCAAAACUUAACACAAUUUGAUUAGAAUUGAUUGUAAGGGUCCUUAAUAUGUUAAUUGGGUUAAAAGGUGAUAACUACUACUCAAAAGUGUUUAAAAGAGUUAAUUACAAGCUAUGAAAUAGUACUUUUUGAGUAGUAAUCAUCUUCCUAGGUUAUUCAAAUGAAAAGUUUAGGUACAAGUUAUGAGAUCUAGCUACCAAAAAAAUUAUAAAAAGUAGAGAUGUUGUCUUCUUCGAAGAUCAAACCAUUGAAGACUUGGAUCAAGUUAAGAAGUUAAAGCCUUUUAGUGAAGAACAUGUUGAUUUGGGUCCAGUCUCUCCUAACUCUGUGAGACAUAAUGAACAUAAGGAAGUUGUGCAAGAAGAACAUGUUGAUACAGUUGAUAGAAAUGAUGAGUCUACAGUUGAUGAUGUAAAGAAAAUUCUAUAGUUGAGAAUGAUGACCUAGAACAGCAACAAGAACAAGCUACUUCAGAGUUGCCUACUAAAACACAAUUAAGAAGAUCUACUAGAGAGCGUCAACCUUCUAGAAGGUAUACUAGUGAUGAGUAUUUGUUGCUUUCUGACGGGAGAGAGCCAGAAAAUUAUCAAGAGGUUUUACUACAUGACGAGAAAAAAAGUGGUUGAGAGCUAUGCAUGAAGAAAUGAAAUCCUUGCAUAAGAACAACACUUAAUGAAUUGAUGGAGUUGCCUAAGGGUAAGAGAGCAUUGAAGAAUAGAUGGGUACUGAAAAGGAAGCCUGAACCAAACAAAUCAUAGCCAAGGUACAAGGCAAGAUUAGUUGUGAAGGGUUUUAGUCUGAAGAAAGGCAUUGACUUUGAAGAGAUUUUCUCGCUUGUGGUUAAGAUGUCUUCGAUUCGAGUUGUGUUAGGCUUGGCUGCCAGUAUGAAUCUAAAGAUUGAACAACUUAAUGUGAAGAUUGCUUCCCUCCAUGGCGACUUAGUGGAGGAAAUAUAUAUGGAGCAUCCAGAAAGGUUUACAAUCAAAGGCAAGGAAUACUUAGUGUGUCGACUGAAUAAGAGCUUAUAUAGUCUCAAGCAUGCAUCGAGACAUUGGUACAAGAAGUUUGAUUCCUUCAUGGUUGAGCAUGGUUAUGAUAGAAAUGCUUCUGACCAUUGUGUGUUUGUGAAGAAAUUCUCUUAUGGAAAAUUUAUUAUUCUCUUGCAUAUAUGGAUGAUAUGCUGAUUGUUGGUCGUGAUAUUGGUAAAAUUGAUAAGCUGAAAAAGGAGUUGAGCAAGUGCUUUGAAAUGAAGGACUUGAGGUUUGCAAGUCAGAUUCUUGGUAUAAAGAUUUCUUGAGAUAUGACAAAUGGAAAAUUGUGGCUAUCUCAAGAAAGCUAUAUGAAGAAGGUUUUAGACAAGUUCAACACAGGCAAGGCAAAACUAGUGAGCUGUCCACUUGGAAGUCAUCUAAAGCUAAGUUCCAAACAAAGUCCUUCAAGUGAGAAAGAAAAAGAAGAAAUGCAAAAGGUGCCUUAUGCAUCAGUCGUGGGUAGCUUGAUGUAUGUCAUGGUGUGCACGAGGCAUGAUAUUGCUCAUGUGUUGGAGUUGUCAGCAGGUUCCUUUCUAAUCCUAAUAAAGAACAUUGGGCUACAGUGAAAUGAAUUCUCAGGUAUCUGAGGGGUACUUCUAAUACAUGUUUAUGUUUUAGGACUAACAAACCUGUGCUUGUAGGAUGCACAAAUGCAAAUAUGACUGGGGAUGUUGAUUCUAAAAAUUCUACUUCUGGUUAUUUGAUCACUUUUUUAGGGGAAGUAGUGUCAUGACAAUCAAGGUUGCAUAAAUGUGUUGCUUUGUUGACCACAGAGGUUGAGUAUAUUGUUAUCACUGUAGCUAACAAGGAGUUAUUGUGGAUGAAGAAGUUCCUACAAGAAUUGGGUCUACAACAAGAAAGGUAUCUACUCUACUGUGAUAGUCAAAGUGCUAUUCAUCUCAGUAAGAAUCCAACUUUUCACUCUAGAUCCAAGCAUAUUGAUGUGAUAUAUCAUUUGGAUUCGUGAUGCACUAGAUAUGAAAUUGUUUUGUCUUGAGAAAAUCCAUAUUGAUGAGAAUGGAUCAAAUAUGAUGACAAAACCAAUAUUUACAGAAAAGCUACAAUUUUGUAGAAAGCAAGUGGGCUUAGUAAAGCCUCUCACAUAGUCAGAAGAGGGCCCCAUAUGCUUGGGGACCAAGUCAGUUGCAUUGAAAAAAAAAAAAAGGAAUCGGGAAAAAAAAUAGAGAAAAGAGAAGAAAGAGAGAGAAAAAACGCAUCUCACUACCUAGAUUUCAUCAAUGAGCCGUUAUCACUUCAUCUAUGGUCCGAUUGAGUUGAAAUUUGGAGAAGAGGUUUGAAACUCAAGUAGCUACAAUCUGAACGGUGGAGAUCAAAUUUUAAGCUUAGGAACUGAUAUUACUGCCCAUGAACAAAAACAACAUUUUUUAUAUACUUUCUCUAAUUUUCUUUGUUUUUGCCAAGAGAGAUUGUAUAAUCCAAGACUAUAUGUGUUUUUUUUUAUUUAUGUAUUUGGUAGCCUCUAGAAAUUAUUCUAAAAAAAAAUAGGUGUAACCUAUUAUUGUUGAUAGUGAAAGUUUGAACUGAACUAGAUCCCGUGGUUUUUCCUUUCACAUUAGGGGUUUUCCACGUAAAAAUUCUGGUGUCUAGUUUAUUUUUCUGUUGUAUGAGUUUAUUUAUUUAUUGUUGCUAGUUGAUAUUACCUAUUUGAUUUUGCACAAAAAAAUGAUAGAAAAAUUUUAGUGUUUGUUGGAAUAUUAUGAAUUCAUCCAAACAAGUCAUAUUACAUAUAAUAUUAUUUUAAUAAUAAAACAUUUAUGUCAUGUGAUUGUUUUUAAUUCAUCAUAAUUUAAAUUAAAUAUAAAAAAUUUAUUUUUAAUUAAUUAUUAUAAGAGUAUAUAAUAAAUCGUAAAAGUUAAAAAUUUGAAUUUUACCUCUCAACAAACUGUGGUCAAAGUCGUUCCCAAAUAGACCUAUAGGCUCCUAUUUCUCUUUAUUAUGUUAGGUACAACAGCCACAUAGUGCGGACAUUCGCCCACGGCAAUGGCACGAAAAUGGUUGCCACUUGUGGUUGAUCUUGAGACUUUGAGACUUGAGAGGAGCCCUCCGUCCCUCUCUAGGCAAAUAUUUUGGCAUUAUGAAUAAAGCAGAGAAGUUAGCUCUGACACUCUAAUUAAGGUGACGACAGAUUGUAUCCUAGGUACGUUUCGUAAUUGUUUAGAAAAUAGCUUUAAAAUCCAAUUUUUUAAAAUAAUUUUUAUAUAAUACUUUAUUUUUAAUCAUUUUUAAUAUUUUUAUAAUUCUUUCUUUAAAACAAUAAUAUAAAUAUAUAUUUUUACUUUUAAUUAUUAAAUACCCAUUUAAUCAUAUUUUUUAAAAAUUUGUUUUUAAAAACUAUUUUUUAUUUUUUAACUUAAAAAUAAGUUUUAAAAAAAUAUAAACCAAUGAGUAUAUGUUUUGUUUUUGUUUUUAAAAAUGAGUAAAAACAACUUUUAUUUAUUUUUAAAAAUACUUUAUUUGUAAAAAUUAUUUCCAAAAAUAAGAAAUUAUUACCAAACAUUUUCUUCUCCCCCUUAUGAAUAGAAAACACCCAUCAAAACAUUUAUUAGAGUAAAAUGUUUAGAUACACCAUCACAAGAAGUAUACCUACUUCCUCCGUUGCCUUACAUAUGCCUCAAUGCCUAGAUGUUUCACAUUGCAUAUGAGCUUGAGUUGGACCAUGGUCCUAAAAAGUUCAAUUGGGUUGCUUGUAUAUUUCAGUCAUCUCAUUUUUAAUAGACUGCGACCUCACCAUCAACAUUUACAUCAUAUACCAUGCAGCACACCCCUAUUUUUACUGCUAAUUUACCAUGCUUUUUGAUGGCUAAAUGUAAAGAAAAAUAUAUCAAAUUAUAUUAGGUAUAAAAUAUAUUUUUGUUCAUUCAAUCUCGAGUCACAACUUGUAUCUACAAAAAGGUAAUAAAAAAAAAAAUUAUUUGUUAAUAGAAUUAAAUGCAGUAGCAAUGCAUACCAGGCAACUAUCAACCACCUUGUCAACAACCACAUGUUUGUGUUUUUUUUUUGGUUAAUUUUUAUAACAUUGGGCAUGGCUUCGAGCCUUCAACUACCUGAUUCAAAGGAUUCACAGUCUAUAUUCCCAAAAUCAUCAAAACCCAUACUAGGAAACCCCCUCAAAGUCUUGGCCCAACUUUAUGGCUAUAAUAAAUACGAAGGCAGUCUAUUUAUAAGCAUAGUAUCAAACACCUCAUCUUCGUAAAACUUCAAAUUCUUUGUAGGCAACAACUUGAGUCACAAGGCUGCGAUUUCCAUGCAUGUUGAAAAGUCCCAAUAUGUUAACUCAAUUAAUUUGUGUGUCCUUUUUGGUGUUGCACUUGGAUCGGCUGCCUAAUUUUGUUGGCUUGGCUAUUAACUUUAGUUCUAGAUGUGUUCUAUGUGAUUACUUUGCAUUUAUUUUAAAGUUUCUUUUCCAUGCUAUUAUGAUCACCCACUUGUGUCUUUUGCAAACCAAUUUACACAAGUAGGAUGUAUUAGCAAUAUCAAGUUGGUAUCAUUUGUAUAUUCAUAUAUACAUGUAACAUAAGUAGAAUGUCUUAGCAUCAUAAAAUGUGAUAUUUUAUUUAUUAAAUAAAGGAAUAAAAUAAGUUAUUUUAUUUACUACAUUGGCACAGUAUUUCUAUUCAAAGUGUUUUUAAUAAAAGUAUUUUCCCUAAAAAUAUUUUUAAGAAAAUUACAUAUAAAAUGUUUUUCUAAAAAACUCUAUACAUGAUUUUUCAAUAUCAUAAGUGAUUUUUUAAAUUUUUAAAAGUGUUUCAUAAAAGUAGUCAAACACUUAAUUUUUUUAAAAACACUUUUUAAAAUAAAAACACUUCCUAAAAUUAUUGUUAAAUGAACUCAAAGUGUUCUUAGAAAAAUCAUUUAUAAAGUGUUUCUCCAUAAAAUAUUAUCAGAGCUCGUUUUAUAGUGAUUCUAGAAAGUACUUUUAAUAUUUCUAAUAUUUUAAAAUUUUAUCAUUUAAGUAUUAGAAAUAUUAAAAACAUUUUUUAGAAUCACUCCCAAACAUACUUUAUUAUAAGUGAAUUUUCGGAUUUUUAAAAAUAUUUCCCAAAUUUUGCUAUGCACCUAAUUUUUUUUUUUUUAACAAAAAUUCAAGUUGAAAGGACUUCCUAAAUUUUUAAACAUUGUCAAAUGAGAAAUAAAAUAAUAUUGCUAUUUAUUAAAUUAAUAGUCGUGUUUAAUCAUAUUAUUUAUCUAAAUGACAUUCUAAGAUGUCGUAAUUUUUACUUGAAGUUAUGUUAUUUUUCGUUUUACUUUUAUCAUAUUAUUCUAGUAUCUACUUAAUUACAAAAUAAAUAAUAAUUACAACUCAAAACAUUUCCGUAUUUAAUACAAAAUAACAAAUUUUUAAUACAUUUUCACUAUCUCUUCACUUGGUAAAAGAGUACAAAAAAAAAAAUAAUGAGAAAAUUAUUUUUACUUGGAGUAGUGGUUUUUUUUUUUUACUAUUUUUAUCUUAUUUUUUAGGACCUAUUUACGAAAUAAAUAUUUAUUGAAACUUAAAACAUUUUUUGUAUUAAUUUGAUACAUAUUAAUCAUUUUCUAGUACAUUUUCAUUUGUUACGUGUACUUAGGGAAAGAAUGUGAUAAAAAAGGUAUUGAGAAAAAUACUAUUAUUGUUUUAUUUGAUUUGGACAAAUGUGAUGUGGUGUGUCAAGUCGUGAUUGAUGGUUACGUUUAGUUACGACAAAGUACUCAAAAAUAAAUAAAAAAUAUUAAAAAAUUAUUUCCUUAUAUUUAAUUUUAUUAUAAAAAAAAUGAUUAAAAUUAAUAAGAAAUUUAUAUAUUUUUAAUUUUUUUUAAAAAUUAAAUAAAUAAAAUGAAUUUAAAAUAAUAUAUAAAAUUAAUUUAAUAAUUUUAAAUCUAUUUUUCUUUUUAUCUGUCUUUUUCAAAUCACAAUCCGAGUGAGUUUGAAUACAUUUAUUUCUUCAUUGUGAAACAACCUAUGAUUGAAGAAUGCGUGGAGUGACAAGUAUUUAUAAAAUAUUUUCUCCAUGGAAUUAAAUAUGAAUGGACCAAAUUGGAAAAAGUGUAGCAUCACUUUCGUUUUCAAAUUUCCUCUGCCGGGUUUCAUAAUCAUAGUUUAUGAGCCGAAAGUGGGCUAAGUCUCUUUUCAACCUUAACUAAAAUCCUGUCUGCCACGUGACCUCGGGGAGACAUAUUAUUAUAUUUUGAGAAAAUGAUAAAAAAAAUAUAUAUAUAUAUAUAUAUAUUAAUCAGAGAGAUUAUCAAUUUUCUAAAAAAAAUAUUAAUUAUUUAACCUUUUUUUUAAAAAAAUCACCUUCUUAGGUGGGAGGAAAUUAAAUUAAUAAAUAAACUUUAUAUUUGAGUAGGCCAAUGGAUACGUUCUUAACCAGGCCAUUUAAAAGACAGAUUGUUAUGGUUUGAUUUUGGGCUGGAUUUAAGCCCACAUCUACAAAUUGGCCGGCCCAUUUUAUGGGCCAGCAGUAUGGAAAUAAAGCCCAUAGAUCCUACUCUGCCCAAAACACACUCACAAGUAUCUCAAUGCUUUACAGGCGAUGAUUAGGGUUGCAAUUCAAGCCAAGCCCAAUCUUAUUUCUUUGUCAAAUGGGUUUAGGUGGAUAAGUAAUUAAUUAUCUUUUAAUUUAUAUCCUUAAAAUUAACUACUACAUUAUUUAUAAAGAUGAUUAAUUAAGUAUGCCUAAAAAAAUAUAGUAUAGUAUGUUUUCCAAGAUUAGAAAUAUUUAAUCAACAUAGUGAAAAAAUGGAAUAGAAAAAACUUAAUGGAAAUUACGAAUUCUUAUCAUGUUUGUGUUCAAUACCGACAUUGCUCCAUUUUUUAUUUUAAAUUUUGUGUUAUUCACUUUAUUUUUUAAUUAAUAUAUUGGUUGCAUUAGAAGUAAAGGCAAUGCACUUGUAUGAAUCUCACUUGAAUGGGAUAGAAUGUGAAGAAUUUGAUAUUUGAAAGCAAGUGUAAAACUUCAAUUAUGGUAAAAAUAGAAUAAAAGUAUUUUAUAUAUUUAUAAUUAAUUUAUUAAGUCAAAAUCACUUGAUAUGUAAUUUAUAGCUUUAAAUAAUUUUUAUCACUAGAAUUUAUGGGACUGAAUAUAAUUAUCCAUUUUGCACAUGUGUUUGUAGGGAAGAUAUUGCUAAGAGCUAUAUUGACAUUGUAUCUUGGAGUGACUAUUAAUUAUCAGUACCCAUGUAUAGGGAUAUGAUAAUAGCUUUAAAACAAUGUAUCUGCAUGUGCAUUUCCAAAAUAGGUUAACUUUCUUAUCUCUAGUUAUAUUAUUUAUUUUCAAUAUUGAUUUAUCAUUUUAUUUGUGUGAGUUAAAAAAUUUGUGUUUUUUAUAUUUUCUCUCUCUCUCUCUCUCUCUCUCUCCCUUUUCCUCUCUCUCUUUCACACCAUACCCCUGACUCCCACACCACUAUCACCAUCCAUGGUGAAGCUCACCACAAGUGACUAUUGUCAGCUCAACGUCACCAAUGACAUUUCUCCACCAUGACACCCAUUCCUUCCAUUGUCAUUUCAAAAGUUUAAAAAAUGGUAAGUCUUCCAUUUUUUUUCUUUCUUUAAAUAUUCAUAGUGCAUUGUUUGGAGACUUGGGUAUUGUCUAUUGGGCUUUGGAUUUUGUUUAUGGGCUUUGAAAAUAUUAGGCUUGCAUGGUUGUUGAUUUUGGCUGCUAAUUUGUGUGAUUCGGGUUUGUGUAUUUAUUGGAUAUUAAAUUAGGCUUGAGUUGUUGGAUAUUGUUGUUGGGCCUACUUGAAUUUAUUUGAUCUUUGUUGAUGGGGUUUGCUUAUAUUUGGGCUGAUUUGGCAUUGCAUCAAGGAUAGGAAGAGGCAAAUUUGGUGCAUAGUGUAUUAGUUAGAGGCGGUUAGAGUAAUUGGAGACAAGGUAUGGACAUGGGCAAAAAGAUGGUGGGACUUGAUUUGGGAUAAAAAGAGGGAUUAAAGCAAGAGGAAGAGAUGAAGGACAACCUUUUAGAUUUUUCUCUACUCUCUUUGUAUUUUCUAUGAGUUUUUUUUGUGAGAGAUUGAGAUGUUUUUAGCAUUUCUGGCUUUUUUUGGGAACCUAUGGAGAGCUAGUAGACUUGGGAUUGCAUUGUAAAAGGUACAACUGUUUAUCCUUGUUCUUAUUUUAAGUGUAUUUGUUUUGUUAUUCAUUAUCUUGUACAUAUGUUAUUUCAUUUAUUUUGAUAUCCAAUAAAUAUACGUCAUCUAUUAGUUUUGUUGUUGUUGAUGCCUUUAUUUAUAUAAUCUAUUUUUUUGUUUGUGGAAUGAACCUAUAAUAAAAUAUUGUUUCAAAAGUUAUUUUUUAAUAAACGUUUUUUUUAAUAAACCACAAUUUCUUUUUGGAAUGAAAAUUUAUUUAUUUUUUUAAUAAAUGGAUUUUUUUUUUUGUUUUUUUGUUUUUUGUUUUUGUUUAGAAUUAUCUUGUUUUAUGAUAUGAUUUUUUUUUAUUUGAUUUGAUUUUCUUUUUCCUUUUUUGGGUAAGAUCAUUUUAUUUAUUUAUUAUUUAUUAUUAUUAUUAUUUAUUUCUUUAUACACAAAUAAAGAACUUUUUAAAACAAAUUGUAAAACCAUUUUUUUAUAUAAAAGUAAAAAAGAAACAUUUUUAUAAUACAAUUGAAAAGAAAAAAUUAUUUUAAAAAUAUUUUUUUCUAAUAAAAUGGAAUUUCUAUUUUUUAAGAAAUUGAGAUUAUCUUUUAAUAAAUUUCUUUAAAUUUUUUUUUUAAAAAUAAAAUCUAUUAUCAUGUUGUUAACAAAUUUGAAAAUUUUUUUAAUAUAAUAAAAAUGUGUUAGAGAGUAAUUUUAGAAAAUGUUUCUAGCAUUUUUAACACUUAAAUGAUAACAAAUUUUAGGUGUUAGAAAUGUUAAAAACGUUUUUUAAAAUCACUACCAAAUAGGCUCUAAGUUUGAAAUAAUUAAAUAAGUAUUUUCUAAUUAUAUGAAAUAAAAAUCACUAUUUUUUCACAAUAAAAAGUGCAUCUCGUCGUUCAAGUGGGGAGACACGUGAAAAUGCAGGUCCAUAAAAUGUUGACUCCAUUAGGGAUGUUUAAAGGUCAAGUUUGAAGUCGAGUUGAGGGAAAUGCGGCGUUUGAUUAAUCGAUUAGUAGAUAUCUUCUCAUGAUGCCUUUGUAAUAUAUUUGUAUAUUUUAGGGCACAUGAGGGUUGACAUAAUGAUUAUUUUGUGUAUAUGUUGCCUGUGCCUUACUAUGUAUUGAUUAUUGUUAUCAUGUGUAUUUGUAUAUAUCUGUUUUGCAUGUUUGUGCUAUAUGACCACCCUUUUUCUGCAUGAUGCAUACUUGGUUGUUAUGUUCAUUUGCGAUAUUAAUAUGUUGAUUACAUCGAUUGAUUCUCUUGCCAUGAUUGCCCUGCUCACUUUGACAUGUUUAUUCUCAUUCGUCUCGAUGUGAUUGAUUCUCUUUAUUGUAUAUUAUUUUGUCCAUCUCAACAGAUUGUCUAUCUUUGUUGUAUACUCAUCUUGUUUAUCCUAUUUCCUUAGCUUGUUUUUAGAUUUGAAUGAUAUACCUACUCUUUGUAUGACUGUAUGUUGCAUGACUACUCUUCUUCUACUUGAUGCAUGUAUCUCUUGUCAAUGUGGGACACACAUGUGUCCCUUUAUCUCCAAUCCCCUAGUCUCAAUCAACCAUGUUUCCCUUGAUCUCAUAUUUGGUAUGAGACUUGUUGCUUUGUUUGCUCUCUGAUCGAGUUGGUGAUUCGAAGUAGGGUCUAGCGAUGGACUAUAUCUAUGUUUAGGAGCAUUUUGGAGGAGGCCGACACAUUGAUCCUGACUGGAGUCCGAUCAUUGGACUUGUAUAGCUUAGAGCUAGAUUUCAUGGAUAUUCAUGUGACCAAUGUGUUUUCUUUCUUGUUUUAACUUUAUAGGUUUAUCAAAUGCACUUAUACCACUCACUAUGCACCUUAGAUCGUUGCUAAUGACCAGAGUUGUGAGAUGCACCAACAAUUAGGAGAUACUACACCAUAGAAAGCCCCUUGGGAUGCGAGAUAGUGCUUGUGUGGAGGUGAUGACCACCUUGCAUGGAAGCGCCCUAUCUGGUCGAAGGCGUGUAGGAGGUUGCAUAUUGUUGAAGGGUGUGAUCGGUUUUUCUAGAGAUCCUUUAAAGUCCACCCCUACACCCCACGUGUGAGCCUUAAAUCCCUUUAUUAAGAUUCAUUUCUCACACGUGGGUGCAUCUGAGAGCCUUUGGGGCUACUUUAGUCAUAGCAUGGAUCUAGUACUCAUUUUUUUGGUCUCCAGUUGAGUAUGCUCAAAGAUUAGUGCAAGUUUGUGUAUUAGUUGGACCAUUAUUUGUCAUGUUGCAUUAGAUUCUUUAUUUCGCUUGUUGAGUUUGACAUGUUUUCUCUCUAAGGCUUUAGUUAGUCUUACUUUCUUAUCUUAACACAUUUUUUCAAUUUGUUAUUGCAUUGUUUGCUUGAUACUUUAGGAUAAGUUCAUCGAUCAUGAUCACCUUUUUGCAAUGUACACUUGUCAUGGUCAAGGUACCACAUUCUUUAUUUGAUGCUUGAUUCCAUUUUCACCUCGAUGCUCAUAUUUUCAUUACAAAAAGGUGAAGAACAUGUUUUCACAUUCACACUUUUUUUUAGAGAUUCUCCUUUAUCAUCUUAUGAUUUUCCUUUAUAGAGCUCAAUUUGGAAGUUGAGUCAGGUGGAUCCUAUUAUAGAUGGAGCAUUGAUUUUGUGAUAGCACUGUUCUACACAUCUCUUAUAUCUUAGAUUAUUGAUAUGAAUUCUCUAGUCACAUUUGUAGCCAUCUCAUAGAGGACACCUUUAUGACUCUUUAGCUCCUAUCAUACAUCUAGAUUUUGCAUUUCCACCUUAGGAGCAUGUGUUUGCAUGUCACAUUGUUGCCUUUAGAGUCUUCUUUUGUGUCCCAUGUCCAUUUUGAUUAUUUUGCAUUGUAGGGAAUCAACCUAGGAGUUGGUUGAGUAUGAAAUUGUAGCCUUGGAGGAGGGUUGGAGGCCAAUUGAUCAUAUCAGAUUCAUAUCAAAGUUCAGAUAGUUCACUUGAGAUGUCAGACGAGUUAGCUUCUACACUUGCUUCUAUUCAAGAGUUCAUGGCUAGGAUGAGUAAAUGUUUAGAUCAAAUAGAGAGAUCACGCUAGAAUUACCAGCUAAUGGCAUGGGUACAAAUGAGACAACUUCUCAUGCAUCUCAAACAACAUAGGUUCUUCCACCCAGGGCUUCACAUGGCAUUCCAUUCCAUUUAUCAGAUCAUUGUGAGACUACUCCACCAUCCGAUGUCAUAAUGUCGCCUCCUAUUGUACUUGUUAUUGAUGACAUUGAUUAGUUGAGCAGGAGGGCAAGAUUGAGAGGCUUGAGUCCAGGAUGAGAUAGAUCAAAUUGUAGAAUGGAGGUUUGACCUAGAAUGACAGAGAUGACAUAUUGGCGGCUAGCUUGCCCACCAAGUUUCGCAUGCAAGACAUCGAUCACUACAGUAGAGUUGGUUGUCCAAAGAUCCAUCUGACUCUCUACAGCACAAUCAUGAGAGCACACAGGUUAGAUGAUGCACAAUUAAUGGCUUUCUUCUUCAUGUCACUUAGUGGGGCAACUCAGAUAUGGUUUGCCUUAGUUGAGCCUUCAAGACUUUGCACUUGGGAGGAUAAGACUCAUGAGUUCUUGACUCAGUUCGCCUCCAGUGCCGACAAUGAUGUCUCCAAACGAAAGCUAGGGGCUUAAAUAGAAACCAAAAGAUUUUAUUUCUUCAUUUGUUAGUCGUUAGGGGGCAAAUGUGGUUGGUAUGGUAGAUUGGCCUAAGGAGCAAGAUCAUAUUGAUAUGGUUCUUCAGAACCUACAUUUGAGGUUUGUUAGAUGCCUCAUGAGCAUUCUAUUCCAAGAUCUCAAGAGUUUGGUUUAGACUAUUUUCAGUGUUGAGGAGGCCAUUGCUUGAGAAUUAUGGAUAAAUAUUGUUUUUUCCCCUGACAGUAAGGAGAAGAAGUCGAUUGGAUCAUCUGGGAAGACUGGAGAGGUUAACACCAUUAGUUGUUAGCAUCAGAGGCCUACUUGCCACUCAUAUUAUAGGUUUCCUACAACUAGAGCUCAUUUCUAUCAUCCGUAAUAUCAAUAUCAAUCGGUUUAUGUUCAACAACCUUUCAUUACUCAAGCUAGUGUACAGUUGUGACAUCACCUCUAAGAGCUACUACUCGCCAGCUACCUAGACUAUAUGAAUAGAGGCAUGUGAGACAAUUCACUCCAUUAGGCAUGACUUUGACUAGAGCUUUUGAGAAGCUUAGAAACGUUGGCUUAAUUGUUCCUUUGGCACUAUGCCCCUUGCCACAUCCUAUUCCUCCUUACUUUCACCUACAUAAGCACUGUGUGUUUCAUCAGACUUAGGGACAUGCUACUGAUUAUUGCUCAACACAUUGCAACUUGUCAAGACCAAGUGUGAUCACCAAUUCCUUGCCUACACAUUUUGUACAUGUUAUUCCCUCACCUUCUAGUCUUUAAUAGAGCAUUGUGGAUGUUGAUGAUAUUCGGGGAUCGCCUGCCACUUUGAGAUUUUUCUUAGUUGAGGCUUUCUUUCAAUUGAUAUGGGUGCAUCACUUUAUAGAGUUUUAGUAUAAAGUGUACAUUGGUUUGGUUGUGGAAGUCAUUAGAGUCUUUUUUUUUUUUUUUUGUUUAGUCUAGUUUUUGUUCAAAGUCACAAUUUAUAGUUCAUGUUAAGAGUUUAGUUGUUCGUAGUCUUUUACGUUACACACAUAAUGUAUUCAUUGGUUCAUUUAGUGAUAUGAUCUUUUUAUUAUGAGUAUAUUUUCUUUUCUUUCUUAUGAGUAUAUUUUACAUUUUUUGUAUUGAUGUGUUGCGUUGUUUAUAUGCGACAUUUUUCACUUGCAUAUCAUGGUUACUUGGGCCAAAUUUAUCAUGAUGGAUAUUAAGCUUUCUUACCUAGGUGUGGACCCCGCAUUUUGAUCGAUGCGUUCCCACUCGAUGGCGAAAACUCGUUUUUUUUUUUAUUAUGCUUAAUAAACAAUAGAUUGUAUAAAGAAAAAGAGAUGAAGAACACCACCUAUGAGAUACGAUAGAAUGCAAUAAUGUGAUGGUAGGAAAAAAUGAUGAGAGAAAGAUGCACCUGUAGGUCCAAGACUCACGAGACUCGCAAACAAUGCGUGCAUACACUAAAGGGCCCCUAUCCCGGUGUAGAAAUAUGAACAAGGCUAUCACAAAAGAAAUGCUAUAAUACNNNNNNNNNNNNNNNNNNNNNNNNNNNNNNNNNNNNNNNNNNNNNNNNNNNNNNNNNNNNNNNNNNNNNNNNNNNNNNNNNNNNNNNNNNNNNNNNNNNNUUUUCUUUUUCUAUUUUGUCUGGUGACAAUCUGAUUUUUAGAAAAAAACUCGGAGUCGCCACUUAUUUUUAUUUUAUUUCUAAAGGGAAAAACAAAAUAAGAAAGAAAAACCCUAAGUGUGACUCCAAGUAUUUUUCUAAAAAUCAAAUUUUCACCAAACAAAAUAAAAAAGCUAGUUUUCGCCAUCGAAUGGGAAUGCAUCGAGCAAAAUACGGGGUCCACAAAAUGGUGACUCCACUACGGAUUUUUAGAGGGUCAAACUUGAACUCGAGUUGAGGGGAAUGUGGCGUUUGAUUGGUCGAUCAAUGGAUACCCCUCUCUAUGUGUCUUGGUAUGAUUGUUUGUUGAUUACACGUUGAGAGCUUUGAUAUGUUUGUCUAUAAUAUAUGUUUGGCUAUUAUGUUCGUUUGUGAUGUUGACAUGUUGAUUACAUCGAUUGAUUCUCUUGCCUACUUUAGCAUAGUGACUUUUCUUGUUAUAUGAUUAUUUUGCUUUCCUGGACAUGUAUAUUCUCAUUUUUGUAUAUCUUAUUCAUCUUGGCAUGAUUGAUUCUAUUCGUUGUAUAUUAUCUUGACAUAUUGUCUAUUCUUGUUAUAUUCCUAUCUUACUUAUCAUAUUUUUGCCUAGCUUGUGUGUAGAUAUGAGUUAUAUACUUGUUCUUUGCAUGACUGCUUGGUGCAUGACUGCUCUUCCUCUGUGUGAUGCAUGUAUUGUUUGUCUGUGUGAGAUACACAUCUAUCCCCUUACCUCCAACUCCCUAGUUUCGGUCGACCUUGUUUUCCUUGAUCUCGUAUUUGAUAUGAGAUUUGUUGCUUUGUUUGCUCUUCAACUGAGCUAGCGAUUAGGAGUAGGGUCUAGCGAUGGGCUAUAUCGAUGUUUGGGAGCAUUCUGGAGGAGGCCAACACGUUGAUGCUAAUUGGAGUCUGAUCUUUGAAGACUUGUAUAGCCCAGAGCUAGGUUUCAUGGAUAUUUAUGUGAUCAGUGUGUUUCUUUUUCCACUUUAGCUUCAUAGGAUUUUUGGAUGCACCCACACCACUCAUCGUGCACUUUAGUCGACUACUGAGUGUUGAGAGUUUUGAGAUGUUUCACCAUAGGAAACCCCCUAGAAUGUCGAGGUAGUGCAUGUGUGGAGGUGAUGAUCACCUUGCAUGGAAGCACCCCGUCUCUUCGGGGGAGUGCAGAGGGUUGCGUACCGCCGGAGGGUAUGAUCGUUUCUGCUAGGGAUCUUUUAAAGUCCACCCAUAUCCAUUUAAAGCCACCUUGACCUCGUAGGUUGAGCCGUAGAUUCUUCUAUUAGGACUUCCUACCUAUACGUGGGUGCAUUUGAGGGCCUUCAGAGCCUCUUUGGUCAUAGUUGGGAUUCAGUAUUCCCUCUUUUAGUCUCCAAUUGAGAGUGCACAGAGAUCAGUACGGGUUUGAGUACGGUCGGACAAUCCGUUUUCGUUUUUUAUGCCUUGCUCAUUCUAGUUCAUACUAGCAUUUCUUCCAUGUUUUCUCUGUUUUCCCUGUGGCUACCAUUCUCAUGCUUCAUGCUCUUUAGGAUUGGUUCUUCAUUCUCAGUGUGGAUUUGUCAUCUUAGAUCAGAGUAGAGGGAGACUUAGUUCGCUUUUCUGAGAGAUUAGACAUGGAUCAACGGGUUGUCACAGUUGAUUAGUUCACGACCGCUAUGGCUUCUAUUUAGGAGGCUUUGUCCAGUCUCAGACAGGAGAUAGACAGUCAGCAGAGUAAACAGCUUGUAGUUCAGGAUGAGACGCCUUAUGAUUCAUUGCCACCUUAUCUAUUACAUGGUCAUUCUGAGGUUGCCUCACCUGUAGUAGUACAUACCAAAGUCCUUGAGGAUACGCAUGCAUGGAUCGUACUGAGCAGCGUAUCAGGCAAUUGAGGGUAUUUGACAGUUCAUCAGCUUGGGAUGAUCUUGAUAGUAUACUAGUGGCUAAUCUACCAGCCAAGUUUAGGAUUCUUGACAUUGAGAGGUACACGAGCGUUGGCUGUCUAUGUAUUCAUCUUCGACUCUACAGUACUGUGAUGAGGGCCCAUGGGUUAGACAAGUCAUAGAUGAUCACCAUGUUUCCUUUAUCUUUGAGUGGUGCAGUCCACCAUUAGUUUGCAUCUUUGGAGUCUUCGCGACGCAGGAUAUGGGAUGACCUAGCUUAGGAGUUUCUGUGAUAAUUUUCAUUUAGUACUGUUGUAGAUGUGUCGAGGAGAGAGCUUGAGGGUUUCAGAUGGAGAUCAGAUGAUUCCAUGUCUUCCUUCCUCUCCCGCUGGUAGGGGAAGAUAGCAGAGAUUGUUGAUUGACCAUUAUAGAGAGGUGACUUAGUCUUGAGGGUCAUCGGAGGAUUGAUUAGAGAUCCUAGAGGGAAGUUCAGACCUAGCUAGAGUGGACCUUAUUUCAUUAGGGAGUUAACUCCAGAGGGUGUCGCAUGGUUGAUGGAUCUAGAUGGAAACCGAUUCUCAAAGCCGACCAAUGUGGAUUAGCUAAAGAGGUACUAUGUUUGAGACCAUGGUCGUAGGAUAGGUGACCAUCAUUUUGGUUAGCCAUAUACCCUUUCACCCUUUUGAUACAUAGACCGUUGCUAGCCCAUUGAGUCUCGCAUGUGUAUUAUAGCAUUUCUUUCUUAUAGCCUUGCUCAUAUUUCUACACCGGGAUAGGGGCCCUUUAGUGUAUGCACGCAUUGUUUGCGAGUCUCGUGAGUCUUGGACCUACAGGUGCAUCUUUCUCUCAUCAUUUUUUCCUACCAUCACAUUAUUGCAUUCUAUCGUAUCUCAUUGGUUGUGUUCUUCAUCUCUUUUUCUUUAUUCAAUCUGUUGCUUAUUUUGCUUCAUAUUCUUUCCACCCUAAGUAGUGAUCCUCCUCAGUUCAUUAUAUGGGGGAUAGUCACAUCAUUUCCACUAUCUAUCCUACGAACAUUGAUUUAGAGAUCCUUAGUUUGAGAAGGUCAUCUUAUCAGAGAGAGUUUGUUUGUUACCUUAGCACUUGGGAGUGUGUCUAUUUUUUAUUGAUAUCAUUUUUGGGGUUCAUUUGUUUAUGUUCAGGGUAUGUGUAUUUGUAUAUAUGUAAAAAAAAAAAAAAAAAAAAAAAAAAAAAAAAAAAAAAAAAAAAAAAAAAAAAAAAAAAAAAAAAAAAAAAAAAAAAAAAAAAAAUUCUUUAUUACUAUUAUUACCACAUGUGUGUAUGUGCAUAGUGUUCCCAAUCAUUGGGUAUGUAUAUCAAUGUCGGGGGGUCAUUUUUAUCAAGUAUGUUCUUUAUUGGAAUUUCGUAUGUGACCUCCCUAAAAUCCCAUGUUAUUUGUAUUGCUUCCCCAAAUCUAUUUGGGAAAAAAAUAAGUGACCUUCCCCUAAGGACCCCAAGUCAUUGUCCUUUCCAUCAUUACGUUCAUUAUUGAUGUGACUUCAUUUCAUGUUUGAUCUAGGUCAAUCACCACUUUUCUUCACGUAUUCAUUGUAUCCCCAUCGUUUUUAUCGUUGCUUGGGAUUCAUCUCAUUCCCUUCCCAUCUUAUUCUCUCCUUACAGCGACCCAUCUCAGGUUCAAUGCUCAUUUCGCAUCAUCAUUACACAUAUCACUAUCAGUUCAUCCCGUUUCAUUUGUCUCCUUAUCGAUAUCAUAUUCACUUUAGGCAUCCUCAGGUCCAUGGCUCAUGGGGUUCACUAUACAUGUUGCAUUUCAUAUAUGAGGGCAUGGUUUUCUAAUCAUCGGGNNNNNNNNNNNNNNNNNNNNNNNNNNNNNNNNNNNNNNNNNNNNNNNNNNNNGUUCAUUUUUAUUGUAUAUUUUGAGAGCGAGAUGAGUGAUUUAGGAUUUUUCUUUCUUAUUUUGUUUUUCCUUUUAAAAAUAAAACAAAAAUAAGUAGCGACUCCAAGUUUUUUUCUAAAAAUCAAAUUUUCACCAAACAAAAUAAAAAAGAAAGUUUUCGCCAUCGAGUGAGAACGCAUCGAGAAAAAUACAGGGUCAACACUAGGAUUAGGAGGUCAACUGAGGGAGUUUGAGAUUGUGACACAUUUUACCAAUGUUUUAAAAACCGGACCUAACCGGGCGGUCCGACCAGUCGGGCUAUCGACCGGUGACCUUUUUAGUUCAGUUCCUUCUUUUGGGCCGACUAUCAAUUGGACCGGUGUUGAACCGCUUGAGCCGAUUGUUGAACCGUCGAAUUGCUUAGAUCGGGCGAUUCUAGGAAAACUGAACGAUUCAACACCCUCGGCCUUUUUUGACUAAGUGGGCCACUCCUUCACGACCCAACAAUAAUAGUCUACCAUUUUAUUUUUUAUUUUUACAAAAUGGGUUUCUCUCCAUGGCUCAACAUUAAAUACCCCCCCAAUCUUGCAAAAUGGGCCCCCUUACUCAAGUAUCAUGCAAUAAGGCCCACCAACCACUUCGCUUAACCACCUAGCUUCAAUUAGAUGGGAAAAGGUUUAUAAAACACUCUAUUUUUUUUUUCUUACUUUUGAUGUGGGAUAAGGUAAAGGGAUUUAAAAGCAAAAAUCAACUUUGCUCCAAGCUGCAACAAGAGGGUUUGAACCACGAACCACAAGCUCAUAAUGGCAUAACCCCUCUACUAUGUUGUAUCUUUGUUUGUGUUAAUAUUUAACAGAAAAUAACUACAUAGGCUAUUUCAAAAAAUAAUAUAUAUAUAUAUAUAUACAUAUCACUUUUUUUUUCAUUUUCAAUUUGUUUUCAUAUUUAAAUACAAUUUUUUUUAUCAUUUUGAAUAUAUUUUCAUAUUUAAAUAUUGUUAUAUUUUGUUUAAUAAAUUUAAACCAUUAAUACAUUUAUAUAAAAAUGAAUAAAUAAUAUUAUAAACAUUAUUUAAUUUUUAAUUAUAUAAUUUAAAUAUUUUAUAAUUAUUUUUAAUUUUAAUAAAAUGUAAAAUAUAGAUUUAUGACAUUGCUGGUUCGACUAUGAACCGUGAACCAAUAAUUUUUUUGAUUCAAUAUCCGAUCCGGUUCUGAAAACAUUGCAUUUUACCUUCUGAUCAGAGUAGCAUCUUAUACAUAUCCAUACCUUGACUUUUUAGUCUUGAUGACCUACCCAUGUUGAGCCUGGUAUGACACCACCCAUUGGUACCACUAUAUGAUCUUGCAAUCUUUGUCCAUCUUAUCUUAGUAUAGUACCAUUGCGUAUUCUUUUCAUCAUUUCUUUGAUCUGACAAAGUAAAAUCUAAGAUGAUUGGACCUGAGCUGAGCUUUGCAUCUUGAUCAAUGAAUUAUGAUGAGAAAGUGGUUUGACUGCUUGAUGACAUUGUUGACUAUUACAUGGUUGAGAUAGGCAUAGAGUUUUAUUGUAGAGUAUCCAUAUUGAGCUUUGACACAUGCCUUCAGAGGAUAAGCAUGACUUUAGAGGUUUAGCAUGACGAGAGAUAUUGAUUUUAUGAGAUGAUGACGAGUGGCUUGUGUUGAUAGAGUGGGUUGAUUGUCAGAUGACAUUGAUGAUUAUUAUAAAGUAUCAAGAGUUGGAGCUUUCACAUGAUUUCAGUGGAGUUGAUGUGGCUAUGUUAAAUGGAUACUAGUCUUUAGUGUUGAUCAUGUGAGAUCUUGAGAGCACGAUGUUCGAGGUUGUGGUUCAAGGAUGAGUAGCCAUUAUUUCAUGAUCCUAUUUACUUUAUCACUCUCACAUAUAGAGUUACCUAUUGUUGGCCCUUCGAGCCUCACAUGAAUAUUUUAGUUUUUUUUGUCUUAUCACAUCAUUUACUUUUUUUUACCACGUUAGGGACCUUAUCGUGCUUACAUGAUUUGAUAGGAGCCUCAUGAGUUUUGACUUGACAAACGUAUUCAAGUCUUAUCUCUCACUCUUCAUUGUGAUAUUUUCUUCCACUUUGACAUCACCCUCAUCAAUUUUUUUUUUUGCUGAUAUCACAUAUCACCACUUGAGAUAUUCACUCUAUUUCUUUUCCCUCAUCAUUGUCUACUUGACAUUAUCCUUGUUUCACCUUGAUUAGUGGUUUUCCACACAUUGCUACAUGGAAAGGGUCUAACUAUUUAUCUUUAUCCCCAUUUUGCAUGUAUUUGUUUUAUUAUUCAAUACCUUUAACAUAUGUUAUUUCAUUUAUUUUGAUAUCUGUGAACAUGUAUCAUCUAUUAAUUUUGUUGUUGAUGCAUUUAUUUAUAUAAUGUUCAAUUUUUCUGAUUAUGGAACGACCCAUAAUAAUUUUUUUUUCAAAAAUUAUUUUUUAAUAAACUAUUUUGUUUGGAAUGAAAAUUUAAUCUUUUUUAAAAAUAAAUGAUUAUUUUUUAGAACUGUAACUAUUUUGUUUAAUGAUUUGAUUUGAUUUUUUUUGGGUAAGAUCUUUUUAUUUUUUAUUUAUUUAUUUACAAAUAAAGACUUUUUUUAAACAAAUCAUAAAACAAUUUAUAUAUAUAUAUAUAUAUAUAUAUAUAUAUAUAUAUGAAAGUUAAAAAGAAACAUUUUUAGAAUACAAUUGGAAAGAAAAAAAAUAUUUUUAAUUUUUUUUAAUAAAAUAAAUUUUCUCUUUUUUAAGAAAUUGAGAUUUUCUUUUAAUAAAUUUCUUUUUUUAAUAAAUUAUUAUUUUUUUUUAUAAAUAUAUUAUCAUGUUGUUAAAAAAUUUGAACUUUAUAUAUAUAUAUAGAAUAAGUUUGAAAUAAUUAAAUAAGUAUUUUCUAAUUAAAUGAAAUAAAAAAAAUCACUUUUUGGUAAAUAAAUUUGAAUUGGACUGUUAUUGCAAAUAAAAAUGAAAAAAAAAAAUCUUGUUUUUAAUAAAAGACAAGAAAAACUCUAUUUUUAGAUAAAUUUAUUAAAAUCUUCUUCUUCUUUUUUCCUUUUUCUUUUUUUUUAAUAAAAGGCAAAUUUCUCUUCUUAAUAAAAAAAAGUGAGUAAAAGUUCCUUAUUUAAAAUAAAGCUGAAAAAAAUUAUAUUUCUAAAUAAAUUUGUAGAUAAAUAAAAUUGAAUUGAGAUCUUUUUACAUACAAUUGUAAAAAUAUGAAUUUCAUUUUUUAAACAAAAUAUAAAAUUUUGAAGUUCCUUUUUUGAAUCAAAUAUCAAAUUGAACCUCUUUUAUGAAUAAAACUUGAAAAAUCUUUUUUUUUUCUUAUAAAUUAGAAACCUUUAAAUUGAAAUCUCAUUUUGUAGAAUCAAGGAUUAUUUUAUUUUAUUAUUAUUUUUUGUAAGUCCUAAUGAAAUUGAAUAAACCUUCUUUAAAAUCAAACAAAGAUAAGAUUUCUUUUUCAAUAAAUCUUUUUUUUUUUUAUAAAAUCAAAUAAUUAAUCAUUUUUGGUAAAUAAAUGAGGGAUUGAAACCUUUUUUUUUUAAAUAAUUUUUUAAAAACUUAUUUUCCUAUUAAUAAUAUUUUUUGUAUUAAUAAAAUUGGAUUGGAUUUUAAUAUUUUUGCACAUAAAAAUCUUGUUUAUUUAAUUGAAAUAUCUUUUGUAGAUAAAGUUAUAAAAAAAGAAUCAUUUUUCUAAAUAAUUUGUAAAAAACACUUUUCUAAAUAGAAGUUAAAUUGAAAUACAUUUGUAAAUAAAACUGUAAUAAUUCAUUUACUAACAAAGGUAAAUAAAAGUCAUUUUCCUAUUAAUAAAAUCAAUUUUUUUAAUGCAAUUGUUUUUAAGAAAUUCUUUUAGCAACAAUAAGUGUAAAUGACAUUUUUGAAAAUUGAAUACAAAUAAAAUCGAAUCAAUCAUUUGUUGAAAAUAAAUCAAAACUUUUUUAUAAAUAAAUAAAUUGACAUAUUAAUUCGAAAUUGUUUUGAUAAACUCAUUUGAAAUUUCUUGAAAAGGUAAUUUUUGAAAUAUCUUUAAUUUUUUUAAUUAGCUUAAUAAAUCAAUUUGCUUAUUUCUCGUCAUCUAUCUUGUACAUUCUUGCAACCUACUUUUAGGAUUUUUUUUUUCUUGUAUAUUGGUUUGUAUCCUUUAUUUUGGUAUUGAUGAUUAAUUAAUUAAUUGUCACAAUUCCCCCUAUUCAUUUAGUAGAUAUUGUAGGUAUACAGGUUUGGAGGGGUUCUAUGACUUAUCACUAUACAUUCUCGAUAGGUAACUUGACCCUUGAAUCUAGACUCAGUUUUAGAAACAUGUCUUUUCUAAAUAAGGAGUCACAUAGGGUUUUCUUUCUUAUUUUGUUUUUCAUUUUUAAAAAAUCUAAAAUAAGUGGCGACUCCAAGAUUUUUUCAAAAAAAUCAAAUUUUCAAAAAAAAAAAAAAAAAGUUCUCGUUGUUUGAGUGAGGACACAUAUGAAAAAUGGGAGUCCACAAAAUACAGGUUUGUAAAAAACACAAGUUAGUGGUAACGUUAGGCACAACUAGGUUAACCAAACCUUGAUUGAUGAAGUCCUAAAUAGCAUGUUCAAGAGUGAAACAAUGACCUGUCAAAUGCCUUGGAGUAUAGUGGUAAAGAUAGUGCUCAUGUAGUAAAAAAUAAGGAGGAUAUGGUUGCAUCAAUGCUUUGAGGGUUAAACGGAUCAAAAGACUUGCCUUAGAGAGCUUCUGGAAAACUUAACUUAAUGGCAUCCCUAAGUGUCAUAAUUGUCUCAUAGAUCUGGGUAUAAGGGGUUUCCGAUUUUGUGCAUGACGUGGAUCGAGGUCUACCAUUUGGUUUGGGGUUUGAGCUUGCCCAUCGAGAUCAUGCCUAUGUAGUCUGUUUGCACCAAGCUCACCUCAUGGUUUGAUUGAGACACUUAUCUUUCAAUUAUCCUUUACGGCCAUAUAGUCGAAAUUGGUCAGAUUAUUUUGUUUUUGCUUCUCUUAUUGCUAUAUGUUCUGAGAAGGUAUCAAUUUAUGACUUUUCUACUAGUCCUAAAGCCACUAUGGAGUAGAUGUUUAAGUAGUUACAACUUGUUGACAAAGCCCUAGGUUCCUUUACUUCUUCGAAGAUGGCUCUAUCUCCCCUAGAUAGGGGCAACAUAUUUCCUCUACACUUCCCUUGAAAGAUUGAUGAGUACAAGAGUUUGAAUCCUAUUAAGGGUUUCUUUGAUGGAGUAACUCCCAAGGAUGAUUACUGACAUGAGUUAAACCUAUUUACCAUGAUACAAAUGUCAAGAUCAAUUAAGGUGCCAGUAGUGGGGCUGUUUGACUUGUUUGGUGAGAUGACUAUUGAGGGUGUUGUAGAGACAAAUCCAUCAAUUCCCAAGGUCACCCUACCACUUAGAGCUCAACCAAUGGUACCAAAGAUUUUUAUUGCUCCUAUUUUUUAGACUAUUAAUGUAGGCCCUUCUAUUGAGCAAGAUGUUUCUUGUGAUAUUAUAUUAGGAUUUGUCUAUCAUAUUUCUAAUGAUGUACCUAUUCUUUCAUCUAUGGGUAUGAGUUAUUUUAAGUAUUUUCCUGUGUGUUCUAGUUAUGUGCAUGAUUUUUCUCUUAGCUUGUCACAACAUCCAUCUAUUUCAUUUGUUUUCGACAUAGAUGAUGCCUCAAUCACCUGAUUCGAAUUCAAAUACCCUUUUUGGUCAUUCAAGUUACAAAGUAGAGCCUACAGAUGAAGAUUCCAAGAUUAUUGAUUUGGUACCAAGGAUUAACCUUGAGAGCUCUAGAUUGGUACUUCAUUGUCUACAAAUGAGAGGGUCGACCUUAUUUAGUUGCUUAGAGCAUAUUUAGAUGUGUUUGCAUGUUCAUAUAAGGAUAUGCCAGGAUUGGAUCCAUCAAUUGUACAACAUUGCCUACCUUUACUUCCCCAUAUCAUACCAAUUAAGCAGAGAUUGAGGAUUUACUACACCCCUGAUGGAGUCUUCAACUGGAAAAGGAGAUUCAGAAGCAACUUAAUGACAGAUUCUUAUAAAUGGUUGAGUAUCUUGAGUGGCUAGCCAAUGUCAUCCCUACUUCUAAAAAGAAUAGUAAAAGUAGAGUUUGUGUGGACUUUCGAGAUCUUAAUAAGAGUAGUUCUAAGAAUGACUUUUUUCUUCCUUACAUUGACAUGCUAGUUGAUAGUAUUGUAGGUUAUUCGAUGUUAUCCUUCAUUGAUAGUUUUUCUAGCUAUAAUAAAAUCUUGAUGGCUUCGGAGGACAUGAAGAAGACCUUUUUUAUUACUGAGUGGGGUACUUACUCCUAUAUGGUGAUUCCAUUUGGGUUGAAGAAUGCAAAAGCUACUUAUCAAAGAGCAACGACUACAUUUUCCAUGACAUGAUGCAUCAGGAUGUUGAGGUUUAUGUAAACAACAUGAUAGUGAAAUCUCAAGGUAGAGUAGAUCACUUAACAACUUUGGAGAGAUUCUUUGAGAUAAUCAGACAAUUCAGAUUGAGAUUGAAUCCCAAGAAAUGCACUUUCAAGGUGACUUUUGGGAAGUUGGGUUAUAUGGUUAGUGAGAGAGGCGUAGAAGUAGAUUUGGAUAAGAUCAUAACCAUUCUUGACAUGCCUACAUUGAGGACUAAGAGAGAGAUCAUAAGUUUCUUAGGCUUACUUUAGUACAUUAGUAGGUUCAUUACUAGAUUGACAAACAUUUGUGAGCCCAUCUUUAAACUUUUGAGGAAAAGUCAACCUAUUGUUUGGGAUGAUCAAUGCCAGCACCAAUUUGAGUGGAUCAAAGAGUAUUUCUUAUCACCUCUAGUUUUGGUACCUCCUACACCAAUUCGUCUCAUACUCUAAUACAUUUUAGUUUUAUACAUAGCCUUAAGAUGCAUGUUAGCUUAGCUCAAUGAUUUGUGAAAGAAGAAAGCUAUUUAUUAUAUGAACAAGAAGAUGUUAGAUUAUGAGAUGAGGUACAUCAUGAUUAAGUGCCUUUACUCGACAUUAGUUUGAGCUACUUGAAGAUUGAGACAUUACAUGUCAGAGUAUUCAGUACAUCUAAUAUCUUGUUUGGAUCCUCUGAGAUAUUUGUUUGAUAUACUUGUUUUGACUGGUUGACUCAUGAGAUGGUUAGUGCUUCUAACUAAGUUUGAUAUUCAUUAUGUUACAAAAAAAGUCUAUCAGAGGAAGUAUUGUCACAGAUCACUUGGCUUCAUUGUCCAUUUCAGAUGAUAGAGAAAUUAAUGAUGAUUUUCUAGAUGAUGAGGUUGUUGCAAUGGCUAGCCUGUCAAGUUGGCGUAUAUACUUCGAUGGUGUAGCCAACCAUUCUGGAUAUGGAUAGGAAUCUUGUUGAUAUCCUCUCACGGUGAUCAUAUCCCUAGAUCUGUUCGUUUGGCAUUUUCUGAUCGUCCCUCUGCCAUGAAUAACAUUGUUAAGUAUGAAGCUUUUACCCUGGGAUUAGAGACAACUCUCAAGCUUAAGAUUUGAUAGAUGGAGUUGUUUGGUGACUCAAAUUUGGUGCUCAGAUAGAUUCGGGGUGACUAGAAGACUAUAGACGUGAAACUUAGACCGUAUCAUGCAUAUUUAGAGUUACUAGUUAGGGGAUUUAAUGAUUUGAGAUAUACACAUUUGCCUAGAGUACAAAACCAGUUUGUUGAUGCCUUAGCUACUCUAGCUUCCAUGAUUAAUAUUCCUACUAAUACUAUUAUUCGCGUUUUUACUGAUUGAGUCAAGAUCUGUUAUUGCCUAUUGUUGCUUGAUUAAUAAGAUAGAGUUAGAGGACAGCUUGCCCUAGUACCAUGACAUAUAUUAGUUUCUCAAAUUUGGCAUGUAUUAUGAUGUCGCUACAACCAAGGAUAGAAGAGCAUUGGGAUAGUUAGCCACUUAAUUUGUGAUUGUUGGGGAGACAUUGUAUAGACAUUCAGUUGAUGGCAUGUUACUAUUGUGCUUGGAUUGCACCUUUAUUGAUUGAGUGAUGAGAAAGGUUCAUGUAGGGGUUUACAGACCACAUAUGAGAUCACACAUGUUAGCCUAUAAGAUCAUGAGGACCAGACAUUUUUGGUUGACUAUAGAGACAAAUUGUUGCCAUUUUGUUCAGAGAUGUCCAGAAUGCCAGGUGCAUGAGGAUCUCAUUCAUGUGUCACCCUUACAGUUACAUGCAUUGACUUCACCAUGACCAUUUUCAAUUUAGAGUAUAGACAUUAUUAGGAAGAUUUUGCUGAAAUCUUCUAGUGGUCAUGAGUUCAUCCUUAUUGCCAUUGAUUACUUAACCUAAUGGGUAGAGGUUGCCUCAUAUGAGAUAUUAACAUCAAUUAGAGUUGCUAGUUUUGUUAGAUCACAUAUCAUUUAUCGUUAUGGAGUUCCUCAUAAGUUGAUUUCAAAUAGCAAAGGUUGACACCUUGUUAUAGGGAUAUGGUAUCUAGCAUCAUAGAUGUCUAUGUAUAGGUCAUAGACUAAUGAGGUAGUAGAGGCCACAACUAAAAACAUUAAGAGGAUUUUGCGAAGGAUAGUUGAGAUUUCUCGAGAUUGGUCAAAGAAACUCUCUUUUGCAUUGUGGGCGCAUCGUACCUCCUUUCACACUUCUAUAGGAGCCAUACACACGGAGCCAAUGCUACUUGUUAAGAUAAAAAUGAGAUACUUGAGGGUAGUAGAUCAUGUUCAUGCUUAUUAGAGGAAGAUGACUUGUGCUUUCAAAAAAUAGGCCAAGCCUAGAUAGUUUCAAAAUGGUGAUUUGGUGGUAAGGAUUCUUAGAGGAAUGGUUGGAGACCCUCAUGGCAAGUUCAGGCCUAAUUGGAGUGGACCCUACUUUAUUAGAGAGUUGAACCCAUGGAGGGCUGCAUGACUAAUGGAUUUAGACAGAAAAUCGGUUUUUAAAGCCAACUAAUGCAAAUUAUCUGAAGAAGUAUUAUGUUAAGACCAUGGCUAAAGGAUGGGUGGCCCUCCUUUUAGUUAACCAUAUAUCUGAUCACCUUUAGAUUUCAUAUGAUCCUUUGCUAGCCAUUUGAGCCUCACAAAAGUAGUGGCCUUCCAUUUCUUGUCACCUUGACUGCCUUUUUCACACCCAGUUAGGACCCUAUAGUGAGUGAGAUGUGUGGUUAUAGAUUUUAUGGGCGAUUGGAUCUAGAGUGAUGUUGUGUCAUCCUUGGUUCACAUUUCCAUUUCUUAUCUUUCAGCGUAUACUUUUGUAGAGUUAUUGUCGUCAAGUAUUCCUUUUUCUUCCAGGUUUGUUGUCAUUAGCUUUUUUGCUUCCCUAUUUAACAUUUUUCUCAUUUUUCUUCUUUUACUUUUUUUUUUUCAUCACCUAUUGCCAUGGGUUGGCAGUUGUUCACUCAUCUUUGUGUUGAGGAAGAUCAUAUCACUCAUUUCAAUUUCUUAUGAGUUUGAUCUUAAGACUCUAGGGUUUUAUGAGCUCUUCAUAUCCUUGAGAUAGUAUGAUCAUACUAGGGUGAGAGAUGUGAGUUUUUUUUGUUAUGCCUACCUAGUGGAGGAUUCAUGUUGCUUGUUAUACAUACUUGACUAUGAAGAGUGUUAAAAAGAAAGAAAAAAUAAAUAAAUUUUCAUACCAAAAAUAAAUUCCAGUUUAUUAAAAAAUAAUUUUUGAGAUAAGAUUUUAUUAUGGGUUCAGUCUACAAGUAGAAAAAUAGAACAUUAUAUAAAUAAAUGCAUCAACAACAAAACUAACAAAUGAUGUAUAUUCACAAGAUAUAAAAAUAAAUGAAAUAUUCUAUGUAUAGUGCAAUCCCAAAUCUAGUAGCUUUCCACAAGGUCCUCAACAAAGAGAGAAGAGAAAAAUCUAGAAAACCGUUAUCUUUCUCUUUCUUUUAUUCUAAUCCCCCUUUUUUUUUUUUAUCCCAAAUCAAGUCUCACUAGCUUUAUGCACAUGCCCAUAUAUAAUUUGUCUUCAACUACUCCAACUAAUACAUUGUGCACCAAAUUUGCCUUUUCUUGUCCUUAGUGCAAUGCCAAAACACCAACCCAAAUACAAGCAAACCUAAUCAACAAAAAUAAAAUAAAUUCAAGUAGGCCCAACAACAAUAUCCAAUAACUCAAGCCCAAUUUAAUAUCCAAUAAAUAUAUAGACCCAAAUCAUAUCAAUUAGCAGCCCAAAUCAACAACCAUGCAAGCCCAAUAUCUUUAAAGCCCAAAAACAGUACCCAAGUCUCCAAAAAAAUGCACUAUGAAGAUCUAAAGGAAGAAGAAGAGGGGACUUACCAUUUUUGAAACUUUUGAUAUGACAAUGGAAUGAAUGGGUGUCAUGGUGAAGAAAUGGCAUUAUCGACGUCAAACUGACAAUAGCUAGUUAUGGUGAGCUUCACCAUGGAUGGUGAUGGUGGUGCUCAUAGUGGGGUGGUGGUGUGGGAGUCGUGGGUAUGGUAAGUGAGUGAGAGAGAGAGAGACAGAGAGAGAGAAAUAAAAUAAAGAAAAAAGGAAAGAAAAAAAUAAAAUAAAAAGUGGCAGUAGCAUUGCCAAUGGUGAGAGUGGUAGCCAUCAUGGGUAUGAUGGUAUGGAGAAUGAUGGAAAGAAAAAGAAAACAUAAACACGGAAAGAGAAUAAGAAGAAUGAAGGAAGGAAAAGAAUGAGAAAAUAUGUGGUAAAUGGAGUAAAAGGAUGAUUGGGGCUUUUUUCAUAGGUCUUAGGGUUUCUUUUAGGGUGAAUGAUAGUGAUGAAAGAAAAAAAAAAACAGAGGGUCUAGAUUAGUUCCUUAAAAAUGGGUACAAGUGGGCAUGAAAAUGAGCUAAAAUCAAGAGGAUUAUGCUUAAAACUAACUAACCAAAAGUCCUACAAAAAAAGAAAUAAAUAAAAUAAACAAAAGUAAAAAUAAAUAAAUAAAAACAAAAACAAAAUAAAAUAAAUAAAAGUUUGGGACAAAUUUUAAAGUCUACAUAUGUGCUUAUUGGAGUUACAACCAUAUCAUUUUUAAAAUUAUUCAUUUAUUUUGAUCUUGGACAAUUGAUAAUUAAUUUAUUAAGAGAUAAUAAAUUAAUACAAGUUAAGAUAAUAUUAUUUUAUAUUAUAAAAUUUAUGCAAAUAUUUAAUAGAUGAAAAAUAAUUUAAUAAUAUAUAUUUUUAAAAUAAUCCAAAUAGAAUAUUCAAUAAUAUAAUAGAAUAUUUAUUAUUGCUUGCCUUCAUCUUUUUCAAACCCAAUGCCUUGAUUUUUUUCACCUACAUUUUCUUCGUCUUUUCCUCCAUUCCUCUUGUUCAUCUUUUUAUCUUCUCAUUUUCAUUUUUUACAAAAAAGAAAAAGAAAAGAAUGGAAGCAACAUUAAUGGUGAUGCUACCAUGUCUACAUGCUCAUAUAUAGCAAGUGAAGAUUAUGGAGCGGAAAGGUUUAGAAUUUUUAUGUGGGGGUGUGUGGUUAAAGAAGAUGAAGGUAGAUUAGUAAAAAAUUGUAUACCUUUUUUAUAUUUAAAUUAAGGGUUUAAUACAUUUUACCCUCUCAACCUAUCACAUGUUUUGCACAUUACCCUCUUAAGUUUAAAACUGAACAAAUUGUCCUCCAAGCUUCUUAAAGACCAACACUAUGCCUUUUUUGUUGGACAGAAAUGUCAUGUGUUGUGCACAUGACUUAAUAAACGAGGGUAAAAUUGUCAUUUCAAAUAUCUAAAAUCCUAAAACAUCUUCUUCUUCGUUCUUCUUCCUCAGAGAGCCCUAAAUCCCCAAGCCCUAAAAUUUGGUUUUAGUUUUCUACACAUCAUAUCAUUUGGAUUUCCACAGUUGGAUUUUCUCUUAUUAAUCACCAAUUCUAAAUCAUGUGCUCAACAACUAUAACUAAAAAAUAAAUACACAAAAUGAGAGUCCAAAACUUCUAUUUGGUUGCAUAGAAAAAAAUGAGGUUCUUCAUUUUUUGUGAGGAGAGUGAUUGAUGUUCGGGUUAGGGUGUCAGUGGGGUUCCAUAGAGGAACAAAUUAUGUUUUUGAGAGGGUGAUAAUCUUUGAUAGAAUCUUGAGGACUAAGAAUUGCAAUUGUCAUUAACGAAAAAUAGAAUGCAACAGAGGAAAAUCGGAUGAUGUGAUGAGUAGAAAACUGAAACUUUAAAGAAUUUGAGAUAAUCGAAUUUUAGGUUAGGGGAUUUAGGGCUUUGGAAGGAAGAAGAACAAAGAUGGGAGGUUUUAAAGCUUUAGGUAUUUUAAUGACAUUCUAACCCUCGCUUAUUAAGUCAUGUGCACGACACAACAUUUCCAUCAAAUCAAACUAACACUGUUCAACAAAAAAGGUAUAGUGUUGUCUUUAAGAAGUUUGGAGGACAAUUUGUUCAAUUUUAAACUUAAGGGGGCUAUGUGCAAAACACGCAAUAAGUUGAGGGUGUACGGUGUAUUUAACCCUCAAAUUAAAGUUCAAAAUAUUAGGGAUUUCCAACCUCUUAUCACUUCUUAAAAAAAAUAAAAAAAUAAAAGCCUCCCAAGGAUGAGUCACAAAAUUAAAAAAAAAAAAAAAAGAAAAGAAAAAUUAAAGGAUGUUUGAUAAAUUAAUUUAAUGACUUAAUAUGAUAUGUAACAACCUAUUUUAAGUUAUUAAACAAAUUAAGUAUAUAUAAAUUGUUAAAUAAUUUAAUAUCAUAACUUAAAGUUAAAAGUAAUUUUAAAUAUUAAAUAAAAAUCCUUGCUUUAAAUAAAGCAAAUUGGGGUCAAUUUCUCGUACUUGCUCAAUGUGUCCCAUUUCAUCAAGUGCCUUGCCCAGUUCACUGAGUUGUUGGCCUACCAAGCACUUGCCUACUGCUCUUGCUGCCCACCAAACGGGCGGAGCGCUCGAUAUCCUUACUUUUCUAGGGCCCUUCCCAUUGCUCUAAUCAUAAGUUAUGGCAACUCCAAUUGGUAACCAUAGUGGCUCGCCCUAUGAUGCGAGGCCACAAUAGGCUCAAUGGUCUAAUCAGAGUGAGAUAAACUCUUUCUUGACAUGACUCACCCUUCCCACUCUUGACAUGAUGAAAUAAAUAACUAGCACCAUUAAUUCGGGUGAUGCCUAAGGGUCAUCUCUUGCUUCUUUGAGUGAAUUUUUCAUGAACUAGGCCUUUUCAUAGCUCGGAAUAAAUUUCCAAUCAAUUCAUUCUAAAUUUUAUUUUAUUUUUAUUCCAUUUGCUCACAUAUUGACGAGAAUCUCUUUUAUGUCUCUGAUUUUACAUCCACAACUCAUCUUUUAUGGUAAAUAUUUUAUCAUUAUUUCAUGUACAAUAAUAUUUUUAAUAUGGAUAUUUAACAAAUAAAUUUGAAUUUCAAAAGAUAAUUUAAGUCAAUUAUAUCAAAUAACCUUUAUGCUUACACUAAAAAACUAAGAGUAACAUUUAAAUCAAUAAUUUAAUUUAAACUCAAUUUAAAUAUUUAAAUCAUUAAAUAAUAAUAAUAUUAAGUUUUAUCAAACAUAUUCUUUUCAGGACAGGCAAACUAUCGGAUAAUUUCUAAUUUUCAAUUGUCUCAAAAAUUUAGCUUAAAAUUUUGGGAAUUACAAUUCAUUUAAAAAAAAUUAAAAAUAGAAAAAAUGAUUAUGUAAUUCCCUUAUGUAGUCUCUGCAUGAAUCAACUGUUUCAAGGGCAUUAGAAAAGGAGUGCUGCUGCAUUCAAAAUAUUUACAUGGUACCUCAGAGCUUACUUGGAAAGGCAAAUUAUCCUUUCAUUUCAAAUUCUCAAAUGUCAUUAAUUUUGUUCAUGCUUGGAAAGGACCUGGCAUCCACUGAAUUAAAAUUAUAUAUAAGGCACCAUUUGUUUGCAAAGAACAUGAGAAAAUAGUUGAAUGCUUGGAUAUCUGGCUGCCACUGAAGUUGGAGUAGUAGUUGGAAAGCUCCAAAUUUAAUUUCUUUCCUUUUCCUAAGACUUCUUGACAACCAAACAGUCCGGAUGUAGCUGAAAGCAACCUUAGUGAAAAAGACUUGGAACUGGUGAGUAAAAACUUCAUUGAAAAGGGUUCUUUGCCAGUGGAUGUCCUAGGUUGAUAAGUUCAAAUCAUUUGAUUGGAUUUUUGAUAAAGAGCAUAUCAAGACCAAAAACUUUGUACUGCGGACAGCAGUAUUGGAUUCCGAUGAUAACUCAUUUGAAAAAUUUUCACCUCAAUAUGAAUUAUUGAUCUACUGCCUAGGGAAUCAUUUUUCCUUGAACCUUGCUUCUAAACAAUACGAUGGAGAUGUACUUCUCUAAAUACUCCAGAGGAGUUAUCCUUAUCUCCAGAAAACUGAGUAUAUGAUAAACAAGCUUAUAGUAAUAUGUAUUUUACGUAUUCUUUUGUACUUAAGUACUGUAACAGUACUUCUGGAGUCCGGAUGUUGGAUUUACAAAUCAAACUCAUUCCUGGCCAGAUCUUUCAGUUUCUCUACAAUUUGAGGUUUCUGGUUUUUGGGUUUUCAUUGACGAAUUUUCAUGUAAGUUUACUGAAAUGUAUUCAUGCCCAAGAAUAGUUUGGUUUAAGUCAGUGAAAAUUUGCUUUUUCCAUCCCCAGUUAGAUCUAUCACUAGUAGUCUAUUUUAAUACCAACAAUCAAGGAGCCUAAACCCCAAGAAGGCCCCCCAUCUGGUUUAUGCCUCUCCCAACUUGAGUCAACAAGUCUUUCAUCUUCUUCCAUCAACUCAAUCGCCAAUAAUGCUUACUUUUCUGAUUAAACCAAUCAAGUUUCGACACUAAAACUUUCCAUGCUUUAUGAAUUAUUUUGCCAUGAGAACUGAGUGAUAGCCCCAUAGGGUUGCACUGGUAAUCUCAACCAAAUGGCAUCUAGCUUUAAGAAACUCAUCUUCUGUAAAUGCAAGGCUGCAGUACAGUUAUUGAUGGUGCAAUAUUCGCGUUAUAAGCACUGCCUUCUGGAGAGGCGUAUUGAAUGUAUUUGUUUAUAUAUAUAUAAAGAAAAAUGCUAAGAUUUCAAAGCGAUACUUAUAAAACAAAAGAUUUGAACCAUUGAAUAUGUAUGGUGAGAACUUGACAGUUCAAACGUGGGUAUAAGUGAAUGGAACAAAGGUUCAAAAGUGCAAAUAAAUGGGACCAAAAUUAUAACCAAUGAGAUAUGAAAAUAUAUUCGUGAUAUCACUUGAUUGAUGAAGCAUUUUUUUAUAGAUAUCGAUGUCAUUUUUUAUAUAUUCUAUAGAUAUCGGAAAAAAAUACACUUCUAUAUUAUAACCGCAUCAUAUACAAAACCAUAUCUUGUAGUUCCUUUUGUAUUGAUUAAUAAAGAAUGCUGUUAAACUAUUCUUCUUGGCAUGAUUUAAUUAUAUGAUCAAUAGAGAGAAAAAGCAAACAGCAUGAGCCAAUGAGUAAGUCAGUUAGAACAAUGUCAUUGAUCCCCUUUCACUAGGAUGGUUCCAGAGCAUACAAAAGGGAACUGCAGUAUAUUAAUAAUUAUUUUUCGAACAUUUUCCUCUUUCCUCUUGCCUUAGCAAUCAAUUUCACCCAUGGUUCAUACUAAUGUUUACUCACUAGAUUUUUCUGGUGACCAAAUGAACCCCACAAGAUCAAUCGUGCAUGCCAUGAUUGAAACUAUGAUAAAAAAAAGCUUGGAGGGUGAUUUUGAGAAAAAUAAGUACCAUAUUAGUGGCAAAAUAUGGAUACACAAACAAACUUGAAAUAGCUAGAUGGUUGCAAUGUCUAAUUAACCAGGGAUUCCAGUUUUGGGUAUCGUGCAGAGAUGGGAAUGGAAUGCAGACUAUUACAUCUCAGUAUCAUGUCAUGUCAAAGGCAAUCAGAUUUUGUAGUUUGCAGUUGCUUUAGCAAUAAAAUGUUGGCCUGACAGUAAGCAAAACUGAAUCAACUGAUUCAAGGAGAAAAGACUGAGAAGUAGGAAGAAGGGGGACAAAAGGGAAAAUGGUUUACAGAUUGUACCUUUGCUGAUGUUGAUCCCAAUCUCCAGUACUAUGUGUAAGCACUUAAUGUUGGAUUUCUAGCUAGCCAGAUUAAAGCAACCGAGUAAUUAUAUGUCCCUGUUAAUCAAUCAAAAGGGUCAGUGCUCACUGCAUAUAUCAUGAACUUUAUUGAAGGGAAAUUUUUUUUUUACUCCGCCCCUCAUCAGCAGAUGCUUCCUCUCCUUUCUUCUCUUUAUUUUUGCCUUUUGGCCUUUUGGCAGGUCUGCAAAGGGAGGAUUUCAAGACCAAUCCCCUAUAUCCACAGAGAAGCAGGAAAAAGAAGAGGAUGUGUUGAGAAGAAGAAUACCCCUAUCCCCACACAGAAGCGGGAAAACAAAAAAGGAUGUGGAGAUAAGAAGGAGAAGAAGAAGAAGUCUUAAUUAAUUGAGUACCAAUGGAUACAUUGAAUACAGUGGCUUUUCUGUAUAUAAGGAACACUUAGACAUGGAGGAAAAGGCAACCAGAACACAAUUGUUUUUAGGGCAAAGGUGCAUGGUUAAAAUAUUAAAACCCUCUGCCCGUUCAGUAGAAAGAAAGGAACAAGAUGAAGAAGAAGAAAGCCAAGAACAAAAAAAGAAAGGAUAAAAGGAAAAAACAGUGGCCUCAUAAAUGUUGAAGCUUCCACUAAAAGAUUGAAAUCAUCAUUAAUAUAUAUGCCGGCCGUAGUCAGUACUUCCUUACACACACAGAUGGUCCCAUCUCCGAAGAGACACACAUUGCCAUAACUCAUACCUUGUCAUCAGGUUACAUCUAGAUCCCCAGGAAGGGAACACUUGAAAUUCUUACUUGUGCCAGACUUGCUGGUUUUUCCCCAUACUCGGCUUCACACCAUAAUCUUCCCACAAGUGUUCUUCAUCAAGCAGGAUGUUCAAGCAGCUACCAUGCACUGUGGUACCCACGCUGGAGUUAGAAGGUGAAAGAUGAUCCUCACUGUUCUUCUGAAGUCCUACAUUCUCAGAGCCUUGUUUGGCCAUGAUUUCCUGGCCAUGAUAGGGGUCCAGUGGCUGAAAGUAAGUGCAGGUUCUCAAAUUCUCUUUGCGCUUCUUGCUGUGCUCGGUGGUCUUGUUUAAGUAGAUGUUGAUGUUCUCCCAUUUCUGUUUACACCUCAUUGCACUUCGCUCAUAGCCCAAACAACCCAUUCUUGUGGCAAUCUCCUCCCAUAGGCUUUCUUCUGAAUACCCGCUGUCUUGAAAUCUAGAUUCCAUACUGGUCCUCAGAUGUAUCAAACUUGAGAGCUCUUGUUCUGGCCAUCUACUGUAAGUAGUGUCAUCAGGUACUUCAUUUACAAUGUCCUCCAUGCUUUCGUUCUGGUCUUGAAUUUCCUUGUCCAUUAGCCCGUCUGGAGACGACAAUUUUAGUUCUUUCCCUGUAAAUUUCUUCAGAGCCUCCAUGAGUGCAGCAUCUCGGGCUUCAAUCCAUGCUCUCUCACUAGCCCAGAAUUUAUAUUCUCGAUCGAACCGAGCUGCCUCUUGCUUCCUCCAUUCCUCCUCUCUGGACAACCUUUCCUGCUCUUUAUGCUCGAUAGUUGUCAGCAUCUUCUCCAUCCAUGCCUCUUGUGUGUCCAUUAUCUUCUUCAUGUGGAGGCCCACAAAUUCCUUUAUUUUUCCUUUCAAACUCUUCCUGACCCUCCUGUAACUUUGUCCAUCAUCUACCCCUCUUUUCUUCUCCAUGGAAUGGUUCAUCAUGUAGGCAAUAGCUGAAAGAUCAUCAUCAUUGUUUUCUGAAGAUGAAGUCUCAAAUUCAGAUGAGUUAGAGAAACUAUGGCUCUCACAGAACUUGUGGUCUUGCAAAGCUUCUUGAUUUGCUUGGUUAAUGGUGGUGUUGUUUGUAGUCUGAUAAAGAAGAGUAGUGUUCCCAGCAAGAUGGGUUUCUGAAACUGACGCUUGAUUGCUUGUUUCUCCAUAGAGUGCUUCAAGUUGUCGGAAGAACCUAUAGUGCUUCCCAUCCUGUCUUCCGGCUUUACCUUCUUUAGUUUUCUUAUAAUACUUGUACAGGUUCUCAAACUUCUCUCUGCACUUCUUCCCACUUCUCUGGUACCCAUGUUCCUCAGCCAUUAUCCUGCAACAAUUAACGAAACGAAUAAAGGAAGAAAAGUAACCCAAAAAGGGUAAAUAUAUACAUAUAUAUAUAUAUAAACAGACUAGAGAAGAAUAACCCUAGUUUGUAGUUCUUUGGCCUAGUCCCUCUUGGAAUCCUAAAACAGAUAGUCUAAGUAAUUAUAUUCAAGGAUUUUGAUACCCAAUGCAAACCUCAAAUAGUAAUUAAUGCUAUAGAUGAUAGAAAAUGUGUUUUGGUAUCUCUUUUUUGGGCAUUUCGAAAUAAUAAAAUCUUAAAAUACCCAAAACAUUCCUCUAAUCAUCAGUUAGAUGUCAUAAAAUAUUAUUCUUGUUUCUUCUCCCUUUCUGUUUGAUGGGUAUUUUACAUUAAACCAACUAAGUAAGUAGGUUUCUUGAACGACUCGAGAAUGUUGGGAUUUAGAGAAGCUUCUUGGACUGGCCAUAUCACACAAAACCAAUGUAUGAGUACAACAAUUCAGGGGCGCUGUCAGCCAUUUUUCCAGAAUAAAACCUGUUAAAAUAACUAAAAUAACAGCUGGGUCUUCCAGUUAACUCAAAAAGCUUGUCAUUUUGAAGCGCUAAACUCAGUAAACCAAACAUAAAUUCUAUCAAAAGCUUGUCAUUUUUUGCUUUAAUAAAAUAUAUACAACAUAUAUACAUAAAAACCAGUACGAAAGAAGGAAGAGAGUCAUUUUUGCUAAAGAAAAGGAAAUAGGGUUUCUUGAAAAUCUUGGAGAAAUCAUGUGUAUCAAUGAGAGAAAGAAGAAGAAAAACAAAAAAAAAAAACAUGGGUUGAGUGCAAUUCAGUCA